Molecule: long non-coding RNA, 274480 nt
Filed under: Triticum aestivum (bread wheat)
Lineage: Eukaryota; Viridiplantae; Streptophyta; Magnoliopsida; Poales; Poaceae
Description: long non-coding RNA (TAES_LNC022709)
Rfam family: MIR1120/MIR1122 microRNA precursor family (bases 132859-132984)
Source: RNAcentral
GACUGCAGUGCAGAGCAUUCUGAGGUGAGCUGAGCGGUAGAGCUGUGCCUGCCUCGCUCGUAUGGACGGACAGAUUUGCUGGAUGUGUGUGGUCGGGCUUUGCGGGAGGUUAAUCAUGCUCCAUCACUAUCUCAACAUAACCUCUGCUUUGUGUGCAAUUCUGUUCUGGUGGGUGCCAAUACCUUUGGGCUGGCGGGUGUAUUUUCUCAGGGUGAAAACCCGUGAUCUAACUUUCCGGCUUAAUCAGGGGCGUCGUUACUUAUUGAAGAUGCUGGUUCAGAUUUGUUUCAGUGUGAUACCUCUGGCUGGACUAGCCAACAUCGACAUGCAAGCGGCAAUUCCUUCUCGAAGAUGUUGUCUUGAAGUGUUGUACCCUUUAUCUGCUUGGGGAUGAUGUGGUGAUGCAUCCCUAGGUGGUGGAUGGCCUUGAGUUUUUUCCCCCCGCUUUGCAAGCUGAUUUGUUCAAUAUGUGGCUGUGGUGUUUAAAACAAUACAUAUGGCCGUGGGCAUCACUUGAUUAAUUGCCUCCUGUUGUUUCCACAAAUUUUAGUGUUACUCCAUACAUAACGUGUUCAGGGGGCUAACUAAUCACCUACUCUCACCGCUGCUCCUAUCACCUUGAUGAUUUGAUUUGUGGGAAGAUCACUGACUUGAUUGAUCAGUCGAUCAAACAUUUCAGACUUUAUUUAUGGGGGGCCUGGUUCCAACCGCAAACCAGACCAGUGUUAUUGCCCACUUUUUCAGAUCAAGAGUUCCACCCCUGUACAGUUUCUCACAUGCAGACGGUUGUGCGUUUGCUCUGAAUUAUCACCCCCAUGAAUAUACAUUGAUCCUCAUCACCGACGCCAUAAAUUGGAGCCUGACAAGGGUAGAUGGAUCUUGCCGGAAAUUCUUCAAUGUGCAGCGCAAGUAGCACCCACAGGUACAAUCCCCUCUGGAGAACACUAGCAGCUCGAUCACCUAUAUAAGGUCGCAGGCUCUCGCCAUGGCCAAACCACAAGCACCACAGUCACUUCACUGAUCAAGUAGCUGGCAAGAGGUUUGACCGCAGUACAACCUUGCAUCCCGGUCGAUCGAUGGCGUCCAAGGUCGAGCUGGUGGUGGAGGUGAAGUCGCCGGCGGAGAAGCUGUGGACGGCGAUGCGCGAGUCGACGGAGCUGUUCCCCAAGAUCUUCCCCGAGCAGUACAAGAGCAUCGAGACCGUGGAGGGCGACGGCAAGUCCGCCGGCACCGUCCGCCUCAUCAAGUACACCGAGGGUACGUGCGCGCGCCGUGAAACGAUCCACAUGUCCAGACGAGUAUGUGUAAGCUUGUAAGUGCAUAUGUAACGUGAGCAUUGGGUGCGUUGCGUUCAGGGGUUCCGAUGGUGACGUUCGCCAAGGAGAAGGUGGAGGUGGCGGACGACGAGAAGAAGGUGGUGUCGUACAGCGUGGUGGACGGCGAGCUGGUGAGCUUCUACAAGAACUUCAGGGUGACGGUGCAGGUGACCGACAAGGGCGCCGACGGCGCCGGCGCGGUGGUGAACUGGACCAUGGACUUCGACAAGGCCAGCGACGAGGUGCCCGAGCCGGACGUCAUCAAGGAGACCGCCGCCAAGACCUUCCACGACCUCGACGACUACCUCCUCAAGAACUAGCAGCUUUUAGCUGCCUCGUCGCCAGGGUGGCCGCCGCGGACGACCCUCCGUCUGUCCGUCCGUCCGUCCGUCCGUCCAUGAAUACUGUCGUCGUUGCCUGUUCUCUGCGGUGUCCCCGCACCAAGCUUACUCUCACGUAAACGACCGUGUGUACGGCCGUGUACGUGUGCGAUGGGACGGCCGCGUGAGUAGUGGAAUAAUAAUAAUGAUAAUAAAGUCGCAGCUUUAUGAUCACGUAUACGUACGAAUGGUGUUAGAUUUGUGCGAUUUGGUCUGAUUCGAUCUGUAGAAAAUAUUCAGUACGUUGUGGUGGAAUUUUCCCUUCCUUCAAACCGGGCUACUCAAGAGAGAGAUAACAUGGGCGGGGAAGAGACAACAACGAGUUCAGCGCUAUGAGAAAACCCACCGCAUGGAAAAAACUAGACAUAUUAAGCAGUACCAACCACAAGAAAAUAGUACAGACAAAGAUGAUUUUCCAUCCAAACCAAGACGCAACAACACCCAAAAGCACAACGAAAAUACUAACUGGUAAACGUUCCCUAGAAGAGGAUGGCAAACAAACGCCUUUCGAUGGCUGGCAAAUUCUAUAUGUUUUUGUCGCAAAAAUUUCUUGCUUCCAGAAAAUGCCAUGCACCUCUGAAAAAUUACCAUGCAUCUCUGAAGAAACUUCCAGCAAAAAUGUUCAUAAAUGCCACCCCUCCCGACGAACGUUCGCUGGAUAUUGGGUCACAAAUGUCUAUAGCAGACCAACAACACGACAUCCACACCAUUAGCAUCAUCUAUGUAGCAAUCUCUUUUAGCAUCUUACCACCAUGCUUCACAACAUCAACCAACUUUGGCUUCGAAAUACAUGUUCAAUACAACAUGAAAGAACAAGGUGUAAACACUAUCUCAAAAGGAAUUCUGGUCCAUUUGUACUCAAAAGUGGCACGAUUGUUUUUCACCUCCACAAAGGAAAGCAAAACUCCACACAUAAAACCGCCACAACGAGUUAGGACACAGAUCAGUCCCCAAUACCGCACCCGCAGUUUUUCAGACCACUCUAGCAAUCGGACACAAGAAGAACAUGUGUUGGGAAGUCUAGUCUGAGUUUAUAAAGAGCAAGUACGCUUUCGAGGCCAAUGCAUUUUUCUUAUAACUUUCAUGGUAAGGACAACAUUUUGAAACAACUGACAUAGGAAUAUGAAUUUUGAGAGGGAUUUUAGUGUCCCAGAUCCAUUUGAAAUUAGCCCCAACAAGAUGUUUUUUGAGACAGCAAUGCAUAGAUAUAGUAGUGUAGAUAUGAUUUAUGUUGAGUUUCCAGAUGAUAUCAUCAGAUAAAUCACAUAUAGGAAUAGUAUGUCAUCACAUAUUUUUCAUUCUCUCCCAUUGUUCAGCCAUAACGUGGGACAAUGUUCUUCUAAAGGAUGUUACAAGAUUAAGCGACUCAAGUUUUUCCAUAGUGCAAUUUUGUUCUAAACAAACACCACAAAGCAAAGGGAAUUUCUCACAAAAGGGUCUAUUUUAAAAAAUGAUACAUUUCUACAGUCUAGCAGUAUUACCCUUAAUUAGCACAACCCCCUCUACCCACCAUAUAUAAAUCUUUCACUCUCAUUAUUGCCUUCCAACAAGGAGAAUCAUACAUUUGACUAAUAGACAUAUAGUUCAUUUUCUAAUAUUUAGCUUUAACCGAGGCAACAAUAGAGUUCUUCAAAUAUUUAGCUUUAAAAACUUCUUGCCAUAGUCCACUACCUUUUAUCUAAUUUCCACCAACAUUUGACUAAUAGACAUAUAGUUUGUUUUCUAAUUUCCACCACCAUUUGACUCAUAGACUUAUAUUUUGUUUCCUGAGAUCUUUGACACCCAGGCCCCCUUUGCUUUUUUAUCUACAAAUAAUGCCCCAUUUCACCAAAUGAUAUCUCUUUUUUCCACAACGUCGCCAAAGGAAUUUUCUUCUAGGUUUAUCCCAUUUCUUAAUCAUAGUUCUAUUCAUAAGAAACACUGACAUAUAUAAGAUGGAUGUGGGAUAGGACAUAAUUAAGCUAGAUAGUACGACCUUCCAUAGACAUGGCAUACCCAACCCAAGAAUCAAUUUCUGAAGUAAUUGAAUAUCAAGAAAGCUCCAGUCAUACACUUUUAGGCCAACAUAACUUACAUGCAUGCCUAGAUAUUUAAAAGGAAAGGAGUUGAUCUGCAAAUUGAACAUCCCAACAUAAGUUUCCACAUUAGGUUCAUCACCCCCAAUAGCACACACACCUCACUUUUUAUAAUUAUUUUUUAAAUCUGACAUGAUUUCAUUCUGGAUAAUCCUCAGUAUUGGUGGCUUAUUGUAAAAUAUCAAUGCCAUUAGGAACAAGAUCAAUUUCCAGCCCAGUCAAAAGCCCAUUAAAGUGUGCUUGUGUACCAAUUUCAGCGAGGCUCACAGUUGCCAGGUUAAAAAAGGAGAUAAGUGCCCCCCUUCGCGCACCCCCUUGGAUCUCUGGAAGUAGGGCCCAGUUACAAUGUUUAGUUUAACACAUACAUCACCGCCGAGCAUAAUAUGUCUAUUCCAACAAAUCCACUUAGUGCCAAACCCAUGUACAGAAUGACAAUCAAGUAGGAAUUCCCAGUUGACCUUGUCAUAGGCCUUAACGAAAUAUAGCUUAAGAACAAUAAUGAUUCUUCUUUUGUUCACAUAAGUAUGGUGCAAUAUUUCAUGCAAUGUCAUGAUGCCAUCCAUAAUGGCACAACUUUUAUUAAAGCAUCCUGGUGUCUACUAAACAAAAUAUCAACAAAAGGCUCAAGACGAACAAUCAAAACUUUUGUGUUAAGCUUGUAAAAACAUCUCAAUCAACCAAUGGGCCUAAAUUGUUGUAUCUUGCUUGCAUCAGAAAGUUUGGGUUUGUAGUGCAAUAAUACCACAGUUUAAUUGUUGAACUUCUAGAGAAACAACAUGAAUACAUUCAAAUAAACGCAUGACAUCCUCACUGACCACAUCCCAAUAGUGUUGAAAAAACUCUAUGGGUAUAUUAUCAUGGCCAGGAUAUGACUAGAUUUCAUAAAAAAUAGAACAUGUUUUACUUCCACCUUGCUGAAGCAUUUGCUAGUAGAAAGGUAUCUAGAUCAGAUAAUUUUUCAUUAGGAGCCCACAACCCAUCACACAAAUGAUACAUGUUACUAGGUGCAGGUCCAAACAACUCUUUAUGAUAGCCAGUAGCAUGCUUAAGCAACUCAUCAAUGCACUAAAUAGUAACAUCACAAUCACUCAAGGGAGAAAUUGUGUUUUUUUGUUCCUACCAUUAUCAAUAACACGAAACUGAGUAGUAUUCUAACUCCCCUUAAGGAGCCACAUUUCAUGAGAUCUUUGCGACUAGGAAAUUUCCUCUUUAGCUAGAAAAUUGUGCAGGUCAACAUUGAUAUGUCUCCAACGUAUCUAUAAUUUUUUAUUAUUCCAUAUUAUUAUAAUAUCAAUUUUGGAUGUUUUAUAUGCAAUUAUAUAUCAUUUUUUGGGACUGAUACGUCUCCAACGUAUCUAUAAUUUUUGAUUGUUCCAUGCUGUUAUAUUAUCAUUCUUGGAUAUUUUACAAUCAUUUUAUAAUCAUUUUAUAUCAUUUUUUGGUACUAACCUAUUGACAUAGCGCCUAGUGCCAGUUGUUGUUUUCUGCUUGUUUUUUACAUCGCAGGAAAUCAAUACCAAACAGAGUCCAAACACAGCGAAACUUUUUGUGGAUUUUUUCUGGACCAGAAGACACUGUAUGGGCCGAGAAAGUACCUAAGGGGAGCUCCGAGGGGAGCACAACCCACCAGGGCACGCCUGGGGGCCCAGGCGCGCCCAGGUGGGUUGUGCCCACCUCGGUGGCCUCCCGCACCGCCUGUUUGCUCUAUAAAUACCCCAAUAUUCCAUAAACCUUGGGGGAGUAGACGAAAAUCAAUUCCAACCGCUGCAAGUUCCAGAAACACCAGAUCCAAUCUAGACACCAUCGCGGAGGGGUUCAUCAUGUCCAUUGGUGCCUCUCUGAUGAUGCGUGAGUAAUUCUUUAUAGACCUACGGGUCCGUAGUUAGUAGCCAGAUGGCUUCCUCUCUCUCUCUCUCUCUCUCUCUCUCUCUCUCUCCCUCUCUCGAUUCUCAAUACAAUGGUCUCUUGGAGACCCAUAUGAUGUAAAUCUUUUUGCGGUGUGUUUGUUGGGAUCCGAUGAACUUUGUGUUUAUGACCAGAUCUAUGUUUUUAUCCAUGAAUGUUAUUUGAGUCUUCUUUGAUCUCUUUUUUUACUAUAAAUAAACAGUAGGGUAAACACCCCACUGUAUUUUUUAUAAAUAACAAAGAGCCAAAGUGCAAGGUAGCAAAGUUACAUAGAAUAUCAGGGGCUUGAGAGAAGCCCCCUAAAGAAGCUAAGAAACUAGAAAAACAAAGAAGAGGCUAAGAGACUACAAGGAAAAAAAACUACAAAAGGCUAAGACUAUAAAAUAUAAGAAAGAAUGAAAACAAGACCGAGGCAGUUAUUUGAGUCUUCUUUGAUCUCUUAUAUGCAUGAUUGCUUAUAGCCUCGUAUUUCUUCUCCGAUAUUUUGGUUUUGUUUGGCCAACUUGAUCUAUUUAUCUUGCAAUGGGAAGAGGUGCUUUGUGAUGGGUCCGAUCUUACGGUGCUUGAUCCUAGUGACAGAAGGGGAAACGACACAUAGAUCUUGUGGGGUAACAAGAUGGGGUCUAUUUCUACAUAAGUAGAUCUUGUCUACGUCAUGUCUAGAUCUUGUCUACGUCAUGUCAUCGUUCUUAUUGCAUUACAACGUUUUUCCAUGAACUUAAUACACUAGAUGCAUGCUGGAUAGCGGUCGAUGUGUGGAGUAAUAGUAGUAGAUGCAGGCAGGAGUCGGUCUACUAAUCUUGGACGCAAUGCCUAUAUAAUGAUCAUUGCCUGGAUAUCGUCAUGAUUAUUUGAAGUUCUAUCAAUUGCCCAACAGUAAUUAUUUUCCCACCGUUUGCUAUUUUUCUCAAGAGAAGCCACUAGUGAAACCUACGGCCCUCGGGUCUCUUCUUAUCAUAUUUGCCUUUGCAAUCUAUUUUCUUUUGUUUUUAUUUUCAGAUUUGUUAAACCAAAAAUACAAAAAUACCAUGCUGCACUUUAUUUUAUUUGCUAUCUAUUUAUCCUAUCUAUCACAACUUUAUCACGUCUUCUCGCCAAUUUGUGGCACCAUUACCCCAAAGGGAUUGACAACCCCUUUAACAUGUUGGGGUGCGAGUAUUUGUUAUUGGUGUGUAGGGGCUGUUUACAUUGUGUUGCUUGGUUCUCCUAUUGGUUCGAUAAACUUGGUCUCAUCAUUGAAGGAAAUACCUACCGUCACUGUGCUGCAUCAUCCCUUCCUCUUUGGGUAAAUAUUGACGUAGUUCAAGCAGGCAUCAGGGACUAACCUACUAACCUAGUGUCUAGUGCCAGUUGCUGUUUUCACUUGUUUUUAGCUUUUCAAGAAAUCAAUAUCAAACAUAGUCCAAAGGGAUAAAAAACUUUGCAUUCAUUUUUUCAGGACUAGAAGAGAUCCUAGAAGGUUUGGGAGAAGACCUGAAGAGUCACGAGGGAGCGACAAGCUCGGGAGGCGUGCUCUGGGGGCGCCCCUAGGCUUGUGGGCCCCUCGUGGUACCUCUUGACCUAAUCGCGCCCCAUAAAUUCUCAAAUAUUCCCCUGACAUCAGAGAGCCACCCAAAGUACUUUCUCCGCCGCUGCGAGUUUCUGUUCUCGUGAGACCCCAUCUGGAGGUCUUCUCCGGUACUCUGCUUGAGGAAGAAUUGAUCACGGAGGGGCUCUACCUCAACCUUGUUACCCUUCCAAUGAUGCGUGAGUAGUUUACCUCAGAUCUACGGGUCCAUAGCUAGUAGCUAGAUGGCCUCUUCUCUCUCUUUGAUCUUCAAUACAAUGUUCUCCUUGAUGUUCUUGGAGAUCUAUUCGAUGUAGUGACUUUUUGCGUUGUGUUUGUUGGGAUCUGAUGAAUUGUGAGCUUAUAAUGCUUGAGUUGUCACCCUAUGGAUUCAUUCAAUGCUAUGGGAAAUUUAGUGGGAUCACCAGCUAUCACUAUUAAUGAAACUGUUUUAACUUUGGAGCAUGUUAUGCAAAGGCUAGAUGCUAUUGAAAAUAAAAUGCCUACCGUAGAGCAUAUUAAAAAUUUGGAUAAAAAGAUUCAUAAUCAUGUUACUCAAUUUGGAUCAAAGGUAGGGAUUACUCUUAAGAUGCUAAAAGAGAAAUAACCAAUAAUUAAUGAAAGAGUGGAGCAUAGAUCUGAUGUAAGUCUUGCGAGUACAAAUUGGAAGAAAUUAUUAAUAAUUUGGGUUCCGCUUUUGCUUCCGCUAAAACUAUUGAAAAGACUCCACUUAGCAAGAAUUGCAAGUUUAUAUAUGUUCCUAAAAAUAAGGGUGCUACAUCUAGCAACAACAACGAAGAUCUUAAAAUGAUUGGUGUUCACCCCAAUUUUGCCUAUUUGAUAAAGGAACCUAUAUAUGAAAAUAAAUUCCUUAAUCUUGUUUCUAGGAGUGUGAUCGUUAAAAAUAUACAUGAUAGAACUCCUAGGAAUUAUGGAUGCGCGGUCGAGGAGUUAAAAACCAAAGAUGACAACACUUGAAACUAUGCAUUAUGCCUAGCUUGGGGCGUAAAACGAUAAUGCUAGUUGGGAGGAAACCCAAUAGUUAUCUUAAUUUUCUUGUUUAUUUUUCUUUUUUAUGUGCACACAACUAUUCUACUGUUAUGGUUGUGUUUUUAUUAGUGUUUGUGCCAAGUAAAGCCUUUGGGAUGAUUUGGAUGAUAGUUGAUUUGAUUCUGUGAAAAAAGAGAACCUUUUGCGCCCAGUAAUAGAAUUUCUAAAAUUCACUGGAACGUGAUUUUGAUAUGAAUUUUUUACACAUGAUUGAUAUACAAAUUUUCCAUGUUGUCCCAGUUUUGCAAUUUUUUUAGAGUUAUAGAAGUAUGAGCAUAAUUCAAGUUUCUAUAGACUGUUCUGUUUUUGACAAAUUCUGUUUUUGAUGUAUUGUUUUGCUUGUUUUGAUGGAACUAUGGAUUGUAUUGGUGGGUAUAAGCCAUGGACAAGUUAGAAUGCAUUAGGUAUAAUGCAAAAAUAAAAUAUGAAUUGUUUUGCAACAGUACUUAAAGUAGUGAUUCGUUUUAUUAUACUAACGAAUCUCAUGAAGGUUUUGUUGAGUUUUGCAUGAUGAAGUUGCCAGGACCCUGAUCCUAAGUCACACCGAUCUAGCCUGUAACACAUCAUAUCACUUUGCGGCCUCACACACGGUAUUCCCACGGAUGCCACCUUACCUGGCCCGAUACCGUUUGCGCCUUUUGGUUCACGUAUAUGAUAGUGUCGCUAGCAUCCAUAUGACAAAGAACCCGUGCUGACAUGACUAGUCGUAAACCCAAGGUGGCGCUAACUUACAGGGACAGGCAUACAUGACCCAACAACGAACGUCUCGAUCAUCAGCCUAUGAACCCAAGUCAUAGCAAGCUACAAGGACUUGAAGGAACAACGUGUGACAUUUCCCCGAAGGGACAGACACAUGAACGAAGAAGGACACAUGCCGGCCAGCCUAAGUGUUCCGGAGCAGUAGCAAGCUACCAUGGCUCAGUGGAAGCACUAGGAGACAUUUCCCCAUAAGAGAGGCUACCAAGAAUAAACAACGGAUCCCACACAUACCAAGCAUUUCAAAAGCAUACACACAAUAUGCUCGAUAUGUGCAAAUACAACAUGGCAUUACAACAAAACUCUAUGCCUCAAUAUUUAUUAAAUAGGCUCCAAGGAGCCAAAUAUUACAAGCAUGGGUCUCAUGACCCAACAUACAGAGCAUACAAGCAACAGAAGCAUAACAUGCCUGAGUACAGACAUCUACGAAUGAAAAGGGCUGAGAAGCCUGACUAUCUAUAAGACCCUUCCAAGGGUACAAGAUCGUAGCUGAGGUAACAAGCUAAACGUUGAAGUCCACAUGGAACUACUAGUGAGACUGAAGUCUCUCUGCAAAAGCAUAAAUUAAGCAAACCUGAGUACAAAUGUACCCAGCAAGACUUACAUCUGAACUAGCUACAUAUGCAUCAAUAUCAACAAAGGGGUGGUGGAGUUUAACUGCAGCAAGCCAACUUUGACUCAAUGGCUAUCUUGUACUAUGACUGCUGGUAACUCUUUUGAGGUGGCGCACACGAGUCCACAUAUUCACCAUAUCAAUACACCACUAUGGAUCCGCUCCAGUUUCCCUAUGAGAAGACCAUCCAUAGCACUCAUGCUUAUCUUGCGCAUUUUAGAGUAUCCACUUUCACUUGUCUAUGAACUGCAUAAGCAACCCAGUAGUCCUUUACCCCGGACGCGGCUAUUCGAAUAGAUCAUGUUAACCCUGCAGGGGUGUAUUUCUUCACACAUGCUCUCGCUACUUACCACCAUGUACACGUCAUGUAUCUCGGCAACCUUCAAGUAGAAGCCUGGUGAGGGUGUCGGCCAUGACCUGACUAAUCACGCAAGACCCUAGCCCGGGUUUAUCGCCUAUUCGGUUUCCAUCCGCAAGGAGAUCAGGCCGGGGUGUCACUCAUGGCCCUAAACGAUGUGUACAAGGUUCCUAAGCCCACCAAACGGGCGGCACUUGGUACACCCGGCCACGGUGCCUAGUCUGUCCCAAGCCCACCCGUACCGGGUGCCACUUGGUAGACUACUAACACAACCUACAAACACCAAAAACUAGUUGCAACUCCUGGACAAAAAUCGAGUUGAUUAAUAAGCUGAGAGGGGUCGAGUUAUCGGAACCCAAUGUGUGGUAGUAACUGUCUUGGGUCACAGACACAGGAUUCAGUUCCUGAGGACGGUUUCAAUGAGAUAACCACCAUGUACUCCUACAUGGCCUCUCACCGCUACCUUUACCAAAUCAUGUUCACACACUUAGCUCUCAAUAGAAGGACAUGUUCAACACCAUUUCGAUCCAUCCCGGAUGAAUCAGACCCGACACAACUCUAAACAAUAGCGGGCAUAACAAACAAGCAUGAAUGAGUAGGCACAUUGAUGUCUACUAUGCAACCUUCUUCUUGUAGACAUUGUUGGGCCUCCAAGUGCAGAGGUUUGUAGGACAGUAGCAAAUUUCCCUCAAGUGGAUGACCUAAGGUUUAUCAAUCCGUGGGAGGCAGGGCAUGAAGAAGGUCUCUCUCAAACAACCCUGCAACCAAAUAACAAAGAGUCUCUUGUGUCCCCAACACACCCAAUACAAUGGUAAAUUGUAUGGGUGCACUAGUUCGGCCAAGAGAUUGUGAUACAAGUGCAAUAUGGAUGGUAGAUAUAUGUUUUUGUAAUCUAAAAUAUAAAAACAGCAAGGUAGCAAGUAACAAAAGUGAGCGUAAACGGUAUUGCAAUGCUUCAAAACAAGGCCUAGGGUUCAUACUUUCACUAGUGCAAGUUCUCUCAACAAUAAUAACAUAAUUAGAUCAUAUAACAAUCCCUCAACAUGCAACAAAGAGUCACUCCAAAGUCACUAAUAGCAGAGAACAAACGAAGAGAUUAUUGUAGGGUACGAAACCACCUCAAAGUUAUUCUUUCUGAUCAAUCCAUUGGGCUAGCCCUAGAGUUCGUAGUAAAAUAACACCUUAAGACACAAAUCAACCAAAACCCUAAUGUCACCUAGAUACUCCAAUGUCACCACAAGUAUCCGUAGGUAUGAUUAUACGAUAUGCAUCACACAAUCUCAGAUCAUCUAUUCAAACCAACACAAAGAACUUCAAAGAGUGCCCCAAAGUUUCUACGGGAGAGUCAAGACAAAAACGUGUGCCAACCCCUAUGCAUAAGUUCACAAGGUCACUGAACCCGCAAGUUGAUCACCAAAACAUACAUCAAGUAGAUCACGUGAUAUCCCAUUGUCACCACAGAUAAGCACAUGCAAGACAUACAUCAAGUGUUCUCAAAUCCUUAAAGACUCAAUCCGAUAAGAUAACUUCAAAGGGAAAACUCAAUCCAUUACAAGAGAGUAGAGGGGGAGAAACAUCAUAAGAUCCAACUAUAAUAGUAAAGCUCGCGGUACAUCAAGAUCGUGCCGAAUCAAGAACAUGAGAGAGAGAUCAAACACAUAGCUACUGGUACAUACCCUCAGCCGCGAGGGUGAACUACUCCCUCCUCGUCAUGGAGAGCGCCGACAUGAUGAAGAUGGCCACCGGUGAUGGAUUCCCCCUCCAGCAGGGUGCCGGAACGGGCUCCCGAGAGGUUUUUGGUGGCUACAAAGGCUUGUGGCGGCGGAAUUCCCAAUCUAGGUUAUGUUUCGGGGGUUUGUAUAUUUAUAGGAGGGUUUGGCGUCAAGAACAAGUCAGGAGGACCCACGGGGUGUGCACGAGGCACAAGGGCGCGCCCUAGGUGGGGCACCCUCCACCCUCGUGGGCCCCGCGGGACUCCUCUCUGAUUAUGUUUUGUUCCAGUAUUUUUUAUAUUUUCCAGAAAAAAUCUUCGUUGAUUUUCAGCGCAUUCCGAGAACUUUUAUUUCUGCACAAAAACAACACCAUGGUAGUUCUGCUGAAAACAGCGUCAGUCUGCGUUAGUUCUAACAAAAUCCUACCAAAAACAUGCAGAAAUAUUAUAAACAUGGCAUGAAUACAUCAAAAUUUAUAGAUACAUUGGAGACGUAUCAGCAUCCCCAAGCUUAAUUCCUGCUCGUCCUUGAGUAGGUAAAUGAUAAAAACAUAAUUUUUGAUGUGGAAUGCUACCUAACAUAUUGAUCAAUGUAAUCUCUCUUUAUUUGUGGCAAGAAUAUUCAGAUCCAUAAGAUUCAAAACAAAAGUUUAAUAUUGACAUAAAAACAAUAAUACUUCAAGCAUACUAACAAAGCAACCGUGUCUUCUCAAAAUAACAUGGCCAAAGAAAGCUAUCCCUACAAAAUCAUAUAGUCUGUCUAUGCUCUAUCUUCAUCACACAAAAUAUUUAAAUCAUGCACAUCCCCGGUUUCAGCCAAGCAAUUGUUUCAUACUUUAGUAUUCUCAAACUUUUUCAAUCUUCACCCAAUACAUGAGCGUGAGCCAUGGACAUAGCACUAUAGGUGGAAUAGGAUGGUGGUUGUGGAGAAGACAAAAAGGAGGAAGAUAGUCUCACAUCAACUAGGUGUAUCAAAGGGCUAUGGAGAUGCCCAUCAAUUGAUAUCAAUGUGAGUGAGUAGGGAUUACCAUGCAACAGAUGCACUAGAGCUAUAAGUGUAUUAAAGCUCAAAAAGAAACUAAGUGAGUGUGCAUCCAACUUGCUUUCUCACGAAGACCUAGGGUAUUUUGAGGAAGCCCAUCAUUGGAAUAUACAAGCCAAGUUCUAUAAUGAAAAUUCCCGCUAGUAUAUGAAAGUGACAACAUAGGAGACUCUCUAUCAUGAAGAUCAUGGUGCUACUUUGAAGCACAAGUGUGGUAAAAGGAUAGUAGCAUUGCCCACUCUCUUUUUUUCUCUCAUUUUUUUAUUUUUUAUUUGGGCCUUUAUCUUUUUUUAUGGCCUCUUUUUUUUAGUUUAUUUAGUCCGGAGUCUAAUCCCGACUUGUGGGGGAAUCAUAGGCUCCAUCAUCCUUUCCUCAUUGGGACAAUGCUCUAAUAAUGAAGAUCAUCACACCUUUAUUUACUUACAACUCAAGAGUUACAACUCGAUACUUAGAACAAAAUAUGACUCUACGUGAAUGCCUCCGGCGGUGUACCGGGAUGUGCAAUGAUUCAAAAGUGACAUGUAUGAAAAAUUAUGAACGGUGGUGAGGGAGUUCCGGACUAGGGGGUGUCCGGAUAGCCGAACUAUCAUGAUCGGCCGGACUCCAAGACUAUGAAGAUACAAGAUUGAAGACUUCGUCCCGUGUCCGGAUGGGACUUUCCUUGGCGUGGAAGGCAAGCUUGGCGAUACGGAUAUGUAGAUCUCCUACCAUUGUAACCGACUCUGUGUAACCCUAGCCCUCUCCGGUGUCUAUAUAAACCGGAUGGCUUUAGUCCAUAGGACGAAGAACAAUCAUACCAUAGGCUAGCUUCUAGGGUUUAGCCUCCUUGAUCUCGUGGUAGAUCCACUCUUGUAACACACAUCAUCAAUAUUAAUCAAGCAGGACGUAGGGUUUUACCUCCAUCAAGAGGGCCCGAACCUGGGUAAAACAUCGUGUCCCUUGUCUCCUGUUACCAUCCGCCUAGACGCACAGUUCGGGACCCCCUACCCGAGAUCCGCCGGUUUUGACACCGACAUUGGUGCUUUCAUUGAGAGUUCCUCUGUGUCGUCACCGAUAGGCUCGAUGGCUUCUUCGAUCAUCAUCAACGACGCAGUCCAGGGUGAGACCUUCCUCCCCGGAUAGAUCUUCGUAUUCGGCGGCUUUGCACUAUGGGCCAAUUCGCUUGGCCAUCUGGAGCAGAUCGAAAGCUACGCCCCUGGCCGUCAGGUCAGAUUUGGAAGUUUAAACUUCACGGCGGACAUCCGCGGGGACUUGAUCUUCGAUGGAUUCGAGCCACAGCCGAGCGUGCCGCGCUGUCACGGCGAGCAUGAUUUAGCUCUGCAGCCGGACAGUACCCUAGAGGCUGCACUCGAACCCGCUCCGAUCUUCAAUUUGGAGCCGGCUGCGCAGAUCGAGGACGGAUGGCUAGACACCACCUCGGGGGCUGCCACCUCUAUGGCGAUAGAGCCGAACAAUGACCUUGUCCCUCAUGAAGCUCGUGACUCCGAGGUGCCGGACUCCUUGCCGGACUCUGAACCUCCUGCGCCCCCUCCGAUCGAAUCCGAUUGGGCGCCGAUCAUGGAGUUCACCGCAGCGGACAUCUUUCAACACUCACCUUUUGGCGACAUCUUGAGUUCGCUAAAGUAUCUCUCGUUAUCAGGAGAGCCCUGGCCGGACUGCGGUCAGGACGGUUGGGAUGCGGACGAUGAAGAAAUUCAAAGCCCACCCACCACCCACUUGGUAGCCGCUGUCGACGAUCUAACCGACAUGCUAGACUACGACUCCGAAGACAUCGACGGUAUGGACAAAGAUGCCGGAGACGACCAAGAACCAAAGCCUACUGGGCACUGGAAAGCCACCUCAUCAUAUGACAUAUACAUGGUGGAUAUCCCAAAGGAUGGGAACGGCAAAGAAACAGCGGAGGAUGACCCCUCCAAGAAGCAGCCAAAGCACCGGCGUCAGCGGCGCCGCUCUAAAUCCCGCCACAGCAAGAAUGAAGACUCCGGCACCGGAGAUAAUAAUACACCGAACAAUGCCGAAGAUAACCCACUCCAGCAAGAUGCAGCACAGGAGGACGGAGACGCCAGCCCUCAUGAGAGAGCGGCAGAAGAAGAGGUAGAGGAUUAUAUGCCUCCCUCCGGAGACGAGGCAAGCCUCGACGACGAUGAAUUCGUCGUGCCUGAGGAUCCCAUCGAACAAGAGUGUUUUAAAUGCAGGCUUAUGGCCACGGCGAACAGCCUCAAGAAAAAGCAGCAACAGCUUAGAGCUGAUCAAGAUCUGCUAGCCGACAGAUAGACUGAAGUCCUCGCAGCCGAAGAGCAUGAGCUCGAACGCCCCUCCAAAAGCUACCCUAAACGCAAGUUGCUCCCCCGAUUAGAGGAGGAAGCAUAUGAACCUGCAUCACCAGGAGACAAUACGGCCGACCGACCACCCCGUGGUCGCGACAGAGAGGCCUCUAGGCCCUUCACUAGACCCGUACCCCGGCAUCGCUCGAAAAGCACAAGGCCACAGGGGAACGCUCCAGACUUGCGAGAUAUAUUGGAGGAUAAGGCAAGACAAUCAAGAUUGAUCUAUGGAUCGCGUGGGCGCCCCACGGUACGUGACGACAGCCGUCGCGCCGGACACAGUAAGUCCGGCCGGGUCGAACAAAACAGGCAAAGUUCUUCUGAGCUCCGUCGUGAUAUCGCCCAGUAUAGAGGCGCCGCACACCCACUAUGCUUCACAGAUGAAGUAAUGGAUCAUCAAAUCCCCGAAGGGUUUAAACCCGUGAAUAUCGAAUCUUACGAUGGCACAACAGACCCCGCGGUUUGGAUCGAAGACUAUCUUCUUCACAUCCACAUGGCCCGCAGUGACGAUCUUCACGCCAUCAAAUAUCUCCCCCUCAAGCUUAAAGGACCAGCCCGGCAUUGGCUUAAUAGCUUGCCAGCAGAGUCAAUUGGGAGUUGGGAAGACUUGGAAGCCGCAUUCCUCGAUAACUUCCAAGGCACGUAUGUGCGACCACCAGACGCUGAUGACCUAAGCCACAUAAUUCAGCAGCUAGACGAAUCGGCCAGACAAUUCUGGACACGGUUCUUAACCAAGAAAAACCAAAUCGUCGACUGUCCGGAUGCAGAGGCCCUUGCGGCCUUCAAGCAUAACAUCCGCGACGAGUGGCUUGCCCGGCACCUGGGACAGGAAAAGCCAAAAUCCAUGGCACCCUCACAUCAUUGAUGACCCGCUUCUGCGCGGGUGAGGAUAGCUGGCUAGCACGCAGCAACAACCUCAGCAAACAUUCUGGCAGUCCGGGUUUCAAGGGCCGAAAUGGCAGGUCGCGUUGUAACAAAAACAAGCGCCGCAUCAACGAUGACAAUAGUGAGGAUACGGCAGUCAAUGCCGGAUUCAGAGGCUCUAAACCCGGUCAGCGGAAAAAGCCAUUCAAAAGAACUGCUCCGGGUCCGUCCAAUUUGGACCGAAUACUCGACCACUUGUGCCAGAUACAUGGCACCCCCGAAAAGCCAGCUAACCACACCAAUAGGGACUGUUGGGUAUUCAAGCAGGCGGGCAAGUUAAUUGCCAAAAACAACGACAAGGGGCUGCAUAGCGACAACGAGGAAGAGACCCGACCGCCGAACAAUAGAGGACAGAAGGGUUCCCCCCCCACAGGUGCGGACGGUGAACAUGAUAUACGCAACGCACAUACCCAAAAGGGAGCGGAAGUGUGCACUCAGGGAUGUAUACGCGAUGGAGCCAGUCGCCCCGAAGUUCAAUCCAUGGUCCUCCUGCCCGAUCACUUUUGACCGAAGGGACCACCCCACCAGCAUCCGCCACGGCGGAUUCGCCGCAUUGGUCAUCGACAAUCAUCGAUGGAUUUCACCUCACCAGAGUCCUGAUGGAUGGCGGCAGCAGACUGAACCUGCUCUAUCAGGAUACAAUGCGCAAAAUGGGCAUACACCCCUCAAGGAUUAAACCUACCAAGACGACCUUUAAAGGCGUCAUACCAGGUGUAGAAGCCAAUUGUACAGGCUCAGUUACACUGGAAGUGGUCUUCGGAUCCCCGGAUAACUUCCGAAGCGAGGAGUUAAUCUUCGACAUAGUCCCGUUCCGCAGCGGCUAUCAUGCCUUGCUCGGACGUACCGCGUUUACAAAGUUAAACGCGGUGCCGCACUACGCAUACCUCAAGCUCAAGAUGUCAGGCCCGCGAGGAGUCAUCACGGUCAACGGAAACACGGAACGUUCUCUCCGAACCGAGGAACAUACAGCGGCUCUUGCGGCAGAAGUACAAAGCAGCCUCUUAAGGCAAUUCUCGAGUCCGGCCGUUAAACGGCCGGACAUAGCUAAGCGCGCCCGGAGUAACCUACAACAAGACCACCUGGCACGUUCCGAGUACGCGUAGCAGUGCGGCCCCAACCCCAGCCCCUGCAAAACGUCAAAGCAGGUCCUUCGCGUACACCAUUACGCUCUGAAGAUACCAUGGGCAUGGGGAGAGGGGCAUGACCACGAUAAGCCCAGACUGCGGCUCAACCACACCAGGGGCUCUCAAGUGUGUCGUUCUUUUUUCUUUUUACCUUUUAUUUUUUACCCACAGGACUCCGUUCGUCACAGGCCCUGUCCGGUAGCAGACCCGCCGAACUCACGAUGCAACAGCCAGGGAAGGAUAAAGGCUACAACGAAUAUACAGGUGGUCUCCAUUACGAGCAUUUUUAUACACCAAUCCGCAGCCUACCCCUGGAGGGGGGCAUGUUUAACAGUCCCAUCCCUUGCUUAUCGCACUAUUUGUAUCGUUCUGCAUUCAUAGCAGCACUUAUUGAAUAAAACAAUGCAGCACCUUUUUGCUUAUCAUUGCAUUUCGUUUUCAUACAUAUGUUCAUUUACGACAUGUUGCAUCCGUACACUUUGGUACGGUUAAAACACACUAGGGGCUUAUGUUUCCCGCAUCAUGGUGUGAUAAGUCCGAACACUUUCACAAGUGCGGCACCCCGAACUUAUAACAUUCUAUGCAUUGGCUCCGAAUCAUGUCUUGGGUCAAUAGUUGGGUUUGCCCGGCUCCCAUGUUUUGGUACCUUACGUUCCGUUAUAUCGGCUAAGGUAGCACUGGGAGAACCACUGCGAUUGCGCCCCAGUUGAGCUGGGUUAAGGCCUCAGUGGAGAAAGCUAAAACUGACCGUCAUGAUGAGGCGAGAGCCGGUCGCUGUUCGAGAGGUUUUUGCGAGUCCUUAAAGACUUAUGCCGCUUAGAGCGAGGAACCGGAUCGAGUCCGGCCCAGGCGUGGAUAGCGCCCCGGCUUCACCGAAAUUUAAAAUUAUAGAAUUCUAUGGCUAAGUGAGAGUGUUCAAGCAUUAUAAGUCCGGUUGCCUUGUUCGCUGUGUUGAGCGCCUCCCUAGAUGGACCCAAAAAUGGGAACAAGAGUGCUCAAGUUUAUCCCAAACACCCCAGCACUCGUGGCAUGGGGGCUGAAGCCGACGACUUGCCAUCUCUCAGAUUUGAUAAACAACCGCACAGAAGGUAAUAUUUUAAAUUAACAAGCGUUGCGUAGCGCAUAUGAACUAAGUUUUCAGCGCACAGGAUAACAAAAUGCGGGUCUACUAAAAAAUUACAUCUUUGGAGCACUCCCCCGCAAUAGUGCGGGCGCCCUUCAACACACUCUUAUAAUACAUCUCGGGCGUGCGAUGCUCCUUGCCCUCUGGUGGCGGGUCCGUCACAAGCUUCUAGGCAUCCAUCUUGCCCCAGUGCACCUUUGCGCGGGCAAGGGCCCGACGGGCACCCUCAAUACAGGCGGAGUGCUUGAUGACUUCAACCCACGGACACGCAUCCAUAAGCCGCCGCACCAGGCCGAAGUAGCUCCCAGGCAUGGCCUCCUUAGGCCACAGCCGAACUAUGAUGCCCUUCAUGGCCUAUUCGGCUGCCUUGUGGAGCUCGACCAGCUGCUUCAGCUGGUCGCUAAGGGGCACCGGAUGCUCGGCCUCAGCAUACUGAGACCAGAAGACCUUCUUCGUCGAGCUCCCCUCCUCGGCCCGGUAGAAUGCGGCAGCAUCGGACACGCUGCGAGGAAGAUCUGCGAACGCUCCUGGAGAGCUCCGAAUUCGGGUAAGCAAUAGGUAAUUAACACUCACAUGCUUACUUUGCAUGAAAAAUGCCUUACCCGCUGCUAUUUUCUUCACCGCCUCAAUCUCCUGGAGGGCCUUAUAGGCUUCGGCCUUAGCGGCUUUGGCACUCUCAAGAGCCGUUGCAAGCUCAGACUCUCGAGUCUUCGAGUCACGCUCUAGGCUCUCAUGUAUUUUCACGAGAUCCUGGAGCUCUUGCUGUUCCUCCGCCACCCACGCCUCCUGCUUCUCUCGCUCGGUGCGCUCCGCAGCCGCAUUGCGUUCGGCCGUGGCCACCGCCUCUUUUAGGGUUGCCACCUUGUUAGUGGCCCCUGCAAUACCCAUGUUAUCCUUGUCAUUCUUUUGCAACCAAAAUCCUUUUCUGUAAGGUACAAUUUUAAUAAGGUAUUACUCACCUUCCUUGUCCUCGAGCUGCUUCUUGGCACGGCCGAGCUCGUUCUCGGACCGCUCGAGGUUCUCCUUCAAAGUAUUGACCUCCGCAGUGAGUGCGGCAGAGGUCAGCAGCGCAGCCUGCAAUCCCAUAUUGACAUAUUUAUUAUGACUCCUGCGUAUAUCUUUUUAGAUCCUCAGUCCAGCGUUUUCUUUCCGAACACCGAACCGAGCAUCAGGGGCUACUAUCUAUGCCGUACCAUUUUAUACAUAUUGAAAUUCUUACCUCAAAGCCUGUUAGAAGGCUGCUGCAGGCUUUGGUCAGCCCGCUCUUGCCAAGAUGCACCUUCUGAAUCACCGCACUCAUAACGGUGCGGUGUUCCUCUUUGAUGGAGGCGCCAUUGAGCGCCUCCAGCAAGCUAUCCGGUGCCUCCGGUUGGACGGAGGCUGCCGGCGUCACGGUCUUGCCCUUCUUGCGGAGGGGUUGCCCGCCGGACUCCGGAGCCACUGUGGGUUCCGGGGCCGAGUCCGGUGCAAAGUCCGGGAGGUUGUCCUGCGACACCUCCGGGGCCUCUCCUCCUGGUGGGUCCCUUCCUGAGAUCCCACCUCGGCAUCGUCCGCGUCACGGGGGGUGGAGGCAGUCGGAAGAGAAUCCUUGUCCGACGCACCUAAGGACCCGCUCGAUGAAGCGGGAAGAUCAUCCUUAGGCGGACUGCAGGGUUGUAUGCGGCAUUAGAAAGACAUUAUGUGGCGAGAAAUAUAAAGCUUGAAGUUAUUCGGGAGUCCGGAUACUUACGAUCUCGCCAGGGGCUUGGCCCUUGGAGGCCAGUCCUCGUCGUCGUCACUGGCGUAGGCGGAGCAGUCUGGGGGAAGAGUUUUUCCCUUCUUGGACCCUUCGGCCUCCCUUGUUGGAGAGGCCUUCCUUUUCUUCCCUCCCCCCGCUGGGGGAGAGGCUUUCUUCUCCUCCUCGCCUUGGUGGGAGGAGUCGGCCUCGGAUUCAUCAUCCGAUAGCACCUGAAAACGGGAACUCUUCCGAGUCCCCGUGGCCUUCUUCUUGGCCUUCUUCUCCGGCACCACGUGGGGUGCCGGAGCCAGCAGCCCCGUUAGGCGGGCGUCUGCUGGGUCCUCUGGCAAUGGGGCCGGACAGAUAGUCCGUUCGGCCUUCGCCAGCCAGUCCUGUCAAAGGUAAAGGGAGUUUAGAUCCCGCAUAGAGUCAAACUAUGGAAAACAAGUGGCAAAAUCGCUUACCUCGUCAGCUGGACGCUGCGAGCGGAAUCCGCGAUCUUCGGUAGCGGAUGCGGGAGCCUCGGCGCCCUUGAACAACACCUUCCAGACAUCUUCGUACAUAGUGUCGAAGAGCCCGCUUAGAGUAUGGUGCUGCGCGGGAUCGAACUUCCACAUGUUGAAGCCCCGUCGUUGGCACGGGAGAAUCCGGCGGAUGAGCAUGACCUGGACUACGUUGACAAGCUUGAGCUUCUUGUCCACCAGCUUCUGGAUACAGGCUUGGAGUCCGGUCAGCUCCUCCGAAUCCCCCUAGAUCCGGCCACUCUCUUUCCAGGAGGUGAGCCAUGUAGGGAUGCCGGAUCUAAAUUCGGGGGCCGCUGCCCAAUUAGGGUCACGCGGCUCGGUGAUGUAGAACCACCCCGAUUGCCACCCCUUAAUGGUUUCCACGAAAGUGCCCUCCAGCCACGUAACGUGGGACAUCCUGCCCACCAUGGCGCCUCCGCACUCCGCUUGGCUGCCCUUCACAACCUUCGGCUUGACACUGAAGGUCUUGAGCCACAAGCCAAAGUGGGGCUGGAUGCAGAGGAAGGCCUCGCACACAACGAUAAACGCCGAGAUGUUGAGGAUAAAAUUCGGGGCCAGAUCAUGGAAAUCUAGUCCGUAGUAGAACAUGAGCCCCCGGACAAAGGGAUGAAGUGGGAAGCCCAGUCCGCGGAGGAAAUGGGAAGGAAUACUACCCUCUCAUGGGGCCUGGGGGUGAGGAUGAGCUCUCCCUCGUCAGGGAGCCGGUGCGCGAUGUCGCUGGACAAGUAUCCGGCACUGCGCAGCUUCUGGAUAUGCCCCUCCGUGACGCAGGAGGCCAUCCACUUGCCCCCUGCUCCGGACAUAUUUGGAGAAGGUUGAGGUGAUGUGCGGACUUGGGCGCUGGAGCUCGAGUUCGCGGAGAUGGAUAAGCCAAGGAGGAAGAAGGCGCAGGUAAAAGGAUUGGAUCUUUAUCCCCUUAUAUGGGCGGACGGAAACAUGCAUCCCCACCGGCCUGAUAAAACUCGCUUAUCUCCCAAGCGCCGCAAUCAAUGGCGCGGUUGGGUUACCCACAUCCGUAUUGAUGGGAAUCCCAGAAUAAGGGGAACACGAUCUCUGCUUCGACAAGACGUGCCAAGGAAACCGCCUCGCUAAAACGCGCUGAGAUGGAACAAUAAAAACAAUUUGAAGGCUUGGUAGUGGUGUGACGUUACGCCUCAAAAUACGUCAGCAGAUUGAACUUGUGUAAUAUUAUUCUCUCUACAGGGGUACGUGGAAUUUAUUUUUGCAGAGCCGGACACUAUCCUAGUGUUCACAAUCUUCUAUAAAUUAUUCGGAGGAAGAACCUGCCUUGCAAUGCCGAAGACAACAUGCGCGCCGGACUCGUCGUCAUUGAAGCCUGGUUUAGGGGCUACUGAGGGAGUUCCGGACUAGGGGGUGUCCGGAUAGCCGAACUAUCAUGAUCGGCUGGACUCCAAGACUAUGAAGAUACAAGAUUCAAGAUUUCGUCCCGUGUCCGGAUGGGACUUUCCUUGGCGUGGAAGGCAAGCUUGGCGAUACGGAUAUGUAGAUCUCCUACCACUGUAACCGACUCUGUGUAACCCUAGCCCUCUCCGGUGUCUAUAUAAACCGGAUGGCUUUAGUCUAUAGGACGAAGAACAAUCAUACCAUAGGCUAGCUUCUAGGAUUUAGCCUCCUUGAUCUCGUGGUAGAUCCACUCUUGUAACACACAUCAUCAAUAUUAAUCAAGCAGGACGUAGGGUUUUACCUCCAUCAAGAGGGCCCGAACCUGGGUAAAACAUCGUGUCCCUUGUCUCCUGUUACCAUCCGCCUAGACGCACAGUUCGGGACCCCCUACCCAAGAUCCGCCGGUUUUGACACCGACAGGUGGCUUUGCCACAAAUACGAUGUCAACUACAUGAUCAUGCUAGCAAUAUGACAAUGAUGGAGCGUGUCAUAAUAAAUGGAACAGUGGAAAGUUGCAUGGCAAUAUAUCUCGGAAUGGCUAUGGAAAUACCAUAAUAGGUAGGUAUGGUGGCUGUUUUGAGGAAGGUAUAUGGUGGGUGUAUGGUAUCGGCGAAUGUUGCAUUGUACUAGAGAGGCUAGCAAUGAUGGAAGGGUGAGAGUGUGUAUAAUCCAUGGACUCAACAUUAGUCAUAAAGAACUCACAUACUUAUUGCAACAAUCUACAAGUCAUCAAAACAAAGUGCUACACGCAUGCUCCUAGGGGAAGAGUUGGUAGGAGUUAACCAUCACGCGAUCCUGACCUCCACACAUAAGGGAGUAGCAUCAACAUUCUGUACUAUGAAACCUUCCGUCGCAUGGGGCUGACAGAUAAGAAUCUUAAACCGUCAAACACCAUUUUCCAUGGUGUGGUACCUGGUAAAUCGGCAUACCCGGUCGGUAAGAUAGCUCUGGAGGUCGUGUUUGGAGAUGAUCGUGAUUCCAGAUCAGAAACCUUAACCUUUGAAGUGGUGAAAAUCCAGAGUCCGUAUCACGCCCUGUUUGGACGGCCGACAUAUGCUAGGUUCAUGGCAAGGCCCUGUUAUGUUUAUCUACAGCUCAAGAUGUCGGGUCAUAAGGGGACCAUUACGGUACAUGGGAGCCGGAAGAUCGCUUUGGAUUGUGAAGAGGGUGAUGCGGCUUAUGCUGAGUCGGUUUGCGUGACAGAGGAGCUGAAGUACUACAAGGACAAUGUUGAUCCGGCAGAUAUGACUUCUUUGAAAAAGCCAACCACAGAGCAUGACCUGGCCCUGAAGUUUAAAUCGGCUGAUGAGAGUAAGCUGGUUGAUUUUGUCCCUGGCGAUUCAUCCAAGCAGUUUAGUAUCAACACUAAUCUGGAUUCGAAAUAGGAAAGCACGCUCAGCGAGUUCAUCAUUGAGAACCAGGACAUCUUUGCAUGGAAACCUUCUGACAUGCCAGGUGUACCGAGGGAACUCGCUGAGCACACUCUUAAUAUUGAUCUCAAGUUCAAACCGGUCAAGUAGUUUCUUUGCUGCUUCAAUGAAGAAAGGCGCAAAGCUAUUGGUGAGGAGGUAGCCCGGCUUUUGGCGGCCGGGUUUAUCAUAGAGGUUUUUCAUCCGGAGUGGCUGGCUAAUCCGGUGCUGGUACUUAAGAAGAAUGGUACUUGGCGCAUGUGUGUGGAUUACACAGACUUGAACAAGGCUUGUUGGGCUGAUCCUUUUGCUCUCCCCUGUAUUGAUCAGAUCAUUGAUGCUACGUCGGGUUGUGAGCGUCUGAGUUUUCUGGAUGCUUAUUCUGGUUAUCAUCAGAUCAAGAUGGCAGUUAAGGACUAGGAGAAAACAGCUUUUAUAACUCCCUUUGGAGCCUUCUGCUAUGUAUCUAUGCCUUUUGGGUUCAAGAGUGCCCAGGCGACUUAUCAGCGAUGUGUGCAGAAUUGUCUUCAUAGCCAAAUUGGGCGCAAUGUUCAUGCUUAUGUGGACGAUAUUGUGGUAAAGUCCAGGAAGAAGGAGACACUGAUAGAUGACUUGAAGGAGACCUUUGAUAACAUUCGGGUUUAUAAGAUGAUGCUUAACUCGGCCAAGUGCAUCUUCGGUGUUCCGGCAGGCAAACUUUUGGGUUUUCUCGUGUCUAAUAGGGGCAUUGAAGCUAAUUCGAAAAAGAUCAAGGCUAUUACGUAUCUAGCUAAAGCGGCAUGUAUCAACGAUGUUCAGCGUCUAGCGGGUUGUAUUGCAGCCCUGAGCCGGUUUAUCAGCCGGUUGGGGGAGAAGGCAAUCCCUUUAUAUCAGAUGAUGAAAAAGACAGACAACUUUGUCUGGAGUGAUGCUGCUAAUGCGGCGUUUGAGGACAUGAAAAACUAGUUAGCCGAGCCACCUAUCCUCGCUGCUCCGGUCAAUAAAGAGACGCUGUUGUUAUAUGUGGCUGCCAAUGCCCAGGCUGUCAAUGUCGCCAUUGUGGUGGAGCGCAAGGAGGUAGGUAAGGAGUAUCCGGUUCAGCGGCCGGUUUAUUAUAUCAGUGAGGUGCUCAUUGAAUCGAAACAGAGAUGUCCGCAUUGGCAGAAGCUUGUGUAUGGAGUUUUUAUGGCGAGUCGGCAGCUUAAGCAGGACUUUUAGGGCCAUCAUAUCACUGUGGUCAGUUCCGCUCCUUUGGGGGAUAUCAUCCAAAACAGGGAGGCAACUGGCCGAGUUGCUAAGUGGGAUAUUGACAUCGGACCUCACGAGGUGAAAUAUAUGCGUCGAACGGCUAUCAAGUCCUAGGCGCUCGUCGACUUCAUCAAUGACUAGACGGAGUUACAGGCACCAGAGGAUAAACCGGAUAACACGUACUGGACUAUUCACUUCGACGGGUCCAGGCCAUUGGACGGCUCGGGGGCUGGAGUUGUCCUUACUUCCCCUCGAGGUGAUAAAAUUUGUUAUGUUCUCCGCUUAAUGUUUCCGUGUACUAACAAUGCAGCUGAGUACGAGGCCUUGCUCCAUGGUCUUCGGGUGGCUAAGGAAAUGAACUUAAGUCGAGUACGAUGCUUUGGGGACUCUGAUUUGGUGGCUCAGCAAGUCUCUGGUACUUGGGAUUCUAAGGAUCCACUCAUGGCGGCUUAUCGACGAGAGGUGGAUGUUGUUGCUGGUCACUUCAAGGGUUACCAGGUUGAGCACAUUGAUCGGUGCAAAAAUGAAGUGGCAGAUGCUUUAAGCCGGCUGGGGUCUCAGCGUAAACCAGUGCCGCCCAAUACCUUUCUGGAUGUUUUGCAUAAUCCGUCAGUCAAGCUACCUACAGAGGAGGACUUGGCUAUUCCUGAUCUAGAGGCUCAGUUGGUGGCGGCUCUUUAUAUUAUUCCAGAUUGGACGGUUCCAUAUUUGGCGUACAUGAACCGGGGCGAGUUACCGGAGGAUGAAGUUUUGGCCAAACAGAUAAUCCGGCGUUCUAAGUCCAUGACUAUUCAUAAUGGCGAGUUGCAUCACUGCAGCAUCUCAGGGGCGUUUCAGUGCUUCGUUUCUCCUGAAGAAGGCCGUGAGAUUUUGCAUGAGAUCCACGAAGGCGAUUGUGGUCACCACGCCGGUUCGAAAUCCUUGGUAGCUAAAGCUUUUCUUCACGGCUUCUAUUGGCUGAUGGCUCAUGUUGAUGCCGAGGACUUGGUGAAAAGGUGCGACGGUUGUCAGAAGUUUUCACGCCGAGCUCAUGUUCUGGCUCAAGAGCUAAGGAUGAUUCCAAUCACUUGGCCGUUUGCAACUUGGGGGCGUGAUAUGGUAGGGCCUUUUAAGAGGUCCAAAGAUAAAAAGACCCACCUUUUGGUGGCUAUCGAUAAGUUCACUAAGUGGGUUGAGGCGGAGCCAGUUAGCAUGUGUGAUGCAGCCACGGCGGUUCAAUUCAUGAAAAAGGUGAUCUUUCGCUUUGGUUUUCCACACAACAUCAUAACAGAUAAUGGCACGAACCUCUCCAAAGACGCUAUGGAGGACUUUUGUCAACGAGAGCACAUUCGGCUCGAUGUGUCAUCAGUGGCUCACCCCCAGUCCAAUGGUCAAGCUGAGAGAGCUAAUCAUGAAAUCUUGAAGGGCAUCAAGCCCCAGCUUAUGGUUCCUUUGAAGAGGACGCCGGGUUGUUGGGUGGAAGAGUUGCCUUAUGUAUUGUGGAGCAUUAACACCAGCCCCAAUUGAUCUACGGGUUAUAUGCCUUUCUUCAUGGUUUAUGGAGCAGAGGCAGUUCUUCCCAGUCAUAUUCACCAUGACUCGCCUCGGGUGGCAGCUUAUGUUGAAGCGGACAACGAACAAGCUCGCCAGGAAGCAUUGGACCUGUUAGAUGAAAAAUGGGACAUAGCAGCGGCUCGCUCGGUGAUUUAGCAGCAAGACUUGCGGCGUUAUCACAGCCACCGGGUUAAGACCAGAACUUUUCAAGAAGGCGACUUAGUGCUCCAGCUUAUCCAGGAUCAGACCAAUAUGCACAAGUUAUCCCCACCUUGGGAGGGAUGCUUUGUGGUUAGCAGGAAUCUGAACAACGGGUCAUACUACCUUAUCGAUGUUCGAGAGCACAAAGACUCACGCAAAUCGGAGGAGGAGACCCGCCGGCCGUGGAAUAUUGCUCAUCUUCGGCCUUACAACACCUGAGCCAUAGGCUCCUAUUAUGUACAUAUUUUGACAAUGUAUAUAUUAUGAUGAAUAUAAUAAACCGGCAUCCUUGCUAAAGCGGGGCCUCUGCCAUUUUUCUUUAAAAGAUUUCUUGGUUACAUGGGGGCUUCAGCUUACAAAGCGGAGUUCUGGUUGUCCAUUAAUCCGGCUAUCAAGCCACAACAAAGCUUGGGGGCUUCAUACCCAUGGGGCCAAAGAGAGUUUGUUGCAAGGCAUAGCUCAAACAUAGGCACCCACUAAGCACAGCUCAAAAUGUUACCUAGGGGCUCUUUGCUUGCACAGCAACAAAGUGUCUUAAACCUUGUAACAGGCUAUCAAGCCAGGCUUGGAAGCCAGCUGUAUUCACCUAAAACCCCGGGUUAUCCUGCCUCUUUAAGUAAGCCACUCAGUCCAGGUAAUCCUGGUAUGACCCGCCGAACGUUUGACAAGUCAAUCUUAUAUAGACCCUGAACUUUUCAAAGUUAAAAUGACGAUUGGUUAAUGUGAGGUCCAUCUUAAAAGGCUUUGCAAAAUGGUUUAACUCAGCGGCCUGGCAGCCCAUGAAAAGCCUCGAUUUUGGGCCUGGCAGCCCAUGAAAAGCCUCGCACGAUUUUAUUUCACAAGUUUUUUCUUUUUCUGAGGGUUAUGUUUAAAUCAGUGUCUUAUGACCCGGUCUAGUUUUGAGUUGCCAAGUACACAGUUACGAAGAUAACCGAUGUCAAUGACCCGGCUUGGCUUUCAACUAUAAGUUGUCAAUACAAGAUCGGUUAUAAUCCGGUGUUUAUCAUAAGCUAGCACGGUUUCAUUUUAAACUGGCAAAAUAUGAGGAGAGUUGUCAUACUCCAGAUUCGGGUUAUCACCCUUACUUCAAUCAGUUGGUAAACCAACGAUGUGAUUCAAUAUCACAUGUAUGAUUUAUUUCAUAUUAUUCUUAAAAUUACAGCCUUGGUUAUAAACCAUGGCGUCAUGUUGGGUAUUAUGACCCGUCCGACGGUAAACCGCCAGGACACUUUCAAACUUUGUCUGUAGGAACAUGAUUGAAUUAAAACUGCUAAGGGUCAUAAAAGUAGACAUAGCAUAAUCAUGACGGAUUAACAAUAUUAUGCAGAGUGCACGAUGGCACAUCAGAUCAAAGAAGUUUUUCAACUAGCCUAUUACAAGGCGCUUUGAUUCCCAAAAGGAUAAUUGUUUUCACACGGAUGCAGUGUGCAGAAGCUAAACCGGUUGCCGGAUCAUGAUUUAUCACCGGGCUGCCGUGAAGAUUCUGGAUCAUUGUGGGCCGGUUCAUCCUCCUCUUUUUCACCCACUGGCUGGAAGUCAAUGGUUGACCAAUCGAUCCCAGUUAAGGCUCUAAACACAGCUUCAUCAUUUAUAAGGGUGGACGGUUCAACAUCAGGGGCGUAGGUAUGCUUAUGGAUUGGCGGCAUAAGAUUUUGCACAUCAUAAGUCGGCGUGUUAAGCCGUUUGUUGUCAGCAUCAUAAAUCGACUGGUAAAAAGACAUAUUAGUGUCUUCAGCCAGUUUGCUCGCCAAUGGACGCAUCUUCCUCGUUAAGGCCCUGAGGUCGUCAUUAUCAAAAUCUGACCCGUCCUCUUUUUGGCCUGGAUAGCCGUUUCCAAUAUCUUCCGGAUCAAGGUCAGAUAUCCAUGCCUUGGCCCGAGUCAGAGCAGUAAGAGCACCGACCCUAGGAGCUGAUCUUUUCAACUCCUCAAUACGGGUAGGCAUCAUAGAUAAUUUCUCCAAUGUUUCCUUGAUUAACGUUGGGGGCGGUUUAUUAUGAGAAGCUGUGCAGAUGACCCGUUGAGCGCCGGUAUAUAAAUGCUCUAUCAGCGUAUAAGUAGCCUUCAGUUUCUUGCGCAUAUCUGAGCCAAGAUGUGUAAUGCGGCUCCCUGCAGUUGUCAAAAUAUUAGUAAACCGACAACAUCAUAGAGGUUGUCUAUUUAAAGCUUAUGAAGAGGAUAUUUACCAAAGAUAACAGUGGUCAUAACAUUGACUUGUUACUUCAAACUGGUCAGUUCUUCCACUACCGGAUUAAGGGCUGCCUCAGCAUCUUCCGCCCGUUUCACCAGAGUUACUUUUUCAGCAUCCCAUCCUGCCCGUUCCUUUUUGAAGUUUUCCUUCAACUGUUCCAUGGCUGUCAAGGUGCUGGUCAACUCGUCUUUUGCCUUGGAAGUUUCUGCUUGCUGGGACUUGAUAUUUUCUUGAAGAUCAGCACUUUGAGAUUCUUUUUUGCUCAGAUCAGCCUGGAAGAGACAGUUAAUGAGUUGGUAGCGCAUGUUUUAACUCCCAAGCACAUAAAAAGUUAUACACUUGGCACUUGGGGGCUAAUGCCUAUCGCUUUUUCUCAACAAAAAUGGUAAAGUCCCAAGGCUCAAUACAAGUAUUAAUCUUGGCACUUGGGGGUUAAUUCCUAAUUGCUCAAACAACAUAGUUGUGAAACUUUUCUUGCUAUGAUAAACCGGAAUCUAAAGGUAUUCAACAAGAAGGGCAAGCCUUACAACAUGAAGUCUCGGUUCAUCUUGAAUAGAUAAACCGGCCCUUGGGGUCUACACAUGUGAAGUUGAUUUAUUAUUCUAUAAAGUCCUGGAUCAUCUUGAAGAGAUAAACCGGCCCUUGGGGGCUACUGGAGUUGAUAUUAUCAAUAAAUCAGAAGGAAGGAAUAUUUAUGAAAAGUUUGAACAGAAAUUACCUCAUAGCGCUCCUUUAUCAGGCCUACUAAACCGGCUUCAUAGUCACGGCUUGUGUAUAGGCGGUUUAAGUAUCCAGAAUGCAACUCUUGAGUGUCGAGAUGGGCAUAGCUUGAUAAAUCUGUUUUCCACUUACCCUUGUCCAGAGCAGUUUUUUCCUCUUUGGCGCUGUGUUUGGAUAAGGCUAUGGGGUGUCCAGGAGAGGUGUAACCAGUGCCAGUAACGACAACAUCAUCAUCAUCACCUUUAGCCGGGCUUGGUGGAUCAUCAGCACAUUUAGCCGGACUUGGCAGAUCAUCAGCGUGAGCCGACGGAUCAACAUCCAUAUGUACAGCUUCAGUUGCCUGAUCCGGCAAUGGUGGGUCAUCUGGAAUAUUGUCAACAUCUGGGCAUGACGGUUUAGGAGUUUUCUCUGGUUCACCCCGAAUGGGGUCUUCAGAUGGAUUGUUCACUUUGGCCCUCUUUCUGGCUCUAGCUUUGGUCCUGGAAAAUAAUUAAUAUGCAUCAGAACAGUGCAAGGGUUAAAAAUAUAAAGGUAUGACGGAUUAGCAAAAGCUGCUCACCCAGGAACCGUUAAGGGUUGGAAGAUGAAUGGGAGGCUCCCUGGUAAUUGGAGUCAGAUGGAUUAAGAGGAUAUCGGAAAUAACCCGCCUUGGGAUAAGGUAUAUCAGAAGUAUAAGAGACCUCUUGACGGCGUUUUUGAACCAGACUGUUCGGUAAACCGGAGGAAGUAACCACCUUGCCGCUAUGCCGGGUUAUGCGGCGAGCUUCAUGCUGCUGUGUCCUCAAAAGAAAGUGCGGAUCCGAAUAAGCUAGAGGGUGUGAAAAUUUUAUUUUCCGGAUUGCUCGAUGGAUUUUCGGUGUGGGUAGAGGAUUUGAGUCAGAAGAAAGAGUAAUUACCUCUACAUCACGAGCAUGACUGGCCUCCACAUCAUCCUGGUAACGAUCAUUGUCAAUAAGAUGUAUGAAAAAAGAACCAAGAGAAUCAAGUUCUAAAUCCGGAUCAUCAAGAUCUUCGUCAUUGUUUGGGCCAGGGGAUUCGGCAGUUUUCUUGUUUGCCGGUUUCUUCGUAACUCUGGUCUUAGGGCGAGGAGUUUUCACUGAUUUAUCCUGCGGUUUCGCCGGUUUGUCCUGUGGCUUCCUUUUCCAGAACGGAUCAUUACCCUGCAAAGAUGAACAAAAGGUUAUGAGGAAAUAUUUAAAAGGGGGUGGAUUAAGACAAGAAGGAUGCAAUUCUUACAGCUGGCGGUUUAUUGGAGACACAGAAGGGACUAAGCCGUGUCUUGCUGCACUCAGAUAUCGGUUCAUCUAACAUCCUUUUAACAGCUUCAGUGAUCUCGUCAUCAGUUAGCUGAAUAUCAAUGUGCCGCUGAGGGUCCUUGACAUCCCAUGUGUACUCACACAUUAAACUGGUAUGACGACUUAAAGGCAAGAUACUCCAAGAAACCCAACAGCGGACAAGGUCGAUGCUAGUUAAACCAUUUGCCAUAAAGGCUCGGAGCUUUGAAAGUUGUGGAGCAUAUAUGGAUCGUUCCUUGGCAAUAAGUCGUUGGGGAAACGGAUGUUCACUGGUAAGCCGGUGAGCACGAUAACCCGGCAGAGAAUUUUCAUCAUCAGGAGCUGUGUUUCGGCAGUAAAACCAAGUCUGAUUCCAGUCUUUGGGGUGACUAUGAUGUUUGGCGUGAGGAAAAUUGACAUCUUUCCUUUUUUGAAUUGAUACUCCGCCAAGUUCAGUAUUGGACCCGUCCGUGAAUUCAGUAUGGCGGUUUAAGUAAAAGAAGUCUCUGAAGAGCUCAACAGUAGGUGCUUCUUGCAGAUAAGCCUUGUAAAACACUUGAAAAUUGCAAAUAUUGGACACGGAGUUCGGUCCGAUAUCUUGAGGACGGAUCUGGAAGCUAGCAAGCAUGUCAUGGAAGAACUUUGAUCCGAGAGGACUAAACCCUUGAUUCAGAUGAUCAGUAAAUACAAUCACUUCUCCAUCUUGGGGUUCAGGAGGACUUUCUGGACCAGGGACCCUCUAGUGGAUGUUUUCCUUACUCGCUAAAGCGCCAGUGACAACAUACCCGGUCAGCUGUUCUUCCGUAACCUGGGAAGGAACCCAGUUGCAAGCCUAAAAUUGUUUGGCCAUUUCAAUGAAAAGCUAGAAAAAAGAUCAAUGUCGGUUUAAGGUUUGUGACUGACAAAGUAUAAAACAUUGCAAGGUUAUAUGGAGAAGAUGUUGAGGUAUAUACACAUAUCAAACUGGAUCCUAACAUCAGAAGGGUUAUCAAGAUGAUAAAUCGGCGGUUUAAGAGAGGGCUAAUGCUACCUAGCGGGUUAUAAUUUUCUUAAAGUUAAACCACCUACAGUGGUAUGGAAGGUACAAUCUGAAAAUUACUAAGUGUUGCAGAAACAGGUUUUGCAGAUGGAUGUUAUAAUUAUGGAUCUACCGCAGUUCAAAAAGGGAAAAAAAUUUUAAACCCUAAGUUGUGACAACAACAGUUCAUGGAUUCAGAUGGGAUCUCUUGUAAAAGGGGAGGCAUUCAAGUAUUACAAGUAGGUACUAAGAUCAGUAUCACGCGUGAUAGUCACUAAGUUUGCAUUAACAAGCUACAAGUGAGGGGAAGCAAAAAGGAAUGACGAACACUGAUGAACAUCGAUGGAUAUAGAAGCCCUAAUGACAUAUCUAGGGUUGAAGGAAAUAAGACUGACCAGUGUCACGGGAGCAGUGGAGAGGUACCGCGAUUCUCUGGUGCGCUCAGGUCGAUGCAGCGGCCAAUGGUGGUGCAGCAUUUGAAGGUCGAGGGCGGCGGCAGAGCUUCAGGGCUCGGGCGUCGUGAGGUUGAAGAUGAUAUGAAGCGGCAGGGAGGGGGAAAAGGAGAAAGGAACCCCCCGACCCUAUUUAUAAGGCGAAUGGAUAAGUGGCAGGCAUGGGAAUCGAGGAGCCCGAAAAAUGGAUAUGUGACAGAGUUGUUGCCUCGAUUUUCAGAGGCUUAUUAAUACAGGGGAGGUAUGUAUGGUUUUUUAAAUAGGUGACGUCAUGGCGGUUUACAAUAAUAUCAGAAGAUGAUGUCAUGGUGGAUUACAAGGCUUAUGGUAAGGAUUGAAGAAGGAUUUUUCUUAAAGUGUUGAAGAUUGACAUGAAAAGGUUCAAAUCAAUCUGGGGCCUAAUGUUGGGGAUGUAACUGGUGGGUAUAAACCUUCGAGGAGGGUCCGGUUUAUCCACAGAGAGACUACCAAUAUUGAAGCCCAUGAAGUUAUGGAAGAUGGCGACUUAUGGAGGAUACAUGACAAGGGAGCCCAAAGCCCAGAGGCGGGUUAGGGACCAUAGACAUAAACCUCCAUAGGCGUGUAACUUGUAAUGUAAGACAUGAAAGAGUAGAUACCAAGCCGGACAUGUUUAUGAACCGGCCUCGGGAAUGUGUAGACCGACGGGCAUCAACCUGUGUAUAUAAAGGGACGACCCGGCGGCGGUUUAGGGACAACACACAACAACUCGAGAACCAGACAAAGCGGAUUCGCUCCCUGGUCAUCAAAACCCCAUGAAUUCCAUCACAACUGGAUCGUAGGCUUUUACCUUCGCCGCAAGGGGCCGAACCAGUAUAAACUCCCUGUGUCCUUUGUCCAGUUUAACCCUUUAAGCUAAUCUUGUUGCGAUGGCUCCAUGAUUAAGUCCUUAUGUUAGGACAUCUGACGUGACAAUUCCACGACAUAUCACACAAGUAGUGGUGUAGACGGCAUCACCGGGGGUGGCCGGAGUCGAUGACAACGACUACAACGGCGGCCGCUAGAGUUUGGCUAGAUGCGGGUGCGGGCUGCAGCUCGCUUACGAGCAAACGGAGCACACAAGCGGCAACUACUGGCAGCAAGAGCUUGACCAGGUGCUCAGCUGUGACGUUGGCCCAUCGUAGCGAUGACGGUGACAAACGCGGCGGCCGGAGCUCACGAGCACUUGCGGGCGACGGCUACGAAGUAGGAUAGAGCAUGAGGGAGGAGGGGAAAUGGAGUAGAGCUCACGGCAGUCCUGAAGAUCAGCAUGGGAGGCUCGGGGAUGGCCUGGAUGCAGCGAAUCAAUGAUAGGGAGGUCCGGUGACCAUUGGUGAAGAAGAUGGCGAUUGCGUUGCUCUGGUGCCCCCGGGCUUGCAAGAUUCAUUGGAGAGGAGCCGCUCGAGGUGGCAGAGGCGAUGGACGACUCGGGGAGGCAAGGUGAUGGCAGUGGCGCAGGGUUCACGGCGGCACGCUUGGUUCAUCUCGGGUCCGGAGUGAAGAAAGCGACAAGAAGGAGGGGGGAGCUAGAGUGAGCGGGUUGGAGUCGUGGUUCCGUCCAUGCAGAAGGUGGCCAUGUGCGAGCGCAGCUGCUGGCACGCAGCUACUUCGGGGCGAGGGAGGAAGACAAGGGCGACCUGUUGGUGGGCUGGGCCGGCCAAGUAAGUUGGUCCAGGUGGGUUUGGUGCCCUUUUUUAUUCUUUUCUAUUUCUAUUUUCUGUUUUGAUGUGAAUCUUGCCACUGUUUGAAAUUCCAACAGUUUCAAACCAGUGCCAAAAACCCUCUGAAUAAUUUUAUGUUGCUAGAUGGACUUUUCCAAAAGCACAUAAAACAUUUCAAAGUUAUUUUUAAAAUAUAUUCUAUAUAUUAUGAAUAUAAUUCCAAAUUGAAAUAUAAUAAUAAUUUAAAUUCCUUGCCCAAAAUAUUCCACAAAAAUGUUCACUAUUUUUGGUUUUAUUCAAGAACCUUGCCAAAAAUAUCAAACAAUUAUAAGAACAUUUUGGAAGACAUUGAGUGCAAUAUUUCCAGGGUUCUUUGCCCUUAUUAAAGUAAUUUCAGAGGCUUUGAAAAAUCCUCAUUUCAAAUUCCUUUGAAUGAAACAUGAUGCAUGGAUGCUGAUGCAAGGACGGGCAAGGACUAAGCUACGACUGUGAUAGAAGUUUUCAAGUUUUGGGUGAGAUCACGAUGGAUGAAGGAAUAAGGAGUUGAAAGAGCCUAAGCUUGGGGAUGCCCAUGGCACCCCAAGGUAAUAUCCAAGGACUCCCAAGCAACUAAGCUUGGGGAUGCCCCAGAAGGCAUCCCCUCUUUCUUCUAAUGACCAUCGAUAAUUUUACUUGGAGCUAUAUUUUUAUUCAUCACAUGAGAUGAGUUUUGCUUGGAGCGUCAUGUAUUAUAUGAGUCUUUGCUUUGUUUGCGUUUUAGUUUGUCACAAUCAUCUUUGAUGGACACACCUUUUUGAGAGGGACUCACAUUAUUCAUGAUUUGUUAGAAUACUCUAUGUGCUUCACUUAAAUCUUUUGAGCUAGGCAGUUGCUCUAGUGCUUCACUUAUAUCUUUUAGAGCACGGCGGUGGUUAUAUUUUAAAGAAAUAGUUGCACUCUCAUACUUCAGCUAUAUCUUGAGAGUUGAUAAUAGUAAUGGAAAUUAGUGUGGGUUAUGAAUUUGGUCCUAAUACGAUAGGUAUUUAAGAGGGAUGUAAUAAAAACUUUCAUGUAGAUAACUGAAUAUGAUAAGUUUGAUUCCUUGCAAUAGUUUUGCGAUAUAAAGGUGGUAAUAUGUGGGUUAUGCUACUGAGUAAUUGUGGAUUAGUAAGAAUAUUGGUGUUAAGGUUUGUGAUUCCUAAAGCAUGCACGUAUGGUCUCUCGUUAUGCUAUGAAGUUGGAGCAUGAUUUAUUAUUGAUUGUCUUCCUUUAUGAGUGGCGGUCGAGGUCGAGCGUUGGUCUUUUCCUACCAAUAUACCCCCUAGGGGCAUGUGUAGUAGUACUUUGCUUUGAGGGAUAAUAAACUUUUGCAAUAAGUAUGUGAGUUCUUUAUGUGAUUAAUGUGAGUCCAUGGAUUAUACGCACUCUUACCUUUCUGCAAUUUGCUAGCCUCUUCAGUACCAUGCAUUGCCCUUUUUCACCUUGAGUUGUGGUGCAAACUUCGCUAGUGCAUCCAAACCCCGUGAUAUGAUACACUCUAUCACACGUAAGCCUCCUUAUAUCUUCCUCAAAACAACCACCAACCUACCUAUUAUGGCAUUUCCAUAGCCUUUCUGAGAUAUAUUGCCAUCCAACUUCCACCAUUCCGUUUUAUUAUGACACAUAUCAUCAUUGUCAUAUUGCUUUGCAUGAUCAUAUAGCUGACAUAGUAUUUGUGGCUCAGCCACCGUUCAUAUUUUUUAUGCAUGUUAUGCUAGAUCGUUGAACAUCCCGGUACACUGCCGAAGGCAUUCAUACAUAGUCAUAUUUCUGUUCUAGUAUCAAGUUGUAAUUUUCUUUCGAGUUGUAAGUAAAUAGAAGUGCGAUGAUCAUCAUAUUCAUUAUUAGAGCAUUGUCCCAGUGAGGAAAUAAAAAAUGAGGCCAAAAAGAGCCCAACAAAAAAACACAAAAUAAAAAGAAAAUAAAAAUGAGAGAAAAAUAGAGAAGGGGCAAUGUUACUAUCCUUUCCACACUUAUGCUUCAAAGUAGCACCAUGUUUUUCAUAUAUAGAGUCUCCUAUGCUAUAUUUUCAUAUAACUAGUAGGAAUUUUUCAUUAUAGAACUUGGCUUGUAUAUUCCAAUGAUGGGCGUCCUCAAAUGCCCGAGCUCUUCAUGAGCAAGCAAUUUGGAUGCACACCCACUUAGUUUUAUUUUUGAGUUUUCAUAUACUUAUAGCUCUUAGUGCAUACGUUGCAUGGCAAUACCUACUCUUUGCAUUGACAUCAAUUGAUGGGCAUCUCCAUAGCCCGUUGAUUAGCCUCGUCGAUGUGAGACUUUCUUCUUUUUGUCUUUUCCACACAACCUCCAACAUCAUACACUAUUCCACCCAUAGUGCUAUAUCCAUGGCUUACACUCAUGUAUUGCGUGAGUUGAAAAAGCUGAAGCGCGUUAAAAAGUAUAAACCAAUUGCUUGGCUUGUCAUCAGGGUUGUGCAUGAUAAAUACUUUGUGUUAAGAAAAUGGAGAAUGACAAGACUAUAUGAUUUUGUAGGGAUAACUUUCUUUAGCGUUGAUAUUUUGAAAGACAUGAUUGUUUGUUGGUAUGCCUUAUUAUUGCUUUUAUGUAAAACUAUAGACUAUUGAUUUGAAUCAUUAGGAUCUUUAUAUUCAUUCCACAAAGAGAAAUUACAUGAUGAACAUGAUAGGUAGCAUUCCACAUAAAAAAUUCUAUUUUUAUCAUUUACCUACUCAAAGACGAGCAAGAAUUAAGCUCGGGGAUGCUUGAUACAUCUCCAAUGUAUCUACAAUUUUUUAUUGUUCCAUGCUAUUAUAGUAUCAAUCUUGGAAGUUUUAUAUGCAAUUACAUAUCAUUUUUUGGGACUGACCUAUUAACCUAGUUGUUGGGGAAUGUUGCAUGGGAAACAAAAAUAUUCCUACGCUCACCAAGAUCAAUCUAGGAGAUGAACAUCUACGAGAGGAGAGAUUGCAUCUACAUACCCGCUAAGCGGAAGCGUUAAGAAACGCGGUUGAUGUAGUCGAACGUCUUCACGAUCCAAUCACGAUCCAUCCAGCGAACUCCCGAUCCAAGUGCCGAACAUACGGCACCUCCACGUCCAACACACGUACGGCUUGAUGACGCCUUCACCUCCUCGAUCCAACGAGCAAUGGUGAAGUAUUAGCUCGAGUCCUCCGGCAGCACGACGACGUGAUGGCGGCGGUGGUGGAGAAAUCUUAGUAGAGCUUCGCUAAGCACUACGGAGAAGAAGAUGGACUACGAGGCAGAGGAGGAGGAGCGCCGUGGCAUGAAUAGAUCCGUAUGGAUGCGGCUGCCCUAUCUCCCCUCCUCUAUAUAUAGGGGGAAGGGCGGAGGAAGGGGGCGCCCCUAGAUCCAAUCUAGGGGGCGGCGGCCUACAACGGAAACCCUAGAUGGGUUUUGGCCCCCCACCCCUUACGAGACUUGGCCCCCAAGGCAAAGGGGUGGGAAACCCUAGGGAGGUGCCCCACCUCCUUUGGCAACAUGGGAAGGGGGCUUGGGGGCGCACAACCCCUUACUGGGCUGUUGUGCUCCCUCCCCUUGGCCCAUGAGGCCCCCCAACACUUGUUGGGGCCUCCCAAAACCCGUUUCAGUGAUGCUGGUCAUCACCCGGUACCCCCGGAACAAUUAUGGACUCCAAUACCCUUCGUCCAAUAUAUCAAUCUUCACCUCCGAACCAUUCUGGAAUUCCUCGUCACGUCCGGGAUCUCAUCCGAGACUCCGAACAACCUUCGAUAACCACCAUAAUGACUCAACUAUACUUAUGUCGUCACCAAAUAUUAAGUGCAUAGACCCUGCGGGUUUGAGAACUAUGCAGACAUGACCGAGACACCUCUACGGUCAAUAACCAAUAGCGGGACCUAGAUGUCCAUAAUGGUUCCUACAUAUUCUACGAAGAUCUUAUAGGUUGAACCUCGAUGCCAAGGAUUCAUCUAAUCCCUUAUGCAGUUUCCUUUGUCUAUCGGUAUGUUACUUGCCUGAGAUUCGAUCGUCGGUAUCUCCAUACCUAGUUCAAUCUCAUUACCGGCAAGUCUCUUUGCUCGUUCCAUAAUACAAGAUACCGUGGCUAACUCAUUAGUCACAUUGCUUGCAAGCUUCUUGUGAUGCUGUAUUACCGAGAGGGCCUAGAGAUACCUCUCCGUCAUACGGAGUGAUAAAUCCCAGUCUUGAUUCAUGCCAACUCAACAGACACCGUCGAAGAUACCUAUAGAGCACCUUUAUAGUCACCCAUUUAUGUUGCGAUGUGUGUACAUGGAAGGUAUUCCUCUGGUGUGAGUGAGUUGCAUGAUCUCAUGGUCAUAGGAACAUAUAUUCUUGACAUGCAGAAAAUGAUAGCAAUAAACUUGAUAUGAUCAUAUGCUACGUUUAUAGUUUGGGUCUUGUCCAUCACAUCAUUCUCCUAAUGACGUGAUCCCAUUAUCAAAUGACAACUCAUUUCCAUGGCUAGGAAAACAUAGUCAUUUUGAUCAAUGAGUUAGUCCGGUAGAGGCUUACUAGGGACACAUUGUUGUAUAUGUAUCCACACAUGUAUCUGACUUUCCAAUCAAUACAAUUCUAGCGUUGAUAAUAAAUGAUUAUCAUGAACAAGGAAAUGUGAUAAUAACCAAUUUAUUAUUGCCUCUAGGGCAUAUUUCCAACAGUCUCCCACUUGCACUAGAGUCAAUAAUCUAGUUCACAUCAUCAUGUGAUUAACACUCAUAGUUCACAUCGCCAUGUAACUAACACCCAAAGAGUUUACUAGAGUCAAUAAUCUAGUUCAAAUCACCAUGUGAUUAAUACUCAAUGAGUUCUAGGGUUUGAUGAUGUUAUGCUUGUGAGAGAGGUUUUAGUUAAUGGGUCUGCAACAUUCACAUCCAUGCGUACUUCACAAAUCUCUAUGUCAUAUUGUAGAUGUUGCUUCCACGCUCCACUUGGAGCUAUUCCAAAUGGCUGCUCCAAUAUACGUAUCCGAAUUGCUACUCAGAGUCAUUCGGAUUGGUGUUAAAGCUUGCAUCGAGGUAAACCUUUACGUCGAACUCUUUAUCACCUUCAUAACCGAGAAACAUUUCCUUAUUCCUCUAAGGAUAAUUUUGACCGCUAUGCAGUGAUCCGCUCCUGGAUCACUCUUGUACCCCCUUGCCAGACACGUGGCAAGGCACACAUCAGGUGCGGUCGACAUCAUGGCAUAUCGUAUAGAGCCUAUCACUACUAGGGAAAAGCUUAUAGGCAGAUGCUUACUAGUAGCAUGGUUUAAUAACCCUCGCUACUGCUACUUACUAGUAGCGCGGGUUUUUACCCCCCGCUACUACUAAGUUGAUAGUAGUAGCGUGGGUUUAUAACCCUUGCUACUACUAAGUGGUCUCUACCGUGCUCCCCGGGGACAUGCCAUAGUAGUAGUGAGGGUUAUAAAACCGCGCUACUACUAUCAACUUAGUAGUAGCGCAGGUUUAUACCCCUCCCUACUAGUAAGUACAAGGUAGGUGAAAUCCCCAUAUCCUCGGCCGAUUCCCUCCUUUCUCCCUCAUUCUACCCCCUCUCUCCAUAGGCUCUCCUCCUCCUCCAUGGCGUCCCGUGCCUCCUCCUCCAUGGCGCCAAAAGAGGGAGGCCGCCUCACGUCGCUGGCGUCCCGAAGCUCGCCGGUCUUCCCCGCAUCUCCAUGCCACCACGUCGGACCACCUCACCACCGGCAACGAGCCCUGGUGCGCCCUCCAUCUCAUUCCUUUCUUCCUUGUUUCUCUUUUCCCUCUCCAUGUACCUCCGAUUUUACUCACCUCCCAUGCCCAUGCCUACGCAAGUCGUCGACAUGGCCAACAAGGAGCUCUCUGCUUUGGCUGUGAAGAGGACCCUCACACCGUUGUCUUGCUCUCCUCUGCACUGGAUCCGGUCCCUCUACAACAGCCAUCGCUGGAUCUAGUCUCCGCUACCCGUCCAGACCUCCAGCGACCCUUGUCGUCGCUGGAUCAAACCAUUGACAGCAUGCACGGGGUCGAGAUUUUUUUUGAUUUUUGAAAUUAAUAGUAGUAGCGCGGGUCACACACACGUGCUAGAGAUAGUUAGUAGUAGCGCGUGUCAAACCCGCGCUACUACUAACACAUGUACUAGUAGCGCGAGAUGCAUCAUGCUACUACUACUAGUUAGUUGUAGCAUGGUAGUAGUAGCGCAGGCACCCGCGCUACUACUAGCUUUUAACCCGCACUACUACUAGGCUUUUUCCUAGUAGUGUAUGGCUAAGUGAUACGUCUCCAACGUAUCUACUUUUCCAAACACUUUUGCCCUUGUUUUGGACACUAACUUGCAUGAUUUGAAUGAAACUAACCCGGACUGACGCUGUUUUCAGCAGAACUGCCAUGAUGUUGUUUUAUGUGUAGAAAACAAAAGUUCUCGGAAUGACCUGCAAAUCCACGGAGGCAAGUUUUGGAAAAUAUAAAAAAUACUAGCGAAAGAAUCAAGACCAGGGGGCCCACACCCUGUCCACGAGGGUGGGGGGCGCGCCCACUCCCCUGGGCGCGCCCCCUGUCUCGUGGCCCCCCCUGACACUCCACCGACCUCAACUCCAACUCCAUAUAUUCCGUUUCACGGAGAAAAACCCAGAGAGUAAGUUUCAUCGCGUUUUACGAUACGGAGCCGCCGCCAAGCCCUAAUCUCUCUCGGGAGGGCUGAUCUGGAGUCCGUUUGGGGCUCCGGAGAGGGGGAUUCGUCGCCGUCGUCAUCAUCAACCAUCCUCUAUCACCAAUUUCAUGAUGCUCACCGCCGUGCGUGAGUAAUUCCAUCGUAGGCUUGCUGGACGGUGAUGGGUUGGAUGAGAUUUACCAUGUAAUCAAGUUAGUUUUGUUAGGGUUUGAUCCCUAGUAUCCACUAUGUUCUGAGAUUGAUGUUGCUAUGACUUUGCUAUGCUUAAUGCUUGUCACUAGGGCCCGAGUGCCAUGAUUUCAGAUCUGAACCUAUUAUGUUUUCAUGAAUAUAUGUGUGUUCUUGAUCCUAUCUUGCAAGUCUAUAGUCACCUAUUAUGUGUUAUGAUCCGACAACCCCGAAGUGACAAUAAUCGGGAUACUUCUCGGUGAUGACUGUAGUUUGAGGAGUUCAUGUAUUCACUAUGUGUUAAUGCUUUGGUCCGGUUCUCUAUUAAAAGGAGGCCUUAAUAUCCCUUAGUUUCCACUAGGACCCCGCUGCCACGGGAGGGUAGGACAAAAGAUGUCAUGCAAGUUCUUUUCCAUAAGCAUGUAUGACUAUAUUUAGAAUACAUGCCUACAUUACAUUGAUGAAUUGGAGCUAGUUCCAUGUCACCCUAUGUUAUAGCUAUUACAUGAGGAAUCACAUCCGACAUAAUUAUCCAUCACUGAUCCAAUGCCUACGAGGUUUUCACAUCUUGUGCUUCGCUUAUUUACUUUUCCGUUGCUACUGUUACAAUUACUACAAAACUAUUAUCUUUACUUUUGCCACUGCUACCAUUACUGUCAUACUACUUUGCUACUAAAUACUUAGCUGCAGAUACUAAGUUAUCCAGGUGUGGUUGAAUUGACAACUCAACUACUAAUAUUUAUGAAUAUCCUUUGGCUCCCCUUGUGUCGAAUCAAUACAUUUGGGUUGAAUAUUUUACCCUCGAAAGCUGUUGUGAUCCCCUACACUUGUGGGUUAUCAAGACUAAUUUCUGGCGCCGUUGUCGGGGAGCAUAGCUCUAUUCUUUGAGUCACUUGGGAUUUAUAUCUGUUGAUCACUAUGAAGAACUUGAAAGAUCAAAGAACUAAAAUUUAUCCCUCAACUACAAGGGGAGGUAAGGAACUGCCAUCUAGCUAUGCACUAGAUUCUCCUUCUGUUAUGAAUAAGCUUGCGACACCUAAACCUGAUACUACUAUGAAUUCUGAUAUGUCGCAUGUUAUUGAUGAUGUCACUUCUGCUAUGCAUGAUACUUAUGAUGAAACUACUUCUAUGCUUGAUACUACUGUGCCAUUAGGUGAAUUUCUUGAUGAACAACUUACUAAGGCUAGGGAGAAUGAAAUUAUUGAAAGUGAAAUUAUUGAUGAAUGUGAUGAUGAAGGUUCUCCUCCUAAUUAUGAACUGCUUGUUGUUCCUGAGGGUUAUGUUAUCGACGAACAAACUGCUAGAGAUUUUCUUGCUUGCAAUGAUAGAUCAGAUCUUAUGAAAUUGUUAGCUAAGCUGAAACAAAAGACUCUAAAUGCUAGAAUGAAACAUGACCCUGCUUUUUCCACUUCAUCUAUCUUUAUUACUGAUAAGGAUUAUGAAUUCUCUGUUGAUCCUGAGAUUAUUACUUUAGUUGAAUCCGAUCCUUUCUAUGGCACUGAAUCUGAAACUGUUGUGGCACAUCUCACAAAGUUAAAUGAUAUAGCCACCCUGUUUACUAAUGAUGAGAAGUCUCGCUAUUAUUAUAUCCUUAAGAUAUUCCCGUUCUCAUUAAAGGGUUAUGCUAAGACUUGGUUUAAUUCUCUUGAUCCUGGUUGUGUGCGUUGUCCCCAGGAUAUGAUUUAUUACUUCUCUGCUAAAUAUUUCCCUGCUCAUAAGAAACAAGCUGCCUUGCGGGAAAUAUAUAACUUUGUGCAAAUCGAAGAAGAGAGUCUCCCACAAGCUUGGGGGAGGCUUCUCCAAUUACUUAAUGCUUUGCCUGAUCAUCCUCUUAAUAAAAAUGAAAUACUUGAUAUCUUUUAUAAUGGACUAACGAUGCUUCCAAGGACUACUUGAAUAGUUGUGCUGGUUGUGUUUUCAGGGAAAGAACAGUCGACGAAGCUGAAUUCCUAUUGAAUAAUAUGUUGACUAAUGAAAAUAAUUGGACUCUUCCUGAGCCAAUUCCCGAGGCAAUUCCUGAACCAAUUGAGCCAACUCCUGAGCCUAUUCCUAAACCCACUCCGAAGAAGAGAGGUGUUCUAUUUCUCAGUCCUGAAGAUAUGCAAGAGGCAAAGAAAUCAAUGAAGGAAAAAGGUAUAAAAGCUGAAGAUGUUAAGAAUUUAGCACCUAUUGAAGAAAUACAUGGUCUUGAUAUACCACCUGUCGAAGAACCACAUUGCCUUGAUAACCCGACACAGGUAGUAAAGGUAAAUUCUCUCUAUAGAUAUGAUAAAGUUGAAAUCCCCUCUACUAAAUUUCAUAGCCCAUGCUUUGAUGAAUUUGAUGACUUUAUGGCUAGACAAGAAAGUUUUAAUGCUUAUAUUGGUGGAGAACUAAAGAAUAAUGCUUUCAAGAUAGGACGCUUGAGUGAUUAUAUGGCUAGAGUUAAAGGUGAACUUAAACUCAUUAGCAAAUAUGCUUCUAUGGUUACCACUCAAGCUGAACAAGUACGUAAGGCUCAGAAUGAAUUCCUAGAUGAACUAAAUAAUAAAGAUGACUUUGCUGUUAGAGUGGCUACUAGAACUGGUAAAAUGACUCAGGAACCUUUGUAUCCUGAAGGCCACCCUAAGAGGAUUGAACAAGAUUCUUAGAAUAAUAAUCUAGAUGCUCCUAGUUCUUCUAAGAAGAAGAAAAAGAAAAAUGAUAGGACUUUGCAUGCUUCUAGUGAACCUAAUGUAGAAACACCUGAGAAUCCUAAUGAUACUUCUAUCUCUGAUGCUGAAACACAAUCCGGAGAUGAACAUGAACCUGAUGAUAAGGCUAAUAACAAUGUUCAUGUUGAUGCUCAACCUAGUAAUAACAAUGAUAUAGAAAUUGAACCUGUUGUUGGUCUUGAUAACCCACAAUCAAGAAACCAACGUUAUGAUAAGAGAGAUUUUGUUGCUAGAAAGCAUGGUAGGGAAAGAGAACCAUGGGUUCAGAAACCCAUGCCCUUUCCUCCUAAACCAUCCAAGACAAAGGAUGAUGAGGACUUUGAGCGUUUUGCUGAAAUGAUUAGACCUAUUUUCUUAUGCAUGCGCUUAACCGAUAUGCUUAAAACAAACCCUUAUGCUAAAUAUAUGAAAGAUAUCAUUACAAAUAAGAGGAAAAUACCUGAAGCUGAAAUCUCCACCAUGCUUGCCAACUAUACCUUUAAGGGUGGAAUACCUAAGAAACUUGGUGAUCCCGGUGUGCCCACCAUACCAUGCUCCAUAAAAAGAAAUUAUGUUAAAACUGCUUUAAGUGAUUUAGGAGCCGGUGUUAGUGUUAUGCCUCUUUCCUUGUACCGUAGACUUGAAUUAAGUAAGUUGACACCCACUGAGAUAUCCUUGCAAAUGGCUGAUAAAUCAACUGCUAUACCUGUCGGCAUUUGUGAGGACGUGCCUAUUGUUGUUGUUAUUGCGAAUGUUACUAUCUUAACAGACUUCAUCAUUCUUGAUAUUCCCAAGGACAACAGUAUGUCGAUUAUCCUCGGUAGACCCUUUUUAAAUACUGCAGGUGUUGUUAUUGAUUGCAACAAAGGCAAUGUCACCUUUCAUGUUAACGGAAAUGAGCAUACGGUACAUUUUCCGAGGAAACAACCUCAAGUUCACAUCAUAAAUUCUAUUGGGAAAAUCCCAUCAAUUAUAUUUGGAGGUUUUGAAUUUCCUCUUCCUACUGCAAAUAAAAAGUAUGAUAUUCUUAUUAUUGGGGAUUUUCAUAUCCCCGUUGAGGUAACUUAGUGUUAUUCGAAAUUUCUCCGGUUCCGUGUUAUUCAAAAUGAGUUUGUUAACAAGACUUGAUCAACCUUGUUAGUGGGUUCAUUUUGAUGAUCAUCAUAUGGAUAAAACUAGAAGGCACAACCUUUUGUACCCUCCUUUUACUUUUUGUUACUUAAAAUAAAUAAAGCAAAAAUAGUAUUAUCUGUCUAUUUUCUGAAUUAUCCAUGCAAUAAAAAAUAUCCCUAAAAUAAAAGUGCUCCAAAUGCCCUGCAAAUUUAGUAUGCUUUUUUAUGGAAUAUUUGAGGAUUUUAGGCACUGAAAUCACUAUAGGAGGGGCAAGCACCAGGUCACGAGGGUGGAGGGCGCGCCCACACCCCUGGGCACGCCCCCCUGUCUCGUGGCCCCCUUGUGGACCCCCUCCACUUAUGCCAGCACCCACACACUCCAUCUUCUUCCCAAAAAAUCCCCAUCCAGCUCAAGCACGAGUUCUAGCUCAUUUUGCUGUGAUUUUUGAUCUCCUUGCUCAAAGCUCCAUUCACAAAACUACUUUGGGAGAUUGUUGCUUGGUAUGUGAUUCCUCCAUUGGUCCAAUUAGUUUUUGUUCUAGUGCUUUAUUCAUUGCAAAUUUUUACUGCCUAGGUGACCAUGUUCUUGAGCUUGCAUGUUAAAUUUAUGAGGUCCCAAGUAAUUCUAAUGCAUGAUAUAGGCUCUAGGCACUUGUAGGAGUAGUUGCUAUCAAUCUUGUUUAGUUUUAUUUACUUUUAUUUUGAAGUUAUUGAAAAUUUCAGAAAUAUUGCAGAAAAAUAAAUAUGUUCAGGAAAAUGUACCAAGGAGGUUCUUCAAGGAAGAAAGGACUCCGGCUUGCAAUACGUGAGCUCGAUGACAAAUUACCAAGGGAAGCUUAUGUACGGCCUUGUGAAUGGCUAUCGGAGCCAUUUAUGGUUGCAGCGGGUAUCAAGGAUGAAUUUGAUGCAUAUGUGCGUAAUGCCGACCUUGAGGCAUUCAUGCAAGAUAAGUGCCCGCAGUACCAGUACUUAACUGAUUCAUUUGUGAGAAGGUUUACAUUUACAUCUUCACGCAAUUCUCAAAGUGUCCUAUUUGAUAUUUAUGAUAAAUCAUAUACCAUGAACUUAGAAGAUUUUACAACUGCUUGCAAACUUCCACAGUGGGGCAAUAUUAAUGAACCCCACAAAUCUGAAUUUAGAGAUUCCCUUGCUAGUAUUACCGUGUGAGAAUCUAGGGAUAUUGCACAAGCUACCAUAGGGAGCAUUCAUUUUCCUGCUAUACAUUAUUUUGCUCUCUUCAUUGGUGGAUGCAAUAACGGUAAAGAUGAAGCAUGUCAUAUGUGUGUGCCUGAUCUUUGUGUCCUCAAGAGUGCUGUGUUAGGUUAUAAAGAUUAUAACUUGGGGGCAAUAGUUGCACGUAGGUUGCAUAAUAAUGGUAGAGCUGGAGAUUUAUUUGGAGGAAUUUAUGCGACCCGUGUGGCAAAUUAUCUUGGUAUAGCCCCAUGAGAGGGGGGUAUGAUGUUGCCUCCUGCUUAUUUACAUUAUGACGCUAUGGUCCAUCAUCAUUUUCUUAAGAGGAAUGAACAAUUCCUCCAGUAUCGACUAAUCUUUGACAGACAUAGCGCUGUCCAUGUUACUCUUCCUGCUUCUUUCCUUUUUGAUUACCAGGCAAAAGGAAGAUAUGUUGUUACCAGGGAGGAAGCAGCUGAACACGAGGGGAGAGCAGAGGCGGCUCGCCAACAUGCCGCAGCUCAGGAGGCAUUUGCUGCUGCAUCUCAGUACGACCCCAGUUACAACUGCGGAUAUCAGCCAGGCUACCCUUGGCAUUAGACCAACUUAGGCCAAAAUCCUAAGCUUGGGGAGUACGUAUUUCUCACCGACUUUACAUUCAUGUUCACACACUAUUCUAGUCGUCGGUGCUCAUACUCUUUCAUUGUAUUAUCCGUGCUAGUUUAAUUUUCUUUUUCUAGUCUUCUUCUUGUGUGUUUGAUAAACCUUAAGAAAAACCAAAAAAAUUAGUUAGUUUAAUUUCCAUGCGUAUAGUAGAAAUUAAAAUGAAAACCCAAAAAGAUUUCUCAUUCUUCUUUUACUUGUUGGGAGCUUUCCCAUGUAAAUAGUUUUCUUUUCUUUUCUUUCCUUUGGGGGUCGAGAGUAGAAGACCAUAUUGAAAUUGUUUAGUGGCUCUCAUAUGCAUGAUUGUUUAUUUAACUUAGAGCCCAUAUUACUUUGUCUUCUCUCUUGAGUUGAAUGCUUGCAGAUUCCAGCUUAGUCCAAUGCACGUGCACUAUUAUUAUUAUACACAUCAUUCGGUCAUGCAAGUGAAAGGCAAUAAUGACGAUAUAUGAUGGACUGAUUGAGAUGAGAAAAGCUGGUAUGAACUCAACCUCUCUUGUUUUUGUAAAUAUGAUGAGUUCAUCGUUCCUGAUUCAGCUUAUUAUGAAGUAAACAUAUUUGCAAUGACAUUUAGAGAUUAUAGUUGCUUGUGCCAUGCUUGAUUAGCUAUGAGUUAUAAUGGUCUACCUUGCGUGCCAACAUGCUAUUAAAAUAAUUAUGAUGUGGUAUGAUGGGAUGGUAUCCUCCUUUGAAUAAAUUGAGUGACUCGACUUGGCACAUGUUCACGCAUGUAGUUGAAACAAAUCAACAUAGCCUUCAUGAUAUUUAUGUUUAUGGUGGAUUAUAUCCUACUCAUGCUUGUACUCAGUGUGAAUUAAUUUUAAUGCAUGUUUAUGACUCUUGUUGCUCUCUCAGUUGGUCGCUUCCCAGUCUUUUGCUAGCCUUCACCUGUACUAAGCGGGAAUACUGCUUGUGCAUCCAAACUCCUUAAACCCCAAAGUUAUGCCAUAUGAGUCCACCAUACCUUCCUAUAUGCGGUAUCUACCUGCCGUUCCAAGUAAAUUUGUAUGUGCCAAACUCCAAACCUUCAAAUGAAAUUCUAUUUUGUAUGCUCUAGCAGCUCAUGUUUCAACUAGGGCUGCCUAUAUCUUCCAUGCUAGGUGGGUUAUUCUCAAGAGGAGUGGACUCCGCUCCUCAUUCACGAGAAAGGGCCAGUAACCGGGAUGCCCAGUCCCAUGAUCUAAAAAGAUCAAAGCAAAUCAAUAUAAUUAAACAAAACUCCCCCAGAGCUAUUGUUAGUUGGAGGCACUUGUUGUUUCGAGCAAGCCAUGGAUUGAUGCUUGUUGGUGGUGGGGGAGUAUAAACUUUUACCAUUCUGUUUGGGAACUGCCUAUAAUGCAUGUAGUAUGGAAGAUACAGCCAUCUCAUAGUUGUUGCGUUGACAGUGAAAGUAUGCCGCUCAAAAUGUUAUUCAAUCUCUAUUUUAAACUCGAGCUCUGGCACCUCUAUGAAUCACUGCUUCCCUAUGCGAAGGGUCUAUCUAUUUACUUUUAUGUUGAGUCAUCACCUUCUUAUUAAAAAAGCACCCGCUGGAGAGCACACUGUCAUUUGCAUUCAUUAUAAUUGGUUUAUAUUGGGUAUGACUUGACUGGAUCUCUUUUACCAUGAAUUACAAUGUUUAGUUAGUCCUUGAUAUUUAAAGGUGCUCUGCAUUUAUGUUUUGCGGUCUCAGAAAGGGCUAGCGAGAUACCAUUUUGUUAUAUCAUGUUAUGAUUGUUUUGAGAAAGUGUUGUCAUCCGAGUUUAAUUAUUAUGGCUCGCUAGCUGAUUAUGCCAUUGAUAUGAGUAAUUGUGAGACCAAGGUGUUAUUGUGAGUAUGGUUAGUUCAUAAUAUUUGCUGAAACCUGAAUGCUGGCUUUGCAUGUUUACAACAACAAGAGAAAAUAGAGUUUGUAAAAGUUUUUCUUUAUCACUUUCAGUUUAUCAACUGAAUUGCUUGAGGUCAAGCAAAGGUUUAAGCUUGGGGGAGUUGAUACGUCUCUAACGUAUCUACUUUUCCAAACACUUUUGCCCUUGUUUUGGACUCUAACUUGCAUGAUUUGAAUGAAACUAACCCGGACUGACGCUGUUUUCAGCAGAACUGCCAUGGUGUUGUUUAUGUGUAGAAAACAAAAGUUCUCGGAAUGACCUGCAAAUCCACGGAGGUAAGUUUUGGAAAAUAUAAAAAAUACUGGCGAAAGAAUCAAGACCAGGGGGCCCACACCCUGUCCACGAGGGUGGGGGGCGCGCCCACCCCCCUGGGCGCGCCCCCCUGUCUCAUGGCCCCCCCUGACGCUCCACCGACCUCAACUCCAACUCCAUAUAUUCUGUUUCGCGGAGAAAAAACCCAGAGAGGAAGUUUGAUCCCUUACGAUACAGAGCCGCCGCCAAGCCCUAAUCUCUCUCGGGAGGGCUGAUCUGGAGUCCAUUCGGGGCUCCAGAGAGGGGGAUUCGUCGCCGUCGUCAUCAUCAACCAUCCUCUAUCACCAAUUUCAUGAUGCUCACCGCCGUGCGUGAGUAAUUCCAUCGUAGGCUUGCUGGACGGUGAUGGGUUGGAUGAGAUUUACCAUGUAAUCAAGUUAGUUUUGUUAGGGUUUGAUCCCUAGUAUCCACUAUGUUCUGAGAUUGAUGUUGCUAUGACUUUGCUAUGCUUAAUGCUUGUCACUAGGGCCCGAGUGCCAUGAUUUCAGAUCUGAACCUAUUAUGUUUUCAUGACUAUAUGUGUGUUCUUGAUCCUAUCUUGCAAGUCUAUAGUCACCUAUUAUGUGUUAUGAUCCGACAACCCCGAAGUGACAAUAAUCGGGAUACUUCUCGGUGAUGAUCGUAGUUUGAGGAGUUCAUGUAUUCACUAUGUGUUAAUGCUUUGGUCCAGUUCUCUAUUAAAAGGAGGCCUUAAUAUCACUUAGUUUCCACUAGGACUCCGCUGCCAUGGGUGGGUAGGACAAAAGAUGUCAUGCAAGUUCUUUUCCAUAAGCACGUAUGACUAUAUUCGGAAUACAUGCCUACAUUACAUUGAUGAACUGGAGCUAGUUCUGUGUCACCCUAUGUUAUAGCUAUUACAUGAGGAAUCUCAUCCUACAUAAUUAUCCAUCACUGAUCCAAUGCCUACGAGCUUUUCACAUCUUGUGCUUCACUUAUUUACUUUUCCGUUGCUACUGUUAUAAUUACUACAAAACUUUUAUCUUUACUUUUGCCACUGCUACCAUUACUAUCAUACUACUUUGCUACUAAAUACUUAGUUGUAGAUAGUAAGUUAUCCGGGUGUGGUUGAAUUGACAACUCAACUGCUAAUACUUAAGAAUAUUCUUUGGCUCCCCUUGUGUCGAAUCAAUAAAUUUGGGUUGAAUACUUUACCCUGGAAAGCUGUUGCGAUCCCCUACACUUGUGGGUUCUCACUAAGGCAUGUGGGACAACCUUUGUCCUUUCUCUUUCUUUUGCCGGGGUCGAGCUUUGAGUCUUACUCAACUUCACACCUUACAACUCAGGCAAGGACUCCUUCUUUCACUGAUCCAUUUUGAACUCCUUCAAAAUCAUAUCAAGGCAUGUGCUAUAUGAAAGUUUUAUCAGGCGUCUUAUCUAUCUCUAUAGAUCUUGUUUCCCAAUAUCUAAGCAGCUUUACCUGGGUCUUCCUUUAAAAAACUCCUUUCAAACAACCCUUUAUGCUUUCCAGAAAUUCUACAUCAUUUCUGAUCAAUAAUAUGUCAUCCACAUAUACUUAUCAAAAAUGUUGUAGUGCUCCCCUUCACUUUCUUGCAAAUAAAAGUUUCUUGCAAACUUUGUAUAAACCCAAAAGCUUUGAUCAUGUCAUCAAAGCGUAUGUUCCAACUCCGAGAUGCUUGCUCUAGUCCAUAGAAGGAUCACUGGAGCUUGCAUAGCUUUUAGCAUCCUUAGGAUCAACAAAACCUUCUGAUUGUAUCACAUACAACCUUUCCUCACGGAAACCGUCAAUGAAACUUUGUUUUGACAUCCAUCUACCAGAUUUUGUAAUUAAAAAUGCAGCAACUGCUAACAUAAUUCCAACAUACUUUAGUAUCGCUAUGAGUGAGAAAGUCUCAUCAUUGUCAACUCCUUGAACUUGUCGGAAACUUGUUUGCGACAAGUCAAGCUUCAUAAAUGCUGACAUUACCAUCGGCGUCUAUCUUCUUCUUAAAGAUCCAUUUAUUCUCAAUGGCUUGCCAACCAUCGGGCAGGUCCACCAAAGUCUAUACUUCAUUCUCAUACAUGGAUCUUAUCUUGGAUUUCAUGGCUCCUAGCUAUUUGUUGAAAUCCAGGCCCACCAUUGCUUCUCAAUAGCUCGUAGGUUCACCGUUGUCCAACAACAUGACCUCUAAGACAGGGUUACUGUACCACUCAGAAGUUGCACGUACCCUUGUCGACCUACGAGGUUCGACAGUAACUUGAUCCGAAGCUUCAUGAUCAUCAUCAUUAGCUUCCUCUUCAACUGACGUAGUGACACAGAAACAUCUUUUUGUGUUGCGCUAUUCUCUGGUUGAAGUAAAGGUUCAACAACCUCAUCAAGUUCUAUCUUCCUCCCACUUAAUUCUUUCAAGAUAAACUCUUUCUCGAGAUAGGACCCAUUCUUAGCGACAAACACUUUGCCCUCGGAUCUGAGAUAGAAGGUAUACCCAAUCGUCUCUUUUGGGUAUCCUAUGAAGGUGCAUUUGUCUGCUUUGAGUUCGAGCAUUUUCGGCUAAAGCCUUUUGACAUAAGCAUCGCAACCCCAAGCCUUAAGAAACGACAACUUAGGUUUCUUGCCAAACCACAGUUCAUACUGUGUCGUCUCCACAGGCUUAGAUGGUGCCCUAUUUAAAGUGAAUGUAGUUGUCUCUAACGCAUAACCCCAAAACGAUAGUGGUAGAUUGGCAAGAGACAUCAUAGAAUGCACCAUAUUCAAUAAGGUACGACUACGACAUUCGAACACACCAUUACGCUGUGGUGUUCCAGGUGGCGUCAACUGUGAAACAAUUCCACAUUGUCUUAAGUGAUUGCCAAACUCAUAACUCAGAUAUUCUCCCCUUCGAUCGGAUCGUAGGAAUUUAAUCUUCUUGUUACGAUGAUUCUCAACUUCACUCUAAAAUUGCUUGAACUUUUCAAACAUUUCAGACUUAUGCUUCAUUGAGUAAAUAUACCCAUAUCUACUCAAAUCAUCGGUGAAGGUGAGGAAAUAACGAUAUCCACCAUGCACGUCAACACUCAUUGGACCGCACACAUCAGUAUGUAUGAUUUCCAACAAGUCACUUGCUUGUUCCAUUGUACCGGAAAAUGGGGUUUUAGUCAUCUUGCCCAUAAGGCAUGGUUCACAUGUGUCAAGUGAUUAAAAAUCAAGUGACUCCAAAAGUCCAUCAACAUGGAGUUUAUUCACGCGCUUUACACUAAUAUGACUUCAGCAGCAGUGCCACAAGCAUGCGACACUACCAUUAUUAACUUCGCAUCUUUUGGCAUCAAUAUUAUGAACAUGUGUAUCACUACAAUCGGGAUUCAAUAAACCAUUCAAAUUGGGUGCAUGACCAUAGAAGGUAUUAUUCAUGUAAACAGGAUAACCAUUAUUCUCUGACUUAAAUGAAUAACGCAUUACAAUAAACACAAUCUUAUCAUGUUCAUGCUCAACGCAGACACCAAAUAACAUUUAUCUAGGUUUAACACUAAUCCCGAAGGUAGAGGGAGCGUGCAAUGGUGAUCACAUCAACCUUGGAAACACUUCCAACACACAUUGUCACCUCGCCCUUAGCUAGUCUCUAUUUAUUCCACAGCUUUUGUUCCGAGUUACCAAUAUUAGCAACUGAACUGGUAUUUAAUACCCAGGUGCUACUAGGAGUACUAGUAAGGUACAGAUCAACAACACAUAUAUCAAAUAUACUUUUGUUGAAGUUGCCAGCCUUCUUGUCUACCAAGUAUUUGGGGCAGUUCCGCUACCAGUGAUCGUUCCCCUUACAAUAGAAGCACUUAGUCUCGGGUUUGGGUUCAACCUUGGGUUUCUUCACUGGAGCGGCAACUGGCUUGCCAUUCAUGAAGUUUCCCUUCUUGCCCUUGCCCUUCUUGAAACCAGUGGCCUUGCUAACCAUCAACACUUGAUGCCCCUUCUUGAUUUCUACCUCCACGACCUAUCAUGAACAGCUCCGGGAUCAUCUCCAUCCCUUGCAUGUUAUAGUUCAUCACGAAGUUCUAGUAGCUUGGUGAUAGUGUCUGGAGAACUCGGUCAUUCAUUAUCUUAUCUGGAAGAUUAACUCCCACUUGAUUCAAGCGAUUGUAGCACCCAGACAUUCUGAGCACAUGCUCACUGGCUGAGCUAUUCUCCUCCAUCUUGUAGGCAAAGAAGUUGUAAGAGGUCUCAUACCUCUCAACACGGGCAUGAGCCUGAAAUACCAAUUUCAGCUCCUGGAACAUCUCAUAUGUUCCAUGGCGUUCAAAACACCUUUGGAGACCCAAUUCUAAGCUAUAAAGCAUGGCGCAUUAAACUAUCAAAUAGUCAUCAGAACGUGUAUGCCAGAUGUUCACAACAUCCAUAGACAACAUUAGAGGGGUUGGUACACCGAGCGGUGCAUCAAGGACAUAAGCCUUCUGUGCAGUAGUGAGGACAAUGCUCAAACUACGGACCUAGUCUGCAUAAUUGCUUACAAUAUCUUUUAACUUAGUCUUUCUCUAGGAACGUAAUAAAACAGGGAGCUACAACACGAGCUAUUAAUCAACAACAUAAAUUGCAAAGACAACUUAGACUAUUGUUCAUGAUAAUGAGUUCAAUUAAUCAUAUUACUUAAGAACUCCCACUCAAAUCAACAUCCCUUCAGUUGUCUGAGCAUAACAUGAUCCAAAUUCACCAACCCAAGUCCGAUCAUCACAUGAGAUGAGGUGGUUUCAAUGGUGAACAUCUCUAUGUUGAUCAUAUCUAGUAUAUGGCUCGUGUUCGACCUUUCGGUCUCUUGUGUUCCGAUGCCAUGUGUGUACAUGCUAGGAUCGUCAAGUUUAACCCAAGUGUUCCGCAUGUGCAAAACUAGCUUGCACCCGUUGUAUGUGAACGUAGAGUCUAUCACACCCGAUCAACACGUGGUGCUUCAAAAAUGACGAACUUUCGCAAUGGUGCACACUUGGGGAGAACACAACUUUAUCUUGAUAUUUUAGUGAGGAAUCACCUUAUAAUGCUACAGUCGUCCUAAGCAAAAUAAGAUGCAAAAAAGGAUUAACAUCACAUGUAAAUCAUAAGUGACAUGAUAUGGCCAUCAACUUGUGCUUUUGAUCUCUAUCUCCAAAGCAACGGCAUGAUCUCCAUCGUCACUGGCAUGACACCAUGAUCUCCAUCAUCAUGAUCUCCGUCAUCGUGUUUCCAUCGGGGUUGUCACGCCAACCAUGCUUCUACUACUGUUGCUACCGCUUAGCAAUAAAGUAAAGCAUUACAUAGCACUUAGUGAUUGACACACAUGUCAUAAAAUAAUUAAAGACAACCCUAUGGCUCCUGCCGGUUGCUGUAUGCAUCGACAUGCAAGUCGAUAUAGACUAUUACAAACAUGAUCAUCUCAUACAUCAAAUAUAUUUCAUCAUGUCUUUGGCCAUAUCAUAUCACAACAUACCCUGCAAAAACAAGUUAGAUGUCCUCUAAUUAUUGUUGCAUGUUUUACGUGGUUGCUAUGGGUAUCUAGCAAGAACAAUUCUUACCUACGCAAAACCGCAAGGUGAUAUGCAAGUUGCUAUUUAACCUUCUACAAGACUUCCUUUGUCGAAUCCAAUUCAACUAAGGUGGGAGAGACAGACACCCGCCAGCCAUCUUUAUGCAACAAACUCACAUGUUUGUCGAUGGAACCGGUCUCAUGUAUGCGGACAUGUAAAGUUGGUCUGCGCCGCUUCAUACCACAAUACCGCUGAAUCAAGAAAAGACCAAGGAAGGAAGCAAUAUGAAUAUCAAUGCCCACAAACUCCUUUGUGUUCUACUCAUGAUGUGAUGUACGCAUAAACCUGGCUCUAAUACCACUGUUGGGGAACGUUGCAUGGUAAACAAAAAAUUUCCUAUGCUCACCAAAAUCAAUCUAAGAGAAAAACAUCUACGAGAGGAGAGAUUGCAUCUACAUACCCUUGUAGAUCGCUAAGAGGAAGCAUUAAGAAAUGCGGUUGAUGUAGUCGAACGUCUUAGCGAUCCAAUCAUGAUCCGUACCGCGAACUCCUGAUCCAAGUGCUGAACAGACAACACCUCCACGUCCAACACACGUACGGCUUAAUGACGCCUUCACCUCCUCGGUCCAGCGAGUGAUGGUGAAGUAGUAGCUCGAGUCCUUCGUCAACACGACGGUGUGAUGGUGGAGAAAUCUCAGUAUAGCUUCGCUAAGCACUACGGAGAAGAAGAUGGACUACGAGGGAGAGGAGGAGCAGCGCCGUUACACGAAUAGAUCCGUAUGGGUGUGGCUGCCCUCUCUCCCCUCCUCUAUAUAUAGGGGGGAAGGGAGGAGGGAGCGGGCGCCCCUAGAUCCAAUCUAGGGAGCUGCGGCCAACAAGGGGAAACCCUAGAUGGGUUUUGGCCCCCCACCCCUUAGGAGACUUGGCCCCCAAGGCAAAGGAGUGGGAAACCCUAGGGAGGCGCCCCACCUCCUCCGGCAACAUGGGAAGGGGGCUUGGGGGUGCACAACCCCUUAGAGGGCUGUUGUGAUCCCUUCCCUUGGCCCAUGAGGUAUCCCAAUACUUGUCGGGGCCUCCCGAAACCCCUUUCGGUGAUGCUGGUCAUCACCCGGUACCUCCGGAACAAUUCCGAACUCCAAUACCCUUCGUCCAAUAUAUCAAUCUUCACCUCCGGACCGUUCCGGAGUUCCUCAUCACGUCCAACAUCUCAUCCAGGACUCCGAACAACCUUCGGUAACCACCAUAAUAACUCAACUAUACUUAUGUCAUCACCAAACGUUAAGUGUGUAGACCCUACGGGUUUGAGAACUAUGCAGACAUGACCGAGACACCUCUAUGGCCAACAACCAAUAGCGGGACCUGGAUGCCCAUAAUGGUUCCUACAUAUUCUAUGAAGAUCUUAUCGGUCGAACGUCGAUGCCAAGGAUUGAGCUAAUCCCUUAUGCAGUUUCCUUUGUCUAUCGGUAUGUUAUUUGCCCGAGAUUCGAUCGUCGGUAUCUCCAUACCUAGUUCAAUGUCAUUACCGGCAAGUCUCUUUACUCAUGUAAUACAAUAUCCCGUGGAUAACUCAUUAGUCACAUUGCUUGCAAGGUUCUUGUGAUGUUGUAUUAUCGAGAGGGCCCAGAGAUACCUCUCCGUCAUACGAGUGACAAAUCCCAGUCUUGAUCCAUGCCAACUCAACAGACACCAUCGGAGAUACCUGUAGAGCACCUUUAUAGUUACCCAGUUACGUUGUGACGUUUGGUACACACAAGGUAUUCCUCCAGUGUUAGUGAGUUGCAUGAUCUCAUGGUCAUAGGAACAUAUAUACUUGACAUACAGAAAAUGAUAGCAAUAAACUUGAUACGAUCAUAUGCCAUGUUUAUAGUUUGGGUCUUGUCCAUCACAUCAUUCUCCUAAUGAUGUGAUCCCUUUAUCAAAUGACAACUCAUGUCCAUGGCUAGGAAACCAUAUCCAUCUUUGAUCAACGAGCUAGUCCGGUAGAGGCUUACUAGGGACACAUUGUUGUCUAUGUAUCCACACAUGUAUCUGAGUUUCCGAUCAAUACAAUUCUAGCAUGGAUAAUAAACAAUUAUCAUGAACAAGGAAAUAUGAUAAUAACCAAUUUAUUAUUGCCUCUGGGGCAUAUUUCCAACACCAGUGCCCAAUGCCAGUUGCUGUUUUUUGCUUGUUUUUGGCUUUUGAGGAAAUCAGUAUCAAACAAAGUCCAAACGGAGAAAAAACUUUGGAUUAAUUUUUUCUGGACCAGAAGAGACCCCUAGAAGGUUAUGGAGAAGACCUGAAGAGUCAUGAGGGAGCGACAAGCUCGGGAGGCGUGCCCCAAGGGGGGACGCCCCUAGGAUUGUGGGCCCCUCGUGGCACCUCUUGACCUAAUUGCGGCUCUAUAGAUUCUCAGAUAUUCCCAUGACAUUAGAGAGCCACCCGAAAUACUUCUUCCACCGCCGCAAGUUUCAGUUCUCGUGAGAUCCAAUCAGGAGGCCUUCUCCGGUACUCUGUCGGAGGGGGAAUUGAUCAUGGAGGGGCUCUACCUCAACCUUGAUGCCCUUCCGAUGAUGCUUGAUUAGUUUACCUCAGACCUACGGGUCCAUAAUUAGUAGCUAGAUGGCUUCUUCUCUCUCUUUGAUCUUCAAUACAAUGUUCUCCUUGAUGUUCUUGGAGAUCUAUUUUCUGUAAUGACCUUUUGCGUUGUGUUUGUUGGGAUCUGAUGAAUUGUGAGUUUAUGCUUAGAUUUAUCCAUGAAUAUAAUUUGAGUUUUCUCUGAACUCGUUUAUGCAUGAUUAUUAUAGCUUCAUAUUUCUCUCUGAUUUAUUGUUUUGGUCUGGCAAACUAGAUUGAUUUUUCUUGCAAUGGGAGAGGUACUUUAUAAUGGGUUCGAUCUUGCGGUGAUCAAUCCCAAUGACAGAAGGGGACAUGACACGUAUGCAUCGUUGCUAUUAAGGAUAAAAGGAUGGGGUUUAUUCAUGCGUGGGUUUACUUUGUCUACAUCAUGUCAUCCUGCUUAAGGCAUUACUCCGUUCUUUGUGAACUUAAUACUCUAGAUGCAUGCUGGAUAGCGGCCGAUGUGUGGAGUAAUAGUAGUAGAUGCAACAUCGUUUCAGUCUACUUUUCUCGGACGUGAUUCCUAUAUACAUGAUAAUUGCAUUGGAUAUCACUACAAAAAAAGACACAUCCAUGACAUUUUGGGCCGAACGAAAUUUUUCCCUGUCAUACAUAUGACACUUCUAUGACGAUAAUUGUGACAAAACCUGGUAUCAUCAUAGAUGUGGUGGGCUCCUACUUCUAUGACAAAAAAUCAUGAAAGAAAAUGGGCUUUUCGUCCUGGGCGAGCCGGAGACGCAGCUGCAUGACAUUCUUUGGGCCGUCCAUGACGGAAAAAACCGUGGUAGAAGCGAGAGCAAGGAAAAUUUCGGGGAGUUCCCGGUUACGGUGGGUGGUCGGGGGCCGAGCGAUGCGCGUUUCUCUCGUACACAUACGCGCGUGUGUGCGAGGCGUUGGCUCUAACUGAACCCGAGCGAGGCGUUGGGCUCUAACUGAACCCGAGCGAUUGCACUGUAGACUACUCNNNNNNNNNNNNNNNNNNNNNNNNNNNNNNNNNNNNNNNNNNNNNNNNNNNNNNNNNNNNNNNNNNNNNNNNNNNNNNNNNNNNNNNNNNNNNNNNNNNNNNNNNNNNNNNNNNNNNNNNNNNNNNNNNNNNNNNNNNNNNNNNNNNNNNNNNNNNNNNNNNNNNNNNNNNNNNNNNNNNNNNNNNNNNNNNNNNNNNNNNNNNNNNNNNNNNNNNNNNNNNNNNNNNNNNNNNNNNNNNNNNNNNNNNNNNNNNNNNNNNNNNNNNNNNNNNNNNNNNNNNNNNNNNNNNNNNNNNNNNNNNNNNNNNNNNNNNNNNNNNNNNNNNNNNNNNNNNNNNNNNNNNNNNNNNNNNNNNNNNNNNNNNNNNNNNNNNNNNNNNNNNNNNNNNNNNNNNNNNNNNNNNNNNNNNNNNNNNNNNNNNNNNNNNNNNNNNNNNNNNNNNNNNNNNNNNNNNNNNNNNNNNNNNNNNNNNNNNNNNNNNNNNNNNNNNNNNNNNNNNNNNNNNNNNNNUCAUCUGUUUUGCGGUACACCACACCCCUCCCGAUCAACAGGACCCCCGUUUCGACCGUAGGAGGUCUGUUUCCUCCGUUUUGCGGUACGCCACACCCCUCCUGAUCAACAGGACCCCCAUUUCGACCAUAGGAGGUCCGUUUCCUCCGUUUUGCGGUACGCCAGACCCCUCCCGAUCAACAGGACCCCGUUCCGAAUGUGGCCGGUCGACACAAGGCUGUUUCCUCUGUUGUGCGGUACGCUGGGCCUCGUUUCCACCGCAUGUUCCGUCCAAGCCCUCCUGAUGAACACGACCACGCAUUCCGUUCUGACCCAGCCGGUUGGGUCCCCAUGAACACGACAACGACGUUGUUUCUCCAUUCCGACCCAGCCAUGUACACGAGCCCUGGCCGUACGUAUGCGAGAGUAGGCGUUUGAGACCCUGCCCGUAUGUACGUACGUGGCCGUAUUUUCUUUCUUGCACCCUGGCCGCUGUACGUACGUGUACAUGCUACGUGCGUGCCUCUACUACGACACAUACGCGCCUCUACUAUGACACGUGCGCGCCUCUACAUCGACCAGUAUAUGUGUACGUACAUGUUCGCGACCAGAAUGACAAUGCUACGUACGCUUUGACCAGGUGGGUCCCGACUGUCACGCACUUCCUUGCCCGCGAAGAUGUAGCUGGUGGGUCCCAGCAGUCAGGGGGCGAAUCAUUUUGUUUUUUUGCCCGGACGCACUUCCUUGCAUGCGAAGGUGUAGCUGGUGGGUCCCAGUAGUCAGGGGGAAAUGUUUUUUUCGCGAAAUACGGUGGCCCAUCCGGUGGGUCCCUGCUGUCAGGUGGAGGAAUAAUUAUUUUGCACGUAAUAAGGAGGCACUUCAUUGCGGCCGCCGUGGACCCAGCUGUCAGCAUCUCCACGCACAUUACUCUUCCGAUGGAAGUAGGUCGUUGACCACAUUGACCACGCCGCGCCGAGAGGACAACGGCGGUGGACGACGGCGAGGCCUAGGAAGGGGACGACGCGAAGCCGGGGAAGACGCAGCAGUGGAUGCCCACGCGAAGAGUACGAGGGUUCACUGGUUUGGCUGCGGUGUGAGGCUGCCGUCGCUGCAGAAUAACAAGGGGUGUGGGUGAGUAGAGGGAUGGCCUGGCCAGUGGUGGGAGUAGUAGGGGCGGUGAGGCCUCCGCGGCAUCACAGCCGGCCACGGGAGGCAGGAGCAUGCGGCACGACCGAAGCUGCUUUGGGCGGCUGGAGCACGAAGACCAGAGGUUGAAGAAGCACUAAGGCUGUUCGAUGGACAUCGUACGGUCACUGGAGCUAGAAUCGUUCAUAUUGACUAAGUUGACAAAGCCCUCCGUCCCCGUAAACUUAGUAGGCCCACAAGUCAGCCUCCCACCAAGGUGAGUCGCAGCUAGCAGGGGGAGUAUUCAUUUUUUUGUGUGUAAUAAGGAGGCAUUUCCGGUGGGUCCGAGCUGACAGCGGGGGGAAUGUUUUUUUCACAAAAUACAGAGACCCUUCCGAUGGGUCCCAGCUAUCAGGUGGAGGAAUCAUUAUUUUGCGCGUAAUAAGGAGGCAUUUUCCUGUGUGGGCCCCUAUUGUCAGCCUCUUCCGAUGGUUGUUGUUUGUUGACCAUGUUGACCUUGCCGCGCCAAGAGCACAAACGCGAUGGACGAGGGUGAGGCUCAGGAAGAGAACCACCCGAAGCCGACGAAGCCACCGCAGUGGAUGCCCACGCUGAGGGGAGAACGAGCACUGACUGGUUGGCUGCGGGGUGAGGCUGACGUCGCCGGAAAAUAACAGGAUGUGUGGGUGGUUAGAGGGAUGGCCUGGCGGUAGCACAGCCAGCCACGGGAGGAGGUAGGAGGCAGUCCCGCCGACGCUGGUCUGGGCGGCUGGAGCAGGAAGAUCAGAGAUUGAAGAAGCCCGGUGGCCGUUGGAUGGACAUCCAACAGUCACUGCUGUGUGUUGACUAAGUUGACAAAGCCUUGCAUACGCGUCAAAAAAAAAUUAGGACAGCGUCAUCGUCAACCUAGUAGGCCCAGAAGUCAGCCUCCAAAACUGUGGAAAACAGCAUACAACCCAUUAGCCAUUAUUUUCAAUAAUUUACAGCCCAUUUGCUAAUUCUUAAGGAUAUUUGAAGCCCAUAUUCUUUUUAUUAGCAUUACAGACCAUAUAUUCUGGGCACUGCUAAAAAAUUCAACGAAUUUUGCAUAUUUCGGUGGGGUCCGAACUUUUUUAAUCAUGAAUUUUUGAGUCACGUUAAAAAUAAUUUUCAAAAAAAUAUAUCAAAAUAAAAUUCAAAAAACAUUUCUUCGCAAAAAAAUGAAUGAAAUUUAGAAUCUUAACUAGCAAGAUGCCUAUUCGUUGCACGGAACAUGAAGAUGCAUUUGUAUGAGUAGUUUAUCUUGUGGGAGAAAAGAUGAUAUUUUAAUGUAAUUGCCAGUUGGCUUUGGUUUUUAUAAGAGUAGAGAGUAGAGAAAUCCUGAAAAAUGAUAUUUUAAUGCAAUUGUCGGUUGGCUUUGGUUUAAAAAUUUAUAGCCCAUUUCUUAUAACUUAUAGCCCGUUUUCUAGGGAAGCCCAUUUCUUACUACUUACGUCCCUCCUCGUCUUGAAAGAUUUGCAGCCCAGCAAGGCUGAGAAAAGCAAGUAGGCCUCGGUUUUGGUAUUCUCCAAAAAAAGAACUGGGCUAGCCAAUUUCAGAAAGAAAAAAUAUAUCAACUAGGCUCGUCAUGUGCUUAAUAAAAGCGUAAGCGUGAGCUAGACGAGCCAUAGCCCCCGCACAGCGCGCAGUUGAGCUCCGUCUCUGAAAUUGAAAAACAAUUGGGCAAGCUGCUGGGUCCCUAGUGUUAUCCGCUCGUUGUAUAAUUUUCUCGUUUAUUGACUACAUUGACAAUGGCUUGGAACCUAAUUGUCAAACAAUUAGGAGGAAGUAUUUUUUUGGCUUGUAAUAACGAGGCACCUGCUUGCGAAAUGCAAUGACCCUGGUGGGUCCCUACUGUCAGCCUCUCCACAUACAGUCGUCUCCUGAUUCCUCUUGGUUGUUGACCAUGUUGACAACGCCAGACGGCGGCGGGCACAGCGAGCUAACCAAGGCGGAGAACAACGGCAAGGCCUCGGACGGGAACGGACAUCAGCCAUGGAAGAUGCAGCAGUGUAGUGGCAGGUGGAGGGGAGUACAAGGGCAACAACAUGCAAGUCAAGCAUACAAAUGGUACAGAAAGCCCAAGGAUUAAUUGUUCAUCAAAUUUUUAGACAAAACCCAGAUUGAACAUGACAGUAACAUCUAACCCAACCACUCUUUUUUGCAGUCACAAACAAAUGGAUCGGUCAGAUCCAUAAAAUCAACAUCCUAUGCAAAAACAUUUAUUUCAGGAUGUCUACAACUUAUUGUAAAUAGAAUCCGAGCAUGUUUAGAAGCCCAUUUGUCCACCUGAAACUUCUUUUUUUGCUGUUCAACAUGUUCGUCCGUAAGAAAUCUCUUGCUGUAAAAAUUAAGCGUCAUGGACAAUAGUAACCUUGCAUUCAACAGGAAGAAUGUGACAAAGCUUCUGUUCGCCUGGUUGGGUGCAUAUCGUCCCAUCGUUAUUGUCCUCAAAUGAAUGUCAUGAGAACUGAGAAAAUCCUUGUGCUUAUUACGCCAACGAUUGGUUAUAUGUUUUUCUCCAUGUGGUUCUGCCUAAGUAGACAUGAAGAUUGAAAACAGUUAAGGUCUGAAAAAAGAGUAUGUCGAAAGAACAACAGCUGAACAGUUAAUUCUAGUACAAUAUAUACAGGCUUUCAAUGUGCAUGAAAUCAUCACCUCUGUGUAUAAAUUCUCCAGAGAUCAAAAGCAUCGCAGCAAGCCAAUAAUUAUGUCCAGAUCAAAACUAUACAUUCUGAUAUAUAUGAUCUUGACAGAAUCUAGCAGCAUUGAUAGGCUAUCAAUGGACAAACUCUUCAUUGACCAUAUAACAUAAUAUUAGUACCCAAAGUGUACUCCAAGAUGAUAUAAAACUUAUGUGCACAAAUGAAAAAUGCAGCAUAAGAUUACAAAUGUGUAGAUGAUAAUAUACGUACGGUACCUGAAAAAUUGAGGAGCCAAACACCAACUCCUUGUGGUUAUUAAACGGGUCACGAAUUACACCCAAGGUCUCUAGUUUGGGCGCAGAGACGACAAUUAUUUCUGAAGGUGUAUAACAAUUAUGAAGGAGCAACCUUUCAAGUGAAGGGGCAUCUUCGAUGAUGAGCUGUUGUCCUUUAAAACAAAUUCCAACGCUUUUAAGGUGAUGCGACUUUAUUUGGAGACAACUGAUACUGAUUUCUAUUCCCAAAACAAUCAGCAAGCGCUCCAGGACAGGGCAACUGGAGUGGAUGAUGUUGUGCAGUGAGGCCUCCGACAGAUAAACCACCACAAGCGAAAGUUUUUUUAGCAGUGGGAGUCGAAGCAUUCGUACCAGAUCGUCUGGUAGAUGGCACUAGGCGAAGGUGGCGGUUUGGAGAGAGGAGGAAAACCGCGAGAUGGACAAUGGUGGUGUGGGCACGAAUUCUUGGUAUGUUCGUGGUAUGAAAUUUUUGUGGUAAUGGUAGAACUCAAACUGCUGUAGUUUUCCGAAUUCAGGGGAUUUCAUCCAAGCGUCCACCUUGCCGGGUAUGGACAACAGGUAGCUUGUCGGGAUGCAGAGGCAUUGAACGGGGCCCUGCUGGUGAGAAGAGACGAUGGCUCUGAGGAGAUCAAAUUCAGGAAGGACAGAUAUCUGACGACAAUCGAGAUUGAAGGGCACGGUGCGCCAUAGAGGGCGCCACCGAGUUGAGAGGACUUGUGUGUGGCAGCAAUCCUUGGUGGGGAGAAGCGAGAUGAUCUCCUCAAGGAUGACGCCCGGGAGAUCGCUGAUGCGGUCCACCAGAGAUUCUAUCGGUUCGUCAGAUCCGGGUGGGGGGGGGGCUCGCCGCUUCUCCCCACGCUACCGGGUGCGGGAUCUACAACCAGCGGCGUCGCUGGCGGGAGCCUCAUCUUCUUGGCGCUGGGGCCAGCCGACUCCAUUUUCCUUGUGGGCGUCACGCUAAGCUCACGGGUUUGAGCAGAGUAGCCAGAGACGAGCCUAUAGUGGGGAAGAAGGAGGGCUGGGGAUUUCUGUAGGAGUGAAAGAAGAGGAGCAGGUGUUUUCUAUACGAGUGAGGAAGAAGGUGAGCAGGUUUUUUUGGACGAGUGAGGAAGAUUAGGAGCGGGGGAAUUGGGUGGGGAGACGGAAGCGGGAGAGCGAGCUAUUCGUGUUCAUAAGGCCAGCUGCACUAACUACUCACUUUUUCCCAAGAACCGCUCUCUUCUUUUGCGUUGCUGCAUUGGAGCUGCCGCAUGGGCUUGGCUGACUGGCCAUGCAUGCAAGAUGCAUGUGCCCGUCGGCCACUGCAUGCGCCUGAUUUGUUACUAGGCCUAUUUAAUAGGGUGGUUAUGGAGUAAAUUAAGAGAUUUAUUUUCUCUGUGUGCAUCCACCAAAUUAGAGGAUGCGGUACUAGAUGCAGACACUCACAUUAAACUAACAUUCAGAAGAACAAAAGUUCAACAUGUCUAUGCAUCUCAAUGAUUCACCAUACUAUAACCAAUAUACAAAGCUGUGAGAAGGUGUGGAAAUAAAGAAAAUCGAUCGAUGCUUCUCUGAGCAAAGGGCCUCCCGGCGCACGCAUUAAUUUCCUGGGCAUGCUUGUUUCUUCUCAAUGUUGCGAGCACUUUGAGCAUGUUGGCAACUCCACAGCUAGCUAGCUACCUCAUCUUGCAAUUGAUGCUGACACAUUUGCAGCAAACACAUGAGGCAAUAGAGAUGACUCAACAUGGGUCCAUAUUGUGCAGUUCCCCUGAUAUUAUAUUCAUUGUCCUGAAUCUGAAAAGAUAGGAAAACAGUAGCUAUACUUAAACGGUGUUGCAAAACAGUAGCACAUAUCAAUAGCUCGGCAUGACAAAACACGAUCAUCUAGACGAAGGGGAUAGUGACCUGCCUGAGGAAGAAUACAUAUAAUUUCAUAAGUCCUUGGUUGAUUUCCACCUUCGGCUGCACUGCUUGUUUGCUCCUCCACACAUGACAGGAUCAUUCCGCACUGCAUUCAGCAACUCAACGUACGAAUAAGCUAAUUUCAUCUUGCGGUGGUCAUUGUACCUAGUUACGAAUGUAGGAAUACCUGGAGCACCAUGAGGUUAGCUGACAGCAGGUAGAUGCAGCCAUAUAAAUUUUGUGUGGUGCGACCAAAAUUGAGGUUUGUAUCCCUUCCCGUUAUGAGAAUUCUUCUUGAAGUUGGUAGAAUGUGACGGCUUGUUCUUUGCAUCAAACUUGCCUUUCCCCUAAGAUUUGUUCUUGUUGUUUUGGGGCUGGUUGGGCUGGAAGUUCUUCUCAUGUACCAUGUGGGCACUAGAAGCUCCCUCAGUGACCCGAGCACGUGUGUCUUUUGCUCUCACCUUCUCCUCAAAAUCAAGAGUGCUAAUGAGAUCCAAAAUAGAAAACUCAUGUCUCUUGUUUUUCAGAGAAGUAGCAAAAUCGUUCCACAAAGGUGGAAGCUUGGCAAUGAUGGUCCCAGCAACAAAUUUGUCUGGCAACACACACUUAAAGUACUCAAGUUCCUUGGAGAGAGAUCGUAUCUCAUGAGUCUGCUGAACAACAGAGCGCUCAUCAGUCAUCUUGUAGUCACAGAAUUGCUCCAUGACGUACAACUCGUUGCCAGCGCCCGAGGGCCCAAACAUGGCCUCGAGCGCAGCCCACGUGUCUUUGCUGCUGUCAAACGACAUAUAUGAAUCCACAAUGGAAUCGUUAAGAACACUCAGCAGGGCGGCUUAUAAGAGGGUAUCCAUGUUCUGAAAAGCUUCCUGCUGUGUAGGAUUAAGAUCGCCCUCAGGCUUACCCUUUGUGGCGUCAUAGCAGUACAUGAUCUGAAACCAAUAUACUGCUCUUGUGCGCCACCUUUCAUAUUGCACCCCCUUAAAAGUAGGCAGCUUCAAAAGCGCAGCAAAACCACUCGGAGUAAAUUGCCUGUAAUCAGGUUUUUGGAUUGGAUUGUUGAAUAUAUGAGCAACUUAGUAUGAGAUUUAAUCCGAAUCAGCAGUAAAUAGAUCAUGACGACAAUUGCAAACAUCAAAGUAAUGAUGCGGACUAAACUAGGAGGACAGAAUCACAUACUGUACAGCAGGAGCAGAACCGAUGUGGUUGAUGUUGUCACUCAUGUCGUUGAUGAAGAGGUUACCGAGGUCGGGGAAGAAGGCUGUCGUUGAGGAAGUCAUCGCUGGCAGCAGUCACAGGAGUGUGCUCCCCAAAAACCUGAUCGCCCCUCUCCCGUACAGGAUCACAAAAGGUGGGGUUCGGAGGACUGCUGUCCCUUCUCGCGGUGCACGCCGGAAGGAGGGUUGGAGAAGAAUUGCGUGGCAGCGCUAAGAUCUAGAACGGUGCGAAACCAUAUGAUACAGCGACGGCUAGGGCAGAGCAUGUCAGGUCGGUCGUGCGAGUAUAAUAGUAGGCCUUUGGCCCCCAAACCCCACGUCCAAGUCAAUAAUAGCUCAAAAAAAGUCAAUAAUAGCCCCACCAAGGUUUGUCUCAAAAAAAUUACUGAGUAAUUAAGGCGUCUGUUAGUCCCUUUAGUAUAAAUACAAUAUCAUUAAUAAUGGCCCCACCUUUUGUCUCACAAAGUAUGUUGGAGUACAACCGGCUACACGUUUACAAUCCGCUUCUCUUCUCUCUCCUUCAACUAAGCACAAAUACUAUAUUUAAAUCCUUAUAGCCUGCUUAUGUCAUCUAAUUGUAGUACUUUCUCUAAAGUUACUAUCCGCAAUGUGUAGUCUGAAAUGCCGGACGUGCAGCGGGCGGUGCCCUCGGUCGGCGCGCUGCUUCAACGGCGGAAGCAGUGAGAGGUCGCGUCGCCCUGACUUGCCAUCAAUGUGGAGCGGCGGGCUCAGCUGGAGCCGGGCGGGAAGUGCAUGCGGGAGGGGGGAGGGGUUUUUGUUGGGCCAAGAAGGUGAGAAGCCAACUUGGGAUCGGUCCGGACGGGGAAAUAUCAUGUGCUCCCAUACUCUGCACAUGACACUAGUCUAUGUUACUACUCCCUCCUUUCCGGUUUAUAGAGAUGUUUAGAGUAACAUAGUAAUAUGUUACAGUACAAGUUACUCCCCACUAUGACCAGCCUUGGCCUCUCCCAGUGCUCCACCAUGUAUAGCUGCUAAGCCUGCCACGUAAGCAUAAAAUAUGAUGUGGCACCAAUAAACUAAGCACCUAUGCAUUGAAGACUUGAGUUACUAAGCCAUUUAAUGCACUUAGCACAUCAUCUAAAGAGCAUUAAUAGUAUAGCCAGCUGCUGGCUAUAAGCUAGUGCCAUGUCAUCUACAGCCCAUCUUAUAGUCAACAUGUACAAUAGUAGAUCAAAAGAGUGUACUACUACUUUUUUAUUCUGUGGCCCACCUUUCAUUCUCACAAAGUGCCUAGGAGCAUGUGCUAGAGCUGGCUCUUCACGAAGAGCCCGCUUACCUUCUCUCGCCUCUUCUCUUUCCUCCAACUAAGCAGAAUUAUACUAGUUUAUUCCUUAUAGCCCACUGACUUAGCUCUAUUGUACUUGCUCUAAGCACAUCUAAGCACUUACUAGCACCCCCUUGACUGUGGACCUUGACGGUGUACAUCACCUUGUGUCUCAUAAUUUUCGUCGUCAUCAUCUGAGUCCUAGAAGAUCUUACCUACAUCAUCAUUAGCAUGCAUCCGCCUUGAUAGACAACAUGCGCAGAAGGAGUAGAGGUGACUGGGGAUGCACCCACCACCACAUCGUGGGCACUCCGUAUGUGCUCGUGUGCGUGCAGCGUGCGUGUUUUUCCAUCGGUGCUAGCUCUAAGGCCGAGGCUGCGGUCGUCUUCGUCUCCGACUAGUAGUUGAGCAACGACGGAAAAGAGGUGCUACAAGAGAUGCGUAUGCGCCGUUGUGUGCGAGCUUUGCCAUAGCACGACGAACCGGACGUCGCCGCGAAUGGCACACGCCUCCAUGCAGCCGAGUGUGUGCACAUGCAUGUGUUAUUCACGUGCAUUCUGCAGCCGAGCGUGUGUGCAUGCACGUCUUGUAUACGUGCGUUGUGUGCUCCAUGUUGUGCGCGUAUUUGCAUGAGUUGGACCGGAUGGAGUUAGUGCGUUGGCGUGUGUACAUGCGUGGCUGCAUGCGUCCUGUACAUGCGUGGCUUGUUGCGUGGUUAUCAAUAAUUCAAUGUAAACUACUCCCUCCAUUCCUAAAUAUAAGUCUUUCUAGCCAUUUCAAAUAGACUACAACAUACAGAUGUAUGUAGACAUAUUUUAGAGUGUAGAUUCACUCAUUUUGUUUCGUAUGUAGUCCCUUAUUGAAAUAUCUAAAAAGACUUAUAUUUGGGAACGGAGGGAGUAUAAAACAUCUUCAACUUAGCAUCCUGAUGUACCAUUUCUAGUGGUUAGCAAAAAGUUCAUGUUCUUUUAUUUGUUUAUAGGUGGGCAGGCGGCAAAAAACAGGGGAAAACGCGCAAGGUUCCUUGCAGACGCUCCACCGCGAGGUUCCUUGCUCCUCCUCGGUCGUCGGGAAUCUAUGCUCUUCAACUCUUUUCUUUUACGUGAGCUUUGUUCAUCCUUUUCCCAACACGCGAGACAUCUAGCAUCAAGGUGCAUGUGUCAUGCAAGAAAAUGGAGAUAAUCAAGUAAGUAGUGCGUAAGUGAGUCGUGCGGGGGGGGGGGAGCGGGGGGAAACCCUUUUUCGUAAGUGAGUCGUGCACUUCGAUGGCACCUACGCAAUAUUUUUUCUCCUCGAUGGCACGUGAAUAGUGCACGUACUCAACGACGGAGGACGGGAUGGUAGCAAUGACCUGGUCAAACCUUUUUUGGAGAGAGUAUGUACUACUAGUAAAUAACUUUGAUGUGUCCCGUUAACUCGCAGAAUGACGAGAAGCUUGAUUAUGCCUUCUCCCUCGCCAACGCGUGCGCGGUGGCUCGUAGCACGAGGUGAAACUUUUGCUUACAAGCGGUGGACGUGUAGCAGUUCAUUUGGUGUCAGAUUGCCAGAAGCACUACUGUAGAACCAUCAACUUCGGAAGAGGCGAAGAGCCAAGCGCAAGGUCACCUACUAACCUUAGGCUAGGCGUAGUGGGAGUAACAUAAGUAGGGGUACCUCCUUUUUUUAUUCUAGAAACAACCACACGCGAAUAUCAAGGUGCUGGUUACGUAGAACAAAUUUCCUGCAGUCUGCACUCAGCCCUCCUCUAUCUCUCUUCUCAGCCAGCCAGCGGACGCGCGGAGCCCAUCGUCUGUUUGCUCACAUGCAGCCCCACAUGUUAGUGAAAACGCAAGAGGACCCACUGAACUUGCACAUCUUUCACCUCGACGUGCUGGUGAUGAAAAACAAAUCCAAUAAAGAUCUUAGGUGGCCGCUUGUGGAGUUACUCAAGAGUAGUAAGAUUCUAUUUACAGUUUAACCCAAGAUGCACAUCUCGUGGCUUCAACUACCACUCUAUUUUCUUUCAUGACACGACCUGGAUGCUGGAUGUCCCACGUGUCAGCAAAAGGAGGAAGAACCCGACCAAAUCUUCGGUUGUGCUCUCAGAUUAGACUAGUUGUGCUAACUUAAAAAAUUUAUUUUGUACUCCCUCCGUUCCAAAAUACUUGACUUCCAUUUGUCCAAAAAUGGAUGUACCUAUAUACUAAAACAUGUCUAGAUACAUAUAUAUUUUGAAAAAUAGAAGGCAUGUGUUGUGCAACAGAGGGAGUAGAAUGGAUGCAAGUUUUUGUAUUGGGAAGAAGAGUACAUCCAUAUAUUGAUAGAGCAUUGGAGUUGGCCUUACAAAUGGGACCGCAGUCGAGGAAACCAACUAUCGGCAAACCCCCUCCUCGCCCGCCGCGCGAUGGCUGAGUUAGAGAAACGAUGAGGUUGAAGAGAUUGCUCUAGCACGGACUCCAAGAAAUAUGGUUUCAGAUGGAAGUCGUGCUGGUGGCGUGUGCCGUACUCCUGGAUGUGAAUGCUUGUUCUGGCCCAUGCCACCCUACUACUCCUACUACUUACUAUAUAGUACUAGUAUCGAGGAUUCGAGGUGCUGGUUACGUACAAUAUGGCUACAGCAAAAACACCCGCACGACGCGCGAAGCAUGUGAAGCUAGUACAAAUAGUGUACUACUAUUGUUGAUUGGCCUCAUCCGAUAACCUGUUGCAAUGCACGUACAAUUAUGUAUUCGGAAAAUAUUCUUUUGCCUCGUCGCACCACUCACUCAUAGAAGUAACUCGAAAGCCAUUCAUAAAUUUAGUAAGUUUAUCACAGGCAUAUCAUUUUAUUACAUACAACAGGUCAUCAACCCACAUCGACAAUGAGGAUACAUUAUAAAUACUAAAGUUUUCACCACACAACAAAUAACAAGCAAUGAAAUGAACUUCAACUCAACCAUUCCUCGGUGUUGGAAACGCUUGCUUUGAACCACAAGUGAUUCUCUGGGACGGGCCAUCUAUUGUUGAUCUCGAGACCAACGCGGGACUGAUCAUCUAGGCUGAAGCGGCCUACUAUAUCAGUACCAUGGUAGGGAACCACCCUAAUGUCCGAGGUAUAGACACAGUUGCUUCUCAUAAAUGGUACUAGUAACAUUGUGUCAAUAGCAGUUGGAUCGCCUUUCACCAUCAUCGGAUAGUUGUGUCCAAGGAAGAGCGAGUUUUCUCCAAGACUAUCAAUUCGGUACCAGGGAGAAGGUGUUGGUGCUAGCACACUAGUAUCCAUCCCGAAUACCAUGCAACGGGUCUUAGAAUAGGUCUGAAGAGUGCGACCAUGGGAGACAACAUGUGCUCCCUCAGUAGUAACAUCAUCAGUGGGCUGUAUACACACAAGAAGAGGUGAUCCAUCGGAAUUAGUUGCCAGGCGCCACUGGGUAUAUACGUUCUGCUCGUCCUCGUGCUCGUGAUCAUCACCAUCGCCAUCUCCCCCUUGGUUAUAAAUUUUUUCAAGUAUAGGUGGUGGAAUGUUCAUAGGACCUUGGAAACACAAGAAGAAGGUUAAUUAGUAAAGGGAAACUUGAUAAUCCGCAUGCAUGUGGAUGAAACAAUUAUAAUUACAGUGGAAGACAAACGUACCAAAACUACGAGGAUCCCAUGCAAAAACAGUGCCAUGAGCGGUGGAAGCAAACACAAGACCCUCGUAUUGAAUUGCAUCACAGUACACAUCUGUGUAUAGAAACUGAUUUUUGAGCAAUAUCCAUCGAGUCAAACCACCAAGGAUGGCAACAAGCUUGUCGAAGAUAGCAACAACUUCAUAGUUGUUGUAAUUCCAAGAGCGGUUGGGAACUUGACAAAUUUCUAUCUUCCGUAGAAGACAGUCACCAUGAUCGUAUUUGAACAUGCGUACAAUACCGGUGUGCUCAACCUCUGGGCAUUCUGCUGAGAUUUUUGGAAGUGGAACCCGGUCACAAGUGUACACAUUCACAAGUUCCCACUCGCAGUUGGACCCAAUGUAAACAACCCAAUCUCCAAUUGCGCCUGCCCAAGCCUUGCCCUCAAGCGAUGGCAUCUUAACAUCAUAUGUAUCAUUAUCAAGCGGCAUCAACUUGCACAGGGCAAGGCCUCCGUCGUGCCGGCGCCAGUCAUCAGGGUCACGACAAAGAAGAUAGGGGAGAUCAAAUGCUCCUUGACUCUUGGGUUCCUUGUAAUGAUGUUAUCAGUUGAGUCGAGAAUGGGCUUGAACGAACCUGCCAUGCUAGCCGAGGUGAUGACGUCGCACCGAUCAAUGAGUUCCUCCACCACGUGAUCUUUCAGAUCGGGGCAAGAAUAACGGGGUCGUUUCCAACCUCUUCCCUCCAUGGAGAAGACGAUCGAAUAAUGGCAGAAGAAAGGGUGAAGGGCUGAAGGAAAAUGGAGGAGGGAGAGGAAGAGCGUGCGACAACAGUUCCAAAUCGAGAGGGAAAGGUGAAUAGUCGGUGGACGGUUGCCAGUUUGCCACGGUUCACAAAGAGGCGCCCCGGCCUACACGUCCGUUUGGAAAUACUCCUACUACUCGUGUCGUCUCACUGAUAUGUUGGAACGGGACCACAUGUCAACGAAACAUGGUGUGUAAUUUCUCGUGCAAAAUGCGAUCUGGCCGCGUUGGCCCGAGGUGCCGCAUUAGUUUUUUUUUGAAAGUUUGUCGCAUUAGUUAUCGACCUUUAUUUUUUUAACAUGCAAUCUGAAUGGAUAACUCCUGUGGUAAUCACACGUGAGCGGAUAUAGUGAUGGUUGAUUCGCCUGAGCAACUUAUUACUGUGGGAAUAUGGGAGUACCAGCGGAUUCAAGGAACAGACAAAUGAUGGUUGCUUCGUCCGAGCAACUAACUGUGGCGAAGGUGGGGCUCUGUGAUUUGACUGCUCACUAGUCAUUACUACUGCGGCACAACAACCGAGGUGAAUCUUUCCCUGAAGUUGUGUUGUGCACUCAAUAUUGCUGCAUGGCAGGUGGAGUCGGAUGAAGGAUGUCCAAUAUGUCGGCGAAAUGAAGUUGAAUUGUUUCUAGCAUUUCUAUCAAUCCUUCAUGAUUUGUUUAUAUGUACGCAUAAUUUUGAUGAAAUUAUACUGUGAUGCUAUGAAGGUUUCAACUUUGGUUCCCGCAGGAAAAAAAUGUUUCAACUUAGGAUUCAUGUGUCUUGCCUCGAGAUUAUCUCGUUACAACAUUCCAUCAAAUACAAAUGAAACUACCAUGGCUAAUGCAUCUCAAUGGUUCGCAGAUCAGCGCCAAUAUUCACAUCACAACUAAAGACAAAGUUGUGAGAAGGUGUACAAAUAAAGAAAAAAAAUAUAAUUGAUUGAUGAUGUUCGUAGGCAUGGCUCCAUUUCCUUGGCAGAGUGUUCAUUGCUUGGCAUCUAGUUUCACCCAGCUCUAUAGCCAAAAAAGAGGUGUAUGAAGGACACCACAAUCCAAUCAUUUUAUGCAACUCCACUAAAAUCGAGCGGACCAUCCUUGUUUGCAAAGAUAUCCAGUCAGUGUGAUUACAAUAGUAGUGGAACUAGAUGAUGAAACAUAAUACACAUAAAUAGAAGCCGAUCACCUCUACGAUCUCUCUUUAGGACUAACUUCUUGUUGGAGAAGAUUAGGCACGAAGUUGGAUGAGGAGGAUAGCAAAACCAAUCUCCCUUUCCGUAGUCCCACAGAAAUGUAAAAACAUUGCCCGUGUGACAUUUUGGCGGAACUGCACAAAACACUCUUUAGAAAAGUGAUUUGUGCAGUUCACCAAAAGGUCACAAUAGCAACGAGGUGAAACUAGAUAGCCCUGUUUGCAAAAGGAGGUCGAAAGGAAACAAUUACUGCCCAAUAACACGAGUUGAAGACACAUACGCCGACAAAAAAGAAGCAUGGUCCAUGUAAAAAGGGAAAGAUAGCACAUGGUGGUUUAUCAAAAAUGGUUUGAGGACGAGAUUGCAAGAUGGAAAGUACGCCGGCCGAGAUACGAUUUAAGCAAACAACUAAAGAAGAUCCACAUGCAGCAACAUGGCAAGAUGGGCAGUGGAGCAAGGCCGGAGGAAGUUGUACCUGAGGGUCGUCGGCAUGUUACUAGGAGGGCGCCGGCGGCCGGGAUCUGCACAUACUACGACAGCGAGCAAGUGGCGAAGGCCCUACCGCACCGGAGCUUGGUCAGAGAGAACGACGGGUACCGCAGAUCGGGACGAGCUGCCUCAACGCCGUCGAAUGGAGAGACGAUGCACAUCCUCCCUUUCCGCCGGCAGAUGGGAUGCAGCCGGAUCACUGACCAACGCUGAGAGAGAGAGGCCACGGCGGCCUUGUGUGAGAUGGUGUGGCGAGAGACAAACCCAUUUUUACAUUUUGCACACGGCAAUCGUUUUAUAUUCUAGGCGUGGUACCCAACCCUCCUUCGAGUAAACAACCGCUACACGCGUCAAAUUAUCACGUGGGCUGCCUUUUCGUACAGAAACGAACUCCACCGUGUACCCGCGCGGGUGUGGCCGGGAACGAGACGUGAGUACGUGCGUCCUGCGUGCACUUCUUCUUUAGGUGCAGGUACGUACGUGGGUGGGUGUGAGAGAGAUGGUUUGUGCGAAACAGAGGCAAUGUGUUGAUGAUAUCUCAAUCAGAAAACCGUAACAUAUGCAAUGUGUGUGAAACAGAGUCAUGGAGGUGAGAUAUCGAUAGAAUUGAAAACAGGGAUGAAGUGUGUGGCUGCGCGAUCGAUAAAGAGUGCCAUCGAAUUUGUGUUUGCCCACGUCAAAGAUACAGGGCGGCUGGCCUACUGGAAUUUGAGAGGGCAAAGGAGCAGUUCUUCUCCAUGGCAUGGAUACCUACCUACAAUGUUCGACUAUCGGUGUGUUGGGGGGGGGGGGUAGAGACCGGUCGACUAGUAUAUGUGNNNNNNNNNNNNNNNNNNNNNNNNNNNNNNNNNNNNNNNNNNNNNNNNNNNNNNNNNNNNNNNNNNNNNNNNNNNNNNNNNNNNNNNNNNNNNNNNNNNNNNNNNNNNNNNNNNNNNNNNNNNNNNNNNNNNNNNNNNNNNNNNNNNNNNNNNNNNNNNNNNNNNNNNNNNNNNNNNNNNNNNNNNNNNNNNNNNNNNNNNAUAUGUGUGGGGAAGGAGAGAGACCUGGCUAUGUAUUGAGGGAGAUCGAUCGACAUCCAUGGAUAUGUGUAGCAGAGGAAUAAGGUUGGGAAAAAGACAAAGGUAGAGCGUCAGAGGGUUGGUGGUGGAGUGGCGUCUUACAAAUGGUGGGAGAGGCCUGCUAGACAAACGGAGGGUAUGAGUGCAAUAUGAAUAAGAGAGGGCGGGGGAUGUCUGUCUGUCUAUGCACGUGCGUGUGAGAGACGGGUUGGGAGGUAUUCAAGGAUGAUGAGGGGAGAAGAUAUGGUUGUGGUAAGCAUGCGUAACUACAUAGGAAGAUCAACCGUCGUGUGUCCGAGAAAAGGAGAGACAUAACUAGCGAGGUAAGUGUAUCGGUGCUUGGUGAAAACAAAUUAUAGUCGACCUGUCUAUAUGUAGGGAGAUCAGUUCAUAUACACGCCUGUAUAUGUUAGAAGCAAAUAAGAUCCGGAGAGGCAGACAGGGGGAGAGGGUGUGGCUAGGAGGUGGUGCGAGAGGCCUACCAUGUCGAGGGGGGAGCAGUGUGCGAGCAUGUGAUAAAUGAAAAGAGGGGCGGGAGUGUGCACCUACGUGGAAUCGUAUUGGACAUAUGGGGGCAUGGACGGUGAGAAGAGAAGAGGGGGAGUAUAUAUGUGUUUGUUGUAGGCACACUUGGCUAGAGAGGUAUAUCCACCGGUGUGUGCCAGAAAGAAGGAGCCGGGGGCCUACACAAACCGCUGGUGGACAACCUAAAGAGUAAUAUUGAACGUGCACGAUGGAGGGGACACUAAGGGUGUGUGAGGGGGCGGGCAUGUGCAUGCAUGAUAGAAAGUUAGCGCUAGCUAGCUACAAAUAGAAGAGGAUCAUGAAGGUGUAAAAUACGAACAAAGAUCAUAAUUCAUUAUAAAAAAGUGGAUACGGAUACUUGAAGAAGAUAUCAUAAUGUAGAACAUUGAUUAUAAUUUGGGCUAAUGUGUGGCUUUUGCAACUCAGGUCUAAAUACUUGUCAUAAUGUAGGGGGCGGGGCACUAUACUUUGUGUGAUAAACACGGUGUACGUGUGGAACAUGGUUUAGAUUAUGAAUAUAUAGUUAGUACAUCAAAUGUACUAUUAUUUGGAAUCAACAUCAAGUGUAUUCAAAAAAUAGAAUUCGAGUUCAUGUAGUACACAUAGUUCAUAUCUAUCUCUAUAGUAAUCAUGUGGUGUGUUAUUAAGGUAAUACACGAAUGAUGGUUGAAGUUGGCAACAAUCAUGAUUGUAGAGUCUUAUUGAAAUAGAGAAACGAAUUCAAAUGUAGUUCGAAUUGCAGCGGUAGUAUAGACAUUUGGAAUGCACUAAACUAUUGGUAUGCGUAGGUUACAUGCAUUAUACAGCAAGCAAAAAAAUUUAAUCGGACAUAACAUGGAUUCAUACUCCCUCCUUCCAUCUAUAUAGGGCGUAAUGAGAUUUUUAAGACCGCCUUUGACUAUUGACAAGAUUAAUAGUACAUGACAUGCACAAUGUGAAAAUUAUAUCAUUGAAAGAACCUUUCACAGACGAAUUUAAUGGUGUGCUUUGUGUAAGUUGCAUGUCAUAUAUCAUUGCUAUAAUAUUUGGUCAAAGUUAGCAUCGAAAAACGCAUUAGGCCCUAUAUAGAUGGAAGGAGGGAGUACCUUUGAAUAGCAUUUGUAUAGUAAAACGGGGCAAGACUCUCUCUUUGUGUGGUGUGAAUAGUUUUAUUUUUUUCGAUUUCUUUUAGCUUGAGAGAAGUGUGAAUUGAUUUGGUACGUACAAGUACAAUAUUACUACACGUUAGGCUUGUCCCUAAAAUUCAACCCGCGUCUUGUUAAAUCCCGAAAAUUCAGAUAUCGUGCUCUCAAAACUGGCGCCUUCACAACCCGCGCCUUGCUAUCCCGAAAUUACAACGCGCGCGAAAACUCCCUCCAGCUGCCAAAUCCCGACACGUGAAAUCCCCCUUCUAACCCUGAGCCGAAAGGUCCGCUAGUUCAAAUCGGUGGGGGGUACUUUUGUAACACACCCUACAUUUUGGACAAGCGCGUCCCUAAGUCAUGCUUCACCCCCCCCCUCAUCGCCCCCUUUUUGCCAUUCGAAAUCCCAGGCCGCCAUAACCUCUCCGCUCCAGCCGCGAAACCCCACCCUCCUCCAUCCGCCACCUCACCGCUCCCAGCCGGAGCCUCUUCCCCGACGACAUUGUCCACCGCAAUAGCUCGACGUCCCUCGCCCACCUCCCCGGAUGAGGAUCUAUCAUCCAUCUCGCCGUCCCGCCGGUUCAGCCGCCCCGUCCUCCACCUCCAAGGAGCUGCUCCGACAAUCGCCUCGUCUAUUGCGGCUGCUCCAUCCCCACAGCGUCGCCUUAACCUGCUCCACCGGAACUGCAGCAUCCUCAGCGAAUCCUCGGAUGAAGUCGAGGCCUACUCGGCACUACCAAAGAGGUUGUACACUCAUCGCAUCGCACCUUCUCCUUAACUCGACCUCCCGGCGCCGACGGUGCUCCAUCCGGCACCCCCAUGGAGCGGCUACCUUGAAGCCGGCGCCGCGAGCGACAUCUCCACGGCGGCUCUCCCCCAGUGUGAGGCCCCUUUGGCAGCAGCGUCCAUACCAGCCAGAUCUGCUGCUGCUGCUCCGGCACUCACUCGAUCGCUCGAUCGCCCAGCUGUUGCUGCUCCGGCUCUCACUCGCGCGCUCGUGCUGCUGCUGCAGCUCUCCCCCUCGCUCGCUGGAGUUAAGGUAGAACCACCCGCAGCAGGGACAGGGGCUCGCCGGAGAGGUACCCCACUAUCUAUCUUAGGGUUCAGGGUGGGGGGCGUGGGGCCUAGAGGGCUGGCCGGGGCGGCGGUGGGGAGUUGUUUCGGGGCGGCGAGGUGGCACUGGGGCCGGCGGUUUGGCCGGUGGUGGCUGGCGGCUCAGGGGGGUGCAGGUUGAAGAUGAACUGCAGGCCCUCCCUAAACUACAUGUCAAGCGCCUCUCUGCUACCAUUGCGUUCAGUUUCGAUAGCAGCAUUCAGAUUCCACAGUAAAUUUUAGUUUCGACAGUUAAAUUCAGAGUCAACAGUUUUUACCUCAUCUGUUGUAGUCAGGUGGUUUUUGGUGAUGUAAAUUUUACAUCAAUUUUACAUCAUCUAUUGGAGAUGCUAUUAGAAUCCCACUUGAGAUUGACGAUGUCUAUCUUGUGCUACUUCAGCCUUGAUGUCUUACGGCUCACCGGAGCUGCUCCAACGACAGAAUGAUCCAUCACAACAGAGCAGUGCCCUGGACGCCUUCUACAGAUUCCUCAGAUCUUCCUCCACACCUCCGACAGCCACCUCUGCCUCAACUGCUUCAGCGAUCAACCCAAUGAUGCUGAGGUCGACACGACUACGGCAAAGAGGUUGUACACUUGUUGCAUCACUUAUUACUAUACAUUCACGUCGAUCCAUUAGGGCUAUUUUGGUUCAACGGAAAAACAUAGCAAUAGGGAAUUUUCCAAUGGCACUCUACUAUUCAAUUAUUCAUGCAUUUUAUUGAAAGUAAUGAAGCAAAACAUCCACCUGGACCUACUUUUCAAAAUCCUAUGCAUGAAAACAAGACCAAGUGCAUUAGUGCCAGAAUAACAUUCUAACUGUACACACUUUCAUAUGGUUUCACUUUAUUUUGGCCAUGUUUCUUUGCAUUCCUCUACUCUUCCAAUUCCUGUAAACCAAAAACCCAAGUUGACAGAAAUCCUGUGUUUACAAAUGCUCUAUUUACCAUGUGCAUUUUCCUAUCCUAUUUCGGUAUUUUUCCUAUCCCUGCGUUUUAAGACUCAUGCAAGCCAAAUGAGCCCUUACAGAAUUACUUCAGUUACAGGUACGUGUCGAAGGGAACUUUGUGUGGUUUGUCCUGCUCCUGCUGUGACGUCGUCCACCUCACCUGAGAUGCUCCAUCGACAGAAGCAUCCACCAAACCAGACACACGACUCCUAACCGUCUUUCGCCGCCUCAGAUCUCCUUCCCUGCCACCGGCACCCACCUCAACGGCAUCACCAUCAUCGACUCAGCAGCUGAACCUGAGGAGUACACGGGUCCACAAGAGAGGUCGCACUCUUUUGUUUCUACUUAUGUUAUGCAUUGCUUAAACUUACCUGCUACUUUAUCGUCCUGUUCAACUCUUGGACUCCCAAGUUAGGUCCAAAUUAAUGUUCAAACUUGAGUUCUAAAUUAGUUGUGGGGCACAUAUCGAGGCAGCAAUGAAUAGUUUGUCUGUCUAAUAUCUAGUUCACCUAGGGUAUACCUAUGUUGUUCAUCUUGGAUGGAAACAAAUAAUAAAGCAAUCAUCAUCUGCCUUAAUUUAAAGCAAUCAUUAGCCUUCUUAUCAUUAUUUUUGGUUCCAUCCACUGGUUGUUACCAUCACUCUAAAUUUCUGCAUGCUCUCCUUACAUAAUCUCACCAUAUUUUUUCGUAUGCAUGUCAGAUAUUGUACACAGUCAUGCUGAACAUGUAGAGAAAAAGAGAAGAGUUUUGCACGGCAAUACAAUGUCAUGCAGACAUCGCUCCAUGGUGGGUUCAAUGGCAAACCCUCCCCACCCCUCUCCAGAUUGUAAUCCAGAGGAAGAUAUCUGUUCUGAGGCGGAUUCAGACGCCGCUGACCACUCCUAUUUACCCCCCAAGGUGUUUGCUCUACCUUGGCAUGAUGAUGUUAGUCAUAUCAUGCAUAUGUUGCCUUGCAGUGCCUACUUUUGACGUCAUAUAUGUCAUCUGCCUAGCUUAGACAUGUUCUGUAAUGCCACCUAUUUAGUUUCUAUAUCAUAUAUGAGAAUUAUGCAUUCUCAUGUCUUUUAGCCAGCCAUAAUAUAUGUGAAAUGUGCAAUGCCAUCCUGUUUAACCAGGCAUCAUAUAUUUGAAUGAUAUCUUGCCCAUCCUUUUCUUCAUUACAUUUCCAUUUGUCGACAAUGUUUGUACAUUAAACUACUCUUCCUGUGAAUCAACCAUUUGGGUGGGAGAUGGAAAAAUCUGGAGUGAAAACAAGGCCUUCAGAGCAGACAGUGCUACCUGUCGAAGCAGAUCUCUUGUUGGGUCCCGAUAGCUCCUCAGAGAUGGAUUCGGAGAAAUAUGACCAGUCCUAUUCCCCCACUGAGGUGUAUGCUCUAACUUGGCACGGUUAUACUGCUCAUAUCAUGGAUAUGGUGUCUUGCAUUGCAUAGUUUAGACAUCAUAUACACAAUAUUCAACACCAUGUUCUUAGUUCAGACAACAUAUCGAAUGCCCUAUGUUUAGCAUAUAAAUCACAUAUGUGAAUUAAAUGAUGCGAUCCUGAUUACUUAGAUAACAUGUAGGUGAAUAAUGUCAUGCGAUCAUGUUUAGUUAUUCAUCAUAUCUUUGAAUUAUGUUAUGCUAUGCUAUCCAGUUUAGAUAGACAUCAUAUAUGUGAAAUUAUGUAAUGCUAUCCAUUUUAGUUAAACAAUAUACAUGUCAACUAUUUCAUGCCCUCUUUUUUCCACACUAUCUAUUGCAUCUGUCUCUCAUACAAUGUCUGUACAUUCAACUAUGUUUCCUGUUUAUCAGCCAUUUGAAUUGGAGCGGGUGAUGCCAGUAUCUAGCAGACUAAAAACACGGCCUUCAAAUAAAAUAGUGCUACCUCUUGGUGCAGAUAGCACCCCGGUUGUACAUGCACAAGAACCAGCCCUACCACACAUAACCCAAACUCUCAUAGAUUGUACCCCUACUGCGAUGGACAGAGAACCAGCUUCAACCAAUCUAACCCCAGCCGAUAGUAACCCAGUUCCUGUUGACACAUCACCAUCUCCACCACAGAGCUCCCAAACAAGAGCAGUUAGUAAGGCAGCUCUAGUGCCCAAAGGGCCAGUACUAUCACGGCGAACCCCAACUCCACCAGUUAGUACGCCUAUUCCUGUGGAGGAAGCACAACCAGCUAGUCGUAGUUUAGCAUCUAUCACAUUUGAUGUUGUUAAAUCGUAUGUGCGUAUCUUCCCAUCUUGGAAAUAUUAUACUGAAGAUGAAGGAAAAUGCCAGUUGCAGGUGUUUGUCUAGGAGUUAUGUGUAAGUAAUCUUAUUCAUGGCAAUUACUUUGCUUCGUCCCAUACAUCCUACCUCCAUGAUGGUUAUAAUACAGCAAAUUUUCCCAUUUUUCUCUAUAGAGAAGGACCGAUUUGGAAACUCAAGAUGAGGUAACCUGUGCUAAUACCUCUGCUAUCUUCAAGAAUGCUUGGUGGCAGUAUCGGAAUUACCUGAAGAAAACGUACUUCACCGGCAAAGAAACUCAUCAAAUUCCCUUACGUUCUCCUGAGACACAUUUACUGGACGAUGACUGGGAACGCCUUGUUCUGUACUGGUCCCGAACCAAGAAUGUGGUAAGGUCUAUGAGCUCAUUUUCUAUUUUUAAGUAUUAUAUUCUUGCGUCUUACUAUACUCUGUUCAUGUAGAACAAGUUCCUAAACCUGAAGAACAACCGUUCUAAUUUAAGAUUCCAUUGCUAUCAUAGUUCAAAAAAGUGCUAGGCGUUAAUUGUGCGUUUUGCCACCGCCUUGCGCUUUACUGACCAAAGCGCAUGCUUAUGCGCAGUUAUGCACAGAUUAAGCAUAGUUAUGCACAAUGCGUUUUGCCAACGCCUAGAGCCUAGGCGCGCUUAAGCGCUCGCUUAGGCGCGCCUUUUUUAACUAUGAUUGCUUUUCUCUUGUAUCACUGUAUUUACUCAUACAAACUUAUUUUUAAAUUGAAGGAUCCAAACGAAACUCCAAUGGCACAACAGGUAUGUUCACGCAUGUUCCUUUAAUAGGUUUGCUCUUAUCAAUAGCUCUGUUGAUUUCAAUUUCAAUUGUGUAUACAGUUGACUUGCAUAUCAUGCACAUUACUAGCAUCACAACAGAGCUAGUAGUAUUGUUGUACAUGUAGACCCGUGGUACCCAUCUGAAAUCUUGUUGUGCCAUGUAGUUUCCCAUGCUUUGUAUUCUUUCACUGCUGCUUUGUCUUGAACUGAUAUGAUUUGAACCGUGUCUCUAUUUUGAUUUGGAAAGACAAUGCAGUGACCAUAGGACAUAGAUAUAUGUUUGUUUGAUGCUUUUAUUAUGUACUAGUACUUGGAAAUAGAAGACUUGAUCAUGUCCACCUUACUAAUGAACUGGUUCACCGAAAUGAGUUUCAUAUACUAGUACAUGCUAAACUUGUUAUGUGUCUGCUUGUUUCUUCUUUUAGAAUGCUGACAGAAUAUUGGGGAAGAGUGCCUUGUUAAGCAAUGGUAAAGGAAGUAAUGCAGAUAAGGUUCAGGAUAGUGACACAUCCUUGUUGGUCUCCAACAAAGCUGAUAAAACAACUAAGGAAGACUAUCUUGAAGACAGCGAGACAACCCCAAAGUCUUGUCUUGGUUUAGUGUUCGAGUUACUGGCCACUACCGCUUGCACAAGCUAUUCAAACUCACUGUCUGAAUCAGUUCGGUUUCUUGAGUCUCAACUACAAGCUGAAAGACAUCGAUCAGCUGUGCUGCGACAAGAAGCGUAAGGACUGCGAAAGUCCCUGGAACAUUCAGAUGCAUACUUUCUGGUGCAACAGCAAGCGUUGGAGGAUUUUAGCACCAAACAGGACAAAGCUAAUAAGCUUGCUAAGCUUAUUGCCAGCAUGGUGGGUACCCAGGAUAACGUUUCUUGAGCUCUUCCAAAGUUGUUUCAGUUAUGCUCUUGUUUUGCUGCCGCGUUUAUUUGCACUGGUGGCCAAUUUUGACGGCCAGUGUAUGUAAUAUGUUGCUUUGUUCCCUAUAUUUGCACUGGAGGUGAACUUUGAUGCCCAGUGGAUGUAAUAUGUGUAAUAGCGGUAAUAGGCUAGUGUUUAUUGCUUGCUUAUUUAUUUCCUUAUUGUCUUGUUUAGUUGUUUGCUUGUAGUCACUGCAGUUCUUUUUCUGUGUUUUUCUAGUGGCCACAAUAGCCUAUUUUUGGUAACUAGGCCAAAAUAAUCAUGGCAACACACGGACUGUUGUAACCAUGGGCCUCCUGCAGGCCGUAUGAUCCAUGGGCCUUCUUCGAGCCGUAGGAUCCAUUGGCCUUCUAUACGGGCCGUAGGAUCCAUUGGCCUUCUAUACGGGCCUAGGAUUCAUGGGCCUUCUACGGGCCGUAGGGUCCAUGGGCCUUCUACGGGCCGUACGAUCCAUGGGCCUUCUAUGGGACAUACUUUUCAUGGGCCUCAUAUGGGCCGUAGGAUCCAUGGGCCUUCUACGGGGUGUAUCAUCAAUCCGCCAAUCAUGGGUCGUACUAUUCAUGGACCAUAACGGGCCAUUAAUAGGCCGUAUUCGAUAACUCUAUGAAAACAGCCCAACGGGUUUUUUUUGACAUGAAAACGGCCCAACGUAUUAACGGUCCGCAAACGGGCCGACUGUAACGACAGGCUAAAUUUGGCCCAUAAGCAGAAAAUGACAGUAACGGGCCGUAUGUAACCGAAUGCUGCAAAUGAGCCCAAGAAUCUAUGGGCCCUGAGAAGGCCGAAAGAUAAGUUGGGCUGGAAACGGCCCAAUGGAAUAACGGGCCGUUAAUGGGUAUAAAGUGAUACACUGUUCAUUACGGGCCAGUUUCACCACGGGCCUUUAAUGGGCCAAGAGUUACAAAGGGCCUCAUAUGGGCCGAAAGAAGUCAUGGAACACACAGGGGCUGAAAGUUAAAACGGGCUGGAAUCAUAUUGGACGGCCCAGAUGACGCUACUGGGCCUAAUUCGGAUAGGGCGUAACGGCCCUGGGUUAGCGGGCUGUAAAUGGGCUAUAUGCGAACAGGCCGUUAACAGGCUUUCCAUGGGCCGGCCCGCCACCUUUUGACCAAGUCAAACAGGCCGGCCUUUUCAUAGGAAUGGGCCUCUGUUGGGUUGUGCCAUGUGUUGCCGUAUCAUAGGCGCCUUUUGUCCAAUGAGCGGAUGGCAUCUGUCCCAACGGUGAGCCGACACGUGUUUCCUCCAGCCAAUGAUGAUUUUACACGUGGAAAAUCCCCAUUAGUCGGGGAUGUUAACGGGUUAUCGGAUCCAAAACCUGACCCGAUAGCUUAACGGCGUUCCGUUACGGUGGAUGCCAGGUGUCGGUCACCCUUGACGAAAGCACUUCUGUGACACGCGAUUUAUCGUCAUGGAAGUGGACACUUCCGUGAUGAUAAUUUUGGUAAUGUCAUGGAACACUUCUACGACAGCACAUGUAUGACUAUCUUGAUUCUGUCAUAAAAUCGUGAUGGAUGUACAUGCAUGACAAAAAACGCGACCUACUGUGACAAACCCGUAUCAUCACAGAACUGUAUUUUUUUGUAGUGUAUCGUCAUGAUUAUUCACUUUUCUAUCAAGUACCCAACAGUAAUUUGUUUACCCACCGUAUGCUGUUUUCAAGAGAGAAGCCUCUAGUGAAAACUAUGGCCCCCGGGUCUAUUUUCCAUCAUACUAAAACCAAAAAUACCUUCUUGCAAUUUUUCUUUCUUUAUUUUGUUUUGUAUUUUUGUGAAAUCUAUAUCUAUAACCAUAUAAUUUAAUCUUGCAAGUAACCACCAAGGGAAUGACAACCCCUUAUUCACGUUGGGUGCGAGGAUUUGUUAUCUUGUGUGUAGGUACUAUUAACGAGGUGUUACGUGGUUAUCCUACUAGAUUGGUAACCUUGGUUCUUAACUGAGGGAAAUACUUAUCUCUACUGUACUUCUUCAUCCUCUCCUCUUCGAGGAAAUCCCAAUGCAACUUACAAGUAGCAAACAUUCAUCUCCAUUCCACAAGAGUAAAUUUCACAGAUCAAAAAUAAAAAAAUUCUAAUUCUUCUAGUAGGGAUAGUUCUUCCCUCAAAUUAUUUGUUUUUCUUCCUCAAACACCAAAAGAAUUAGAACCCCUUGAAUUUCUUGAUAUUAAUAUUAAUAAUAUCUAUAUGAUAUCUAGAAUUAACUACCAAUGUUUGUCUACCAGGGGCAUGAUAUCCUUAUCGUUGAGCCAACUAAGCUCAAACCUAAAUUCUCUGUUGUGAGAAGAAAUAGUUUUGUUGUCCUAAGUGUCAAGCAAUGAUGAACAAUGGUUAGAAAAUUUCCUAACCAAUUUCCUAACAUUAGUUUGAGAAAAAAUUCCUACCAAUAACUAGACAUAAUAAUUAUGUCUGGUUUCUCAAGGGUAGGGAUCUGAAAUCUGAUGGUUCUUGGAUCGGGUGUGCAAGCCCGAGCUUAAAUCGAUUUCUCUCAAGCAAAGAGUGUUGUCAAUAAAGUUAAAUAGACUAGAAGAAUGAGAUAAUAUGUUUUUCAUUCAUUUCACCCUCAUGUCUUAAGAUAUUGAAAUCCCCUUCCAAAAUAUAGGGCGUCUCCAUGGCAUUACAAACUCAACCAACUUAGUGAAAAUUCAGUUUUAUGCUCCUCAUGAGCGGACCCAUAGACUACUACGAGCGCCCAUCUCAUCUUUUUCUGCAUCACAUAUUUCCCAUCUUGAAUUCACUUCUAGUGAUUCAUGUCCAACGCUUAGGAUGGCCUAAGAUUUUAUCAAUUCAUGAAAAAACACCACCAGGAUCAAACUUCAUACAAAAACUCAACAAGUAGUCUCUCUUCAUAGUGUCAUGUAAUACAAAGAAAUAUAGGUAAUGAUCUUUGAUCCACAUAAACAGGUCUUCAUUCCCCCCUACAAUUCCAUAAGAGACCUACAAAUUUUAUCUACCACCGGUGGUAGUUACCACCACUUGAGUUUUGUAUGUUGUAUGUAGUAUCUAUCAAAUUGGAGAGUAUGUACGUACGCGUAAUAUGUAGUAUAUUAGAAUGUUUAGGUACUAUAUAUACUACUUAUUAGGUAGUAUGUAUCGUAUUUUAAGUAUGCUUCUUUUUACGUACAUAUAUGUACAUAUUUGUGACACCCCCGAUUCAAUCAUACACUAAUCAUACAUGCAAACGUGUACGGUCAAGAUCAGGGACUCACGGGAGGAUAUCACAACACAACUCUAAACACAAAUAAAAUGAUACAAGCUUCAUUAUACAAGCUAGGGGCCUCGAGGGAUCGAAUACAAAUGCUCAAUCAUAAAUCAGCGGAAGCAACAAUAUCUGAGUACAAACAUUAAGUUAAACAAGGUUCCAUAAGAUGGCUAGCACAAACAUGGAUACAGAUCGAAGAGGCACAAGCCUCCUGCCUAGAAUCCUCCUAAACUACUCAUGGUCGUCGGCAGUCUACACGUAGUAGUAGGAUCCGUUGGUGUAGUGGUAGUCGUCGUUGGUGGUGUCUGGCUCCUGGGAUCCUCCAUCUGACCGCAGCAAUCGGGUAUAGAAAGGGAAAAGAGGUGGCAAAGCAACCGUUAGUACUCAUCCAAAGUACCCGCAAGACUUACAUCAAAUCUAUGCUACAUUUGCAUUAGUAUCAAUGAAAGGGGUAGUAACUGUGGACUAAACUGUAGAAUGCCAGAAUAAGAAGGGGAGAAGCUAGUCCUAUCAAAGACUGCGCUUCUGGUAGCCUCCAUCUUGAAGCCGUAGAAGAGAGUAACAAGUAUAGUAACAAGUGACAUCGCAUAACAUAAUCCUACCUAGCAAUCCUCUCCUCGUUGCUGUGUGGAGGAGCAAUCACCAUGUUAUAUCUGGAACUUGUAAGGGGUGUGUUUUAUUAAGUAUCCGGUUUUCUUUGUAAGAGGUCAAAGUACAACUCCAAGUCGUCCUGUUACCAUGGACACGACUAUUCGAAUAGGUCAAUCUUCCCUGCAGGGGUGCACCACAUUAUCCAACACGCUUCAUCACUCUGGCUGCACACACUUUCCUGGGUCAUGCCUAAUGACCCACAAGUAUAGUGGAUCAAUAUUAGUCCUUUCGAUAAGUAAGAAUGUCGAACCCAACAAGGAGCAGAAGGAAAUGACAAGCGAUUUUCAGCAAGGUAAUUUCUGCAAGCACUGAAAUUGUCAGUAACAGGUAGUUUGAUAGCAAGAUAAUUUGUAACCAGCAAGUAACGGUAACAGUAAAAAAAGUGCAGCAAGGUAGCCCAAUACUUUUGUGGCAAAGGACAGGCCAAAACGGUCUCUUAUAAUAAGCAAAGCGUUCUUGAGGACACACGGGAAUUUCAUCUAGUCACUUUCAUCAUGUUGGUUUGAUUCGCGUUCGCUACUUUGAUAAUUUGAUAUGUGGGUGGACCGGCGCUUGGGUGAUGUUCUUACUUGAACAAACUUCCCACUUAUGAUUAACCCCCUGGCAAGCAUCCGCAACUAUGAGAAAAGUAUUAAGAUAAAAUCUAACCAUAGCAUUAAACAUAUGGAUCCAAAUCGGCCCCUUAUGGAAUAGCGCAUAAACUAGGGUUUAAGCUUUUGCCACUCUAGCAACCCAUCAUCUAAUAACUACUCCAUAAUGCAUUCCCUUAGGCCCAAAGAUGGUGAAGUGUCAUGUAGUUGACAUUCACAUGACACCAUUAAGGGAAUCACAACAUUCAUAUCAUCAAAAUAUCAAACACAUAUCAAAUUCACAUGAUUACUUGCAACAUGACUUCUCCCGUAACCUCAAGAAGAAAAGCAACUACUCACAAAUGAUAUUCAUGCUCAAGAUCAGAGGGGUAUUAAAUAGCAUAAUGGAUCUAAACACAUAAUAUUCCACCAAAUAAACCAUAUAGUAAUCAACUACGAGAUGUAAUCAACACUACUAGUCACCCACAUGUACCAAUCUAAGGCUCCGGUACAAAGAUUGAACACAAGAGAUGAACUAGGGUUUUAGAUGAGAUGGUGUUGUUGAAGAUGUUGAUGAAUAUUGGCCUCCCAAAGAUGAGAGGGUUGUUGGUGAUGACGAUGGCUUCGAUUUCUCCCUCUGAGGGAAGUUCCCCCGGCGGAAUCGCUCUGCCGGAGGGUAAAAGUGCUCCUGCCCAAAUUUCGCCUCAAGACGUCGGCGCUCCGUCCCGAAAGUCUUCUCCUUCUUUUUUCUAGGUCAAAAGACCUUAUGUACCAUAAGAUGGGCACCAGAGGUGGGACGGGCUGCCCACAACCCACCAGGGCACGCCUGGGGGGCCUGGCUUGCCCUUGUGUCUUGUGGGCACCAGGUGGCCCCCUCCGGUAGUUAUUUGCUCCAGUAUUUUUAAUAUAUUCCAAAAUAACUCUCCAUAAAUUUUCACCUCAUUUGGAGAUGUGUAGAAUAGGUAUCUUUGACAUAGCUUUUUUAGGUCCAAAGUUCUAGCUGCCGGCAUUCUCCCUCUUUGUGUAAACCUUGCAUAUUAUGAGAGAAAGGCAUUAGAUUUACUCCAUAAAGCAUUAUUAUGAAUAAAACCAUUAUAAAUAAUAGUAGGAAAACAUGAUGCAAAAUGGAUGUAUCAAUGCCCAGCCUCGGAAGAUCAACACGUCACAACCCUACCUAGGCUCAACACAGAGGCCAACACGCCGGUCUACAUCCUAAGCGCGCAGGGUUCUUGGGCCCAUUGCCUAUUGCACUCCUACACGUUGCAAGGGCGGCCGGAUCAGUCCUGGCAACCUGCACUACAAGGUAGUUGCUUUACACAGACCAUGUAGGUGCACGCCACUCAAUCGCUGACGUCUAGAAAGCUUUGGCUGAUACUAUGAUGCCGAUUGCCCAUAUCUUGUCCCAUGUGACGGUUAGUGUGUAUAUGGCCAACGACCAACUCGGAUCAAAUAACCAAAUCUCGUUAAGCAUGUUAUUUGAUGUAACCAGGCCCACCUCUCUCCUGGGUGGUCUCAACCUGCCAUGUCGCUCCGCCACAAAGUAACACUCGGGGGCCGUCGGGAACCCAGGCCCACCACUACCCGGGUGGAACCACCUGUCCCUUCAGCCCCCAUAUCCGAACAGUAACAUAAGUAAUGUAAUAGUAUAUAUAGUAUAUACCCGUGAUCACCUCCCGAAGUGAUCACGGACCGGUAGUAUAGUAUGGCAGACAAUAGUGUAGAUCCACUUAUGUAAUAUUAGCAUCCUAUACUAAGCAUUUACGAUUGCUGGUGAAGGUAACAACAGUAGUAGCGAAGACAGGCUAUGCAGCAGAAUAGGAUUAUCCGAAAAGCAGUAACAACUACACUACUUUAAUGCAAGCAGUAUAGAGAAGGAAUAGGCAGUAUCGGGAUGAUCAAGGAGGUUUUAUUUUCCUGGAAGUGAUGACCCACAAGUAUAGGGGAUCAAUCAUAGUCCUUUUAAAAAGUAAGAGUGUCGAACCCAAAGAGGAGCAGAAGGAAAUGACAAGUGGUUUUCAGCAAGGUAUUAACUGCAAGCACUGAAAUAGUCGGUAACAGGUAGUUUGAUAGCAAGAUAAUAUGUAACGAGCAAGUAACGGUAAUGGUAAAUAAAGUUCAUCAAGGUAUCCGAAUCCUUUUGAGGCAAAGUACAUGCCAAAACGGUCUCUUAUAAUAAGCAAAGCAUUCUUGAAGGUACAUGGGAAUUUCACCAUGUCACUUUCAUCAUGUUGGCUUGAUUCGUGUUUGCUACUUUGAUAAUUUGAUAUGUGGGUGGAUUGGUGCUUAGGUGUUGUUCUUACUUGAACAAACCUCCUACUUAUGAUUAACCCCCUCGCAAGCAUCUGCAACUACGAGAAAACUAUUAAGAUAAAAUCUAGCCAUAGCAUUAAACUUUUGGAUCCACAUCAGUCCCUUACGAAGUAGCGCAUAAAGUAGGGUUUAAGCUUCUGUCCCUCUGGCAACCCAUCAUCUAAUAACUACUCCACAAUGCAUUCCCUUAGGCCUCAAUAAGGUGAAGUGGCAUGUAGUCGACAUUCACAUGACACCACUAAGGGAAUCACAACAUACAUAUCAUCAAAAUAUCGAACACAUAUCAAGUUCACACGAUUACUUGCAACAUGACUUCUCCCGUAACCUCAAGAACAAAAGUAAUUACUCACAAAUGAUAAUCAUGCUCAAGAUCAGAGGGGUAUUAAAUAGCAUAAUGGAUCUGAACAUAUAAUCUUCCACCAGAUAAACCAUAUAGUAAUCAACUACAAGAUGUAAUCAACACUACUAGUUACCCACAAGUACCAAUCUAAGGUUUUGGUAUAAAGAUUGAACACAAGAUAUGAACUAGGGUUUGAGAGGAGAUGGCGCUAUUGAAUAUGUUGAUGAAUAUUGGCCUCCCAAAGUUGAGAGGGUUGUUGGUGAUGAUGAUGGUGAUGAUUUUCCCCUUCGAGAGGGAAGUUCCCCCGGCGGAAUCGCUCCUCUGGAGGGAAAAAUUGCUUCUGCCCAAGUUCCACCUCGAGAUGCCGCCGCUUCAUCCCGAAAGUCCUCUUCUCGUUUUUCUAGGUCAAAAUGACUUCUAUUCCAGAAGAUGGGCACCGGAGGUGGGCCGAGGAGGGCAUAACCCACCCGGGUGCGCCUGGGCUCCCUGGCAUGCCCGGGUGGGUUAUGCCCACCUGGUGCCCUCCUCCGAUAGUUAUUUUCUCUAGUAUUUUCAUAUAUUGUAAAAUAAUUCUCCAUAAAUUUUUCAUCUCAUUUGGAGAUAUGCUGAAUAGGUAACUCUGACGUAGCUUUUUCAGGUCUAGAAUUCCAGCUGCCACUAUUCUCUCUCUUUUUGUAAAUCUUGCAUAUUAUGAGAGAAAAGAUAUUAGAAUUACUCCAAAAAGCAAUAUUAUACAUAAAACACUAUAAAUAACAAUAGGAAAACAUGAUGCAAAAUUGACGUAUCAGGAAGCUCUGCGGGAAAGGACGGGUCGUCAGGAGCGUAGCCGACGUAUGGAGCAGCAGCGUCGGACUCGUAGUCUACCGGAGAGAAGAGGGGCAAGAAACAAUGAAUACAAUGCAAACAGGUGCAUGACAAGGCAAAUAGUGGUGCUAUGUGUGACCAACGCAGUACUACGCGAUAUGGGUGAAGUGGGAAAACAUCCGGGAAAGUAUUCCCGGUGUUAGGCAUUUUCGGACAGAUGAAACAGAGGGGGUCGGUUCCAUGUUUGCUAUGCUAGGGACGCGUGGCAGAUGAACGGAGCGCAUAUUCAUGUACAAAGUAUUUUCAUCCGAGUUACAAAUUAUUUUAUAUUAACUUUCAAAGUUUUAAUUCAUUUUUGGAAUCAACAGAUUUAAUUUAAAUCAAAAUUCAUUUAAUGCAACAACAUGACAUCAGCGGUCAACAUUGACCGUUGACUGGUCAAACUAACGUGUGGGCCCGCUAUCAUUGUCAUAGCUUUAAUUAAACAAAACUAAUUAAGUAAUCAGGUAAUUAGGGUUAAUUAGACAGAAUUAAUUAAGUUUAUUAAUUAAUUCACUAACUAAUUUAUUAUUUAUUCAUUUAAUUAAUUCUUUUUUCUUUUUAAUUUAUAUUUUGUUCCAGGGCGUGGGGCCCCGACGCCAGUGGCCCAGGGCCAUAGCGGGUGUGGGCUAUCGGGUGCCCGCACACCCGAGGCCACCAGGGGAGGGGAGCGCCGGCCAUGGAGGCGGUGCAGAGUAGUGGGAGGGGGCGGCGGAGCCGGGGCAGAGCAGUAGUAGCGGGCGGGGCAGGCAAUGGCUAGUAGGGCGAGCGGGGGAAUGGAUGGCACGCGGGCGCACACGCGGCGGCGCGAGCAGGGCGUGGCCCGACAAGCAUUGGACGCGGCCAGGGCAGCCAUGGCGUGACCAAGCGGCCGGAAAGGGCAGCGGGCGACCACGGCCAACCGCGGCGAGGCCGCGUACGGGUUCGGGGCAGCUCGGGCAGGGGAGAGCAUGCGGGGGAAGGAGGGCGCAACGAGCAUGCGCUGGGCGCGGCGAGGGACGGUGUGGGUGCACACGCUGGACGAGCGGCCAGAGUGGGCGGCGGUCAUGGCAGGGAGAGGGGGAAUGGGUGGAGGAUGUGCUCACGGGCGUCGUGAGGCAAGAGGUCGAUGAGGCAUGAAGAGUCCGUUCGGGGAGGAGGGUCGAGGAGGCGACAACAGGGCGGCAAGGUCCAGCGAGGUGGCUCCGGGCGGCGGAGGCGAUGGAGUUCGGCGACGGGGCGCGGGGUCGUUGCCCUGGUUCCCCGAUCCAUACAGGAUUGAAGAGAGAGGGGCGAGUGCGGGUAGCAGGGAAGGGGGAUUAGGGUUUGUGGGUAGUGGGGGGUUAUAGGCGUCGGUUGGGCUGGCCUAGUUGGCCCAGAGGACGGUUGGGCUGGCUUGGUUGGCCCAGAAGCCAGCUGGGCCGUGGCCCAGUGGGGGGAGGGUUCUUCCUUCUUUUUAUUUUUUGUUUAUUUUUCUUUUUCUUAUUUUAUUUUUCUGUUUUAUCUAAUUUUAGUUUUACAAAAUACAAAAGUUGUACCUAAAAUAUUAUUAGUAAUUAUGCCACUACCACAAUUAAUUUGGCACCUAAAAUAAAUAGUUUGUAAUUGUUUAUUACUUUAAAAGCAUUUAAACAAUUGUUUUAUCGGUGUUUUAAUUAAUUUAGAGCAUUUAUAUAUUUUACAAAAAAUGUGUUGUGUCCUCCAUUAUUACUUAUGAUUUAUUUUCUACAUUUAGAACAUUUUAGUUUUAAUGUUCUAAAACUUUUAUUGCUUGCCUUGAUUUUGAAUUUGAAUUCGAACGAGAUUUGAAUCAUCGUGAGAUUAACAACAGUAAUCAUGGUGACGUGGCAUCAUUAGUAGAGGGUUACUGUAGCUUAAUUAUCAGGGCGUUGCAAUUCUCCUCCACUACAAGAAAUCUCAUCCCGAGAUUUAAGAGGUGGAGUAAGGGGGAAAGUUCUGGUUGCGAAAUUCUAACGGAUCUUCUCGGUCUUGGUUGCUCUACUCGAAGAAGUUUAUCCCUUCUGUUGACGUCUUCACCCCUCUGCUCCGGGUCACCAGAUGAAGUCUUCAUUCUUUCUUCGGGUCCUUCCUUGUACUAACGAAUAGGGUAGAAGGGGGGAAAUAUGAGGGCAGAUGUGUGGAAGGAUUGACAUUCGGUAAUUAUCUCAAGAAUGAGAUAUAGAAGCACUAUGAAACAUAUCGAGAGUGCUAUAAGAAGGUUCAACAAGUUUCAACCUGGUAGACACCCAACUGAUGCCUAAAACAGGUGAUGAAGGGGUUCAAAACAAUGAGAUUAAGUAUUGCGUCUAAUACCAGAAUAAAUCACUAGGAAGGUGGCUCGUGAAUUAUAUUCAAAUCCAAGCGUGAGGAAUAACUUUAGAAACAGGGGUGUAUAGGAGAGUCAGGUUUUGAUCCUAUGGAACUGUGGGUUAUGGGCCUACCAUGUGGGUUAAAAGUAGGAAAGGCGCUGACAUCUUGCAUGGUCAUGAUAACAAGGCAUGUCAGAGGAUAGCCUAUCAGGUAUGUUCGCAACAACAUUGGUACUAAGGGCGAGGGACGAAGAGAACCAUUUUCCUGCUCGUUGAAACAAGGCGGACCUAUAUGCAAAGUUCUCAUCCAUCGAUGGUUAUAGGAAUUCCAUCAACAAUAGUAAUAGGGUCUUACAGACAGAGUUGUACUCUGAGGUGCUUACAUAAGGAGGGAAAUAUCACUACUCAGACAAGUCAGAUUAUAAGAAAGGUUAAACAAAACAAUUGAAAGGAAAAUGUGAUUAGUAUAUUAAUAAGAACAAUCGAAAGGAAAAUGUGUUUAUACUCGAGUAUCAAGAGUAUAUUUUUGCCAUCCAUGACAGGGCAGCAAGUAGAUAACCAAUUAGGUAAAGGGGCGAGGAAAUUCAUGAUGUUACCCAUACAAUGUUUUUUGGAUAAUCGAUCAAGAAACAUUUGGCAUUGCGCUUCCAAUGUUGUUGUUGAUGAUCGGAGUACCACAAAUAUGCUUCGGGAUAGCAUUGACAUGCUCAUCACGUAAAGGUCAGAGUUUGGAUACACUAAUGACCCAUCGGAAACAACUUAUAAAAUAAGUCAUACAAUUUCAGCAAAGAAAGAUGAGGAUGUGGCCGACGGGCUCACCAACAAUGCAUCGAGAUUUCCAUAAAGUCGAUUCAGAAUUAAAUGAACAAGGUGAUAGCAUUGGUCACACCAAAGUAGAUAAUGAAGUAUUUUUUAGGAGAAUAUCCACAAUUAAACAUUCAACAAAAAUGCACCUAGAAAUAUGGACCAAGUAGCACGAUCAAUGUUAGAACGGUGAUUCAAUAACCAAUAGACUAAAAAUCAAGCUAUCGACCAUUAACUUCAAGCAAUAUGGUUGCUAGAAGUUUUGAAAUUACACAUCAUAGUUAAAUUGUCGGUAUUCCAGUUAGAAACAACAUGGGGACCAUGAAAUGAACGGAGAUGGUGAGAAGUAUUACACUACAGGAAUCAUGCACUUUGCCGUCUGCCAUGGCUGACGGCAAAGGCAUGCCUGGUGGAUGGCAAAGGCCUUUGUCGUCAGCCAGCAGACAGCAACAGGUCCGACUGAAUAAGCUACGACAAAGGCCUCUCUUUCCCAUCUGCUGGCAGACGGUAAAGAUGCAAAGGCCUUUGUCGUCUGCUGGCAGACGGCAAAGAGCCUGGAUGGCACACGUGGCAGCUUAGGUUCGUUAAGGGGUUAACGGCGUGCUUUGCCGUCAACUGGCAGACGACAAACAUCUUUGCAUCUUUGUCGUCUGCUGGUGGACAGCAAAGAUGCAAAGGUCUUUGCUAUCAGCCAGCUGACGACAAAGCUGCCAAAUAGGCCAGCCCAGUGCACCCCAGGUUGCACACGUAGCUGCCACGUGGAAGCUUUGCCGUCUGCUAGCAGACGCAAAGUGGCUGUAUAGCCCCUAUUUUUCUUAAAUUCAUUCAAUUUGACAGAAUUUCACAUCUAUAUAUAUAUAUAUAUACAUUUCAAAAUAAUUUCAACAAGCAUACCAACAAUAAGUUUCGAACAACAUAUCCAACAUACAAGUUUUCAACAACAUAUCCAACAUACAAUGGUUUCCAACAACAUAUCCAUACAUACAUACCCAAAACAAGUUUCCAUAAACAAAAAGGAAGCACAAGGUGAAGAGUACACUCCAUCAAUGCAAGCUUCCUCAUCUAAAGCAAAUCUGCAAAUUAGGAAAGAUGAAAGUUAGAAGAAGAAGAAGAAGACUAGCUAGAAGAAAAAGAAGAAAAAGAAGAAAAUGAAGAAGAAGAAUUUAUCUUCUCUUUCUUUUUCUCCUCACCUCUUCUUUAUCUUCUUCUUCUAACUAAGGUAUGUAAAAAUGCCAUUUUUUAGCUAAGCUAAGUAAAAAUGCUAAGUGUGUAGGUCAGUUUAGAGCUAAGCUAGGUAAAUAGAUCAUUUUGGAGCUAACCUAGGUAGUUAUGUCAUUUUUGAGCUAACUAAGCAUAUUUAUUCACUUUGGAGGACAAAAUGGUAAGUGUAGAUCAUUUUAGAGCUAUCCUAGUUAAAAUCGGUCAUUUUGGAGCUAGGUAAGGUUAUUUUGUCAUUUUGGAGGAAAAUAAACUAAUUAUAUGAUAGUUUGGAGCUAAACCAAGGUUAUUAUGGCAUUUUUUACCUAAGUAAGCUAAUUAUGUCAAAAAUGAACUAGGUAAGCUAGGUAUAGAUCAUUAUUUUGCUAUCCUAGGUAGUUAUGACAUUUUUUAGCUAACUAAGCAUAUUAAGUCAUUUAGGAGGAAAAUAUGCUAAGUAUAGGUCAUUUUAUAGCUAUCCUAGGUAAAGUAUGCCAGUUUGGAGCUAAGUAAGGUUAUUAUGUUAUUUUCGAGGAAAAUAAGCUAAGUAUAGGUCAUUUUGGAUCUAAACCAAGGUUAUUAUGCCAUUUUUACCUAAGUGAGCUAAUUAUGUCAUAAAUGAACUAGCUAAGCUAAUUAUAUAUCAUUAUUGAGCUAUCCUAGGUAGUUAUGUCCUUUUUUACCUAAGUGCACUAAUUAUGUCAUAAAUGAACUAGCUAAGCUAGCUAUAGAUCAUUAUUGAGCUAUCCUAGGUAGUUAUGCCAUUUUCUAGCUAACUAAGAAUAUCAAGUCAUUUUGGAGGAAAAAUGCUAAGUAUAGGUCAUUUUAUAGCUAUCCUAGGUAGAAUAUGUCAUUUUGGAGCUAAGUAAGGUUAUUAUGUCAUUCGAGGAAAAUAAGCUAAGUAUAGGUCAUUUUGGAGCUAAGUAGGUCAUUUUGGAGCUAAGUAGGUCAUUUCUUAAGCUAAGUAUGCAUUUUUUAAGCAAAACACUUGGGAAAGCUUACCAUCAUCAUGGAGGUGAAGGACCGGUCGGGUUUGCAUCAGUGUCAGACGGAGAAGGACCGGUCGAGGUUGCACUAGUGCGAGGCGGAGAAGGAUCAGUCGAUGCUUGUCGGGAGGCUUGUUGCACCAAAGAUCAUUUGCAAUGUCUAGUUAGCACGAUCUAACUGAAAUGUGAAUACUAAUACCUAAUUCCAUUCAAAUGAAACUCACCGUGUCCGCUAUACCAAUCUGGGGCAUCGACGGAGGGGUCUGAACGUUUUUCUCGCACACGAACUGCACAUUUUGUUUUCACAAGUCUGUCAUAUUAGUUAGUAAUGAAACGAACAUUAAGUGCAUGAUUUGGAUAAUAUGUAGGAGAAACUUACCACGAGGAGCUCGUAUGGGGCCCGGUGACCCGCAUCAUUCCGGUUCCUCUUCGCCUCCAACAGACUAGCCGUCCUCUCCUCCAACUCCCUCUCCAUCUGCGCCGCCUUCUUAUUUGCCUCCGCCAAAAGCUCCUGGGCCCUAGCCUCGAUGGCGAGCUCCAUUGGCCAUGGUCGAGGCCUCAUCUCAGGAAGAGACCUCGUCUAGCGCUUCUUGAUCUCCGGGAGACUUUUAGGACAACUUAUCAGUCCAUCCCCAAUGGCUACCAAGCCAUGUUUCCUCCCGUCACUAGAUAGCAUCACGAGCUAAGGAUCAAAAGGACUCUUGCUCGGGUUGAAGUUCUCCCCUUUCAUCGCCUUCCCAAAGUCUCUGUACCUCACGAGCUUGUUGUGGGAGGAGAUGUUGGUGAAGCUCUCUAGAUGAUUGAGGUCAUCCUAUGAGAAUGCCUUAGCCUUCUUGUACGGGGCACUAUGGGCCAUGACAUAUAGGUCGUACAGUGGUGGCACCUCCUUCUUGUUGUGUCGCGCCUAAAAGAGAGGAAUAAAAUAUUAGUUGAGGGCUCAAGCUAGCAUGACGAAUGAAAUUGCAUGAAUCGUUAAGGGCUCAAACCACAUACCAAGUGAUCCCCUUACUCAAACAGGUUGGAUCUCCCUUGAUGGUGUGGCACACCUUGCAUUUGGGCGCGCUUAUCCCUGGCCUUGUUGUGGACGGCUAGCCAUUGGGGAGAGCACCACUCAUCCACCAACCUCUCCCAGCAGUCCAUCCUAUCCGCACACCAUCUUGGGGCACCUAAGUUAGAUAAAGAGAAAUUUCAGCGAUACGCAUAUGAAUCAAAUCAAGGAAACUAAGUACAAGGCCUUAAGAAUAGGUAAUUACCUUCAUGUACUUCUCCUUACUCAGAUACUUGCCGCGACUCUUCUUCUUCGCCCUCCUGAUGUUAGUCGAGGCGUAGUAGUCUCGAACAGCCUGCACCCGAGCCUUGUGUCAUAAGUUCUGAAGUAGGCGCUUGCACUCGGCUUCGAGAACCAUAGCCGCGUCUGCCUCGUGUUCCUCAAGACACCUGUAGAAGGUCUACAAUCAAACAAGACAAUACUGAUUAGUACAAUCACUAGGUACUGUUGAUUUUUAAUUCCGUAAAGGAGAAAUUGCCCAAAACCGCCGUCUCACAAUGUCAACCACCAUCUUGCACACGGCACCGUCGACCCUCUCCUCCGGCGGGGUCGGGCAGCCUCGUACAACUCCCAGGUCAGUGCUAGCUAUGGAACCUCACCCUCACCGGGCAACAUGACCCACCCCGAGAAGUGGUGCCGGCAAAGCACACCAAGGACGUGGUUGGGCCUGUGGACAUCAGAGGCAUGUAUCCAACCCCUGCAGUAUGACAAGGCCAACACAUUAGAUAUUAAUUUGAAGAAACAAGAAGCCAAAGGUUAAAGAAGAGUAAAUGCACUUAAUUCUCCUUGUUAGGCUCAAUCAACCGCCUCUGGUCGUGGGUCGCCGACAUGGACGGGGGCUUUGUACCACCACGCUGGUAGACCUUCUUGCCCCCUCAGCAAGCUCGCCCUCGAUGUAGCUAUCGUCAGAAAAGGUGUCCUUGCCACCAUCAGCAUGGCCACUAGUCUCUGGAGUCACGUGGGAUGAAGACUCUGGGACCCGAGUCUCGUCGGAUAUAGGCUCGGCGACCCGAGGCUUGUGGACCAGAGUCCAAGACGGGUCCACCUGAAAUGGAGCACUCCGAUGGUCCGGGGAAUCAGCUGGGGGUGGCGCCGAGGAAGGCGCAGCAGGCUUCCUACCUCUCCCGCCGCCAUGUCCACCUCUGGCUGCAUCCCUCUUCGCCCUCCCCCGACCUCUCCCGGCCGAAGAAGAAGCGACCGCCAGUGUCUGCAUGCUGUCUACCAGCGCUCUCUGAAGGUGCUGGGGUGGAAUAACAACACACCUCCCAGCACGCGCCGAGGAAGGAGGCUCGGAGCGCUCUCGACUUGCGCCCACUAUCCAUCAACACCUGCAAUGACAAAGAGUAAAUGAAAUUAGUACAACAUAAACAUAAUAAAAAAAUUAAGUGUUUAUCAUCAUCAUUAACAUAAUAAAAAAUUGAAUACCUAAUAACAUGAACUAAUUAAUAAUAUAUGUGUACAUAAUAAUAAUCAAAUACCUGGCCUAACUCAUAAUUCACAAAUAUAUGACCCCGUCGGCCUCUGGAAGGCCGAAGAGCACCUUUUUUGGCAGAUGUCGGGGGUCGGGGUGUCGGGAGUGUCGUGUCGGGGUUGGGGUGCUAUNNNNNNNNNNNNNNNNNNNNNNNNNNNNNNNNNNNNNNNNNNNNNNNNNNNNNNNNNNNNNNNNNNNNNNNNNNNNNNNNNNNNNNNNNNNNNNNNNNNNNNNNNNNNNNNNNNNNNNNNNNNNNNNNNNNNNNNNNNNNNNNNNNNNNNNNNNNNNNNNNNNNNNNNNNNNNNNNNNNNNNNNNNNNNNNNNNNNNNNNNNNNNNNNNNNNNNNNNNNNNNNNNNNNNNNNNNNNNNNNNNNNNNNNNNNNNNNNNNNNNNNNNNNNNNNNNNNNNNNNNNNNNNNNNNNNNNNNNNNNNNNNNNNNNNNNNNNNNNNNNNNNNNNNNNNNNNNNNNNNNNNNNNNNNNNNNNNNNNNNNNNNNNNNNNNNNNNNNNNNNNNNNNNNNNNNNNNNNNNNNNNNNNNNNNNNNNNNNNNNNNNNNNNNNNNNNNNNNNNNNNNNNNNNNNNNNNNNNNNNNNNNNNNNNNNNNNNNNNNNNNNNNNNNNNNNNNNNNNNNNNNNNNNNNNNNNNNNNNNNNNNNNNNNNNNNNNNNNNNNNNNNNNNNNNNNNNNNNUGUGGUUGCGGUGUCGGGGUGUCGAGGCGGGGUCGGGGUGUCGUGUCGGGGGUCGAGGUGUCGGUGAUGUCAUGUCAGGGUGUCGAGGCGGUCUCGGGGCGUCAUGUCGGCGGUCGGGUGUCGGCGUUCUGGGAACGGGGGUACCGAGACUUGCCCGCUUGCGGCCUGCGGCGUGGCUCAAGGAGUGGCCCCGUACAGCUUGUCGACACAAGCUCAAGACCCUCGCGAGGGGCCAAGCCUCGCGGGGCGGAUGACUGGAAGCUUCCUCAGGCACGGCCUCCUCAGGCUGGCUCGCGAGGAGGCGGAGAGAUCAAGGCAGGGUACCUCACGAGGUGCCCGUGAUGCAAGCCAUAACGACCGAAGCUAGGCGGGCGCCAGGCGGGCGCCAGCCUGCGCAGAGUCCUUGUUUCCUCUUUGGUGCAAAGGGGGCAAGCGCAAGCAAGGGUAUCAAGCAAAGGCGAACAUUUCGGUGCAACAAGACCAAGACCAGCAGAACGGCAGGAUGGAGGUCAUCGUGGAGCCCAAGCCGGCAUCAUCUUCAGAGUCUUUGGCAGGCGAGGACCAACUUUGGUCAGGAUAAGUGUACUAGAUAUUCCCCUUCAAAAUGGCCAAUUGUUGGCGCCAUUCCCGCUCAAUAUUUGGGAAGAGGACCAGGGCCUUGCCCUAUAAAUAGGGCUAGCCACCACAGUAGAAAGGGAUCCGGAUUCAAUCCUUCCCAAGAGGCAUCAUGUCGGUGUCAAAACCGGCGGAUCUUGGGUAGGGGGUCCCGAACUGUGCAUCUAGGCGGAUGGUAACAGGAGACAAGGGACACGAUGUUUUUACCCAGGUUCGGGCCCUCUCGAUGGAGGUAAAACCCUACUCCUGCUUGAUUAAUAUUGAUGAUAUGGGUAGUACAAGAGUAGAUCUACCACGAGAUCAGAGAGGCUAACCCUAGAAGCUAGCCUAUGGUAUGAUUGUUCUUCGUCCUAUGGACUAAAGCCAUCCGGUUUAUAGACACCGGAGAGGGCUAGGUUUACACAGAGUCGGUUACAAUGGGAGGAGAUCUUCAUAUCGUAUCACCAAGCUUGCCUUCCACGCCAAGGAAAGUCCCAUCCGGACACGGGACGAAGUCUUCAAUCUUGUAUCUUCAUAGUCCAGGAGUCCGGCCAAAGGUUAUAGUCCGGUCAUCCGGACACCCCCUAAUCCGGGACUCCCUCAGUAGCCCCUGAACCAGGCUUCAAUGAUGACGAGUCCGGCGCGCAGAUUGUCUUCGGCAUUGCAAGGCGGGUUCCUCCUCCGAAUACUUCAUAGAAGAUUUUGAACACAAGGAUAGUGUCCGGCUCUGCAAAAUAAGUUCCACAUACCACCGUAGAGAGAAUAAUAUUUGUACAAAUCUAAUCUGCUGACGUAUUCCGUAGCGUGACAUCAUGCCAUGGCCAAGCCUUCAUUCGAAUCGUUUUACUGUCCCACCUUAGCGCGUUUAGUGAGGCGGUUUCCUUGGCACGUCUUGUCAAAGCAGAGAUCGUGUCCCCUUAUUCCGGGAUUCUCAUCAAUACGGGCAUGGGUAACCCAACUGUGCCAUUAAUCACGGCGCUUGGGAGAUAAGCGAGUUUUACCAGGCUGGUGGGGGCACAUAGUUUCGUCCGCCCAUAUAAGGGGAUAAGGAUCCACCUUUUCCAUCUACGCCUUCUUCCUCCUUUGCUUAUCCAUCUCCGUGCACUCGAGCUCCAACGCCCAAGUCCGCACUUCCCACCUCAACUUCCUCCAGCGAUGUCCGGAGGGGGAGGCAGGUGGAUGGCCUCCUCCGUCAUGGAAGGGCACAUCAAAAAGUUGAGGAAGGCCGGACACUUGUCCAACGACAUUGCGCACCGGCUUCCCGACGAGGGGCAGCUCAUCCCCACCCCCAGGCACCAUGAGAGGGUGGUGUUCCUCCCCCAUUUCCUCCGCGGACUGGGCUUCUCACUCCACCCAUUUGUCCGGGGGCUCAUGUUCUACUACGGCCUGGAUUUCCACGAUCUGGCCCCGAACUUCAUCCUCAACAUCUCGGCGUUUAUCAUCGUGUGCGAGGUUUUCCUCCACAUCAAGCCCCACUUCGGCUUAUGGCCGAAGACCUUCAAUGUCAAGCCGAAGGUUGUGGGCGGUCGGCAAGCCGAGUGCGGAGGCGCCAUGGUGGGCAAGAUGCCCAACGUCACAUGGCUCGAGGGCUCCUUUGUGGAAACCAUGAAAGGGUGGCAAUCGGGGUGGUUCUACAUCACCGAGCCGCGUGACCCUAAAUGGGCAGCGGCCCCCGAAUUCCAAUCUGGCAUCCCCACACGGCUUACCUCCUGGAAAGAGACGGGCCUGCCGUGGGGUAAUCCGGAAGAGGUUACCGGACUCCAAACCUGCGUCCAAAACCUGGUGGACAAGAAGGUUAAACUUGUCAACGUAGUCCAGGUCGUGCUCUUCCGCUGGAUCCUCCUGUGUCAACGACGGGCUUUUAACUUGUAGGAGUUCGACCCGGCCCAACACCAAACUUUGUCCAGGCUCUUUGACACAAUGCACGAAGACGCCUGGAAGGUGCUAUUCAAAGGCUCCAAGGUUUCCCCUCCCAUUACUGAGGAUCGAGGAUUCUGCGCGAAGCGCCAAGCCAGCGCAGUAAGCUUGUUUUACCCUUUACAGGAUACUUGUUUUUCCUAGUUUGACUCUACGCGGGAUCUAAGCUCCCGCUCCUUUGAUAGGACUGGAAGAAAACGUCCGGACAGAUUGACUGUCCGGCUCCUUUGCCCGAAGGCCCAGCAGAUGCACACUUGGCGAAGCUGCUGGUCCCGGCACCUCACGUGGUGCCGGAGAAGAGGGCCAAGAAGAAGGCCACGGGAACUCGAAAGAGUUCCCGCGCCUGGUGAUGUCGGAUUCAUCGCCCGACGACCCCGAAGCGCACUCCUCCACCGAAGACAAGGAGGAGGAAGAAGAAGCCUCUCCCCCUCCAACGGGGGGAGGAAAGAAAAGGAAGGACGCCCCAACUAGGGAGGCCGGAGGGUCCAAGAAGGGAAAGACCCUUCUUCCGGACUACUCCACCAGCGCCGACGACGGCAGAGAGGAGUGGCCGUCCAGGGCCAAGCCCCUGGCAAAAUCGUAAGUAUCCGGAUACUAGAAUAACUCAUGGCGUUUCUUUAUUGCACAGUAUCUUCUGACGCUGAAUAUAAUCAUGUAGUACACCCAAGGCCCGGCUCGACGCUUCGUCGAGCGGCUCCCUGGAUUCGUCGGAUGUGAAUUGUUUUUCACUCCCGACUGCUACCUCCCCUCGCCUUGCGAACGAUGCCGAGGUGGAGUCCCAAAAGGGGCUAAGCCAGGAGGAGGUAGCCCCGGAGGCGCCGCAAGGCGACCUCCCGGACUCCAGGCGCAAAGGGGGUGAAACCCCAGAGGGAUCUAAGUCCGGCCCUGGGCCGGACACCGCAUCGGAACCUUCAGUGGUUCCGGAGUCCGGCAGGCGGCCCCCUCGUAAGAAGGUCAACCCUACGACGCCGGUGGCCUCAGUCCAACCGGAGGCACCGGACAAUUUGCUGGAGGUGCUUAACGGUGCCUCCAUCGACGAGGAGCACCGCACUAUUAUGAGUGCGGUGAUCCAGAAGGUUCAGUCCGCCAAGAGCGGGCUAACAGAAGCCUGUGCCAGCCUUCUAACAGGCUUUGAGGUAUGUAUUUAAGACAUGUAAAAAUAUUACCGCAUAGACAGUAGCCCCUGAUGCUCAGUUUGGUGUUCGGAAAGAAAAGCCGGACUGAGGAUCUAAAAAGAUAUACGCAGGAGUCUAACAUAAGUAUGUCAAUAUGGGAAUGCAGGCUGCGCUGCUGACCUUUGCCGCACUGGCUGCGGAGGUCGUUGCAUUGAAGCAGAGCCUCGAGCGGUCCGAGAAUGAGCUCGGCCUUGCCAAGAAGCAGCUCGAGGACAAGGAAGGUAAGUAGUACCUUGUAUAAUGAUAUAAAAAGAUCUGGUUGCAAAUAAUGACAGAACCAACGCGAGUGUUACAGGGGCCACAACCGAGGUGGCGACCCUGAAGGAAGCGAUGUACAAGGCCGAAGACAAUGCGGCCGUGGAGCGCACCGAGCGAGAAAAGCAGGAGGCGCGGGUGGUGGAGGUGCGGCAAGAGCUCCAUGCUCUUGUGAAGAAACACGAGAGAUUGGAGCUUGACUCAAAGACUCGAGAGUCCGAGCUUGCCUCGGCCCUUGAGAGCGCCAAAUCCGCCAAGGCCGAAGCCCAAAAAGCCCUCCAGGAAAUUGAGGCGAUGAAGAAGAUAGCGGCGGGUAAGGCAUUCUUUAUGCAAAGCAAGCACGUGAAAGUGAAUUACUUGUUACUUACCCGAGUCCGGAGCUCACCAGGAGCAUUCGCAGAUCUGCCCCGCAGUGUGUCCGACGCUGCCGCAUUCUACCGAGCCGAGGAAGGGAGCUUGACGGAGAAGGUGUUUUGGUCCCAGUAUGUUGAGGCCGGACACCCGGUGCCCUUGAGCGACCAGCUAAAGCAGCUGGUCGAGCUCCAUAAGGUAGCUGAACAGGCCAUGAAGGGCCUAAUAGUCCGGCUAUGGCCUGGGAAGGUCAUGCCCGGGAGCUACUUUGGGCUGGUGAGGCGGCUGGUGGAUGCCUGUCCACGGCUUGAAGUCAUCAAGCGCUCCGUAUGCAUCGAAGGCGCCCGUAGGGCCCUUGCCCGUGCUAAAGUACACUGGGGCAAGCUGGAUGCUGAGAAGCUGGUGACAGGUGGGCCACCGGAGGGGAAGGAGCAUCGCAUGCCCGAGAUGUAUUAUGAGGGCGUCCUGAAGGGUGCCCGCCUUGUGGCGAAUGAAUGUGCCAAGGAUGUAAUUUUUGAGUAAACUCGCUCGUGCUUAUCCUGUGCGCUGAAAACUUGUUCAUAUGUGCUAAGCAACGCUUGUUGAAUUUAAAAUAUUACCUUCUGUGCGGCCGUUUAUUAAAUCUGAGAGAUGCGAGUCGUCGGCUUCUACCCCCAUACCAUGAGUGCUGGGGUGUUCGGGAUAAACAUGAGCGCUCUUGUUCCCAUUCUUGCGUCCUUCGAGGGAGGCGCUCAGCACAACGAACAAGGCAAUCGGACUAUAAUGCUUUAUCACUCUCACUUAGCCAUAGAAUUCUAUAAUUUUAAAUUUCGGCAAAGCCCCUAGUAUUCGGAAGACCGAGUUCGGGGCGCUAUCCACGCCUAGGCCGGACAAAGCCAGCUCCUUGCUCUAAGCGGCAUAAGUCUUUAGGGACUCGAAAACCUCUCGAACAGCGACCGGCUCUCGCCCUAUCAUGACGGUCAGUUUUAGCUUUCUCUACUGAGGUGCUUAACCCAGCUCAACUGGGGCACAAUCGCAGUAGUUCUCCCAGCGCUACCUUAGCCGAUAUAACGGAACAUAAGGUACCAAAACAUGGGAGCCGAGCAAACCCAACUAUUGACCCAAGACAUGAUUUGGAGCCGAUGCAUAUAAUGCUAUAAGUUCGGGGUGCCGCACUCGUGAGAGUGUUCGGACAUCUCACACCAUAUUCUGGGGCACUUAAGCCCCUGGUGUGUUGGCCGUACCAAAGUGUACGGUUGCAUAAUGUCAUCACUGAACAUAUUUACAUAAAAAAUGAAUGCAAUAAUAGACAAGAGCUAUGUAUUGUUUAUUAAGAGGCUGAUGUGAAAGCAGAACGGUACAAAUAGUGCGAUAAGCAAGAGAUGGGAUUAUUUGACAUGUCCCCCUCCAGGGGCAAGCUGCGAGACUUUAUGUAAGACAUGUAUUUAGCUCGUUAUAGAGACCACCUGGACAUUCGAUGUAGCUUGCUGCCUCCCUGGCUGUUGCAUCGUGUGUUCGGCGAUUGUACUGCCGGACAGGCCUUCCGGAGAAUGGAGUCCUGAAAGUAAGAAAAAAAGGAAAUGACAAAAUCGGGAGCCCCUAGUGUGGUUGAGCCACAUUUUGGGCGUGCCGUGGUUGUGCCCGUCCCCCUAUGCCCAUGGUAUUUCUAGAGCGUAAUUAUGUACGCGUGGUGCUGGUUUCGCAAUUUCGCGGGGGUUGGGGUUGGGGCCGCACUGCUACGCUUGCUCGGUGCGUGCCAGGCGGUCUUGUUGUAUGUUACUCCGGGCGCGCUUGACGGUGUCCGGACGUUUAAUAGCCGGACUGGAGAAUUGCCUUGAGAGGCUACUUUGUACUUCUGCCGCGAGGGCCGCCGUAUGCUCCUCCGUUCGGAGAGAGCGUUUGGUGUUUCCGUUGACCAUGAUGACUCCUCGAGGGCCUGGCAUCUUGAGCUUGAUGUAUGCAUAGUGCGACACCGCAUUAAACUUUGCAAAUGCGGUUCGUCCGAGUAGGGCGUGAUAGCCACUGCGGAACGGGACUAUGUCGAAGAUUAACUCCUUGCUUCGGAAAUUAUCCGGUGAUCCGAAGACCACUUCGAGUGUAACUGAGCCUGUACAGUUGGCCUCUACACCUGGUAUGACGCCUUUAAAGGUCGUCUUGGUGGGUUUAAUCCUUGAGGGAUCUAUGCCCAUUUUUCGCACUGUAUCCUGAUAAAGCAGGUUCAGGCUGCUGCCGCCGUCCAUAAGGACUCUAGUGAGGUGAAAUCCGUUAAUGAUUGGGUCUAGAACCAAUGCGGCGAAUCCGCCGUGGCGGAUGCUAGUGGGGUGGUCCCUUCGAUCAAAAGUGAUCGGGACCAUGGGUUGAAAUUUGGGGCAACUGGCUCCAACGCAUAUACGUCCCUGAGUGCACGCUUCCUCUCCCUUUUGGGGAUGUGGGUUGCGUAUAUCAUGUUCACCGUCCGCACUUGUGGGGGAAAGCCCUUCUGUCCCCUGUAGUUCGGCGGCCGGGGCUCCUCCUCGUCAUCGCUAUGCAGCCCCUUGUCUCUGUUUUCGGCACAUAAUUUGCCUACCUGCUUGAACACCCAACAAUCCCUGUUGGUGUGAUUGGCUGUUGUUUCGGGGGUGCCGUGUAUCUGGCACGAGCGAUCGAGUAUUCGGUCCAAACUGGAUGGGCCCGGAGUAUUUCUUUUGAAUGGCUUUUUCUGCUGACCGGGUUUAGAGCCUCUGAAUCCGGCAUUAACUGCCGUAUCCUCAGCAUUGUCGCCAUUAAUGCGGCGCUUGUGCUUGUUGCGACGCGACCUGCCAUUGUUGUCCUUGGUAUCCGAAUUAUCAGGGCUCUUGGUCAUGUUAUUACUACGAGCUAGCCAGCUGUCUUCUCCUGCACAAAAGCAGGUCAUGAGUGUUGUGAGGGCUGCCAGGGAUUUCGGCUUUUCCUGUCCUAGGUGUCGGGCAAGCCAUUCGUCUCGGAUGUUAUGUUGAAGGCUGCGAGGGCCUCCGUGUCUGAACAGUCGACUAUUUGAUUUUUCUUGGUUAGGAACCGUGUCCAGAAUUGUCUGGCCGAUUCCUCUGGCUGCUGAAUUAUGUGGCUUAGGUCAUCGGCGUCUGGUGGUCGCACAUAAGUGCCCUGGAAAUUGUCAAGGAAUGCGGCUUCUAGGUCCUCCCAGCAACCAAUUAACUCUGCUGGCAAGCUGUUAAGCAAAUGCCGAGCUGGUCCUUUAAGCUUGAGUGGGAGGUAUUUUAUAGCGUGUAGAUCAUCAGCGUGGGCCAUGUGGAUAUGAAGGAGAUAAUCCUCGAUCCAUACUGCAGGAUCUGUUGUGCCAUCGUAUGAUUUGAUGUUUACGGGUUUAAAACCUUCGGGGAUUUGAUGAUCCAUUACUUCAUCUGUGAAGCAUAGUGGGUGUGCGGCGCCUCUGUACUGGGCUAUAUCAUGACGAAGCCCAGAUGAGCUUUGUCUACUGUGUUCGGCCUGGCCGUAUUUUCCAUGUCCGGCGUGACGGUUAUCGUCACGCGUCAUGGGGCACCCAGGCGAUCCGUAGAUCGAUCUUGUUUGCCUUGCCUUGUCCUCCAAUAUGUCUCACAGGUCUGGCGCAUUUCCCCGUGCCUUGGUAUUUUUUGAGCGGUGCCGGGGUGCGGCUUGAAUUGAUGGCCGAGAGGCCUCUCUGUUGCGGCCACGAGGUGGCCGGUCGGCCGCGUUGUGCGCUGGUGAUGUAGGUUUAGGUGCUUCCUCCUCUAAUCGGUGUAGCAGCCUGCGCUUUGGGUAGCUCUUGGAGGGGCAUUCGAGUUCGUACUCUUCGGCCGCAAGGACUUCGGUCCAUCUAUCAGCUAGCAAGUCUUGGUCAGCUCUAAGCUGCUGCUGUUUUUCUUGAGGCUGUUCGCCGUGGCCAUAAGCCUGCGUUUGAAACGCUCUUGUUCGACGGGAUCCUCAGGCAUGACAAAUUCGUCGUCGUCGAGGCUUGCCUCGUCUUCGAAGGGAGGCAUGUAAUUAUCGUCCUCUACCUCUCUGUCUGCCGCUCUCUCAUGAGGGCUGGUUUCUCCAUCCUCCUGUGCUGAAUCCUGCAGGAGGGGGUUGUCUUCGGCGCUGUCCGAUGUGUUAUUAUCUCCCGUGCCAGAAUUGCCGUUUUUGCUUUGGCGGGAUUUAGAGCGGCGCCGCUGACACUGGCGCUUAGGCUGCUUCUUAGAGGGGUCAUCCUCCGUUGUUCCGUCGCCAUUCCCUUCUUUUGGGGUGUCCACCAUGUAUAUGUCAUAUGACGAGGUGGCCUUCCAGUGCCCUAUAGGCACUGAUUCUUGGUCGUCUCUUGCAUCGGCGUCCAUACCGUCGAUGUCUUCGGAGUCGAAGUCGAGCAUGUCGGUUAAAUCAUCGACAGUGGCUACGAAGUGGGUGGUGGGUGGGCUUUGAAUUUCUUCGUCGUCCGCAUCCCAACCUUGCUGACCAUAGUCCAGCCAGGGCUCUCCUGAUAAAGAGAGAGACUAUAGUGAAUUCAGAAUGUCACCAGAGGGCGAGUGCUGAAAGAUGUCCGUGGCGGCGAACUCCAUGAUCGGCGCCCAAUCGGGUUUGAUCGGCAGGGGUGCGGAAGGUUCGGAGUCCGGAAAGGAGUCCGGCACGUUGGAGUCAUGAGCUUCACAAAGGACAAGGAUGGUGUUUGGCUCGACCGCCGUAGAGAUUGUAGCCCCCGAGGCGAUGUCCAGCCACCCUUCCUCGAUUGGCGCAGUCGGCUCCGAGCUAAGGGUUAGAGCGGACACUGGGCGGCCUCCUGGGCACUGUUCGGCGGCAGAGCCAGAUCAUGCCCAUCAUAAUAGUGCGGCGUGCUCAGCUGUGGCUCGAACCCGUCGAAGAUCAAGUCUCCGUGGACGUCAGCCAUGUAGUUCAAACUUCCAAACCUGACUUGAUGGCCAGGGGCGUAGCUUUCGAUCUGCUCUAGAUGGCCAAGCGAAUUGGCCCGCAGUGCAAAGCCGCCGAAUACGAAGAUCUGUCCGGGGCAAAAAGACUCGCCCUGGACCGCAUCAUUGUGGAUGAUCGGAGGAGCCAUCGGGCCUAAGGAUGACGACACAGAGGAACUCUCAAUGAAAGCACCAAUGUCAGUGUCAAAACCGGCGGAUCUCGGGUAGGGGGUCCCGAACUGUGCAUCUAGGUGGAUGGUAACAGGAGACAAGGGACACGAUGUUUUUAUCCAGGUUCGGGCCCUCUCGAUGGAGGUAAAACCCUACUCCUGCUUGGUUAAUAUUGAUGAUGUGGGUAGUACAAGAGUAGAUCUACCACGAGAUCAGAGAGGCUAAACCCUAGAAGCUAGCCUAUGGUAUGAUUGUUGUUUGUCCUACGAACUAAAACCCUCCGGUUUAUAUAGACAUCGGAGAGGGCUAGGGUUACACAGAGUCGGUUACAAUGGGAGGAGAUCUACAUAUCCGUAUUGCCAAGCUUUCCUUCCACGCCAAGGAAAGUCCCAUCCGGACACGGGACGAAGUCUUCAAUCUUGUAUCUUCAUAGUCCAGGAGUCCGGCCAAAGGUUAUAGUCCGGUCAUCCGAACACCCCCUAAUCCGGGACUCCCUCACAUCACCUCCACAAGAACUCCUUCCCUCGCGAGGCAGUUCUUCCUUUGUAUUGUUCAUCAUCAGCCCCAGAGGCAAUCCACCACACCACAAACUAGAGUAGGGUAUUUCACCACAAUGGUGCCCAAACUAGUGUAAACCUCGUGUCCCUUGUGUUGUUCUUCGUGUAGUUUAGAUCCUUUGCGAGGCGACGAGACGUGAGUAGGUAGGAGGUGUGAUCUCCGCCCGCACCCCAAAGUUCGAACCUUAAGGGUCUGCCGGAACCCAAAAUCCGACAUUUGGUGCGCCAGGUAGGGGUGCGCCGGAAUCCUCCUUCCGCCGCCUUGUGUUUCGCCGUCUGUCGCAUUCAUGUCGGACGCUCGUUGAGCCCGCGCCGAGCACCGGGCUGCUCUCGCCACCCACGUCACCCAGACGGCUCCCGUCGGCGGAUGCCCCCGCCAUUCCCCGUCGCCUGCCGUCAAUUCCGCCACCGUCCCGGCGGGGAACGAGCAUCAAGCAUCGUCCCUGCAUCCUUCGGUGCGGCGAGAAGGCCGCACCGCCACCCCGUCGCUGACCCCAGUCGGUUCAUCCUCCCACACCCGUCGCGCUCCUGCGGACGCGCAUGCCACGCUGCUCCUGGCGCGGGAGCUCCUGCACUACCGUCCCGUCGAUGACAUCUACGACAAGUGGCUCGCCCGCAUCACCGAGCUCGUCAGCGCCGCUGGGGGCUCCCCUGCACCAUCCAUCUUACUGCACCGUGCCCCGCCCUACGUGGGCAACGAAGCUCCGGGGGUGCCUCAGCGGCCUCCCCCUCAAGAAGGCGCCCUGGCCCCAAGGCGCGUGGCCCCUGGACGGGACCCGCUUCGUCUGGCGCCUGCACAGCAAGAGAAGAGCUGCCAAGAGACCCCUCGUCCCAAAGAAGCUGCCCGCGUGCUCCCCGCACCGGCAUGAUAUGACCGCGCUCCUGCUCCAGCGUGCCAAGACCCCGCGCUGCUCCUGGAGGCAGCGUGCGGAGACCUCCAAGAUCAAGCUCUUCGUCACCAAAGGCCUCCCGUGGCCACUGCAGGCUAUCGUGCCUUCACCGCCGAGCUGCGCGGCGUGGCCUGGACGGGCAAGUUCAAGCCGGAUCUGCCCCCGCGCUACAACAGCACGGCUGACCCUGCGGAGUUCCUCCAGCUCUAUGAGCUGGGCAUCGAGGCCGCCAACGGGGACGAGAAGGUCAUGGCGAACUGGUUUCCCAUGGCGCUCAAGGAUGGUGCCCGCACAUGGCUCCUGAACCUGGCUCCUGGCACGAUUUCCUCCUGGGAUGAGAUGCACACUCGCUUCAUCGCCAACUUCCAAGGCACUCGCGACCGGCCCCCGGCCAUGAGUGACCUGCGCCGCAUCAAGCAACAGCCAAGAGAGACCCUGCAAAAGUUCAUCCAGCGCUUCAACAACGCUCGCCUCAAGAUCCCCAGGGUGACUGAGGAGGCCAUCAUCUCGGCCUUCUCCGACGGCGUGCAUGACAUCAACAUUAAAGAGGAGCUAGCAAUCCAUGAAGACCUGUGCACAUCCCUGGAGCUGUUCAAUUUGGCGACCAAGUGCACCAGGGUUGAGGAAGGGUGUCUCUCCCUCCUUGAGCUUCCGGUUGCCGAUCCCAAGAGAAGAAGCCCAAGGUCAAGGACGUGAAGCACAAGGGGGCUGUUGUGCUGGCAUCAGAGCUGGACCCAAGCGAGGCAGGGAUCAGCCUGAGUCCUCCAAGGGCAGCCGGUACUGCGUGUACCAUGACCUCCACGGUCACAACACGAAUGAAUGCCAAGAGCUCAGGGCUGUGCGGGAUGUGCGUGCCGGCCGACGCCCCGAGCGCAAUGACCGGGGCUAUGGCCGAGGAGGAGGAAGAGGUGGAGGACGAUGGGAAGACCGUGGCCCUCACCAAGGGUGGCGUGACCGACCUCACGUGGACCGCUGGCAGGACCAGCCUCGCGAGGGAGGUUGGAGGGAUUAGCCUCGCGAGGAUCGCCCACAAGGCAAUGCAUGCCUCCCUCCUCUACCACCACGGCCGAGGAGGAAUGAAGACCAUCAUCAGGACAAAGGGGCUGGGGGCUACCAGGAGCUGCGCGCAAUCUCUUGUAUCUUGGGCGGCGCUCAGGCCCCGGCCUCUCAGCGCAUCUUCAAGCAGUUUGCUCGCGAAGUGAAUGCAAUCCUCCCCAAGCUUGAGGCCACACGCCCUCUCAGGUGGUCAGCAUGCGCCAUCACGUUCAUCUCAAGUGCGCAGCCACAACCAGAGUCCUCCCGAUGCUUUGCUCCCCGAUCGUCAGCAAUGUGCAGGUCACCAGAGACCUCAUCGAUGGCGGAGCAGGACUCAAUAUCCUGUCCGUCGAAACGUUCAACAAUCUCCAAGUGCCAUACAAUCAGCUUCAGCCAACCAAGCCUUUCUCAGGAGUCACUGAUGGUUCCACUGUUCCGAUAGGGCAAGUCCGCCUUCCUGUCACCUUCGGGAAGCACGACAACUACCGCACCGAGCUCAUUGACUUCGACGUCGCCCACAUCCGCCUGCCGUACAAUGCCAUCCUCGGGUACCCAGCCCUAGCCAAGUUCAUGGCGGUGACUCAUCACGGCUACAAUGUCCUCAAGAUGCUAGGAAGCAGUGGAGUCAUCACGGUGCCUUGUGAGGAGAGGGAUGUUGUGUGUUCUUUGGAGCGUGCUUUUCAGGCUGCAUCAAUCGAAGACCCAGAUCACAAGAGUGGAAGGUUUCCCGAGGCAGUCCCUAAGAAGAAGAAGACAUCGCCUGGUCCGGACCCUCAAGAGGCAGGCACCGCAAAACCCGUGCCUGUUCAAGGGGCGCCUCCUUCUGUCGCAUAGGAAGGCGCGCCCGGCGCCCUCCUCGGGCAAGGCUCGGGGGCUCUCCCUUGGAGGGCCAUCGACUUUGCCAAGAUCAUGAGGGAGGCGCUCGGGCACCACUUGGAGGCAUGUUUCAAAGCACGUUUCCCUCAGGAAGGAGCAAGGCAAGGAGGGCCAAACCCUCAUUAGUUCAUCAGCGAGACCAUUCAGGAGCUGUAGGAGUCAGGAGUCAUGAGUGACAGCUGCCGCUUACCCGCAGUAGCUCCCCAUCUGGGCGAGGAUGGUGGGCUGCGCGUCUGCAUCGACGUACCAGGACUCAACCGAGCCACCUCUCAGGAGCACUUCUGGCCCUCACGCGUGGGACGCUGCAAAGGUCCACCCCAUAGCUAUGUUCGCAUGCCUUUCAGCUUGCCGAACGAGGCUGCUGUGCGUCAGCGCCUCAUGAGGAGCAUUUUGGAGGCUCAAGAGGCCAGGCAUUCCGCAGUCCUGGCGGAGAUGGAGAUGGUCCUCGAGGGGCCGCCAGCGCCUCUGGAGCCUCCCGGGGCUCCUGGCCCUGGGGGCUCGUGAAGCUCGGCUUCCGCAGCGCACGUCGUCCGCUACUUCGGCAUCCCUUCAUCUCCGACAUCAUUAGGUGACACCCUUCGAGUUUCAUUUUCAGUUGGGAUCGCCCCCAGGGCUGCAUCAUUCCCAGGCCGCGUGGGUCCGUCCCUGCGGCAUGUACCCCUUUUGUUCAUGUUUUUAGCUUACCUUGUUGGGGGCGCCCCUCGGGCUACAUUAUCCCAAAGCCGCUCGGGUCCGACCCAGCGGUGUUUGCCUUUUUCUGCCUCUAUUUAAACGGAUCUGCUCCUUCAUGAUUAACGUGCUUGACUUAAUCGCCCGCUUGAUUGACACCAUCUUAUGGAGCUGCUCCUUAACGGCACGACGCUUGCGCAUGGGUCCGUCCCUGCAACGUCGACAAACCUGAGUGGCUGAGCUCUGGCCGCGGCAACCCCGCAAUGCGCCACCUCACCAGGCCCUCAGUGCCCUCGUCACCCCUCUAGAGCAACCGGUAGCUGGCUGGCAAUUGUAACGGCAACCUCUCGUUUUCCUUGUGAUGAGCUCGCAGGAUCUCUUUAAGGAGCAGCGUCGGGUGAGGCCUUCGCAGCAUCUCCUUCCCUCUUGUCCACGCGAACCGCUUGCACGUUAAAGGGGGGCGCCUGAGCAUCGCGACUCACGGGCUCUUACUGGCUCUCCGUCCCUAACCUCCUAGCCUUGUCCACGGCAUCACGACCUGGCAUACCAGCGACGGCUGAGCUCGCUCGAGGGCCGGGACCCGAGGACGUAGAGAACGAAGGGGAGUGAAGGCAAGAGGGAUGAGGCUCACAAAGACCUCGCUAGGCAACUCCUCAGCUGCCGCCGCGCGGGCCUGGCACCGCGCCAAGGAGUGGCAUCAUGCUCUCGAGAUAAGUCAUCCUCCAGAGAUAUUAGCUAUCGCAGACCUUGCACCUAAUGCAGUUCCGUGUUCGCAACGUUGCGCUCCUUUCUCACUGAACGAUGGCUGCUUGAGCGCUAAAGGGGACCUCCUGAGCAUCGCGACUCAGGGCCUCUUACUGGACCUCGGUCCGCUCACCUCCUAGCCUUGACCACGGCAUCGCGACCUGGCAUACCAGCGACGGCUGAAGCUUGCCUUGGGACCAGGACCUAUCAGCGUAGAGCACCAAGUCCUCGCGAGGUUCGAAAGGAAGAACUAAGCUAAGACGGGUCGAGCAUCUCACACUGCUUCACGAUAAGAAUCAUAUUAGCAAAAGAAACUACAGGCACCUUACAAGCCCCCACGAGGUGUGUUCUUGGCUCCUCGCGGGAACAAAAGACGCGAAUCCUAAGUAGGCCUAACUACAGGGACCAUGACGGCAGACGCCAUCAUCAACAGUGGGCCGCGCAAGGCCGACGCCAACCUCAUCCAGAUCAGCCGCGUCGACCGCCAGUCACGCCUGCCCUGCUCCAGGCAUGACGCGAGCUCGGGGGCUCAUAGCUGUCGUCGCUCGUCGCCGGAGUCAGGAGGAGCCCGGAAGAAUCGCUGGACCCUCCGGCGCGCCCGCUGCCAUCAAGGGAGCUGCUGGAAGAGCGGGCGGCAGGCCUCAUCCUCGCCGCUCCAGAACUUCGGCCGCUGCCUCUGGGGAAGCACUCCAGCCGGCGUCCAUCUUCGUCGAAGACCUUGAAGAGCAUCAGGGAGGCGCCAUCAUAAUCCAGAUGGAUCACGAGGGCCCCCUCCGACCGACAGACCCGGGCGAUCUCGCCCCAGCCCCAGGUCAUGAAGACCUUGCCCGAAGCAACGACCUCAACAUCCGCUUCGGUCACAGGAGUACUGUAGUCGGCGUGCUGCAGCCAGAGCUAGAGAGGCCCCCUUGGCGGAAUCUCGAAGGCGAAGGAGGGAGGAAGGUGAAUCCAAGAUCGAGGAGGCAUGGAGGCGUGAAGCACAAGCUCGCGAGAAGAGCCCUCGGCGUGAACCCCGGGAGGAACGACGCCACCAUCGUAAUCCACCGGCAGCGACGGCGCCUCUGGCAGUGACGCUCGGUGCCUGCGUCUUCAGGGCCCUCAAUCCGGGCAUACAAGGGCAAAGGGAAUCCAGGCGGCGGCCGCUCGAACCAUGGCCUCGACACCUCCAGCCAAGCUUCCCCUUCUCCGCGGCAGGAGACGAGCCGCUUCUUCGACGGAAGCGGGACAGGACCCUCUCGGGGGGCCUUCCCUUCUCUUCGGCAAAAAACCGGCGGAUUGGCGCCAUUAGCACGAGGUGGAUCAAGGGAAAGGAAGGAGAAGAAGGAGAGUAGCAGGAAAAGAUGGACUGGAAGGGCUCGCACCGUUCCGCAGAUAUAGCCCGGGGAGGCCAACCGCCGGCCUCCACGAUCACAGGUAAUCAUGACCCGUUUUGCAUGCAGGACUUCUCAAUUCGUGCAGUUGCCGAGGCGUCAUGGGGAAAUGGGGACGCGCACGUCCAAUCAACCGCCACGCACGCCCAAGGCCGCAGGUUGUUGGGGCCUACGGCGCUUCGCACUUGCCCCUUCGCUUCUCUACUAAGCCAAGUCCGGGCGCGCCUUGGGCCCGGGGGCUACUGUCGGCGUUCUGGGAACGGGGGUACCCAGACUUGCCCGCCUGCGGCCUACAGCGUGGCUCAAGGAGUGGCCCAAUAUGGCCCAUCUUCAUCGACAUAAGCUCAAGACCCUCGCGAGGGGCCAAGCCUCGCGGGGCGGACGACAGGAAGCAUCCUCAGGCACAGCCUCCUCGGGCUAGCUCGCGAGGAGGUGGAGAGAUCAAGGCAGGGUACCUCACGAGGUGCCCGUGACGCAAGCCAAGACCACCGAAGCCAGGCAGGCGCCGGCCUGCGUAGAGUCCUUGUUUCCUCUUUGGUGCAAAGGGGGCAAGCGCAGGCAAGGGUAUCAAGCAAAGGCAACCAUUUUGGUGCAACAAGACCAAGACCAGCAGAACGGCAGAUGGAGGUCAUCGUGGAGCCCAAGCCGGCGUCAUCAUCAGAGUCUUUGGCAGGCGAGGACCAACUUUAGUCAGGAUAAGUGUACUAGAUGUUCCCCUUCAAAAUGGCCAAUUGUUGGCACCCUUCCCGCUCAAUAUUUGGGAAGAGGACCAGGACCUUGCCCUAUAAAUAGGGCUAGCCACCACAGUAGAAAGGGAUCCAGAUUCAAUCCUUCCCAAGAGGCAUCACCUCCACAAGAACUCCUUCCCUCGCGAGGCAGUUCUUCCUUUGUACUGUUCAUCAUCAGCCCCAGAGGCAAUCCACCACACCACAAACUAGAGUAGGGUAUUACACCACAAUGGUGGCCCGAACUAGUAUAAACCUCGUGUCCCUUGUGUUGUUCUUCGUGUAGUUUAGAUCCUUUGCAAGGCGAUGAGACGUGAGUAGGUAGGAGGUGUGGUCUCCGCGCGCACCCCAGAGUUUGAACCUUAAGGGUCUGCCGAAACCCGAAAUCCGACAUUGGGGNNNNNNNNNNNNNNNNNNNNNNNNNNNNNNNNNNNNNNNNNNNNNNNNNNNNNNNNNNNNNNNNNNNNNNNNNNNNNNNNNNNNNNNNNNNNNNNNNNNNNNNNNNNNNNNNNNNNNNNNNNNNNNNNNNNNNNNNNNNNNNNNNNNNNNNNNNNNNNNNNNNNNNNNNNNNNNNNNNNNNNNNNNNNNNNNNNNNNNNNNNNNNNNNNNNNNNNNNNNNNNNNNNNNNNNNNNNNNNNNNNNNNNNNNNNNNNNNNNNNNNNNNNNNNNNNNNNNNNNNNNNNNNNNNNNNNNNNNNNNNNNNNNNNNNNNNNNNNNNNNNNNNNNNNNNNNNNNNNNNNNNNNNNNNNNNNNNNNNNNNNNNNNNNNNNNNNNNNNNNNNNNNNNNNNNNNNNNNNNNNNNNNNNNNNNNNNNNNNNNNNNNNNNNNNNNNNNNNNNNNNNNNNNNNNNNNNNNNNNNNNNNNNNNNNNNNNNNNNNNNNNNNNNNNNNNNNNNNNNNNNNNNNNNNNNNNNNNNNNNNNNNNNNNNNNNNNNNNNNNNNNNNNNNNNNNNNNNNNNNNNNNNNNNNNNNNNNNNNNNNNNNNNNNNNNNNNNNNNNNNNNNNNNNNNNNNNNNNNNNNNNNNNNNNNNNNNNNNNNNNNNNNNNNNNNNNNNNNNNNNNNGUCUUCUUCUUCUUCUUCUUCUUCUUCUUCUUGUCCUCCCCUUUUUCUUCUUCUCCCCCCUCCUCUUCUUCUUUUCUUCUAAUAAUUUUUUCAAGAACUAUACUACGAACUAACUAAAAGAACAUGUGGUGCCCCCAUGUUUGGUUUUGGUAAUUGAUGACAAUCUCUAUGGAUUAAUGGUUGUCUUGAAUUAUAUUUGAAGGUUUUGUCCAUAGGCUUUUCUUGGAAUACAUGUGUUGGUUUCAAGGAGAGGUUGUGUCGACCAAGGUGCUAUUCAAGGAAUUACCUAAAGAUUGGUCUUGUGAGAGGUUGAUCAAGACUAAGUAAAAGAGUGAAUCAAGUUGAUCAACAUAUGAAGCAUACAAGAUGUACCAAGGGAUCAAGUGAUCCCAUGGUAUGGUAAGCAUUGCCCAUUAUGCUUUGUAUUCUAACCCAUGGUAUUCGUGAGAGUUCUUUGUGGGGUUAGGUUGCGGUGUGCAAGUUUAAGUGGACCAUCAUGAAGAGAUCAAAUGCUUGAAGUUUGCCGUUCAUUUUGGUGUCAAUGGACUUGUGAAGAUGUGCUGAAGAGUGGCUCACCCAUAGUGGAGUAUGGGGCAGCAAUCAUCCAGUCUUCAUUGACCCAACAUAAUCAAGAAAGGUGGUCCAUCUUGAGGAGGACGAGAUCGUCAUCAUCUAGCUCAAGUGGACCAUGUGCAAGGCAAAGGUUUGCCCUUGAUAGGUUUUCUAUUUUACCGGUCUCAUGGUGGUAGUUGGGAGACCGGGUUUUAGGAUCGAUUGCCAUACUAUCAAGGGGGGAUCUCGAUGAGUAGCUUGAUCGUAUCAUUUGUAGAGAGCUCAAACCAUUGCAUCCUUGCAUCAUCUUUCUUGGUUCUUGUUUGGUUCUCUUUGUGAGAUUUGGAGCUUAUGGUCAUCUUGAUGACAAGCUCGAGUUCAUCGAAAAUGGAGUUCACAUGCAUCUUCUAUGAUGUUUUCAAUGUUGGAGGUUCUGCCGGUUCUUCUUUGAUGUUUGCUACGCAUUGUCUUGUAUCCAACAAGCUUGAGUUUGCUCAAUUCGGAGCUCAUUUACAGAAGUUAAGGCAUUUCUAUUUUUAUUGGACCCGUCUGUUGUCUUAGCUGCGUUUUGAAGGCAUCCAAGUGCUAAAGCCUCUGUGGCAUGCGGUAGUACUGCUCAACUGAGCGGUAGUACCGCAGGGGCCAGCGGUAGUACCGCUCCUGGUGAGCGGUAGUACCGUUGCCUCUAGCCCAGAACGUUGGCACGCACGGAAGUAGGCACGGAAGUAAUUUUUUACUUCCGCGCCCUACGCGGUAGUACCGCUCCUGGUGAGCGGUAGUACCGCUGCCUCAUGUCCUGGCGCUGUUGUGUGGUAGUAGGAGUGGAUGUAAUUUUUUACAUCCGCCCUCACGCGGUAGUACCGCUCCGUGUGAGCGGUAGUACCAUGCCGACCUUUUCUCGUAGCUAGCUCCAACGGUUGUAGGCGCGGCAGUUAUUUUUUUCUCUGGUCGCGCGGUAGUACCGCAAGGGCAGGUGGUAGUACCGCUCCUACAGAAGUACUUCCCUGUUGCCCCUUUGCAGUGUUGUUUCUUUGGGCUUUUGCCGCCCAAGAGGUGGUACUGCUACCCCUAGCGGUAGUACAGUGAGGUCAAGUGGUAGUACCGCUCUAUGCGGGCUGUGAGGAUAACGUUUGGAUUUUUCCCCACCUAUAAAAGGGGGUCUUCUUCCCCAAUGGACCUUAUCUCUUUAGCUCGAGUUCUUCCCUCAUUGUUGACCUUCUUCGAGCUUGCUAACUCUCAAUCCCUCCAAUGAUUCUUGCUAGUUCUUGAGGGAAAAGAGAGAGGAGAUCUAGAUCCAUGUUUCCACCAAUCACUUUCUCCUCUAAGUGAGGGGAACCCCUUGGAUCUAGAUCUUGGAGUUCUUCGUGUUCUUCUUUCGUUCUUCCUCUAAUUUUCUUCCCCAUUAGUUGCUUUGGUGGGAUUUGGGAGAGAAGGACUUGGGCACUCCGUGUGCCCUUGCCAUUGCAUUUGGUGCAUCGGUUUGAGUUCUCCACGGUGAUACGUGGAAGUGAAGUUUGAGAAGCUUAUUACUCUUGGGUGCUUGGUACCCUUGAGCUUGUUCCUCUUGGGUGCUUGGGCGCCCUAGACGGUUGGUGGUGUUCAGAGCUGAAUCAUUGUGGUGUAAAGCUCCGGGCAAGUGUCGGGGUCUCCAAUUAGGUUGUGGAGAUCACCUCGAGCAAUUUGACGGGUACCGGUGACCGCCUCCAAGGGUUGCCAAAGUGUACGGGUUCGGUGAUCGCCCCCAAGAGUUGCCAUUUGUACGGGUUUGGUGACCACCCUCAAGGGUCCCUGCUACGUCUUGAGCUAGCAUUGGUUUUCCCCGAAGAGGAGAGGGUGAUGCAGCAAGUGUAGCGUAAGUAUUUCCCUCAUUUUUUGAGACCAAGGUAUCAAUCCAGUAGGAGGCUCCUCAAAAGUCCCACGCACCUACACAAAAAAACUGAGAACUCGCAACCAACGCAAUAAAUGGGUUGUCAAUCCCUUCACAGCCACUUGCGAAAGUGAGAUCUAAUAAAGAUAGUAUGAUAAGAUAGAUAUGUUUUUGGUAUUUUAUGAUAUAGAUGCAAGAAAAGUAAAGAUGCAAAUAAAAGUAGAUGCAAAUAAAAGAUGCAAAUAUGAUAAGAGAUAGACCCGGGGGCCAUAGGUUUCACUAGAGGCUUCUCUCGAGAGCAUAAGUAUUACGGUGGGUGAACAAAUUACUGUCAAGCAAUUGACAGAAAAGUGAAUAAUUAUGAUGUUAUCUAGGCAUGAUCAUGUAUAUAGGAAUCACAUCCAAAACAAGUAGACCGACUCCUGCCUGCAUCUACUACUAUUACUCCACACAUCGACCGCUAUCCAGCAUGCAUCUAGAGUAUUAAGUUCAUAAGAACGGAGUAACACAUUAAGCAAGAUGAUAUGAUGUAGAGGGAUAAACUCAUGCAAUAUGAUAUAAAACCCAUCUUGUUAUCCUCGAUGGCAACAAUACAAUACGUGUCUUGCAACCCUUUCUGUCACUGGGUAAGAACACCGCAAGAUUGAACCCAAAGCUAAGCACUUCUCCCAUGGCAAGAAAGAUCAAUCUAGUAGGCUAAACCAAACCGAUAAUUCGAAGAGACUUGCAAAGAUAAAUCAAUCAUACAUAAAAGAAUUCAGAGAAGAUUCAAUUAAUAACCAUAGAUAAAUCUGAACAUAAACUCACAAUUCAUUGGAUCUUGACAAACACACCGCAAAAAGAGAUUACAUCGAAUAGAUCUCCACAAGAGAGGGGGAGAUCAUUGUAUUGAGAUCCAAAAACAGAGAAGAAGCCAUCUAGCUAAUAACUAUGGACCCGUAGGUCUGAGGUAAACUACUCACAACUCAUAGGAGGGGCAAGGAUGUUGAUGUAGAGGCCCUCCGUGGUCGAUUCCCCCUCCGGCAGAGUGCCGACGAAGGCUCCAAGAUGGGAUCUCGCGGAUAUAGAAGGUUACGGUGGUGGAAAUUGUGUUUCGUGGUGCCCCUGGAUGUUUUCGGGGUCCGUAGGUAUAUAUUGGAGGAAGAAGUACGUUGGUGGACGCCCGAGGGGCCCAUGAGACAGGGGGCGCGCCCUACAGGGGGGCGCGCCCUCCUAUCUCAUGGGGCCCUUGGAGCUUUCUUGACUUGCACUCCAGGCUCUCCGGAUCAGAUUUGUUCCAAAAAUAACGCUCCCAAAGGUUUCAUUCCGUUUGGACUCCGUUUGAUAUUCCUUUUCUUCGAAAUACUGAAAUAGGCAAAAAAAACAACAAUACGGGUUGGGCCUCCGGUUAGUAGGUUAGUCCCAAAAAUGAUAAAAAUAUGUAGAAUAAAGCCCAUAAGCAUCCAAAACAGGUAAUAUAAUAGCACGGAACAAUCAAAAAUUAUAGAUACGUUGGAGACGUAUCAAGCAUCCCCAAGCUUAAUUCCUGCUCGUCCUCGAGUAGGUAAAUGAUAAAAAGAGAAUUUUUGAUGUGGAAUGCUACCUAGCAUAAUUCAUAAUGUAAUUUUCUUUCAUUGUGGCAUGAAUGUUCAGAUCCAAGUAAUACAAAAUAAAAGUUCAUAUUGAUAUAAGAAAUAGAAAUACUUCAAGCAUACUAAACAAGUGAUCAUGUCUUCUCAAAAUAGCGUGGCCAAAAGAAAGUUAUCCCUACAAAAUCAUAUAGUCUGGCUAAGCUCUAUCUUCAUCACACAAAGUAUUUAAUCAUGCACAACCCCGAUGAUGAGCCAAGCAAAUGUUUCAUACUUUAAUAAUCUCAAACUUUUUCAACUUUCACGCAAUACAUGAGCGUGAGCCAUGGACAUAGCACUAUAUGUGGAAUAGAACGGUGGUUGUGGAGAAGACAAAAAAGAAGAAGAUAGUCUCACAUCAACUAGGCGUAUCAACGGGCUAUGGAGAUGCCCAUUAAUAGAUAUCAAUGUGAGUGAGUAGGGAUUGCCAUGCAACAGAUGUACUAGAGCUAUAAAUAUAUGAAAGCUCAACAAAAAGAACUAAGUGGGUGUGCAUCCAACUUGCUUGCUCACGAAGACCUAGGGCAUUUUGAGGAAGCCCAUCAUUGGAAUAUACAAGCCAAGUUCUAUAAUGAAAAAUUCCCACUAGUAAAUGGAAGUGACAACAUAUGAGACUCUCAUGAAGAUCAUGGUGCUACUUUGAAGCACAAGUGUGGUAAAAGGAUAGUAGCAUUGUCCCUUCUCUCUUUUUCUCUCAUUUUUUUAUUUGGGCCUUUUCUCUUUCUUUUUAUGGCCUCUUUUUUUUUUAAUUUCAUCCGGAGUCUCAUCCCGACUUAUGGGGGAAUCAUAGUCUCCAUCAUCCUUUCCUCACUGGGACAAUGCUCUAAUAAUGAUGAUCAUCACACUUCUAUUUUUUUUACAACUCAACAAUUACAACUCGAUACUUAGAACAAAAUAUGACUCUAUAUGAAUGCCUCCGGUGGUAUACCGGGAUAUGCAAUGAAUCAAGAGUGACAUGUAUGAAAGAAUUAUGAACGGUGGCUUUGCCACAAAUACAAUGUCAACUACAUGUUCAUGCAAAAAUCAAUAUGACAAAAGUAAUGUGUGUCAUAUGAACGGAACGAUGGAAAGUUGCAUGGCAAUAUAUCUCGGAAUGGCUAUGGAAAUGCCAUAAUAGGUAGGUAUGGUGGCUGUUUUGAGGAAGGAGUAUGGUGGGUGUAUGGUACCGGCAAAAUUUGCACGAUACAAGAGAGGCUAGCAAUAAUGGAGGGGUGAAAGGAGUGUGUAUAAUCCAUGGACUCAACAUUAAUCAAAAGAACUCAUAUACUUGUUGUAAAAAUUUAGAAGUCAUCAAAAACCAAAGCACUACACGCAUGCUCCUAGGGGGAUAGAUUGGUAGGAAAAUACCAUCACUCGUCCCCGACUGCCACUCAUAAGGAAGACAAUCAAUAAAUAAAAUUGUGCUCCAACUUCAUCACAAAGCGGUUCACCAUACGUGCAUGCUACGGGAAUCACAAACUUCAACUCAAGCAUUCUUUAAAUCCAUAAUCACCCAACUAGCAUGACUUUAAUAUUACUACCUCCAUAUCUCAAAACAAUUAUCAAGCAUCAAAUUGAUCAUAGCAUCCAAUUCACUUUAUAUGAUAGUUUUUAUUAUACCCAACUUGGAUGCUCAUCAUUCUAGGACCAAAUUAAAACCAUAGCAAAUACCAUGCUGUUCUAAGAGACUCCCAAAAUAAUAUAAGUGAAGCAUUAGAGACUAGCAAUUUCUAUAAAAUUAAUCCACCACCAUGCUCUAAAAGAUAUAAGUGAAGCACUAGAGCAAAAACUAUCAAGCUCAAAAGAUAUAAGUGAAGCACAUAGAGUAUUCUAGCAAAUUCUAAUCAAAUAGGCUUCUCCAAAAAGGUGUGAUACAGCAAGUAUGAUUGUGGUAAACUAACAAGCAAAGACCAAUAUAAUACACGACGCUCCAAGCAAAACACAUAUCAUGUAGCGAAUAAAAAUAUAGCUCCAAGUAAAGUUACCAAUGAACGAAGACGAAAGAGAGGACGCCUUCCCGGGGCAUCCCCAAGCUUAGGCUUUUGGCUAUUCUUGAAUAUCUUGGGGUGCCAUAAGCAUCCCAAAUCUUAGUCUCUUGCCACUCUUUAUUCCAUAGUCCAUAAAAGCUUUACCCAAAACUUGAAAACUUCACAACACAAAACUCAACAGGAAAUCUUAUAAGCUCCGUUAGUGAAAGAAAACAAAAUCACCACAUAAGGUACUGCAAUGAACUCAUUCUUUAUUUAUUUUGGUGUUAAACCUACUGUAUUCCAACUUCCUUAUGGUUUAUAAACUAAUUUAUUAGCCAUAGAUGCAUUGAAAUAAGCAAACAACACACGAAAAACAGAAUCUGUCAAAAACAGAACAGUCUGUAGCAAUCUGUAACAAACGCAAACUUCUGGAACUCUAAAAAUCCUACCAAAAUAGUAAGUACUGUAAAAUUUGUUUAUUGAUCAUAAGCAAAAAUAAUGAACGCAAAAUCUAUUUUCUGUGAUUUAAUGAAUUUUUUCUCAUGAGCGCUAAGUUUCUGUUUUUCAGCAGAAUCAAAUUAACCAUCAUCAUAGUUUACCCUAUAGGUUCUACUUGGCACAAACACUAAACAAAAGAUAAAAACACAUCUAAACAGGAAGUAGAAACAAAAUUUAACACUAAACAGGAACAAAAACAAAGAACAUAAAGAAAAUUGGGUUGCCUCCCAACUAGCGCUAUCGUUUAACUCCCCUAGCUAGGCAUAAAAGCAAGGAUAGAUCUAACGAGUGCCAUCUUCGGCACUUCAUUCAUAAGUAGCACGCAUGAUAGAUUCAUAAGGUAAUUUGACUUUCUUUCUUGGAAAGUGCUCCAUGCCUUUCUUUAAAGGAAACUGGAAUCUAAUGUUCCCUUCCUUCAUAUCAAUAAUCGCACCAAUCGUUCUAAGGAAAGGUCUACCAAGAAUAAUAGGGCAAGAAAGAUUGCAAUCUAUAUCAAGAACGAUGAAAUCUACGGGCACCAAAUUUCUAUUAGAAACAAUAAGAACAUCAUUGAUCCUUCCCAUAGGCUUUUUAAUGGUGGAAUCUGCAAGGCGCAAAUUUAAAGAGCAAUCAUCAAGAUCAUGGAAGUCUAGAAUAUCGCAUAAAGUUUUCGGAAUUGUGGAAACACUAGCACCCAAAUCACACAAAGCAAAACACUCAAAAUCUUUAAUUCUAAUCUUUAUAGUAGGUUCCCACUCAUCAUUAAGUUUUCUAGGUAUAGAAACUUCCAAAUUAAGUUUUUCAUCAUAAGAUUGCAUCAAGGCAUCAACAAUAUGUUUGGUAAAAGCUUUGUUUUGACUAUAAGCAUGAGGAGAAUUAACAACGGAUUGCAACAAGGAAAUACAACCUUUUAAAGAACAAUUAUCAUAAUCAAAUUCCUUGAAAUCCGAGAUAGUAGGUUCAACAUUAUUAGAAGUUGAAGAUUCUCCAAUCUCUCUUUUACCAAAUUUAGCAUUAAGAUCUAAAGAUUCCGAAUUUUUGGGACGCCUUCUAGGCAAAGUUGAUUCGCCAUCACCCCCAUAAUCAUCAAAAUUCAUAUUGCAAAACAUAGAUCUAAUAGGAGACGUAUCAAUAACUUUAAGAUCCUCAUCAUUAUUUUCGUGUUAAUUAGAAGAACACGCUUUUAUAAAGCUUUCCUUUUUAGCAUGCAAUCUAGCGGUUCUUUCCUUGCACUCGUCAAUGGAGAUUCUCAUUACUUUGAGAGACUCAUUGAUAUCAUGCUUAGGAGAAGAAGAUCCAAGUUUAAGAGAAUUAACAUCAAGCAAAAGUCUAUCAACGUUCCUAGCCAAAUCAUCAACUUUGAGCAAUUUUUCUUCAAGCAAAGCAUUAAAAUUCUUUUGAGAAAUCAUAAAUUAUUUCACACUAUUCUCAAAAUCAGAGGGCAUCUUAUUAAAAUUACCAUAAGAAUUAUUGUAGGAAUUUCCAUAAUUAUUAGAGGGAUUACUAGGGAACGGUCUAGCAUUAAAAUUUCCUCUAUAAGCAUUGUUUCCAAAAUUAUUCCUAUUCACAUCCAUAGACUCAUUAUUAUUCUCAAUCAAAGAAGACAAAGGCAUAUCAUUGGGAUCAAGAGGAGUAUUUUUAGUAGCAAACAUCUUCAUAAGUUCAUCCAUCUUUCCACUCAAAAAAUUCAUUUCUUCUAUAGCAUGCACUUUUUUACUAGAAGAUCUUUCGGUGUGCCAUUGAGAAUAAUUAGCCAUAAUAUUAUCAAGCAAUUUUGUAGCAUCUCCUAAUGUAAUUUCCAUAAACGUGCCUCCCGCGGCCGAAUCUAAGAGAUUUCUAGAAGCAAAGUUCAAACCGGCAUAAAAUUUUGUAUGAUCAUCCAUAAAUUCAAACCAUGAGUAGGGCAAUUGCGAAGCAUCAAUUUCAUUCUUUCCCAAGAUUGGGCAACAUGCUCAUGAUCAAGUUGUUUAAAAUUCAUAAUAUCGUUCCUAAGAGUGAUGAUCUUAGCGGGAGGAAAAUACUUAGAGAUAAAAGCAUCUUUUCACUUGUUCCAAGAAUCAAUACUACUUUUAGGCAAAGACGAAAACCAAACUUUAGCACGAUCUCUAAGUGAAAACGGAAAUAACUUCAAUUUGACAAUAUUGUUAUCUGUAUCUUUCUUCUUUUGCAUGUCACACAAAUCAACAAAAUCGUUUAGAUGAGUGGCGGCAUCUUCACUAGGAAGGCCGGCGAAUUGAUCUUUCAUAACAAGAUUCAGCAAGGUAGUAUUGAUUUCACAAGACUCAACAUCAUUAAGAGGAACAAUCGGAUUACUAAGGAAAUCAUUAUUAUUGGUAUUCGAGAAAUCACACAACUUGGUAUUAUCUUGUGCCAUGGCAACAAGUAAUACAACACACAAGCAAACAGAAAAUGGCAAACAGAAAAAGGCGAGCGAAAAGAGAGGAGGAGAAGAUUGGGAAAGAGAGGGCGAAUAAAACGGCAAGGGUGAAGUGGGGGAGAGGAAAACGAGAGGCAAAUGGCAAAUAAUGUAAAUGCGAGGGAGAUGAGUUUGUGAUGGGUACUUGGUAUGUCUUGACUUGAGCGAAGACCUCCCCGGCAACGGCGCCAGAAAUCCUUCUUGCUACGUCUUGAGCUAGCGUUGGUUUUCCCUGAAGAGGAGAGGGUGAUGCAGCAAGUGUAGCGUAAGUAUUUCCCUUAGUUUUUGAGAACCAAGGUAUCAAUCCAGUAGGAGGCUCCUCAAAAGUCCCACGCACCUACACAAACAAACUGAGAACUCACAACCAACGCAAUAAAGGGGUUGUCAAUCCCUUCACGGCCACUUGCGAAAGUGAGAUCUAAUAAAGAUAGUAUGAUAAGAUAGAUAUGUUUUUGGUAUUUUAUGAUAUAGAUGCAAGAAAAGUAAAGAUGCAAAUAAAAGUAGAUUGAAAGCAAAUAUGAUAAGAGAUAGACCCGGGGGCCAUAGGUUUGACUAGAUGCUUCUCUCGAGAGCAUAAGUAUUACGGUGGGUGAACAAAUUAUUGUCAAGCAAUUGAUAGAAAAGCGAAUAAUUAUGACAUUAUCUAGGCAUGAUCAUGUAUAUAGGCAUCACAUCCAAAACAAGUAGACCGACUCCUGCCUGCAUCUACUACUAUUACACCACACAUCGACCGCUAUCCAGCAUGCAUCUAGAGUAUUAAGUUCAUAAGAACGGAGUAACGCAUUAAGCAAGAUGAUAUGAUGUAGAGGGAUAAACUCAUGCAAUAUUAUAUAAACCCCAUCUUGUUAUCCUCGAUGGCAACAAUACAAUACGUGUCUUGCAACCCUUUCUGUCACUGGGUAAGAACACCGCAAGAUUGAACCCAAAGCUAAGCACUUCUCCCAUGGCAAGAAAGAUCAAUCUAGUAGGCCAAACCAAACCGAUAAUUCGAAGAGACUUGCAAAGAUAACUCAAUCAUACAUAAUAGAAUUCAAAGAAGAUUCAAUUAAUAACCAUAGAUAAAUCUGAACAUAAACUCACAAUUGAUCGGAUCUUGACAAACACACCGCAAAAAGAGAUUACAUCGAAUAGAUCUCCACAAGAGAGGGGGAGAUCAUUGUAUUGAGAUCCAAAAACAGAGAAGAAGCCAUCUAGCUAAUAACUAUGGACCCGUAGGUCUGAGGUAAACUACUCACAACUCAUAGGAGGGGCAAGGAUGUUGAUGUAGAGGCCCUCCGUGGUCGAUUCCCCCUCCGGCAGAGUGCCGGUGAAGGCUCCAAGAUGGGAUCUCGCGGAUACAAAAGGUUACGAUGGUGGAAAUUGUGUUUCGUGGUGCCCCUGGAUGUUUUCGGGGUCCAUAGGUAUAUAUAGGAGGAAGAAGUACGUCGGUGGACGCCCGAGGGGCCCACGAGAUAGGGGUGCACCCUAUAGGGGGGGGCACUCCCUCCUAUCUCGUGGGGCCCUCGGAGCUUUCUUGACUUGCACUCCAGGCUCUCCGGAUCAGAUUUGUUCCAAAAAUAACGCUCCCGAAGGUUUCAUUCUGUUUGGACUCCGUUUGAUAUUCCUUUUCUUCGAAAUACUAAAAUAGGCAAACAAAAAAAACAAUACGAGUUGGGCUCCGGUUAGUAGGUUAGUCCCAAAAAUGAUAAAAAUAUGUAGAAUAAAGCCCAUAAGCAUCCAAAACAGGUAAUAUAAUAGCAUGGAACAAUCAAAAAUUAUAGAUACGUUGGAGAAGUAUCAGUCCCUUAGUGGAAUCACAGCAUCUUGCAUUGUGCGAGGGCGUGAGGAGAUUACGGUGGCCCUAGUGGCUUCUUGGGGAGCAUUGUGCCCCCACACCGCUCCAAACGGAGAUUAGCAUCCGCAAGGGUGUGAACUUCGGGACACAUCAUCGUCUCCGCGUGCCUCGAUUAUCUCUUACCCGAGCCCUUUACUUAUGCACUUUGUGAUAGCCAUAUUGUUUCUUGUCAUAUAUCUUGCUAUCACUUAGUUGUUUAUCUUUCUUAGCUUAAGUUGUUGGUGCACAUAGGUGAGCCUAGUUGUUGUAGGUUUUUUGCUUGACAAAUUAACCGCUAGGUUUAUUCCGCAUUUUUUCAAUCCUAAACCGUAAUUAUUUUGAAGCGCCUAUUCACCCCCCUCUAGGCGACAUCCACGAUCUUUCACUAACCUAACUAACCUAGAAACUAACCUAACUAACCUAGAACUAACCUAGAAAAUCAAACUAACCUAACUAACAGUACUAACUAACCUAAUUACUAGCAGUAGAAAAGAAACAUGGGGGAGCUCACCGGAGUGGGUCAGCGGGGCAUCGGGGCGGCGGGGUGUUGGGGCGGCUAGGGCGUCGGGACGGCGGGGCGCCUUGUUGUGAAGGCGGUGGGGNNNNNNNNNNNNNNNNNNNNNNNNNNNNNNNNNNNNNNNNNNNNNNNNNNNNNNNNNNNNNNNNNNNNNNNNNNNNNNNNNNNNNNNNNNNNNNNNNNNNNNNNNNNNNNNNNNNNNNNNNNNNNNNNNNNNNNNNNNNNNNNNNNNNNNNNNNNNNNNNNNNNNNNNNNNNNNNNNNNNNNNNNNNNNNNNNNNNNNNNNNNNNNNNNNNNNNNNNNNNNNNNNNNNNNNNNNNNNNNNNNNNNNNNNNNNNNNNNNNNNNNNNNNNNNNNNNNNNNNNNNNNNNNNNNNNNNNNNNNNNNNNNNNNNNNNNNNNNNNNNNNNNNNNNNNNNNNNNNNNNNNNNNNNNNNNNNNNNNNNNNNNNNNNNNNNNNNNNNNNNNNNNNNNNNNNNNNNNNNNNNNNNNNNNNNNNNNNNNNNNNNNNNNNNNNNNNNNNNNNNNNNNNNNNNNGAGGGUGGUGGGGGUCGGGGGUGGCGGUGACGGUUGGGGUCGGGGUCGGCACGUUGGAGUGAGAGAGAAAGAGAUGGAGAGUGGGAGGUGGGGUGGGCCAUAGCCAUUAGCUCCCGUUCUCUUUCCCGUCUGCUAGAUGGCAAAGAAUCUUUGCCGUCUACUAGCAGACGGGAAAGAAAGUGUUUGUUAGGUGGUACUCGUUAGUGGGCCACCACCACCCCCCCUCUUUGCCGCCUGCUAGCAUAUGGAAAAGCUUCUAUGCCGUCUGCUAGCGGACAACAAAGAGCUUGAUGACAACAAACAUGAUCUUUGCCGUUAGUUUUCUGUAAGCUGAUGGCAAAGACCUUCUUUGCCGUCAGCUGGCUGACCGCAAAGAUCCUGAUUCCAGUAGUGUUACCAUAUCAAGAAUUCUUAAGAGGUGGAGCAAUUCUCACGACAUCCUUGAUAUAAAAGAUGGUAAUACUCCAAGGUAGAACAUAACAAAAGCUGGAUAGCAAGGAGCUCCAUAACAUGAACAAGUUUGUGUUGGAAGGAAGGUAAGGAUGUGGUCGAUGACAACACAAAUUACCAAGUGACAAGGAUGGUACUUCUCAUCAUGAAUUUGUUGCACAACUUGGAAGAAGUCAAAUUGUUGACAAUGAUCAUGACACAUUUUUCCAAGAGGUUUCAUGAAGAUGCAGUCGAUCAACGAUGGCAUCAAGCCAAAGGAAUGGUGAAGUGAAAGCUUAUCGGAACCACAAAAAAGAUGCAAGCUAGAAAUUAGAGUUGCCUUUCAAGACAAACAAUAUGAUGUUGAAAGCUCGAUGUAGCUAGUGCAUUGUUGGGAUUGCGUUCCGGGGAUGAAGGACAUAGGUAGCAUGGUCAAGCUUUAGGAUGGCGAUGAUGAUGUAGCCAAUUAGCUGGGAAUGAUAUGAUUGAGUACAAACUUGUAAGCAAUGAACAUUACUUAGAUUUGUUGAAUCGCAGUGCAGACUUGAUAUAGUUAUCAAUGUCCUUGAGUGUCUAACAACUCAGAACCCAGGGAAAAUUAGAAUCGGUGAGAACUAAUAGUUGAUGAAGAACUCAUAAGAAGAUAUAUAGUUCUGUGUUAUUCUCGAGAUACCAAGGGGUAAUACCCGAAGGUAGAUCAGAAUAGAGUUUUAGACUUGUGUAUUGAUUUGUGGAAGACAAGCACUUUAACUUGUCUGAGAAUGAACUCAAAGUAGAUCAACAUGGUCGGAACCACGAUUGCAAAGGGAAAAAUCACAGAUACAAGAUCAAAUUAUACCAAGGGAACAAUUAUUGUUACGAGAACUUCCAUGAUAAGGUCUACAUUGUUUCCAUGGGCAUGAACACAAAGUUCAAGGUCGACUCCCACUUCUUCAAUAAAUAACCUUUCAUCCACUUCUCGCUUUCGAUGAAGUUGUAGUGUUGAAAUUUUAUCGGGCAAAAACACCAAAAGAGUAUGACUCGUGAAAACUCUCGGGUUCACACGGAUUAGGGAAGGCAUAGGUUCAACCCAUCGGGGCAUCUUAGGAACAUAUACCAUGAACUUUAGGAGUAAAUAACACAAGCUCGGAAGCGGAGCAUGGUUGAAAAAAGUAGGGGAUAUAGCUUACCAAAGGCAUUAUGUAUCAGGGGAAGAACUCAAGGUUUUGAGAACAUGCAGGAACGAUUGGAUAAUGAUCCACCAAAGGAUUUGGCAGACUGCAAAGAAUCUGAUGUGAGUAUCGAUGUUCAACUAGAAGAAGAAAUAAUGCACAGGCAUCAAAUUAUUGAAAUAUCUGGAUAAUUCCAAAGCUUAAAUACAACAGAAUUAUGAUUUCCAAAUCGGGGUAUCAGAAGAAGAUGCUCCGAUCAAAAGAAAGUAAGUUGAAAAGACAUAGAUCAAUAAUCAAUCAAGGUUUGAUUUGCCGAGAACCAGCUCAUGUCCGGAGUGACGUCUGAGCCGAAGUACGAAUUCAUAGUGAUCAAUUGAUGAUUGCAUGCAUUCGCAACAUAUUGGAUCAAGGGACUCUAAAUGAUAGCGACAAGGGAUGCCAAUAAGAUUACUAGACAUAUGGGAUUUAACCAUAAUGCAAGAAGGCUAGAAUUCCAAGAGCAAUAGUUAGCAGAGGAUUACCAGAAGAUUGGGUAGUAUUUCAAUGUAUCUUGUGAAUCAUAUGAACAACUAGUAAUGAGCAGUUCCUCGAUAAGUGUGAAAAAUUAUUCAUAGGGGUAUUAUGUGGCAAGGAACUGCAAGGCAGUGGCACAGGGGAUUCUUAAAAGUCAAAGAAUAAUUCGAUAUAUCUUGUAAUAACAAGAGAACUGGGAAUGGAAGUAUGAACGACAGGUGUAUGUAGUUAUCCAUAGGGGUUGACGGUGCAAGGGAAUUGCCAAAGCGAUGAACCCAGAGGCCAGUUGGGCCAUGGCCCAGUGGAGGGUUCUUCUUUCUUUGAAUUUUUUGUUUAUUUUUCUUAUUUUCUUUUUCUGUUUCAUCUAAUUUUAGUUUUACAAAAUACGAAAGUUGUACCUAAAAUAAUAUUAAUAAUUAUGCCACUGCCACAAUUAAUUUGGCACCUAAAAUAAAACAGUUUGUAAUUUUUUACUACUUGAAAAAAAUAUAAACAAUUGUUUUACCGUUGUUUUAGUUAAUUUAGAGCAUUUAAAUAUUUUACAAAAAUGUGGUUUCUCCACCAUUAUUACUUAGUAUUUAUUUUCUACAGUUAGAACAUUUUAGUUUUAAUGUUUGAAAACUUUUAUUGUUUGACUUGAUUUUGAAUAUGAAUUCGAACAGGAUUUGAAUCAUUUGAGAUUAACAACAGUAAUCGUUAUGACGUGACAUCAUCAGUAGAGGGUUAUUGUAGCUUAAUUAUCCGGGCGUUACAAUAUUUCACAAAUAUAGUAGAAACCAUGGGCCAACUUACAAAUUUUUCAUGUAACUCAAUUUGAAUUAUCUUAUAUAUAGUAUAUUAACAUAUCUAGAAUGAUAAAGGACUAUAUAUGGUACCACAUAGUAGUAUAUGAGACAUGUGGGGUAACUACCCCUGGGUGGUAGGGGGAGCUGGGUAGCACCUCCAGUAUCACUCAUUUUAUUUAUUUGGCUUCUAGUAAAAGGUUUAGAGAUGACCACAUUAACCUCCUUCUCUAUCAUUUCAUGAAUUUAACAACAAUACAAGUUUCCUCAUCUAUAUAUCUAUUAUUAAUCCAGUUAGUGUUAAGAGGAGAUUACUCCCUGGCCACUUUAGUUAGAACCAUCACAUCAUGUUGUUUUUGUUCCAAAUUAUCGCCUUUUCAGCUAGAUGUUCUCUAGUUUUCUUGAGUUCUAUAACAACAUCUACAGAAAUAAAAUCAUUACCAUAAAUUUCAAAACACUCAUUACAGCAGCUUUGCUCGUCAAUUCGAAAUUAGCACAAUGUAGCAAAAGUGUUUAGAGAGGAAAUAUUAUUAGCACCUUGCUGGUUCCUCUUCCUAGUGAGAUUGACAACUCUAGCAUCCAUAUUUCUCAUGUUAGUGCAUAUAGUCCUUUCACUCGGUUUGGCAUGCACUACUUCUUCCAUAGGAGUAGGAAUGAUGUCCACACGUUCAAACAAAAAGUGGUAGGAGAUUACACAACAUAAAUAGAGGAAUUUUAUGUGCAAGAAACAACAUCAGGGUCCAUCUCUAUAACAAUAGGCUGGCUAAGUGAAUCAACUAAAUAUGAAGUAUAUUGAGGUACAACCACCAUCUCCUAGAUGCUGUUAACCACAAUCUCCUCAUAUAAAAAUUGUUUCUGAUUUAGUGCCUCGUAGCACUCAACUUGCAUGUCUUGUUCAUUUUACCUUUUCUGAGCAACUUUAUUAAUGAAAAGUUAAUUAUCUUCCUCUUUACUCUUUUUGUCAGAGUUAGUUUCCUCAUUAUCUUCCUUUUCCUCAUUCUCAUCUCUCAUAGGAGCACAAUUUUCACCACAAAAAAAAUCUAGGAGAAGCAAGAAAACCACCAACAAGAAUAGAUCCUCUAGUGUCCAUAUUAACAAAAUUCAAUAGUCCUAGAUCUCUUAAGAGAAGGACUACCAUCCUUAUUAGGAGCAUCAAUAGAUACAUUAUCAUCAAGGGGUUUUAUCCAUGGAUCUUAUUAGUAGAGUAGGCAAAAUCAUAAAAAUGUCCUCCUAGACUCCCUCGGUCACAUUAGAAAUAUUCUCGGCAUCUCUAUAUCCAACAUUAAGUCUCGCGGAUUCAGGCCUGUGUAAGGUAGCCAUGUCAAAGUCUGGAGUAACACCCACCAGAGAUCCUACAUAUGAUGCAUGUUUCUCAUUUAUUUAUCCAUGUGAAUAUUUCCCAUAUUAACCCAUGUAAUGUUCAACACUCCCUUAGACCCAACAAGCUCAACAAUUUCUAGGAUAUACAACCGCUCCAUGGUUUUUUAUGGCCAUACUUUCACUAUAACAUGCCUUCUCAACUUCUCUAUCAUUAGAAAAUUAUAUAACAUAGGUGUCAGGACCAAUGAUUCUAGUAGUGCACCUCCACCAAAAUCCUAAAUAUAUAUUAAAGGUCUGCUCGAUCUAUCUAGUGGAAGUUGGUUCCUCAAUAAAAAAAUGACAAUAUUCUUGCUCAUAUCUUUGACCUGGUUAGAAGAACUAGAAUCAUGAAUGUAAAUAGAAGACCUGAUCCCUAGCCCAAAACCCACACAUAGGCACGAUGCAAUCCCAGGGUUAUUGUUGCAUGCAAGAAGAAGAUGACUAACUGACCAGCAACGACCACAAACAACAUGAGGUGAAAAUAAAGGAACUUGACCCAGUCCAUUACAAGCUACGCAAACCUCACCACACAUGGCGGUUGGUGAAGCAUUUUUCCAGGCCAAAGAGGGAUCCUGCUGAAGUGGACCUUGUUGGCGAUGCCAGCUGGUCUUGACGGUGCUGCCAUGAGGCUAGGUGUUCUUGCCCAUUGCAUGAUGUUGCGUGUGCAUCCCUAAGCUUCCAUAGAUGUCUCCUCCCAUUCCUCCCUGCCAGCAUUCCCGUUGCUAGAUUUUUUGUUUUUGGAGGAAUGUUGGCCGCAAUUGUCGUCUGGCUUGUGCUGCCACACAUAGUUGUGGUGUCCGCCAUCAUGAUCUCACCCCACGUGGCAAGCCAACCCAUGUGCCCCACCCAAAACCAUCCAUUUGAUGGCCACGGUUUAAGUGCAUACACUGAUACGCCAUGGUAGGCGAUGUAGCAGGAUGAGGAGGAGAGGCAGCGACUUGAGUAAAGGAUAUUUCAUCCCCGCCAACUAUGCCCUCACACCAAUUGAAGGCAACCCCUAGGCGCCACCUAGAAGUAGUGGAAGAGGAGAUCAAGAUCUGGGAGGGGGGAGGGGUUGGAUUGGUUGGACCUGGGGAGAGUUAAACCUAGUUCCGUCUGGACGGAGCUCACCGUGGAGGCAAGGCACUCGACCUGGCUCGCUUGCAAAGUGUUUUCAUUGGCCUCUAGUCCCACAAUGGUGUGCAUACCCAUAGUUGGGCCUAUGAUUACUACAAAAAAAACACAUCCGUGACAUUUUGGGCCGAACGAAUUUUUUUCUGUCAUGCUUAUAACACUUUUAUGACAAUAAUUGUGACAAAAACACGUAUCAUCAUAGAUGUGGUGGGAUCCUACUUCUAUGACAAAAAAUCAUGACAGAAAAUGGGCUUUUUGUCCUGGGCGAGCCGGAGAUGUAGUUGCAUGACAUUCUUUAGGCCAUCCAUGAUGGAAAAAAUCAUGGUAGAAGCGAGGGCGAGGAAAAUAUUGGGGAGUUCCCGGUUAUGGUGGGUGGUCGGGGCCAAGCGAUGCACGGAGGUCUGCGCCUUUCUCUCGUGUACGCGCAUGUGUCCGAGGCGUUGGCUAACUGAACCCGAGCGAUUGCAUGUUACUAAACCCGAGCGAUUUAUCCCUUGGCUGUUAACUAAAUCCGAGUGAUUCAUUCGCUGCUGACUGAACCAAGCGAUUCCUUCGCUGCUGCUGCUAACUGAAUCAGGCGAUCAAUCACUGUUGCUGCUUACUGAAGCCGAUCGAGCCCCUGGGUGAGACGUAGCUAGUCGAUGUUGGGUUGCCUCUCGGUGAACAGUGACCAUUGCUACCGUGCGCACGGUAUGUAGAACGAGUCGAGACGUGGUGAGUCGAGCCGGUUGGUUGGCUGUGGAUGAGCAGUUCCCGGUGGGGGUUGGAUGAACAGGACCCCAUGGUAGUGGGUCGUUACCGCUGGAUGAACAGGACCUCGAGGAGGCCGCCGCACCCCAGCCGGUUGGGGGUGGAUGAACAGGACCCCGUGGAGGCUCUAUGAACAGCAACCGGUGAAGGCUGGAUGAACAGUAGCCCGUGGAGGCUGGAGGAGGUCGACGGUGGAUGAACAGUAGCCCGUGGGGACUGGAGCGAGGUAGUAGAUGGUGGAUGAACAGGACCCCAUUUAGACCGUAGGUGCUCCAACACAAGUUUGUUUCCUCCAUUUUGCCGUAUGCCACACCCCUCCCGAUGAACAGGACCCCGUUUUGACCGUAGGCACUCCAACACAAGUUUGUUUCCUCCGUUUUGCGGUACACCGGCCCUUCCCGAUGAACAGGACCCUGUUUUGACCAUACGUGGUUGAACAGAAGGCACAUUUCCUCCGUUCUGCACUAUGCAGACCUUGUUUCGGCUGUUCCAUCCAAGCCGGUUGGCUCCCGAUGAACACAACAUAUUCCGACCUAGUCAGUUGCCUCCCGAUGAACACAACGCUCUUUCAUCCGUUCUGACCCAGCCGGUUGGCUGCUGAUGAAUAGGACAACGUUGAUGUACGUGUUCAAGACCAUGCCCGUAUGUACUCCUUCCAUCCGAGAAAGCUUGUCCCUCAAAUGGAUGUAUCUAGCACUAACUUGGUUCUAGAUACAUCCAUUUGAGGGACAAGCUUGGGACAAGCUUUUUUGGACGGAGGGAGUACGUACGUAGCUGUAUUUACUUUCUUGCAGCAUGGUUGUGCGUAUGUGUGCAUGUUAUAGACGGGACUGCGUGACAUGCUACGUCUGCGCCUCUACUAUGACACAUGAUGCUCCUUACUCGACCACAGUUCAUCGUUGCAAAGAGACCGAUCAACUAGUAUGUAUGUACACGCUCGCGACCAAACAGACAACGCUAUGUACGCUUUGACCGGGUGGGUCCCAACUAUUCCUUGCGUGCGAAGAAAUAGCUGGUGGGUCCCAGCUGUCAAGGGAGAAUCUUUUUUCCAUAGUAUGGACGCACCUCCUUGCGUGCGAAGAUGUAGCUGGUGGGUCCCAGCGGUCAGGAGGGAAACAUUUUUUUGCAAAAUACAGUCCCUUUAGGUGGGUCCCUGCUGUCAGGUGGAGGAGUAAUUAUUUUACACAUAAUAGGAGGCACUUCCUUGCUGCAGCCGUGGACCCAGCUGUCAGCCUCUCCACGUACAGUCCUCUUCCGAUGGAAGUCGUUCCUUGACCAUGUUGACCACCCCGAGCCGAGAGCACCAAAGCGGCGGACGACGACAAGGCCUAGGAAGGGGAGGACACGGAGCCAUGGAAGGCGCGACUGUGGGUGCCCACGCGGAGAGGAGUACGAGGGUUGACUGGUUCGGCUGCGGUGUGAGGCUGCUGUCGCCGCAAAAUAACAUGGGUUGUGGGUGACUAGAGUGAUGGCCUGGCCAGCGAUGGAGUAGGAGGGGCGGUGAGGCCAGCGCGGCAGCAAAACCGGCCACGGGCAGUGAGGCGGCACUGCUCGCUUAGGAUUGGGCGGCUGGAGCAAGAAGACCAGAGGUUGAAGAAGCACGACAAUCAUUGGAUGGACAUCGUACAGUCAUUGCAGCUAGAAUCGUUUAUAUUGACUAAGUUGACAAAGCCCUGCAACUUAGUAGGCCCACAAGUCAGCCUCCAAAUAUGGUGGGUCCCACCUAGUGUCGGUGUACUAGAAUAGGGGUACCCUAGUACCCCGAACUUGUGCACGGGCAGUUGCAGCACCCCGCGGCGAGGCUUGCCGGGCGAACGCCAAGAUCCUCCGUGGUUCCCUUGGAGCCAUUCAAGAACAAAGUAUUUAAGCUCAGGAGACGAGGCCCCGGCAAGAGGAGCUUGCCAGGAAGGCCAACCAAGGCACUUUAGGGAACUUUCCGCAACGCGCCACGCGCUCCGGCAAGGCAACAAGGCCCCGGCAAGAGGAGCUUGCCGGGAAGGCCAACCAAGGCACUUCGAAGCCCGGUGAGCGACAAGCUUCCGGACCCGACAAGAUAGCAGCAGCGGCAAGGCGCUUGCCGCGGCAGGCGGCCACUCUGCGCCCACGCUCCAGCACAUCCGCCAACGUGUCGCUCUGGGGGCCUCUCUAGGCGCGCGUGGCGGGAGGCUGUGCAGCCAGCGGUGCGCAGUGGCAUGCGAAGCUGACAAGAUCGCCAUCGUGGCGAACGGUGGCACCCCUAACGGUCCUUUUCUGCACUGUUUGGGCGACUCAGACGGGCAUUUAAUGCCCUUGUCCCCUGCCGUCAGAGUUAGGUAGGGUGCACUGUACAAGUAACUAUACCAACCACCUCACUUUUUACAUUUGUGCCCUUCUCUGCGUUGCCACCUGUCGGUGACCCCUUUAGCGUAUAAAAGGAGGCCCAUGCACAACGUAGAGGGGGUUCGGUCCGGUUCGAUUCAUUCGUAACCCAGAAAGACACUGCGCUCUCUCUAGAGCAAGAACACAAGAUAAUACAACCAGACAAGCAGCAGUAGGAGUGUUAUCUCUCCGAAGAGCUCCGAAGCUGGGUAAACUGCUCAUGUGCUUCGCCUCGAUCUGCUCUUCAUGCGAUCUCCGCCCCCUGCCGAACCGAAAGGGGCCCGGUCCGCCGGCCCCAUAGGUGUUCGUGGAUCAGUUUCCCCUACAUCUUUGGCGCGCCAGGUAGGGGGCGUCGAGAUUGUGUGAACCUGAUCCGGCGUUCACACGAGCUAGAUCUUCAUUCCCUUCAUCAACAUGCCACCGAAGAAGAAGACUUCAGCGGCAGCCGCUCCGUCCACGUCACUUCCACCACCGUUGGAGCAAACGGGUGGUGGAAUGGACGCCGGCGGAAGAAUAGACGUCGACGAGGAAGCUCAUGAUGCUGCCAGGUCCAAAGACAAGGUUGCACAAACCUCGGCGACUGUACAUGUUCCACGCCACUCCCAGGAGGCGCAAGACCAACAGCAUCAUGGCACUUGCAGUGCCAUACGCAUGAUAGGCCAAGACCAAGCUGGUGGAUCUCGGGGCGCUCAAGACCAGCAUGCACGCCAGCAUGCUGGCACGAGCGGGGCACGGUCGCCUGGACGGGAUACUGCUCCUUCCAACAUAGUUAGAAGUUCGAGCACGUCCCGCUCCUCGCGCCGUCCGCCACUGCCACCCACCACUCCAGCAUAAGCUUUGGCGCGAGCUCAACUUCUCCUAGAUUACCCUCCGACGUCGGACAAGAUCGACGAAUGGAGGGCCACCAUUCAGAGUCUCAUCGGCUAUGCAAACAGCAACACUCCACGGCGGCCGAGCGCGUCGCCGCCGCGGCAGGGUUGCCGGGAGCGGGCCGGUGGCGACGAAACGGGUGGAGGUGCAACUACCAUGCAAUCACCACCCUGAAGGCCAAGAUCGCCGACUCGCCGGAUCCACCUCGACAGCGACUCCACCGCAUCUUCGGAUCCACGAGCUUGUCGCGAUCAGCGCCAAGUUCUUCAUGAUCGACAACAAGAAGACGCUUGAACUCGCAUCGAGCGUCAAAGAGAAGCGCGACGUCAAUCCGACAAGUGCGCUGGGCCCUCUGUUGACAUGGAUGCGCCAGGGGAACCAGGCGAUCUGCCGUACGCGGUAGGUUGCCCUGCAUUCACUCGUGAGCUGCGGCGAGUCCAGUGGCCCAGCACAAAGAACUUCAAGCCAGACGUACCGGAGAAGUACGACGGCAAGACGCAUCCGUCAGAGUUCCUCAGCAUCUACACCAUCGCGAUGCAGGCUGCCGGGGGACGAGAUGACAAGAUCCUUGCCAACUACUUCCCGCUGGUGCUCAAGCCCAACGUCAGGUCCUGGCUCAUGCACUUGCCGGACAACUCCAUAUCCUCUUGGGCUGAUCUGUGCCAUCAGUUUGUUGGCGCCUUCACAGGCGGACACAAGCCUCAUGGCCAGGAGAGUGAUCUUCAUCUGCUCGCCCAGAAGGAAGGAGAGCCCCUGCGCAAGUACAUUCAGAGAUUCAGCAGUGUGCAGCACAAUAUCCCAGACAUCCACCCUGCUGCGGUGAUCAGCGCAUUCCAUCAGAAUGUGCGAAACCGCAGGAUGCGGGAGGAAAUGGCGAUGUGCAAGAUCAGGGACGUUAGUGAGUUAUAUGCACUGGCCGACAAGUGUGCAUGUGUUGAGGAAGGGAGGAGACUCCCCGGAGAGAAUGUAGGAGCGGGAGGAUCUGACAGUGAAGAUGCUGCCCCGGCAAGGAAAAACCGGCGGCGGAACAACAGAAGGAGGAAAGGCAAAGAGGUGCUAGUUGUUGAGCAGUCCGGCAACGGUGGUGGCGCCAAGGAAGCCAAAGCUGGUGACUCCGGCAAGGAGGUUGCCGCGGAGGUGGCGGUCGCCGACAAGCAGGACGGCACCAACAAGCAAUAUUGCAAGAUCCACCGCACCAAGGGCCAUGAUCUCCAGAACUGUAAGAAAGUCGAGCAGCUUGUUGAGCAACAGAAAGCUGAAUACGAGCGGCCCGACAAGGAGAAGGCCCAGGAAGGUGCUGGGGGAUCCGGCAAGAAACGUCCCGGCUGAGGAGGACGCCACGGCAAGGCCAAGCAGCGGCAAGGAGAUAGACCUCCCCGCGGCCGCGACAAGGAUGAAGAUGACAACGACGAUGAAGACAUGGAUGAUGAGGAGACUGAUGAGCAGGAAUUCCAUAAGGCCACAGAGGUCCUGUGCGUUGACAGUGGUGCUUCUCUGCACACCUCGCACCGUCAGCUCAAGCAGUGGGUGCGGGAAGUUAAUGCAGCAGAACCACCCGUCGAGUCACGCAAGCCUCUGAAAUGGUCCAGCACGCCUAUCAUCUUUGAUAUUGAGGACCACCCUGAUCACAUAACUGCGGUCGGGUGCUUGCCGAUGUUGGUUUCACCAACAAUCCGCAACCUCAAGGUCACUAAGAUGCUGGUUGACGGCAGGGCCGGCUUGAACCUGAUCUCCUCCGCGGUGCUCCAGAAACUCCAGAUCCCUGACAGCGAGCUCGAAGAGACCGGUACAUUUCAAGGAAUCAACCCGGGAAGAAGCAAGCCGAAGGGAAAGAUCACGUUGCCGGUAACAUUUGGCAGCGAGCUGAACUUCAGGACUGAGAGGGUCACAUUUGAUGUUGCUGACUUUCCAUUACCUUACAAUGGAAUCCUUGGCCGUCCGGCACUCGCCAAGUUCAUGGCAGCCUCUCACUAUGCGUACAACAUACUGAAAAUGCCGGACCCGAUAAGUGUCAUCUCUGUCCCCGGCGACAAGAAGGAUGCUCUUAUCUGUGCCGACAAGAUCUACCGGGAAGCAGCAGCCGCAGCAGAACGCAAGACACUUGCCGCUGAAGGUCCCGAGGGGAAGAAGAAGACCAAGUCCGGCAAGAGCUCUGAUGCCCACUCCGGCAAGCGCACCUCUUCGGAGUGCUGCGCUACCGUCGAGGACGCACCAUCGAGCUCCACCGGCAAGUGUAAGAAGGCAAUGGAAGCUCCACCUGAGACCAAGAAGGUGUCCGCCAAGGAGGACGGCACUGGUGGUACAUUCACCAUCAGCGCCACCCUUGACCCCAAAUAGGAAAGCGCGCUCGUUGCUUUCCUACGGGCGAAUGUCGACGUGUUUGCGUGGCAACCGUCUGAUAUCCCCGGUGUUCCCAGGAAAGUAAUUGAGCAUCACCUUGCCGUCUGUCCUCAUGCGCGGCCCGUCAAGCAGAGAGUCAGGAAGCAGGCAGUGGAGCGCCAAGAAUUCAUAGCAGAAGAAAUCAAGAAGUUGGAAGCAGCAGGCCUUGUCAGAGGAGUGCUCCAUCCCACGUGGUUGGCCAAUCCUGUUGUCGUGCGCAAGGCUAACGGGAAAUGGAGGCUUUGUAUUGACUUCACUGAUGUUAAUAAAGCUUGUCCCAAAGACCCAUUUCCCUUGCCGCGUAUUGACCAGAUUGUUGACUCCACAGCCGGAUGUGAUUUGCUUUCAUUUCUUGAUGCAUACUCAGGAUACCAUCAGAUCUUCAUGGCAGAAGAGGAUGAAGAGAAAACCGCAUUUAUCACCCCGUGUGGCACAUACUGCUUUGUACGGAUGCCCUUCGGUUUGAAGAAUGCUGGUUCAACAUUCGAAAGGGUAGUCCACCACGCUUUUGAGCCGCAGAUGCACAGAAAUGUGGAAGCCUACAUGGAUGACAUAGUGGUCAAGAGCAAGAACAGGGCGAUCCUGAUUCAAGGUUUAGACAAGACAUUUGCAAAUCUGCGCAGGAUCAACCUCAAGCUUAACCCCGAGAAGUGCGUGUUUGGAGUCCCAUCCGGCAAGCUUUUCGGGUUCUUCGUGUCUCAGUGGGGAAUUGAAGCCAAUCCCGACAAGAUCAAGGCCAUUGAGCAGAUCGAAGCACCAAAGCGCGUCAAGGAUGUACGAAGGCUUGCCGGUUGCGUGGCUGCUCUUAGCAGGUUUAUCUCUAGAUCUGCUGAGCGCGCCCUGCCAUUUUUCAAAAUUUUGAAAAAGGUAGGUCCAAUGAAAUGGACUCCGGAGGCGGAGGCUGCGCUGCAGGACUUAAAGAGAUACCUGUCCUCCACUCCAACACUUGUCGCACCUAAGCCGCAAGAGAAGUUGUUGCUGUAUAUAGCGGCAACAAAUCAAGUGGUUAGUGCUGCGUUAGUGGUGGAGAGGGAGGCAGACGAUGAGCCAGCAACCACAGCAGAUGCAUCCAGCGACAAGCAGGGGGCUUCGCUGACAAGCUCCGAUCCCGACAAAGAUGGAUCUGCGCAGGAGCAUGAUAAGAUGCAGAAGAGAACGGUGCAGCGUCCAGUUUACUUUGUCAGUUCCCUUCUAUAAGGGGCUAGAUCAAGGUACUCUGGCGUGCAGAAGUUGCUUUUCGGCCUCCUCAUGGCCUCGAGAAAGCUGCGCCAUUACUUCCAAGCACAUGAGGUCACAGUCGUCACUCGCUUUCCGCUGAAGAGGAUACUGCAGAAUCCAGAAGCGACAUGCAGGAUUGUCGAGUGGGCACUGGAACUGUCAAGCUUUGGCCUCAAGUUUGAGAGCACUUCAACUAUCCAAAGCAGGGCAUUGGCAGAGUUCAUAGCAGAAUGGACGCCAACCCCAGAUGAAGAAAUUCCAGAGACGAGCAUCCCCGUCAAAGAGGCAAGCAAAGAGUGGCUGAUGUACUUUGAUGGUGCCUUCUCGCUGCAAGGCGCCGGUGCGGGCGUGCUGCUUGUCGCGCCCACCGGAGAGCACCUCAAGUACGUAGUCCAGAUGCACUUUCCCAAGGAGCAAGCAACCAACAAUACUGCAAAGUAUGAAGGAUUGCUUGCCGGCCUCAGAAUCGCAGCAGACCUUGGGAUCAAGAAGCUCAUUGUCAGGGGUGACUCACAGCUUGUCGUCCGCCAAGUGAACAAGAACUACCAGAGUCCAUUGAUGGAAGCAUAUGUUGAUGAAGUGAGGAAGCUAGAAGAACACUUUGACGGCCUACAGAUGGAGCAUAUCCCAAGAGCUCAGAAUGACAUUGCUGAUGGCCUGUCAAAGUGCGCCGCACUAAAGUUACCUGUGGAACCAGGGAUCUUUGUGCUCAAGUUGACUCAACCAUCCGUAACACCAUCAACUGGACAAAGUAAGAAGAGGAAGUUGGUUUCUGGUGACUACUUUCUGGCAGAGCUCCCCGAAGCCGCCGCUAAGAAAGUCCCCAAGAUCAACACCAAGGAUGCUGAGGGGCAGUCUGCUCCGGCAAGCCUUAUGGUUUGUUCCGUUGAAGCAGACGCUCCCGACAAGUUUUGCUCCGGCAAACUUGUCGGGGAACAUCAAGCUCCGGUAGGGCCGCAAGUCCUUGCCGUAGAAGCGGAUGUUCCCGCAGCAGCAGAUAUGCCUUUGGUCCUUGUUGUCGAGCCACAAGCUCCAGCAUGGGCACAGCAGAUUGUCCAUUUUCUUCAGACAGGAGAACUUCCCGAAGAGCAAGAAGAAGCGGAAAGAGUAGCCCGGUAGUCAAGUAUGUACCAGUUUGUCGAUAGCAUACUGUACAGAAGAAGACUCAACAGUGUGAAAUUGAAGUGUAUUUGCCAGGAAGAUGGACAAAAGCUGUUGGCAGAGAUACAUGGAGGCAUAUGUGGCCACCACAUUGGCGCAAGAGCACUUGCCGGCAAAGCUUUCCGGCAAGGUUUCUUUUGGCCGACAACCCUCCAGGACGCAACUGCACAAGUAACCAAGUGUGAAGCGUGCCAGUUCCACUCCAAACAGAUACACCAGCCAGCUCAAGCUCUCCAGACGAUCCCUUUAUCCUGGCCAUUUUCGGUCUGGGGCUCGAUAUCCUCGGCCCUUUCCCCCGAGCUGUCGGGGGCUUUGAGUACUUGUACGUCGCAAUCGACAAGUUCACAAAGUGGCCGGAAGUGCAGCCAGUGAGGAAGGUGACAGCACAGUCAGCAGUCAAGUUCUUCAGGUCAAUUGUUUGCCGUUUCAGGAUCCCUAACAGGAUCAUCACCGACAACGGCACGCAGUUCACGAGCCGCACCUUCAUGCAGUACGUCCAAGACCUUGGCGCUAAGGUCUGCUUCGCUUCUGUUGCUCAUCCGAGAAGCAACGGUCAAGCAGAGAGGGCAAAUGCUGAAGUGUUGCGUGGGCUCAAGACCAGAACUUUCGACAGGCUACGCAAGUGCGGAAGAAACUGGAUCGAGGAGCUGCCGGUGGUUCUUUGGUCGAUCAGAACGACGCCAAAUCGAGCCACUGGCCAAACACCUUUCGCUCUAGUCUAUGGAGCAGAGGCAGUUCUCCCCAUGGAACUCGUAUACGGAUCGCCUCGAGUGCUUGCUUAUGAUGAGCUUGAGCAAGAACAGCUGCGACAAGACGACGCGCUGCUCCUUGAGGAAGAUCGUCUUCAGGCUGCUGUACGAGCUGCUCGAUACCAGCAAGCUUUGCGCCGCUACCAUAGCCGCAAAGUUAAGGCCAGAAGCUUCGAGGAAGGCGACCUUGUUCUUCGGCGCGUUCAGUCCGCCAAGAAUUCCAACAAGUUGACGCCGAAGUGGGAAGGCCCUUAUCGGGUGAGACGAGUCACAAGGCCCGGCGCUGUCUGCCUUGAGACCGAAGAUGGCAUUCCGGUGAGCAACUCCUGGAACAUAGAACAUCUUCGUAAGUUUUUCCCGUAAGGCGCGGUUGCCGGAACCCCGUUCCGGCAACCACCUUUUGUACAAGUCUUGCCGCUGUUGCAUGUAAUCCUUUGUACAAAGCCGGGCGCAGAUCCCGUGCAUAAGUAAAACCCCAUGUGCUCCGCACAACUUGUCCAUUUCAUGCAUUAGUUUCUUUCUUGCAUGUGUUAUCUGACACUUUGUGCAGCACCUACAUCCGGUAAGCAGUAACGAGCCGAAGGGCUCCAUAUCAUUAUUUUCUCUUCUUUCUUCUUUUCAACAAAGGAAAAGAAGGUUCCCUCGCACACAUGUUUACCGGGGGGGAAGGAGAAGAUUGUGGUAUGGACCAGGCGUCGUUCAAGCAAAGUCUUGCCCUGUCGGGAAGCAAACAACAGAAAAGCUAAGUUGCCAAAGUUUGAGCAAUCAGUUUUUAAAUUUUUGAGUUAUCUUCCUCGAACGACCCUGCUUUUGUAUGGAAAACCUGUGCGCAGAGGAACCAACUCGUGGCUAGUUGCGCCCUUACUUUGUUUCGAGUCCGCUCAACAACUUAAGUGUGCUGCAUCUAGUCGCGACAAGGUUUCUUGUCGGAAGCAGCACUGCCAGCAGGCUGCUGAAGUUCCGCACUCAGCGCUCGCGGCUCGGGUGCCUGCGCCGACAAGUUCCCUAGAAGCGUAGGGUAAAAACAUACAAAGGAAGGAAUCUAGUAGAGGAAAUAACAUAGAAAUUGAUAACAAAAAUAAAGUUAUACUACAAGAUAACUUGUCGCAGCUCUAACAGAAUGUUUUCAUAACAUGAUUAGCAGCGACAAGGGAAAAGAAGAAAUGGGCGGCCUAGUCUACGCGUCCCCUCGACCCUCUUGAUCUCGCUCACCUUGUCCACAAUGGGUGCGACAAGGGCCUUGAGUGCGUCCCGAUCGGCGUCUGGCGGCAAGGACUUGAGGACGUUGGUGAAGUUGAGGCCUGGAUUGCGGAAGGCCACCUUCAUCAGCACCUUCUGGAGAACCCCGGCGCAGAUUUUGCGCGACUCGUCGGCCAGCUGAUUCGGGAUCCUCUCCCGGAGCCGCUGGAGUGCCGUCGCCACGUCCUUGAAGAACAGGCUGAGCUUGGCGCUGGGUUGGAGACUCUCGUUGGAAGGAUACCCAAAGUCCUCCAUCCCCAGCUGCGCCAGCUCCUCGUUGAUGACUGCGGCAAUGCUCACCAGACCCUCGGUCCAGUGCUCCAUAGUGUCUCUGAACGAGUUCUGGGUAACUGCAAUGCUCUCCAGCAGCGCCGCGUCAGCCUUGACCUUCUCCGACAAGGUCUUCUCCCGCUCCUUGGCGGCCUCCAAUGUCUGCGUCAGCGUGGCCAGCUUUAGCUCCAGGUCUGCAUUAGAAUCCUUGGCGGCACUGAGCUCCUUGCCCCUCUCAGCGAGAAGACAUUGCAGCUCACCGUGGGUGGCAGCAGCAAGCUCCUCGCCGCUCUUCCCGAUGUUGGCCUCCAGCUGCGCCACCUUCUCCUCCAGCUCUUUCUUGGCAGCCUCUGCAAUUGCCGCAGCGUCCUUUGCUUCCUUGAGCGCCCCGCCAAGUGCUUGCUCACGCUCGGCGAGCUCCUCCUCGUAGCUAUCGAGGUUGGCCUUCCACUGCACCAAUUCUCCUUCUCGUGCAGACUGCUUCUCGGCGGCCAGCCUUUGUUCCUCCUCAGCUUCGGCCUUCUCGAGAAGGAAGGCCAUGCGCUCCUCGUCGAGUCGCUCCCGCUCCUGUGCCAGGGACCGGAGAGCCUCUUGAUUGUGGCCCUGGAGCUCCUCCGCGCGCUUCUCCAUGUCAACUCCCGCCUUCGCGACAAGUGCUUCCCGAGAAGCCAGCUUGGCUUGUCGGGCGCGGUAGAGUGACAGCAGCUUCCGCAGUAGCUGCUCCUCCUCAGGCUCGCCACUGCUGCUGCUGGGCGCGUCGACCAACGACAGUCCAGCAGAGGCGAGCACCUCCCCGUCGAAAGUUUCCCCCUCGACCGGCGCCCUGGAGCUCGACGCCCAGGGUAGUUUGAUGAAGAUGUCGUCGCCGUCCUUCAAGUAGGCGCCGGGCUGGGGCUCCUCGGAGCCCGGCUCCACAGCAGCGGCAGAGGGAUCGGCGGUCGGCGCAGCGCCUGGCGCUCCUGCGGCCUCAGGGUCGUCAGUGCGAUCGCCAGACCCCUCGCCGCCAUCUGCGGCGGCAGCCUUGGCGGCCUCCUCGCCGGCGGUCUCAUCAGCACCAGCCCCUUCCUCGCCGGCGCCCUCUGUCUCCAUUGGCUCAGCAGCAGAUGGGUCUGAAGAAUGAAGAAGGGAGAAAAAUCAAUCAAAAAUCCAAGAGAAGAAAAUCAGAAGAAGAAGAACCCAAGGGGAAGUUCUUGGACAAGUGAAUUACCUGCGCCAAGAUCUGCAGUUACGGUCUCGGUCGCCGCAGGAUCGACGGUGCUGCCCCUUGCCGGAGAGUUCUCCCUUGCCGGAGAACGCUCCCUUACCAGGAACCCCUCCCUUGGCGGCGUAGUCGAAGCAGAUGGCACUUCGGGACCAGCUUCCGGGCGCUCCUGAUGUGGCUGCUCUGCUCCUACACAAGUCAACAAGCAAGAUAUCAACAAAGGAAAAAGCACUCAUGCGCGCCCGACAGCAGAAAGCUAACUAUAAACUUACGCUGGGGGCUGCGCUGGGGGCUGCUUUGAGGAGUGAUUGCCGGGUCCGUCAAGGUGGUCUCGGACCCACCCCCUGCAGACACGGUGGGGUCGUCUUCGAUGACAAUCACCACGGCCUUGGCCCUCUUCGCCGCUCUUUGGGCCAGCGUCCUGAAAAGAAAGGAGUCCAGAUUGAAGCAAGUCAGAUACAAGAUAUAAACAGCAAGAUUAAAGAACUACAAGAGCGCCGAAGAAACUUACUCUUCUUCCUCCUCAUCGGAGUUGAGCGCGGAAAGAUCGAAGUCAGGCCCUCCUACGGUGCGGCGAGGCGGAGGAGUAGGAUCCCUUGCCCGCUUGGCGGGGGCGGUGGCGGUGGCCCGGGAAGAUCCCGCUCCAGUUGCCGUUGCUGCGUGAGGCGCUCCCGCGGCAACAUUGCUUGCCGCGGUAGAGCACGUCGCACGGCUCGGCGGCUGUUGACCCGGCUGCCGCCCCGCUACGUCCCCGGCCCUGCGAAGGCGCCUUCUUGGCGGGGCCGAGGGCUCCGCCUGCGGCAAGUUUUCUGAAGGCUCGGGCUCUUCCUCGCCGGCCUCGCUCGGCUCGGCUUCAGAACCGGCAGGCUUUUCUUCACCAAUGAACUCCGCGCGCUCGGCAAGGUUUGCCGCCUCUGCAGCCUCCGCCUCCUCCACGGUGAACCCGAACACGCCCGCGGCAGCUGCGGCCGCAACCUCUUCCGCCCUAGUGGCGAUGCGCUGCAGCUCCUCGUCGGUGGUGUCGUGGGUGAGGCUCUUUUGCUCGUCAGUGUGGAUCGGCACUUCUUCCAAGUUGUCGAAGAACGCUUGCACGACGUCAUCCACAGGCUCUUGCCAAGUUGGAACGAUUCCGUGUGAAUCGCACAAUGGCAUCAUGGCGCGGAUCCGGUCAAGCAAAGAAUUGUUGCAUAAAGGGACGACACCCCUCGGCAGCAUGAAUGGGUGCUGGGGAUCGCGUUUGAACAACUCCAGGAGCAUUGCAUCCAGCUCCAAGACAGUGAAGUUGUAGUUGAGGCCCGGCCGCAGCCUCAUGAUGUCCGCCGAGUUCUUGAAUUCCCAGGCGGGCCUCCCCCUCUCCUGCAGGGGGGCGAUGUGGCGGCGGAGGAAAUCUGCGCCGACAGCACCUACAGUGAGCCCGACAAGCCUAAGGUGAAGAAUCCUAGUGAUGGCGAUCUUCAGCCUCUCGUCUUCCGGGGCCACGUUACUCCAGUCAUUGCCGCGCACUAUGGGAGCUUGGCGCAUGGCGGUGAAGAGCUGCGGAUUCUCCUUGACGAUCCAGCACCACUCCGCUCUCCACUCAUCCCAUUUGCUGCGGAGCUCACCCUCCAAGUACGCCUCCUUCUUGCCGACUCUCAAGAUCCAAGCAAUCCCUCCGGCAAGCGGCUCUCCUCUCUCUACCCGAGGUAUGAAGAAGUGGCGGAAAAGGGCAACAUUGGGGUGGACUCCGACAAAGUUUUCGCACAAAUGUGCGAAAACUGCCAUGGUCAGAACGGCGUUGGGGUGAAGUCAAGGAGGCGGAAGCCAUAUGUGUUCAUGAUAUCGCAGAAGAACUCCGAGAAGGGCGGGCAGAGCCUGCAAUAGAAGAAUAGCGCGAAGAAUGGGUACCCGUUUGGAGCCAGCUCCGAAGCAGCAGCCGGGAGUACCCUCGUGCGCGGAUGCGCACGCGUCUCCGUCGCCCAAAAGAGGUAGAAGUACUCCCUCAGCUCCUGCACGCCGAGCUGGGGGGAGAAGAUCGCCCGCUCCUUCCGCAGCACCGCGAGCCGCUGCGCCUCGGCCGACUUCACGCCCUUCCCCUUGUCGGCUUUCGGAGUCAUGGUGGAGGUGGUGGGGGAGGUCGACGGCGUUGGUGAUGCUAGUGGCAAUGGGGGCGGAGCACUGCUCUCUCGGCCUCGAGAAGAAGGGGGGAGCGAUGGAGGUUCGUGAAGGUGGAGUAGUAGCAACCAGCGAGGGGGAACGAACUGCCCCUGUUUCCUCUGCUUAUAAAGAGGGACGGGGCGGACGUUUCGCCCUUCCGAAUAGAGAACCACCCACGAUCUCUCCCACGAUGCCGCAUUCAACGUGUGCCAUUAGGGGAGAGCGCGGUGGAUAUGGAACGAGAUUCGGCGUGGCCCAAUCCGCGUGUGCCCGUGCCCUGUCUUGGGCCUGGCCCAACAGCGCUCGGCACCGUGUCUGGCCCGGGCCCGGGGGCUCCUGUCGGUGUACUAGAAUAGGGGUACCCUAGUACCCCGAACUUGUGCACGGGCAGUUGCAGCACCCCGCGGCGAGGCUUGCCGGGCGAACGCCAAGAUCCUCCGUGGUUCCCUUGGAGCCAUUCAAGAACAAAGUAUUUAAGCUCAGGAGGUGAGGCCCCGGCAAGAGGAGCUUGCCGGGAAGGCCAACCAAGGCACUUUAGGGAACUUGCCGCGAUGCGCCACGCGCUCCGGCAAGGCAACAAGGCCCCGGCAAGAGGAGCUUGCCGGGAAGGCCAACCAAGGCACUUCAAAGCCCGGUGAGCGACAAGCUUCCGGACCCGACAAGAUAGCAGCAGCGGCAAGGCGCUUGCCGCGGCAGGCGGCCACUCUACGCCCACGCUCCAGCACAUCCGCCAACGUGUCGCUCUGGGGGCCUCUCCAGGCGCGCGUGGCGGGAGGCUGUGCAGCCAGCGGUGCGCAGUGGCAUGCGAAGCUGACAAGAUUGCCAUCAUGGUGAACGUGGCACCCCUAACGGUCCUUUUCUGCACUGUUUGGGCGACUCAGACGGGCAUUUAAUGCCCUUGUCCCCUGCCGUCAGAGUUAGGUAGGGUGCACUAUACAAGUAACUGUACCAACCACCUCACUUUUUACAUUUGUGCCCUUCUCUGUGUUGCCACCUGUCGGUGACCCCUUUAGCAUAUAAAAGGAGGCCCAUGCGCAACGUAGAGGGGGUUCGGUCCGGUUCGAUUCAUUCGUAACCCAGAAAGACACUACGCUCUCUCUAGAGCAAGAACACAAGAUAAUACGACCAGACAAGCAGCAGUAGGAGUGUUAUCUCUCCGGAGAGCUCCGAAGCUGGGUAAACUGCUCGUGUGCUUCGCCUCGAUCUGCUCUUCGUGCGAUCUCCGCCCCCCGCCGAACCGAAAGGGGCCCGGUCUGCCGGCCCCAUAGGUGUUCGUGGAUCAGUUUCCCCGACACCUAGUAGCGGGGGUCUUCAUUUUUUGUGCGUAAUAAGGAGGCACUUGCGUGCGAAGAGAUAUAGUUGGUGGGUCCAAGCUGUCAGCGGGGAAAAUGUUUUUUUGUGAAAUACAGAGGCCCUUCCUAUGGGUCCCCGCUAUCAGGUGGAGGAAUCAUUAUUUUGCGUGUGAUAAGGAGGCACUUCCUUACCACGGCCAUGAACCCAGCUGUCAACCUCUCCAUGUAUAGUCCUCUUCCGAUGGAAGUCAUUCCUUGACCAUGCUGAGCACGCCGCGUCGAGAGCACCAAGGCGGGGAUGACGUCGAGGCCUAGGAAGGGAAUGACCAGGAGCCUCGGAAGACUCGGCAGUUGUUUCCCAUGCGGAGGGGAGUACGAGGGUUUACUGCUUCGGCUGUAGUGCGAGGAUGCCAUCGCCGGAGAAUAACAGGAGGUCUGGGUGAGUAGAGGGAUGGCUAGACCAAUGAUGGGAGUACGGUGGGGCGGUGAGGCCUACGCGGUAGCACAGCCGGCCGCGGGAGGAGGGAGCAGGCAGUCCCGCCGGUGCUUAUUUGAGCGGCUGGAGCAGGAAGAGCAAAUAUUGAAGAAGCACGACGGUCAUUGGACGGACAUCCAACAAUCACUGCUCUCGUGUGUUGACUAAGUUGACAUGGUGUUGCAUGCGCAUCAACCUUUUUUUUAGGAAAGCAUACGAGUCAACCUAUAGUAGGCGCACAAGUCAGCCUCAAAUUUGUGGAAAACAACAUACAACCCAUCUGCCAUUAUUUCUAAUAAUUUACAACCCAUUUGCUAAUUCUUAAGGUUUUUUUUGGAACACAUAUUCUUUUUAUUAGCAUUACAACCCAUACUGUGGCCAUGGUUAAAAAAUUAUAUGAAAUUUUGCAUAUUUUGGUGCGGUCCAAACUGUUUUUAAUCCCAACAUUUCGAGUCACAUUCAAACUAAUUUGAAAAAAUAAAUUUAUAUCAAUAUAAAAUCCAAAUAAUUGUCCACGCAUAAAAAUCAAUGGAAUUUAAAAUGUCGAAAUGAAAAAAAGAAAUUUGAAACUAAUUGCCAGUUUGAUGUGUUUUCAAAAUGUAUAGCCCAUUUCUCAUUACUGAUAGCCCAUUUUAUAGGCAAGCCGAAUGAAGCUCUCCUCGUCUUGAAAGAUUUGUAGCCCAGUAGGGCUGACAAAGCAAGUAGGCCUCGUUUGGGCAUUCUACAAAAGAACAAAAAAACUAGGCUAGCCAUUUUGAGAAAGGAAAAAAAUUGCUGGGUUGGUCUUGUGGUAAACAUAAAAUAAAAGGCUGGUUAGACAGGCCAGAGUGCCCCCACACAGCCCAGUUGACACCCCUGCUUCCGUCUCAAAAACAAAAAAAACUGGACAAGCUACUGGGUCCCUGGUGUCAACCACUCGUUGUGCAAUUCUCUCAUUUAUUGAUUACGUUGACAAUGGCAUGGGACCUAGAUGUCAGAAAUCCAUUAGGAGGAACCAUUUUUUUGGCUUGAAAUAAGGAAGCACUUGCUUGCGUACUGCCAUGACCCUGGUGGGUCCCUGCUGUCAUCCUCUCCACGUACAAUCAUCUCCUAAUUGUGUACACAUCAACCUAGUAGGCCCACAAGUCAGUCUCUAAACCCGUGGCGAACAAAUACAGCCCAUUUAAAAAAUAGCAGCCCAUUCCAUACGUUCAAACGGAAAGUUCAAGAUUCAGAGCAAAGUAACAUGUCCGAUCCAGAUAUAGAGUACUGAACUUCCACGUUGACAACCAGCAUAGCUAAGUUAACUAUCUACUCCCACUAAUACUAUAGUAAUGUACAAGUACUAACUUACUCUUAGCUAACUAGACGAUGCCAGACGCCAUCUACGGUAUAUACUAAACGCCGGCACCGACGUCCUCCUCCUCGCCUCGGACUUGCUAGAGGUGCGAUAGGGCAUGUUGCUCACUCGCGUUGGCCCUUUCCAUGUCGGCAUGGUCCACUGAAGCUUCGGCUUCUAAGCGGGAAACCCACUUGACGAGCUGGUAGUAAAAUUUGGCGUCACAAACGCGUGCGUGCCCAACAGCCUCCAAGGCUAUUUGUCGGGCUCCGACCUCCACGUAGUCGGCCCAGUUGCGGGCGCUCUACUCGCGACUCAGAGUGUCGGAGCCCUGCUGCUCCAUGCCCCGCUAGUGGCGCAAAUCAGCGAUACACUACUCCUCCGCCAGGCGGUCACGCUCCAACAAUUCCUCAUACUCUGCAUUGCCAUCUAAAGAUUGAUAUAAUGCCUCCUCCCUCCGCCUGCCUUCCGGUGAAAAACCAAACACUAGUUCCAGCGGUGAUCGCCUCCGGCAUCGCCUAUUGCGGAUGGGCAGGGGCAUGAUGGACGUGGCGAUAGUGAGGGCAAGUGGCGAACGACGUCGGGCCGGUGGGGGCUUAUGAGGAUAGGGAAAGUUGGGUGAUGGUGCUACCAGAGAACGCCGGGAACCAAUAAUUAUAGGCGAAAGGUAGGCGAACCAGCAUGUCAGGGGAAACGCGGUGGUCAUCACGGUCAUCAGAAUUCAAUGCACAAGCAUGCUGUCUUAGCACGCCAACUUGCCAUUGAAAACUAGAAAACCUGAAAUUAUGACUGUGUCAUCCCGUCCCGUCUGUGCUGGGUCGCACGUAGGCAUGACGGUCAAACAAGUUGCUCGUUUCAUCCAGAUGAGGUAUGUGAGUGAUCUGUUGGUUACUCGCGUAGGAUCGAGUCAGUCGGAUAGUGUACGUGUAGAAUCACAAUAGCUGAUUAAUGUUCGCUGGGAGAAAAGGCAUUUGCAAACAUUUUUGCUGUAAGUUUCUUCAGAUGCGCAUGACAUUUUCUUCAAAACAACAUGUCAGUUUCUUCAAAGGUACGCAUUUUUAUUCAAAAAACUUCCACCUUCGGAUCUUGCGUCGCAACUAAAACUGCCAGGAGCAUAUUAGUAGGCUAGCUAAUGAUUGAUCAGUAAAUUGUAAACACUGAGCGAAUGGAAAUAAGGAACUGCUAGUAACUUGUAAACACUAAGAACACAGAAAUAAGGAUCAUGACAUGCACAAUAGUAAGAGUCGAUCCGUUCGAAAUGUUCACACGAGACUCAGAGGCCUGACAUUAUAAUAUGUUCACAUUAGUAGGCCAAAUUCACAACCAACUAGUACGAUUCCCAUACAUAAGAUCAACAUGUUAAUGCAUCUCAAUGAUUCAUAGAUCAUAUACAAAUAUGUAGCUCCAAAAGCAAAGAUCUAGAAAAAACAUUUGUUCUUCCUAAUAACAUGGAUGCUUAUCUGGGCCAACAGUCAGUACAGAAUUUAAAACAAAUUUGUUUGUGAAGUCUAUAAUUCCUCUUGCAAAUGUAAGUGGUUUCACCAACAGCCGGAACCAUGAGAAUGAACCACACAUGCUGGAGGAACAUCCGCUGCAAUAUGAUUUGGUCUUCUCUCAAUCACAUGGUGAGACUAUUUUCCGAAUACAAACUUUAACUUAGGCAAAAUGAUGCCCAUUGUACAACCAGACCAAUGCAAUGAAGCACCUAGUGUUGGCCAAUAAAUAGUACAGUACUACUUUUAUGCAGUCCAUGAAGUGACUAUCCAAUCUUUCUGUGUCUAUUUUCAAAUGGCAUUGCAUGCAAUGACUAUACUAUUCUCUUGUGCAGUUCCACAAAAAUUGCGGUCACUUUGUUUGUCUGCCAAAUAGCAAUGGGCAGACAUGUGUCUACACAAAUAUCAAGCAACUAGUAAACAUAUACCCCACCUUGUAUUUUCGGUUUAAACACGUCUCUUCCUCUUAGCGUCUGUCAUGUUUUGUGAUAACCCACAUAGGGGAUCGUUUGUAGCCUUCUUCGAUAAAUAAGAGUGUUGAACCCAGCGAGCAGCUAAAGGUAGAAUAAAUAUUCCCUCAAGUUCUAUCGACCACUGAUACAACUCUACGCACACUUGACGUUUGCUUUACCUAAAACAAGUAUGAAACUAUUUUGCAAGAAUAAAACUACGAGUACUUUACAAGAAUAAAACUACUAAUAAAUUCUAAGGUAAUAAAAGUGGAUAGCUUUUUUCAACGAGAAAGCCAUUUGUCCCUAGGCAAUCGAUAACAAGUACCGGUAAUCAUUCUUGUAAUUUUAUAUGAGGGAGAGGCAUGAGCUAACAUACUUUCUCUACUUAGAUCAUAUGCACUUAUGAUUGGACCCCUAGAAAGCAUCCGCAACUACUAAAGAUCAUUAAGGUCGUGAAACCCAACCAUAGCAUUAAGUAUCAAGUCCUCUUUACUCCCAUACACCAUAACCCACUUAUCCGCAUUUAGGCUGCUGUCACCCUCGCAACACCAACAAUAAGCAAACCAUGAACAUAUUGCAACACCAUACAAGAGGGCCCCCUCAUGUUUGCACGAGAUGGAGGGCACCGUAGGACAGCACCAUAAAUAAAAUAUACAAUCAUACCAACCAAGAUCAUGAUUAACCCAUAGGACAAAACGGAUCUACUCAAGCAUCAUAGGAUAGCCAAAUAUCAUUGGGAAAUUAUAUAUGGAGUUGAGCACCAUGCUUAAGUAGAGAUUACAACAGGGAGAAGGGGUGUUACACCGCUGCAUAAAGGGGGGAGAGAGUUGGUGUUAACGGUAGCAAUAUUGUUGAUGUAGAUCGCAUCACGAUCUUAGCCCCGGCGGCGUUCCAGCGCCACUUGGAGAGAGGGGGAGAGAACUCCCCUCCUUAUUCUUCUUCCUUGGCCUCCCCCCUAGAUGGGAAGAGAGUUACCCCUCUGGUCCAUGGCCUCCAUGGCGGUGGAGGGGCGGGAGCCCCUCCGAGAUUGGAUCUCCCUCCCCGUUCUCUUCUAUUUCGCGCUCCCGAGAUCUCGCCCUUCACAGUUUCUUAAAUUCCCGGAGAUUCGUAACUCCGAUUGCGCUAAAAAAUUUACAUGAUUUUUUUCCAUAAAUUAUCUUUCUUGCGCCAGAAGUAGAGCUCCAACCAACGUACGAGGUUGGCGUAAGACUCCUGGGCACGCCUGGGCCCCCAAGCGCGCCCUAGUGGGUUGUUGUCACUGUGGGCCCCCUCUUUUGAUGAUUCCAACUCCCAAAAAAUCAUAAAUAUUCCAAAAUAAUUCUCCAUAAAAUUUUAUUGCAUUUGGACUUCGUUUGAUAUGGAUUUUCUAUGAAACAAAAAACAUGCAACAAACGGGAACUGGCACUAGGCACUAGAUCAAUAGGUUAGUCCAAUAAAUCAUAUAAAAAGUUGCCAAAAGUAUGUGAAAGUUGUAUAAUAUUGGCAUGAAACAAUCAAAAAUUAUAGAUAUGACGGAGACGUAUCAUUUUGCACUUGACAAUUUGAUACUAUCAUGUUUUACCCUGCAUAAUUUCGUACUGAAUUGAUUCGUUGGUACAUAGUAGAAAUAUAGCGCCUAUUCUUCAUCAGACCAAGCAUAUACAUGUUCACAGUAAUGGAAGAGGUGAAAUCGAUACAACCGAAAUUGAGCAUCCAAUCAUUGAAUCAUGUCCUACACCUCCAAUGUAGGUCCACCCUGCCAAUAAAUUCACAUGCAAACCACUAAUAUUACUAUCUAAUGACAAUACAAAAAGAGUAGCAAGAUAGUAGCGAACCAUGUACCUUCGUAAUGAAUAGAUCAUAGUGCCACCAAUUGGAUAUAAUGGUUUGGAAGAAAACAUGCUCCUAAUGUUGAACCAUUUGGACUUUUUGUGCAGUUCCACUAAAAUCGAGCAUCCCUGUUUGCACAAAUAUUGAAAGUGUGAUUACUAUAAAAGUGGCACUAGUUAAGCAUAGACUCACAAAUAUAAGCAUUCCAAUUUCUUAAUGGGAAAAGGUAGCAAGACUAUUUCUAACCACCUGUUUGAAGGAAUAAAUAGGGCAACAACGACUGAUGUCAGGAAGGCAUACAUAGUAUUUUCUUAAAAAUUGAACCAUUCCUCUUAUUUUAAGCAUAUUUUGUGUAGUUCAACUAAAAUAAAAUGCCAUCACCGCCUUGACAAUUCAGUGACAUUGUACAAAAAGAAAUGACUUACCAUUACAAUGAUCUCAAGUAAGUAAUCAACAUGCGUUAGAUACAAACAUACAGACCUCCUCCGAUAACAUAAUGAACAUUAAUUUUAACAAAGGUGUGACUAGCUUUACCAUCAUAAUUUGAGUGAACUCUACACCCUUUGUUCCUUGAUAUAAGACAUUUUCACUGUUCAAUUUAAAGUACCCAAACGUCUAGUAUUUAGAAAAACAGGUAGUAGUUUUCUUGAGGACAUAUCUGGGAAAGCUUGCCACACUUUAUAUAUGUCCAUAUGCUAAUGCAACACCAUUCGAAUAGUACAAAUAUACACUAAUGCAGUGGCUAGUGAAACAGUAGAGUAGUUUUCUUAUUAUGGGGUAUAGUACAAUGGUUUUACUGAACAAAUUUCCAUAAGCUAGCACUGGAAGAUUUCUAUAAGCAUUAACAAUACAAAAUUUAAAGGUAACAAGUUUCAGCAUUGGUACACUAGCUGUGCAACAUCAUUAAACCAAAUACAAAAGUCUGAAGGUAACUAGCAUUAUUAACUAAGGACAAUAUAAAAAAAUUGCAAACCAUGUACCUUCAAGGUAAAUAUCAUUUCAAACUCGAGGGGACUUGAAAAUUUGCUAUGCCAAUCUUGAUAAUUGAUCAAACAUAAAAACUUGAUCAACCGAGUCAAGAAAACAGCUGGAGGAGGAGGUACCCACUCUUGACCUUUCCUCUUCUCUUCAUAAUUUUUUGUGCAGUUUAACCAAAAUAAAAUGACAUCAGCGCCUUGGCAUUUUGGUGACACUGUACAAAAAAAUUGACUUAUCUUAUGAAAGUGAGCUUUGUAAUCUAUAAGCAUUAAUAGUGCAAAAAUCUGAAUGUAGUAACAAGUUUCAUCGUUGGUAUAUUGGAUGUGCAACAACAUUAGAAUGCCUUAGCUAAAAAAUCUUUAAUACAUCCACAAUCAACAGCUAACCCUAAAAUAAUCCAGUGACAUUAAAUGGCAUUGCUUAAAUUUAUCAGUGGCAUUAGACUGAGUGCGGCAUUAGUUAAAUGCGGCAUCACUUUAGCAGUAGCAUUGCUUGACUUUACCGUUGGCAUUACACUAACAACAAAAAAGUGGCAACAAGAGCAUGGGAGGCCCAUUCGGACAGUGGACGCACCAGUACGAUAUACCUCCAGGGAUGCAUAGAGUGGUGAGGGAGGUAUGGUUGUCCAGAGCAACAAAUAUCCAGGCAACAUAUGUGGAUUACAUCCCAUUUUUGUUCUCUUUAGCCACCUUUUUCCUAUGUGAGGACAACAAAUCGAUCGACCUGGUCAUUCUCUAUUGCGUUGUCAUGCCUUUCUACCCUUUUUCACCCUUUUUCAACCAAGAGACACGAGACUCGUUCCUUAGCUACUAUUUUUUUCCUUUUCAACCUAGAUGCAGGUUUGAUACCUAGUCUGUUCGACAUUACUUUCUCCCUUCCUUUCCUUAUUCAACCCAGACAUGGAUUAGCCUGCAUGAAGUAGGGUUUCCUUAAAUAGUGCAAAUUAAGGUUUUCAUCUGCAUGACCAGUAGAGCAGAGGAUAGCAAAUUGGGGAAAUGGUGGAGUGGAAAAAGAUCCACAUGCAGCGACAUGGUAGAUGGGGCAAUAGAACAAGGGUAUGGUUCGAAAAGAGGUAGCAUACCCAAGGGUCGGUAGGAAGUGGCUUCGCUUGUGGUCAUUGUCCUCCGCACACACUACAACAGCGAGCUUGGGGAUGGAGGCUAUCUGCGCGAAUGCUAGGUCUGAGAGGACGACCUUGUCGUCAGUGCGUGACCUCGCUCGUCGAUGAUGAGUGCGUCAACAUUGCACAUCCUUUUCUUCCCCGAUGGAUAUAUGACCACCGGUGAGGAGUGAGAGAGAGGGGCAUCGCCAUCUUUUCUAGAUCUGGAGAGAGGGUGAUAGUGUGAGAAGCAAGUGGGCAGCCCUUAGCAAGCAAGUGCUGAAGCUCUAGUUUAUAUAUCUUUUUCGAUACUAGUACUACAGGUGGAGUAGUGGUAGAGUAGUUUAUAUUUUCUCUGCAUAUAGUACCAGUUAGUCAUGCUUCAAAACUGAACAGCACUCCAUUAAAAAAUAAAGUCGAGAAAUAAUGCGGCACCUCGGGCCAACACGGCCAGAUUGCAUUUUGCACGAGAAAUAACACACCAUGUUUCGUUGACAUGUGGUCUCGUUCCAACAUGUAAGUGAGACGAUAGUGAGUCCUUUUGUACAAUUUCCGAACGAACGUCUAUGAAGGCCGGGGCGCCUCUUCCUAUACCGUGGCAACCGUCCAUCGCCUCUUUGCAUUUCCCUCUCGAUUUGGAACUAUUGUCGCACACUCUUCCUCCCUCCAUUUGCCUUCACCCUUCCUUCUGACAUUGUUCGAUCGUCUUCUCCAUGGAGGGAACAGGCCAGAAACGACCCUGUUAUUCUUUCCCUGUUCUGAAAGAUGAAGUGGUGGAGGAACUCAUUCAUCGGUGCAACGUCAUCACCUUGGCUAGCAUGGCAGGUUCAUUCAAGACCAUUCUCGAGUCAACAAAUAACAUCAUCCAAAGAACCCAAGGGUUCAGGAGCGGUUUGAUCUCCCCUAUCUUCUUCGCCAUGACCCUGUUCGCUGGCACAGAGACGAUGGAAGCCUCGCCUUGUGCAAAUUGAUGUCGCUCGAUAAUGAUACAUGUGAUGUUAAGAUGACAUCGCUUAAGGGUAAGGCAUGGGUAGGCGCAAAUGGAGAUUGGGUUGUUUAUAUUGGGCACAACUGCGAGUGGGAACUUGUGAGUGUGUACACUCGUCACCGGGUUCCACUUCCAAAAAUCUGAGAGUGCCCUGAGGUUGAGCACACAGAUGAUCUACGUAUGUUCAAAUACGAUCAUGGUGACUGUCAUCUACGCAAGAUAGCAAUUUGUCGAGUUCCCAACCGCUCUUGGGAUUACACGAACUGUGAAGUUGUUGCUAUCUUCGACAAGCUUGUUGCCGUCCUUACCUCCACGCCUUGAUGGAUAUUGCUCAAAAAUCAAUUUCUAUACACGGAUGAGUACUGUGAUGCAAUUCAAUACAAGCGUCUUGUGUUUGCUGCCACCACUCAUGCAUUGUUUUUGCAUGGAAUCCUUAUGGUUUCGGUACGUUUGUCUUCCUCCAUAAUUAGAAUUGUUUCAUCCACACGCAUGCGAGUUAGUAUCCCCGUACUAAUUAACCUUCUUAUGUUUUCAAGGUCAUGUGAACAUUCCACCAUAUACUUGAAAAAAAUUAUAACCAAGGGGGAGAUGACAAUGGUGAUGAUCAUGAGCAGGACCCCAUACUCAGUGGCACCUGGAAACUUAUUCCGAUGGAUCACCUCUUCUUGUAUGUAUACAUGGCACUGCUGACGUUACUAAGGAAGAAGGUGUUGUCUCCCAUGGUCGCACGCUCCGGACCUAUUCCAACAUCCGUUGCAGGGUAUUCAGGAUGGAUACUAGUGUGCUAGCGCCAUCACCUUCUCCCUGGUUCAAUAUUGAUAGUCUUAGAGAAAACUCGCUCUUCCUUGGACUAAACUAUCCAAUGAUGGUGAAAGGCGAUCCAUCUGCUGUUGGCACAAUGUUACUACCAUUUAUGAGAAGCAACUGUAUCUAUACAUUGGACAUUGCUAUGGUUCCCUAGCCUGGCUAUCACAAUAUGCGUCCUAAUAUAGGCCACUUCAGCCUGGAUCAUGAGUCCUGCGUUGGUUUCUAUAUUGACAAUAGCUGGCCCUUCCCAUAGGCUUACUUAUGGUUCAAAGCAAGUGUUUCCAACACCGAGGAUUGGUUGAGCUGAAGUUCAUUUCAUUGCUUGUUAUUUGUUGUGUGAUAAAAACUUUAGUAUUUACUAGAAUGUUUUGUUGGAAAUAAUCUAUAAUCCAACAUGUAUCCUCGUUGUCGUUGUGUGUUGAUGACUUGUUGUAUGUAAUGAAUGGUACAUUUGCAUAUGCAUGUGAUAAACUCAAUUUAUGAAUGGUUUUCGAGACACUUCUUAGAGUGUGAGUACCAUAGUAGUAUAGCCAACAUCAAGUUAUAUGAAGUUGCCACAUCACAUAGAGCCAACCUAAUAGUAUGCUAGUACAAUAGUUAGUCCUAGUAGUAGUAUACCAUCAACUAGAGCUAGGUGUCGCACGGAGGCCGAGAAAUAUGGUGAUAGCAUGAGGUGGGCUUGUACAAUACGUAGUAUGAUGUAGGCACAUGGCUUGCCAUGUUUCCUACUCCUCCGGUCUAAAUGUGGAGAAGAUUUGGUCAAGUUCUUCCUCCUUUUGCUGACAUGUGGGACAUCCAGCAUCCAGGUCGUGUCAUGCAAGAAAAUGGAGUGCUAGUUGAACCCACGUGAGUGCAUCUUGGGUUAAACUGUAAAUAGAAUCUUACUCUGGAGUAACUCCAAAAGCGGCCCCCGAAGAUCUUUAUUCGAUUUGUUUUUCAUCACCAACACGUCGAGGUGAAAGAUGUGCAGGUUUAGUGGGUCAUCUUGCAUUUUCACUGACAUGUGGGACCGCAUGUGAGCAAAUAGACGACUGGCACAUUCCGCGCGUCUGUUGGCUGGCUGAGGAGAGAGAGAGAGAGAGAGAGAGAGAGAGAGAGAGGGUUGAGCACGGACUCCAGGAAAUUUAGUGACAAUGUGAGUAGUACUAGUGGUGUACUGUACUCCUGGAGAGAUAAUGUGUUCAGUCUACGUAACCAGCACCUCGAUAUAGUGGGGUGGCAUGGGCCAUAACUAGCAUUCACGUCUAGCAGUAUGGCACACGCCACCCACACGAGUCCCAUCUGACACCAAUUUUCUUCGAGUCCGUGCUAUAACUAUCUCUUCUCCCUCAUGUUUUCUCUAACUCAGCCAUCACGCGGUGGGCGGGGUGGGGGUUUCCUGAUAGUCGGUUUGCUCAACUGCGGUCCCACUUGUAAGUGAAAAUGCAACACAACACGGAUUCCCCCUUGAGCGGCGUGCCAGACCAACUGUGUGGGGGUGCGACGUGAACACAGCAGGCUUUUCCUUUUGAACUUGUAACUUGUAAAAUUUGGUUCUGCUCCAUGGCGCGACCGAUAGAUAGAAAUAAUGAUUUUCCUAGUGUAAUGAGAAGUUUGGUUCUGGCGUGAUUCAUGCAUGGAGUACGUACGAAAAUUAUGAAGUUGAUGCGAAAGGUAAGAUAAUUACUAGUACAAUAUACUACUACAUGGAAUUGUCAGAAAGAUAAAGAUACAUAGAUCCAUCAACGACAUCCUCAUGCCCUAGUGCGUCGGGUCACCAACCGACGUGUGAGGAGCAGCGGCGUUGGCGGCGAGCUCAACGUGCUUCUGAACAAUGUUGUCCAAGGUUGCCCUACGGUCCAAGAAGGCCAGCAUCCUAUCGUCCUCCUCUUGCAUGUAGUAGUCCUUGUGGACGAUUUGCGCGUAGACGUGGGUGAUUAUUUCAAUGGUGUCUCGCUGUACCAGGCACUGUGCGGCGAGCGCGACCUUGAGGUGGACAUUCUUCGGCGCGACGGAGGGCAGUCGCGGGGCCACCAGUGAUCGAACAGGUUGUCACCAUAGAGGCCAUUGAGGGUGGCAGGCAUCGUAGAGCCUAGGCGCGUGGGCUGGAGGCAUACGUCAAGGUCGUCCGCGAGCUUCUUGACGAUGGUGAACUUGUCAAGGAAGCCAACAAGGACCUCAUCGAACAAGGAGACGAAGUUGUCAUCCAAGAGGCCUCUCGCCCUGGCAGCCUCAAGCACGACCUAGAGACGUUCCUUGGUACCGGGCCGUAGGCCGGCGUCGUGGACCAUCUGGCACAACCGGCUGAUGCUCGCGCUCAUCGCCUCCAUGGGUCUAGCUUCUAGUGAACUGAUCUUAUGAUUGGAGUGAUCACUCUUGCCCUUGGUUAGGGUGCGUAGGUGCGUAGGAUUUCAUAGAUUGGACUGGUGGGGAGCCUUUAUAUGAGAAGUGCAGACUGUGUUGCAUUCACGUGUGUAUUGGCCAUCUACUCCUCGGCCCUCGCCGCCCUCCCUCCAUGCCAGUGCAGUAUAGUCAUCUCACCGAGACCAACUUGGGGCAAAACGAGAGAACUUUGAUGUUUACUGGUUUAUCGGUCCCCUUUGCAUUUUACGCCAAGUUUCGACCUUUGAUUUAACUAAUAAAAUGUUAAUGCAUGUAACCAAAAAUAAUAUCAUUGGAAACUAUGUUCAAAUACGAAUCCAAUGAUACAAUUUUUGGUGACAUGCAUUAUUAUUAUUUUAGUUAAAUCUAUGGUCAAAAUUUGGCACAAAAUCUAAGGGGACCAAUAAACCAAGAUGGAGGUAAGAGUAGUAUUUUGUAACUAAUGUCAUUGCAUAAAGAGAAUUGAGCACUGAAUGUUGUGCUAAGUAGUCUCAAGUCAUUGAAUGCAUACGCACCCCACGUCUCUUAUUGGGUGAUUUCUUUUUUCGUGGCAAAAAACAGGGAACGGGGUGGGUACCUAAUGCACCGCGCCUAGAAGUUUUGGGAUUAUUUGGUUUUCGUAGCGUGACUAAUGCACUAGUACAGAGGGAGUACAAUAGUAGUCUUUGAUUGAAAUUUUUUGUUGGUAGCUUACCAAGCUGACCGCUCGGUGAGUACAAUAGUGGUCUGAUUGAUGAGAUUUCAGAUUUGAGCCAUCUACCGGAAGGGAGAGUAUAUAAUAUCAUCAGGAACGAUGUUCAAAACUGAAUAAAACAGUACUCCAUGUAUUUAUUUACAGAGGGAGUAGUAUAUUUUUUGUGACAUGCAUUACUAGAUAUUGCUAGUCAAAUACUAAAUCCAAACGGACAUGGUAGUACUACUAAAUCCAGAUGGUGGUGCUAGUACUAGUAGUAGUACUACCAAUGUAGUAGUACUGUACUACCCGUUGGUUAAAUUAUUAUGUGCUGCUCCUCAUAAUGAAGUGAUAAGACGAUGCACCGGAGAUGACACCUGAGUGUAGGCGCCGUGUUCGGCAUAUCAAAGUCAGCCUCACCGUGUGCAAUCACUAUCAUCAUGGCUAUAGAGCUAGCCUGCUUAAUUUCCUGUGCGUUGCCACGAGUAUCUCUACUCUUUUCUUAUACAAGUAAGAUGCCCGUGCAUUGCAUGGAACACCAAGAUUGGGGGUGGACGGCGCCGGCAGCGGCCAUCGCGCCAGGUUGUUCCAUGGCCUUCUAGAUGUGGUGGGGAAGAGAUAAGGCUGAUUGUGAGAGACAAGGAGUUGUUUGUAAAUAGAGAACAAGUGCAGGCAUCUUUUUGUAAAAUUGCAGCAGUUUGCUUUGUAUGCGUUAGAUCUAGAUCGGACGGCUAUUGGUGAAAGAUGGCAGUCACACCAUCAACACUAACUCAGGACCUCUUUGAUUCGCAGGAUUUUGAAAACGCGAGAAUAGGAAAGGUAUAGGAUUGGAGUGUCCUGCCCACUUGAAUCCUAUAGGAUUAACAAGGAGUGUUUGAUUUCACGGGAAAAGCAAAGGAAUUGUAAAAAGAGGUUAGAGUGGAUGUUAGAUUUCCUAUGAAAUGUAGUACAAAAGAUCCCAUUGGAAAAAUUUCUAUGGGAUUCAAUCCUAUGAAUCAAAGGACAAGCGUAGGAAAAAUUUCAAAGGAUUUAAAUCCUCCAAAAAUCCUAUAGAACUCCCUUGAAUCAAAGGAGCCCUCAGGUUUUUAUAGGAUUAGUAUAGAGAAAUAGAGAAGCUCUUAUAAAAAUCCGAGUUGGUGAUGAUGGUGUGCCUGCCAUCCUGCAAUAUAGACCGCCCGGUCUAUAUCUGACGGAUAGAAAGCAAACUAUGGCAAUUUUCCAAAAAGAUACCCACAACCCUCUCCACAUUUGCAGAUAAGGCGUUCCCUCAUUCAUCGUCAUCUCCCACAAGAUAAAUAUCUCGUAUAAAUGCAUCUUGAUGUUCCGUGCAACACAUGGGCCUCUUGCUGGUAAUAAUAAAUAUUGUACUCGAGUAAUGGGUAUAUCAUUGGGAAAAUUUUGUUUUUGCUACUCUAGAUUUUACCAAUUUUCCUUAUGCCACUCUAGAUUUUGACAUUUCAUUUUUGCCACUCUUAAUUUUUGACAAUUAUCACAAUUUCCAUUUUGUGGCAAAAGCAAAAUAAUUUUAUUUUAUUUUUGCCACUCUUAGACAAUUAUCACAAUUGCCACUCCGAAAAUUUUGCUUUUGCCACGGGAAUGGCAAUUGUGAUAAUUGUCAAAAACUAAGAGUGGCAAAAGUGAAAUGUCAAAAUCUGGAGUGGCAUAAGGAAAAUUGGCAAAAUCUAGAGUGGCAAAAACAAAAUUUUCCCUAUAUCAUUGCCACACCUAUGCACGCGAACAUUUAUCGUAACAUAGUACUACCUCGUGCUGGAUAGUCGUAAUAUUACAAGUUUCAAAUUGAUAUUACAAAUGUUAGGAUUAAUGCUGCACCUACGAAGAGGGAAUUAUUAGGAAGUUUACGUAAGAACUUUCCUUACUUUAGGUGGAUGCAACAUUAUCGUACAAACUAAAAUCCACCGCCCUGAAAAGUCACUAAUGGGAAAAUAAAUUUUUUAGUCUCUGUGACUUGAUGUUUAGAAAGCAAAUUCAGCUUCUAUGGAGACUUUGUCAUUUAGGCUUAGACACUUGCGGUGAUCAGCGCACCAUUUAUUGUUGCGCCAGAGAACGCCAAACCUCAUUACCUUGAGCACACUUGCCUCCAGAACAAAGAACCUGGCCAAUUUAAUCUCAGAUGUGCUACCUCAGUAGUUGAUCAAAUCAAUUUCAGUAAGAUGGAGAUCAAGGCAUUCGAUGGGAUUGUUAUAGUGUAGCACAUUUUUCACUUUCAGGUCUUUUUUUAUCUGCAAAAGAAGAGAACAUAUUAGAGAAACUAGCUGUAUAAGAUUGUCGUGUCAUCAAGAGGUACCAAUAUCAUUCACUCAUACGAUAGGGUUGGCUCUAAGGCUAGUGAUAUUUUUUCACUCUCUCUCUCUCUCUCUAUCUUUCUCUUUCCUCUCAUUGACCUAGGAGCACGUGAAGAGCUUGGCCAUUUGUUCAAUGUGGCCGAUGCCAUAUUUCUCAAAACUAUGCCACAUAAUACGCAUCAAUGUCAAAUCAAAAGAUUUUGGCACCGCUCUAGCGAUAUGAGAGAGUUGGCACCGCUGUGCACACAGACCCACAUGUAUAAACAAAUCAAUCAAACCAACUAUACCAGCCUCUCCCUCUCCCAAACAAGUGUUUUUUAUUGCCUUAGUCCUAUCCCUCUCCCACACAAGUGUUUUUUCAUUGCGUGAGUUAAUUUGGAACCAGAGCGAAGUAGGUGAUCCAGAUUAGGGCACCAGGUGAGCAAUGGAGGGGCAUCGAUGCCAAAUGCAUCACAAGUGAAUUUGGCACGUGUUUUGGCCUACAUAGUGGAGGGCCGUUAGGCCCUUCCCAGUGCUCCACGGUGUACAGGUGCUAAGGUUGCCACAUAGACAGAAAAAUGAUGUGGCAAAGAAUUUAAAGAUGAGAGAGAGCAUUAUAGUGACCCCAAGAAGAACCAAUGCUAAGCAAGUGGACCUAUGCAAAAGGACUACCAACCAAUACAAGAAGGAGUUUUAUCACUAAAAAAUUAAAUAAAGGUGGCUUGGCUACAAAAGCUAAGCACCGACGCAAUGGGGACAUUAGUUGCUAAGCAUUUUAAUGCACUUAGUACCUCACUUUAGCACCAAUGCACUGGAGGAGGUCUUAUAGACCACUUUUGUACUACCUCCUAUUUAGUGUAAAUUUUUGACCAUAGAUUUACCUAAGAAAAUGCUAGUGCAUGUCACCAAAAAUUAUACCAUUUGAAAUUAUGUUCAAAUAUGAAUGCAAUGAUAUAAUUUUUAGUGGCAUGCAUUAACAUUUUGUCAGUUAAAUCUAUGGUCAAAUUCUGAUACUACAAAAUAUGAAGAGUAAACUGAUGACCCACAAGUGUAGGGGAUCUAUCAUAGUCCUUUCGAUAAGUAAGAGUGUCGAACCCAACGAGGAGCAGAAGGAAAUGACAAGCGGUUUUCAGUAAGGUAUUCUCUGCAAGCACUAAAAUUGUAGGUAACAGAUAGUUUUGUGAUAAGAUAAUUUGUAACGGGUAACAAGCAAUGAAAGUAAAUAAGGUGCAGCAAGGUGGCCCAAUCCUUUUAGUAGAAAAGUACAAGCCUGGACAAGUUCUUAUAUGAGAAAAGCGCUCCCGAGGACACAUGGUAAUUAUCAUCAAGCUAGUUUUCAUCACGUUCAUUACUUUGAUAAUUUGAUAUGUGGGUGGGCCGGUGCUUGGGUACUGCCCUUUCUUGGACAAUCAUCCCACUUAUGAUUAACCCCUAUUGCAAGCAUCCGCAACUACAAAAGAACUAUUAAGGUAAACCUAACCAUAGCAUGAAACAUAUGGAUCCAAAUCAGCCCCUUACGAAGCAACGCAUAAACUAGGGUUUAAGCUUCUGUCACUCUAGCAACCCAUCAUCUACUUAUUACUUCCCAAUGCCUUCCUCUAGGCCCAAAUAAUGGCGAAGUGUCAUGUAUUCAACGUUCACAUAACACCACUAGAGGAUAGACACAUACAUCUUAUCAAAAUAUCGAACGAAUACCAAAUUCACAUGACUACUUAUAGCAAGACUUCUCCCAUGUCCUCAGGAACAAAUGUACUACUCACAAAUCAUAUUCAUGUUCAUAAUCAGAGGAGUAUUGAUAUGCAUUAAGGAUCUGAACAUAUGAUCUUCCACCAAAUAAACCAACUAGCAUCAACUACAAGGAGUAAUCAACACUACUAGCAACCCACAGGUACUAAUCUGAGGUUUUGGUACAAAGAUUGGAUACAAGAGAUGAACUAGGGUUUGAGAGGAGAUGGUGCUGGUGAAGAUGUUGAUGGAGAGUGACCCCCUCCCGAUGAGAGGAUCAUUGGUGAUGACGAUGGUGAUGUUUUCCCCCUCCCGGAGGGAAGUUUCCCUGGCAGAACAGCUCCGCCGGAGCCCUAGAUUGGUUCCGCCAAGGUUCCGCCUUGUGGCGGCGGAGUUUCGUCCUGUAAGCUUGCUUAUGAUUUUUCCAGGGUAAAAGACCUCAUAUAGCAGAAGAUGGGCACCGAAGGCCUGUCAGGGGGCCCACGAGGCAGGGGUGUGCCCUAGGGGGGUGGGCACGCCCCCACCCUCGUGAACAGGGUGUGGGCCCCCUGACGCUGAUUCCUUCGCCAGUAUUUUUUAUUAAUUCCAAAAAUGACUUUCAUGGAGUUUCCAGACUUUUGGAGCUGUGCAGAAUAGGUCUCUAAUAUUUGCUCCUUUUCCAGCCUAGAAUCUCAGCUGCCGGCAUUCUCCCUCUUCAUGUAAACCUUGUAAAAUAAGAGAGAAUAGCCAUAAGUAUUGUGACAUAACGUGUAAUAACAAUCCAUAAUGCAACAAAUAUUGAUAUAAAAGCAUGAUGCAAAAUGGACGUAUCAACUCCCCCAAGCUUAGACCUCGCUUGUCCUCAAGCGAAAGCCGAUAUCGAAAAAUAUGUCCACAUGUUUAGAGAUAGAGGUGUCAAUAAAAAUAAAGUACGGACAUGCAGGCAUCAUGAUCAUUCUUACAACAGCAACAUAUAUAUAUAUAUAUAUAUAUAUAUUGUCAUAUAAUUUCUUAUGCUCAAGUAACGAUCUAUUCACAGUGUCAAGUAUGGUUCAGAAACUUCAUUGAGAACUAACAAACUAUAAUCUCAGUCAUUGAAGCAAUCACAAUUUAUCAUAACAUAGGAAAGAGUCAACAUAAGAGCUUUUCAGCAAGUCCACAUACUCAACUAUCAUUUAGUCUUUCACAAUUGCUGACACUCACGCAAUACGUGUGGUUAUGGAGUUUUAAUCGGACACAGAGAAAGAUAGGGGAUUAUAAUGUUGCCUCCCAACGUUUUACCUCAAGGGUAAUGUCAACAAUAAUAGUUCAUGCUAACGUACAUCCAAUUGGAUAUAUGUAUCAGGAUCUUUCCAACACGAGGUGCUUGCCAAAGGAUAAAAUAAAAAGGAAAGGUGAAGAUCACCUUGACUCUUGCAUAAAGUAAAAAUAGGCCCUUCAAGAGGGAAGUAGAGGUUGUCAUGUGCUUUUAUGAUUGGAUGCACAAAAUCUUAAUGCAAAAGAACGCCACUUUAUAUUGCCACUUGUGAUAUGAACCUUUAUUAUGUAGUAUGUCGCUUUUAUUACUUCCAUAUCACAAGAUCGUAUAAAUCUUAUUUACUCCACACUAAUAAGUCAUACAUAUUUAGAGAACAUUUUUUAUUGCAUGCAACAUGACAACUUACUUGAAGGAUCUUACUCAAUCCAUAGGUAGAUAUGGUGGACUCUCAUGGCAAAACUGGUUUAAGGGUAUUUCGGAAGCACAAGUAAUUUUUACUUGGUGCAAGGAAUUUGGCUAGCAUGAGGGGGAAAGGCAAGCUCGACAUGUUGGACGAUCCAUGACAAUAUACUUUAACUAAGAUGUGAGAAAGCAUAACUCAUUACGUUGUCUUCCUUGUCCAACGUCAACUCUUUUAGCAUGUCAUACUUUAAUGAGUGCUCACAAUCAUAAAAGAUGUCCAAGAUAGUAUAUUUAUAUGUGAGAACCUCUAUUUCUUUAUUACUUCCUAUUAAUUGCAAUGAUGACCAAAACUAUGUUUGACAACUCUCAACAACUUUUAUGCCUCAUACUCUUUAUGUGUGAAGUCAUUACUAUCCAUAAGAUCAACAUGGUUUCUUUAUUUCUUUUUAUUCUUUCUAUUUUCUCAAGAUCAUAGCAAGAUAGCAAAGCCCUUGACUCAACACUAAUCUUUAUUAUAGAUAGCUCAAAGACUCGAUUACAUAGAGGGAUCACAAAGAAAAAAUCAAAACUAAUUCAUAGCAAACUUUAUUCUACUAAAUCAAGAUAUUACCAAAAGGAUCGAACUAAGAAAAAUUGUAAAGAUAGGAGUGUGAUGGUGAUACGAUACCGGGGCACCUCCCCCAAGCUUGGCAGUUGCCAAGGGGAGUGCCCAUACCCAUGUGAUUAUGUCUCCUUUGCUGGUGAAGAAGGUGGUGAUGGAUAGUCGCACAUCAACCGUAGGAGCUCUUCUAACUUGCGGAUAAUGCCCUUGAGUGCGAUAAUAUGAUCCUUCAAGAAAAUAUUUUCACGUGUGAGAUACUUGUUUUGUAUGCGAGCUAACUCAAUCAUCUUGAAAGCUUCAAUCUCAGUUAGGGUAAAGAGGUUAGGAAGAGGUUGAGGGAUGUUUUCUUCUUCUGCCGCAAGAGUUUGAUCCUCCAUGGCCUUCUUGAUCCCUUCAUCCUUGUUGAUCUCCCCAGGUUCUUCUCUCUUCGGCUCUAUCUCCAAUAGCCAAGCAUCCUUAUCUUCAUUGUUGGAGGAGAAUGACGUCAUGGUGAUAUAGGUCUGUCAGCAAAACAGCUCGAAACAAAGAUAGAGGAUAUUUGCAUGAUACGGUGGUCAAAACCUCCGGGAGAUUAUAUAAUGAAUUUUUACCGACCAAAAGAAGUAUCGACCAAGAAAACAGAGUCCAGAGAGCACACGAGGUGCCCACGAGGCAGGGGGCGCGCCCUCCACCCUCGUGGACGCCUCAUGUCCUUCUCGGACUACUUCUUAUUUUCCUAUUUUCUUAAAUAUUCCAAAACAGAGAAAUGUUGUUGUUAAAAUUAAUUUGGAGUCGGUUUACUUACUGUACCUGGUACGUACCUGUUCCUUUUCGGAGUCUGGAACAUUCUGGAAGGUGUCCCUUAUAUAUUCCUCCGCGGUUACGGUUUCAAUAAUGUUAGUUUCAACAUUUAUUGGGUUACCUGAGAUAUAAUGUUUGAUUCUUUGACUGUUCACCACCUUCAGAUUUGUGCCCUCGAAGUUGUUGAUUUUUAUGGCACCGGAAUGAUAGACUUCCUCGAUAACGUAAGGGCCUUCCCAUUUAGAGAGAAGUUUUCCUGCAAAAAAUCUUAAACGAGAGUUGAAGAGCAACACAUAGUCACCAACAUUAAACUCACGCUUUCAUAUCCUUUUGUCAUGCCAUCUUCUAACUUUUUCUUUAAAUAGUUUAGCAUUUUCAUAAGCUUGGGUUCUCCAUUCAUCAAGUGAGCUCGUGUCAAACAACCUCUUCUCACUGGCAAGUUUGAAAUCAUAAUUAAGCUCUUUAAUAGCCCAAUAUGCCUUAUGUUCUAGUUCAAGAGGUAAGUGACAAGCUUUUCCAUAAACCAUUUUAUAUGGAGACAUACCCAUAGGAUUUUUAUAUGCAGUUCUAUAAUCCCAUAAUGCAUCAUCAAGUUUCAUGGACCAAUUCUUUCUAGAUCUAUUAACAGUCGUUUGCAAGAUUAAUUUAAGUUCUCUAUUACUAUCUUUACUUAACCGCUAGACUGUGGGUGAUAAGGAGAUGCAAUUCUAUGGUUAACAUCAUACUUAGCAAGCAUUUUACGAAAAGCAUCAUGAAUAAAAUGAGAACCACCAUCAGUCAUUAAGUAUCUAGGGACUCCAAACCUCGGGAAAAUAACUUCUUUAAGCAUCUUAAUAGAGGUGUUAUGAUCAUCACUACUAGUUGGAAUAGCUUCUACCCACUUAGUAACGUAAUCAACAACAACUAAAAUAUGUGUAUACCCAUUAGAGGCAGGAAAAGGUCCCAUAUAAUCAAAGCCCCAAACAUCAAAUGGUUCAAUAACAAGAGAAUAGUUCAUAGGCAUUUCUUGACGUCUACUAGUAUUACCAAUUCUUUGACAUUCAUCACAAGACAAGACAAACUUACGGGCAUCUUUGAAGAGAGUAGGCCAAUAAAAACCAGAUUGCAAUACCUUAUGUGUAGUUCUAUCUCCAGCGUGGUGUCCUCCAUAUGCCUCGGAGUGACACUUGCGUAGGAUCUGUUCCUGUUCAUGCUCAGGUACACAACGUCCAAUAACACCAUCUACUCCUUUAUAAAGGUGUGGUCAUCCCAGAAGUAAUGUCUUAAAUCAUAGAAGAACUUUUUCUUUUGUUGGUAUGUAAAACGAGGUGGUAUAAAUUUAGCAACAAUGUAAUUAGCAUAAUCAGCAUACCAUGGAGCAGUACGAGAAGCAUUUAUACAGCUAAUUGUUCAUCAGGAAAGCUAUCAUUAAUAGGUAGUGGGUCAUCAAGAACAUUCUCUAACCUAGACAAGUUGUCUGCAAUGGGGUUCUCAGCUCCCUUUCUAUCAAUAAUAUGUAAAUCAAAUUCUUGUAGCAAGAGAACCCACCUAAUAAGUCUAGGUUUAGCAUCUUUCUUUUCCAUAAGAUAUUUAAUAGCAGCAUGAUCAUUGUGAAUAGUUACUUUAGAAUCAACAAUAUAAGGUCUGAACUUAUCACAAGCAAAUACAACUGCUAAAAAUUAUUUUUCAAUAGUAGCAUAAUUUCUCUGGGCACUGUCUAGAGUUUUACUAGCAUAUUGAAUAACAUUUAGUUUCUUAUCAACUCUUUGUCCUAGAACAGCACCUACAGCAUAAUCGCUAGCAUCACACAUAAUUUCAAAGGGUAAAUUCCAAUCAGGAGGUUGAACAAUAGGUGUAGAAACCAAAGCUUUCUUAAGUAUUUCAAAUUCUUCUACACAAUCAUCAUCGAAGAGAAAAGGAAUAUCUUUUUGUAAUAGAUUAGUUAGAGGCCUAGAGAUUUUGGAAAAGUCCUUAAUGAACCUCCUAUAAAAACCGGCAUGACCAAGGAAACUUCUUAUACCUUUGAUGUCCUUGGGACAUGGCAUCUUUUCAAUGGCAUCAACUUUAGCUUUAUCAACUUCAAUACCUCUUUCAGAAAUUUUAUACCCCAAGACAAUGCCUUCAUUAACCAUAAAGUGGCACUUCUCCCGGUUCAAAACAAGACUAGUAUCUUCGCAUCUCUGCGAAACUCGUUCAAGGUUGCUCAAGCAAUCAUCAAAACAGGAUCUAUAAACGGAGAAAUCAUCCAUGAAUACCUCACAAAUUUUUUCACAAAAGUCAGAGAAUAUAGCCAUCAUGCAUCUUUGAAAAGUAGCAGGUGCAUUACAUAAACCAAAAGGCAUAUGUCUAUAAGCAAAAGUACCGAAAGGGUAAGUAAAAGUGGUCUUUUCUUGAUCAUCUGCUGACACAGGUAUUUGAGAGAAACCAAAGUAACCAUCUAGAAAGCAAAAAUGUGUAUGUUUGGAUAGUCUUUCUAGCAUUUGAUCAAUAAAAGGUAAAGGGUAAUGAUCUUUUUUAGUAGCUUUAUUUAGUUUGUGGAAAUCAAUUACCAUCCUAUAACCUAUAAUAAUUCUUUGUGGGAUCAAUUCAUCUUUAACAUUAGGAACAACAAUAAUACCUCCCUUCUUAGGGACACAAUGGACAAGACUUACCCACUUAUUACCGGCAACGGGAUAAAUUAUACCUGCCUCAAGGAGUUUGAGUAUUUCCUUUCUUACCACUUCCUUCAUCUUAGGAUUUAACCUUCGUUGGUGAUCAAUAACUGGUUUGGCGUCUUCUUCAAACUUAAUUUUGUGUUGGCAUAGAGUGGGACUAAUACCCUUAAGAUCAUCAAGAGUAUAUCCAAUAGCAGCAUGGUGCUUCUUCAGAGUUUUCAAUAAUCUUUCCUCUUCCUGCUCUGAAAGGUUAGCACUAAUAAUAACAGGAUAUAUCUUCUUCUCAUCAAGAUAAGCAUAUUUGAGAGUAUCAGGUAAUGGUUUAAGUUCAAACACGGGAUCACCCUUGGGUGAUGGGAGAUCACCUAGGAUUUCAACAGGUAAGUUGUGUUUCAAAAUAGGACCCUAUUUAAAGAAUACUUCAUCUAUUUCCCUUCUUUCAUUCAUGAACAUAUCAUUUUCAUGGUCUAGCAAAUAUUGUUCUAAAGGAUCAGUCGGAGGCACAGCAAUAGAAGCAAGACCAAUAAUUUCAUCCUUACUAGACAGUUCUUUAUCAUGGGGUUGUCUAUGAAAUUUAGCAAAAUUAAACUCAUGAGUCAAAUCAUCCAAGCUAAUCAUGACAACAUCUUUUUUGCAAUCAAUUCUAGCAUUAACAGUAUUCAAGAAGGGUCUACCAAAUAUAAUGGGACAAAAGUCAUCUUGUGGGGAACCAAGAAUAAGAAAAUCAGCAGGAUAUUUAACUUUCCCACACAAGACUUCAACAUCUCUAACAAUCCCAAUUGGUGAAAUAGUAUCUCUAUUAUCAAGCUUAAUUGUAACAUCAAUAUCUUCUAUCUCAGCAAGUGCAAUGUCAUGCAUAAUUUCUUGAUAUAAGGAAAUAGGUAUUGCACUAGCACUAGCACCCAUAUCACAUAAGCCAUGAUAAACAAUGCUCUCCUAUUUUAACAGAAAUGACAGGCAUGCCUACAACAGGUCUAUGUUUCUUAGCAUCAGGUUUAACAAUUCUAGCAGCUUCAUCAGAGAAAUAAAUAGCAUUCCCAUCAAUAUUAUCAGCCAAGAGAUCUUUAACCACAACAAUAUUAGGUUCAACUUGAAUUUGCUCAGGUGGUGUAGGUGUUUUAGUAUUACUCUUACGAACCACAUGUGAAGUUUUAGCAUGAUCCUUUAUCCUAACAGGGAAAGGAGGUUUCUCAAUAUAAGUAGUAGGGACAAUAGGAUCAUUAUAAGUGAUGGUAUUUUCUUCAACUUUAAUAGGUGCAACUACUUUCACUUCAGUGGGAGGAUUAUAUUUAAACCACUUCUCCUUAGGGAGAUCAACAUGAGUAGCAAAUGAUUCACAGAAAGAAGCUACUAUUUCAGAGUCAAGUCCAUAUUUAGUGCUAAAUCCACGAAAAGCAUUGGUAUCCAUAAAAGAUUUAACACAAUCAAACUUAGGUGUCAUACCUGACUCCUUACCAUCUUUGGAAUCCCAAUCUUCAGUGUUGCAUUUAAUUCUUUCCAAUAAAUCCCACUUGAAUUCAAUAGUCUUCAUCAUAAAAGACCAAGCACAAGAAGUAUCAAGCAUGGUGCGAUUGUUGAGAGAAAGACGAGCAUAAAUUUUUUGAAUAAUCAUUUCUCGUGAGAGCUCAUGAUUGGGGCAUGAAUAUAACAUUGACUUAAGCCUCCCCAAGCUUGAGCGAUGCUUUCUCCUUCACGAGGCCAAAAAUUAUAUAUGUAAUUACGAUCACGAUGAACAAGAUGCAUAGGAUAGAACUUUUGGUGAAAUUCCAAUUUCAGUCGUUUAUAGUUCCAGGAUCCCAUAUCAUCACAUAGCCUAUACCAUGUCAAUGUGUCUCCCUUCAAAGAUAAAGGUAAAACCUUCUUCUUGAUAACAUCCUCAGGCAUACCUACAAGCUUAAAUAAUCCACAAACUUCAUCUACAUAGAUUAGGUGCAAGUCGGGAUUAGGUGCAAACUCCAUCUCCUCUAAAAGGAUUAGCUAGCAGUUUCUCUACCAUACCCGAAGGAAUUUAAAAGUGAACAUUUUCAGUAGGUUCAGUAGGUCGAGUAGCAACUCUUUGCUCUACUGGUCGAGGUGAAGAUACCCCGAACAAGCCCCUCAAAGGAUUAGUUUCCAUAGUAACAAGUGACAGUAAAUUUCAGCACACUAUAUAAAUUUUUCCUUACCAAGUUCCACUUACCAAAGGCGCUUCACUCCCCGACAAUGGCGCAAGAAAAGAGUCUUGAUGAUCCACAAGUGUAGGGAAUCUAUCGUAGUCCUUUCGGUAAGUAAGAGUGUCGAACCCAACGAGGAGCAGAAGGAAAUGACAAGCGGUUUUCAGUAAGGUAUUCUCUGCAAGCACUAAAAUUGUAGGUAACAGAUAGUUUUGUGAUAAGAUAAUUUGUAACGGGUAACAAGAAAUGAAAGUAAAUAAGGUGCAGCAAGGUGGCCCAAUCCUUUUAGUAGCAAAGGACAAGCCUGGACAAGUUCUUAUAUGAGAAAAGUGCUCCCGAGGACACAUGAGAAUUAUCAUCAAGCUAGUUUUCAUCAUGUUCAUAUGAUUCGCGUUCGUUACUUUGAUAAUUUGACAUGUGGGUGGACCGGUGCUUGGGUACUGCCCUUUCUUGGACAAGCAUCCCACUUAUGAUUAACCCCUAUUGCAAGCACCCGCAACUACAAAAGAAGUAUUAAGGUAAACCUAACCAUGGCAUGAAACAUAUGAAUCCAAAUCAGCCCCUUAUGAAGCAACGCAUAAACUAGGGUUUAAGCUUCUGUCACUCUAGAAACCCAUCAUCUACUUAUUACUUCCCAAUGCCUUCCUCUAGGACCAAAUAAUGGUGAAGUGUCAUGUAGUCGACGUUCACAUAACACCACUAGAGGAUAGACAACAUACAUCUUAUCAAAAUAUCGAACGAAUACCAAAUUCACAUGACUACUUAUAGCAAGACUUCUCCCAUGUCCUCAGGAACAAACGUACUACUCACAAAUCAUAUUCAUGUUCAUAAUCAGAGGGGUGUUGAUAUGCAUUAAGGAUCUGAACAUAUGAUCUUCCACCAAAUAAACCAACUAGCAUCAACUACAAGUAGUAAUCAACAGUACUAGCAACCCACAGGUACCAAUCUGAGGUUUUGGUUAAAAGAUUGGAUACAAGAGAUGAACUAGUGUUUGAGAGGAGAUGGUGCUGGUGAAGAUGUUGAUGGAGAUUGACCCCCUCCCGAUGAGAGGAUCAUUGGUGAUGACAAUGGUGAUGUUUUCCCCCUCCCUGAGGGAAGUUUCCCCGGCAGAACAGCUCCGCCGGAGCCCUAGAUUGGUUCCGCCAAGGUUCCGCCUAGUGGCGGCGGAGUUUCGUCCCGUAAGCUUGCUUAUGAUUUUUUCCAGGGUAAAAGACCUCAUAUAGCAGAAUAUGGGCACCGGAGGCCUGUCAAGGGGCCCACGAGGCAGGGGGCGCGCCCUAGGUGGUGGGCGCGCCCCCACCCUCGUGAACAGGGUGUGGGCCCCCUGACGCUGAUUCCUUCGCCAGCAUUUUUUAUUAAUUCCAAAAAUGACUUUCAUGGAGUUUCAGGACUUUUGGAGCUGUGCAGAAUAGGUCUCUAAUAUUUGCUCCUUUUCUAGCCCAGAAUCUCAGCUGCCGGCAUUCUCCCUCUUCAUAUAAACCUUGUAAAAUAAGAGAGAACUAGCGGGUCCACCCGCGCAAUUGUGCGGCUAGAAUUGAUAUAUUAUGUAUUUUUGGUAAAUGACAUCUUUUUGCUAUUUUUCUUAUUUAUAUGGACUUGCAUUUUUUGUUCUUCAACAUUGUAUGGAAGUUUAUAAUCAUUGUGAAUUGAACACCUCUAUAAGCACAUUUUCCGCUUCAUUGAUUAUUUUUGUUUAAAUUAUCUCUGUAUAUUAUUUUCAUUUGGCAAGUAUUUUUUUAAUGCACAACAUUGACUUUUUAUUUUUUGCCUAUUGUCACUGCAUGUUCAUAAUCCAUUAGGAAAUACUAAAUUCUGUAGCUUUUUUAGAAAAUUUUGUAGCUAAUUUCUCACCGAAAUAUAGUUUGUAGCUUUUUUCAUACUCCCUCCGUCUUAAAUAAUUCAAAUAUGGUUCCAUUAUAACUGAUAUGACUCAAUUAUCAGUACAUGUUAGUCUCAUUUUCCUCCAAAAGUGGUGAUAUCAUAUCUUAGAGGAGUCUGAAUCAUUACCUGACUUGUGGUUUUCGUGCCUCAUUGCACUAAAUUCUUGUAAUGUUCUCCUAUGUAAAAUAUUUCUCGCGCUCCUUGUGCGUUGCAAUCUAUCUCCAUCAUUUUUGGCAAACUUUCUUCUACCGAGUGCCUACAUUUGUGGAGUUAGUCAAGUAAAAUUAUUACGUUACAAUGAUGAAUAAACAUGAGUCACGAUUCAUUUGUUGAUAAAUAAUUAAAGAUAGUGUUCCAUAUGUAAGGAAGUUCUCGAAUUUCAUCUAUGUCUAGAUCUGUAUAUAUUCAUGUGAGACUGGUUUACUUUAGGUACAACCCUAUUAAAUAAAUGACAAAUCUUUUAGAUUUCUUGCAACCAUAGUCUAGCGCUGGUGUUAUCACCCGUAAAGAGGUUAAGCUGAAAAAUGCAAAUCUUAGCCAGAGUGGUGGAAGUCCAAUUAAACUUUCAAUAAUGAGUAUGCAUGCUUUCUCUGUUAUUAGAAUCAGUCGUUUUUCUUGGUUAGAAAUAUUAAUUAGAUUAUUUAAAACUACAGAGUAUAAGCAUACCUGAGCAUUAUUUAACUUUAUCUGCUGGUUUUGUAUUGUGUCCUUGGUGGAAAACUCGGAGUAGUAAUCUGGAAAACAUUCUGAUGGUUGUUUCACCCUCUUUACCUUUGUAUUGUACACAGAAAAAAAAAUCAAUUCAUUUCUCAAUGGGUGAUAUUUUGUGGAUUCCACAACCUUAAAAGUUGAUAGUGUAUAAGUGGAUACUUCUGAUAGUAGCAUGAUGUUUUUAAUAUUGAUAGUAAGAUGAUUUGUUUGGCCAUGUCAAACCAUACAAAAUAUAACUAGCAAUUUUUUGUUUAAAUUAGUGGGGCAGUCUGUAAUUGAAUGUUUAAUGAGUAAACAAUUUUGUCCAUCAAAAUCAUAUCGAGGCUCAUGAACCGAUCGGUUGCAUGAUUGAGCGAAUUGCAUAUGAUCGGUACUUUCACAUGAAUGUUCUAGUUUGUCUUGUUGUUGGUAAGCACUAAGCUUCUUGCACGCCAUAGUUUUUUGGCUGCAAAAGGAUUUGAAAAUUGUUAGUCAGCUACCCAUGCAGUUGUUAUCCUGAUAAGUGAUGAGCCUUGAUGAUUCAGGUGAGAGGCAGCUCAGAAGGUCUAUGUUGACUUCAUUGGGUGUCGAGUUGCAGUCACAUCGCAGUUUUGGCGGUUUCAGAUGUUUGGCUGGCGUCACAGAACCCGUAGUCUUCGAUUUUGUUAGUGGUGCUCUGGUCUGGUAGCAGAUUUGGUAGACUUCAUGAAUUGGAAGAUCUUGAUUUUGCUGACGGUUCUCUGGUCGGGUAGUAGAUUUGCCAGUUUGCCCAGUUAAGACUCUUGGGCGUGUGCUUGGUGUGUCUGGCUGGGUGUUGUUCUAUUUUGUUUCCCAGCUGACUCCAUGUGGAGUUUUUUCUCCCUUUCGAUCAAGAAUCCAUGUAGAGUUUCGUUGAUUGAGUCCAUCCUGGGUUGUAGUCUUUUGGGCAUGUGCCCGAUUUGGAAGUAGGUGCACGUGAGGAUUCAUAUCUUGUUUUGUCUCUUGAAAGGAUGUGCACGUGAGGAUUCGUAUCUUCUUUUGUCUCGUGAUAAUGGUUGUACGUGUCAUAUGUGUCAUGUACAUAUGUGUCCUGUACGGAGGACGGGGCAUGUACUCGGUCGUUUUUGUCCCUAUCUAUGUAAGCUUACACGUGAUUGUUAUAAACAGAUCUUUAUAUAGAAAAAGAUGUCUUAGACUAUUUAGACGUGCCAUGCUAAGUUAGUUGUACGGGAUAAUAUUUGUAUGUUAUGCUGCAACUUUUAAAUUUCAGCCAUCAAUAAUUGCGCGUCUAGAAUUGAUAUAUUAAAUAUUUUUGGUAAAUGACAUCUUUUUGCUAUUUUGCUUAUUUAUACGGACUUGCAUUUUUUGUUCUUCAACAUUGUAUGGAAGUUUAUAAUCAUUGUGAAUUGAACACCUCUAUAAGCACCUUUUCCGCUUCAUUGAUUAUUUUUGUUUAAAUUAUCUCUGUAUAUUAUUUUUGUUUGGCAAGUAUUUUUUUUAAUGCACAAUAUUGACUUUUUAUUUUUUGCCUGUUGUCACAGCAUGUUCAUAAUCCAUUAGGAAAUACUAAAUUCUGUAGCUUUUUUAGAAAAUUCUGUAGCUAAUUUCUCACCGAAAUAUAGUUUGUAGCUUUUUUCAUACUUCCUCCGUCUUAAAAUAAGUGUCUCUACUUUGUACUAACUUUAGUACAAAUUUAUACUAAGAUUAAGACACUUAUUUUGAGACGGAGGGAGUACAUUCUAUAGCUAAAAGACCUGUUAGGUAAGAAAAGAAGUAGGAAAGUCUCGUCUUCUAUAGUAAAAAAAAUCUGUAGCUUUUUUCAUAGUAUAUUCUGUAGCUAAAAGACCUAUAUAUAUUAUGUAAGAAAGGAAGUACGAAAGUCUCGUCUUCUAGAGUGCGGCGUUUCGGUGCCCGGGUGCAUCUGCACUCGUUCAAAAAAAAUUCAUAAAAGAUUCAGAAAAAUUCAAAAAAAAUCGAAAAAAAUUGAGGUGGUGGACAAUUUGAUGCGUGAGGUGCGCCCCAAUUUUCAAAACAUUUGGACUUAUGUGCAGCUCUCAGCAAAAAAGACAAAUCAGACCAAAACAGUAUAUGAACAGUACACAUUUUUACAGACCUCCGAUUUGUCUUUUUUGCUGAGAGCUGCACAUAAGUCCAAAUGUUUUGAAAAUUAGGGCGCACCUCACGCAUCAAAUUGUCCACCACCCCAAUUUUUUUCGGAAUUUUUUGAAUUUUUUUAGUAUUUAUUUUGAUUUUUUUGGUGAGCGCAGGUGCAGAUGAGCUCGGGCUCAGAUUUGGAUUUUCGCGUCUUCUAUCUAUAGAUACUCCAUAUAAGUCAGUCACAACUGGCUGACCAUUGGUCAACGUGCUACCCAUCCCAUGUGUAGAAAGCAUAUCCCUUCCUCAUUCCUCUGCUCCACCAUCUUUGAGAAGGGAAAAAUAGAUGGAGAGGGUGUACCAAAUCGAUUGGCCUGCUCGUCCAUGUGAUGGGGAGUGCCGGAGUGGCUGCACCAAAUCGAGUGGCCUGCCCGUGCAUCAAAAAAGCUGGGAAGGAGAUUAUCUUGGAGGCCAGAUCUGAGCGAGGUCGGGGCACGCGUUCCAGCCGCGGAUUUGGCGCUCCCUAGCAUCGAGGCAAGGCGGUCGCCGGGGAGGCCACUGAAGAAUAUGAGUGAUCCGUAGUUAGUAGCUUCCCUAAUGGCGCUGCUAUCCUGUUCAUGUCACUGGGCCAAGGAUUGUGGUGUCGGGUUUGACGGCCAUGUUCUUCAUAGUGUUCCUCAUCUUAUGUGGCAGAGUAGUGAUGGAUAUGACUGUCUUACUACUCUCCCAUCCUCCUCCGCAUCAUUAUCUUGUUGGGCUCAGUGUACACGUACUUUAAAAUUUCAUUUACUUAGUUGAUCUAUUAAAUUUAUUCAGAGGUAAGGUUGAGUUACCUAGUUCUGGUAAAUUAUAAUACAGACGAUGAAUUCAUAUAUUUUCUUGUUGUUCAUGUAAGGAUCAUUUAGGAUAUGAAUUAUAGAGUUAUUUAACUUUUCAUUGGUGUGCCUUGCAUUAUUUUAAUGAAUUGAACUUAUAUUACUUUUUCUGUUGACAUUCUGCCAACUUUGAUUAUUGUCUCUUCAACUCAUCCGUAUCAAUUAUACGAAGUUUCGUCUAGCAAAAGUUAUAUCCAUCUACUACGUAUAACGCUUAUAUAUCUUUUAUUUCAUUGUCUUGUCUGCACUUCUUAACAUGUAUAUACAUGAAAGUAGUGUGAGGAAAUAUUAAUCUGCAUUAGCAUGUGAUUGGUCUCUUUACAUUCGUAGAAAGUCCACAGGUGGAGGCGAGUCAUGGGCUCCCUAGUUGCUACUGCUGUCAAGUUCCACCUAUGUGAUUCGAAAAAAAACUUCCACCAAUGUAACGUGCUACAACUUUGCAUCAUUCCUACUUCCUCGACACUGUUCUUCACAGGUAUGCUUCCCGCCUCUAGUUGGAUAAAAGGUAUAUUCUCUAUUUGUUGUACCAUAUAAUAGCAAGUUAUAUCAAUGAUAUGUGUAGUUAAGACAAACGAAGAAGGUUCACAUGUAUUCACUGAAUUUGGUUCAUGUGUGUUAAUUGAUAUGCAAUAGAUUUUUCGCAUGUGUUGUAGGCGAUGCCUAUAACACUGGUGCUUUUCUCAUUAUUCUCUUCAACUGAAACAGCUGUAGGAUGGAAGAGAUGUUACCAAGAACACAACUCACAAAAGUGCAUGUCUGAAUGUAUUUCAACCUUAUCUACUAAGUGUCCUCCCUAUAUUGAUCAUGUGAUGUAUUCUUUCUCUAUCCCGGUAAACAUAAAUUAGUUGCCUUUCAAUAUUGUAAAAUAUUUGAUGCUUCUCAUAUUUUUCGUCCAAUGAGUUCAGCAAUUUUGCUACCACUGUUAUUGGUGCAGAGUAAAUAUAAUAUGAAAGUUCUUGUUGAAAUUAGUAGAAUAUGCUUUCGAGGUGUUAUAAUUUCUAGAUAUAUACCACAAUUGUCACAGUAAUACUUGUCAGUUCCUUUGUAAUUAGUUUGUGACUAUCACAACAUGUUCAUGUACAUAUUUUUUUGUAAUAGAUCUAUUACAGCUUGUCGUGAAAAGUAAAAUCCUAAAAAAGUCGCCGAAAAACUUUAAAGAUAGCAACCCAAAGAAGUUGGGAGACAUAAAUAAUUCAGAUAUGGUUCCAUUAUAACUGAUAUGACUCAAUUAUCAGUACAUGUUAGUCUCAUUUUCCUCCAAAAGUGGUGAUAUCAUAUCUUAGAGGAGUCUGAAUCAUUACCUGACUUGUGGUUUUCGUGCCUCAUUGCACUAAGUUCUUGUAAUGUUCUCCUAUGUAAAAUAUUUCUAGCGCUCCUUGUGUGUUGCUAUCUAUCUCCAUCAUUUUUGGCAAACUUUCUUCUACCGAGUGCCUACAUUUGUGGAGUUAGUCAAGUAAAAUUAUUACGUUACAAUGAUGAAUAAACAUGAGUCACGAUUCAUUUGUUGAUAAAUAUUUGAAGAUAGUGUUCCAUAUGUAAGGAAGUUCUCGAGUUUCAUCUAUGUCUAGAUCUGUAUAUAUUCCUGUGAGACAGGUUUACUUUAGGUACAACCCUAUUAAAUAAAUGACAAAUCUUUUAGAUUUCUUGCAACCAUAGUCUAGCGCUGGUGUUAUCACCCAUAAAGAGGUUAAGCUGAAAAAUGCAAAUCUUAGCCAGAGUGGUGGAAGUCCAAUUAAACUUUCAAUAAUGAGUAUGCAUUAUGCUUUCUCUGUUAUUAGAAUCAGUCCUUUUUCAUGGUUAGAAAUAUUAAUUAGAUUAUUUAAAACUACAGAGUAUAAGCAUACCUGAGCAUUAUUUAACUUUAUCUGCUGGUUUUGUAUUGUGUCCUUGGUGGAAAACUCGGAGUAGUAAUCUGGAAAACAUUAUGAUGGUCAUUUCACCCCCUUUACCUUUGUAUUGUACGCAGAAAAAAAAUCAAUUCAUUUCUUUUUUUUCGAGAAAACGCAAAAGAGUUUGCGUUUCAUUUCAUUGAACAGGAAGAGAACAGCAGUACAGGUACAACCUCCCGGGAGGAGGGACACACGCACACACACCAUCGUCCUCACCAGACAAGCAGGUGAGGAGGUGCUACCAACUACAGACCGCAACAACGAAAGGUCUAGCCUUGUCCAGCCUCCAACCAUGAAUGGCAAGGUAGCUAGACACAGAGCCUCAAGGCCGGAAUGGCAAGGUAGCUAGACACAGAGCCUCAAGGCCGCGUCACAGCCGUUGCCAGGCGCCUCCGAAGAAGACUGCAUCUCCAGGGCUGAUCGGGCCAACGUACCUUCCACCCAUAUGUGCCUAGGAGACGGCAGGUGGAUGGCAGGACCCAGCCAGAACUAGCGAAGCCAUCGUCUUGGACGUGCCGGCGCCGGCGUACAUUGCGCCCCGGACGCCCACGCUCCAUGCUGCAGCCCUCAUCACAGCAUCGCAUUACCAGCAAACCUCGCCGGAAAGACCGGGGAGGCCACCAUCUCCAACUGACGCAUAGGGGACUCCAAGUGCGACCCAAGCAGCGCUUUCAAGAAAGGAACGGCGCUGAGACACCGUCGCUGCCUUGUCCAGGGAACUGGACCAAGGGUUUCUCCCGGUGCCCGAGGAGAGGGUCCAGUCUGGGCCAUGACAGCGCCUCCAUGGAGGUAACGACACCCUCAGGUGUCGCCGUUGUCAGCGCAGGCCAACGCCGCGCAGGGAUUUCGCCCGGCCCAAGACCAGAACCCCAAAACCGCUGAAGCAGAGCAAACAGGAGAUGGGGAAGCAGAUCGCCAGAGAGGACCACCAGCACCGAGAGGGAAACCACGUAUUGUCACUGUCGAUGUAGGGAAGCACCGGCCAGCGCAGUGCAGCAGCUGCUGGAUGGCUGCCAGACAAGGCCAGCCAUCGCACGGGACGCGUCGAGCAGGGCUAGUGGCGCCGUCGCGGAGACCAGCCACCUGCACCUUGCCGCCGCCGACCAUGGCCGCUGCCGCGCCGGCCCGCAGCCUCCGCCACCCGGAUCCGCCGGGGCACAGCCAAGCAGCCGCAGCCGCGCCCCCAAAGGGUCGCGCCGCGCCGCCCGCGUGCUCGCCACGCCAGUCCAGAGGCCCGACCCUCUGGAUCUGGGGCCGCCGUCGCGAAACCCUAGGUUCGGAGAAGCGCAGCUCCGUCAGCCUCGUCGAGCCCCACGCUCGAGGGGGGAGGCCGCCUGGGAGCGAAGUCCCGCCGCCGCCGGAUCCACCAGGGCUUUGCCCGGCGGGGAGCACCGGCGGCGGCAGGGGGAGGGGGAGGAGGAGGGGAGGGAGCGCUUGAGGGCUGCGUCGCCUCCCGAGUCGCCCGUGGGGAGGGCGACGCGGGGGAGGGGGGGNNNNNNNNNNGCCGCCCGCGUGCUCGCCACGCCAGUCCAGAGGCCCGACCCUCUGGAUCUGGGGCCGCCGUCGCGAAACCCUAGGUUCGGAGAAGCGCAGCUCCGUCAGCCUCGUCGAGCCCCACGCUCGAGGGGGGAGGCCGCCUGGGAGCGAAGUCCCGCCGCCGCCGGAUCCACCAGGGCUUUGCCCGGCGGGGAGCACCGGCGGCGGCAGGGGGAGGGGGAGGAGGAGGGGAGGGAGCGCUUGAGGGCUGCGUCGCCUCCCGAGUCGCCCGUGGGGAGGGCGACGCGGGGGAGGGGGGCGAGUGUAAAAUCAGAGAUUCUCCAAAUUCAUUUCUCAAUGGGUCAUAUUUUGUGGAUUCCACAACCUUAAAAGUUGAUAGUGUAUAAGUGGAUACUUCUCAUAGUAGCAUGAUGAUUUUAAUAUUGAUAGUAAGAUGAUUUGUUUGGCCAUGUCAAACCAUACAGAAUAUAAUUAGCAAUUUUUUGUUUAAAUUAGUGGGGCAGUCUGUAAUUGAAUGUUUAAUGAGUAAACAAUUUUGUCCAUCAAAAUCAUAUCGAGGCUCAUGAACUGAUCGGUUUCAUGAUUGAGCGAAUUGCAUAUGAUCGGUACUUUCACUUGAAUGUUCUAGUUUGUCCCGUUGUUGGUAAGCACUAAGCUUCUUGCACGCCAUAGUUUUUUGGCUGCAAAAGGAUUCGAAAAUUGUUAGUCAGCUACCUAUGCAGUUGUUAUCCUGACAAGUGAUGAGCCUUGAUGAUUCAGGUGAGAGGCAGCUCAGAAGGUCUAUGUUGACUUCAUUGGGCGUCGAGUUGCAGUCACAUCGCAGUUUUGGCGGUUUCAGAUGUUUGUCUGGCGUCACAGAACCCGUAGUCUUCGAUUUUGUUAGUGGUGCUCUGGUCUGGUAGCAGAUUUGGUAGACUUCAUGAAUCGGAAGACCUUGAUUUUGUUGAUGGUUCUCUGGUCGGGUAGUAGAUUUGCCAGUUUGACCAGUUAAGACUCUUGGGCGUGUACUUGGUGUGUCUGGCUGGGUGUUGUUCUAUUUUGUUUCCGAGCUGACUCCAUGUGGAGUUUCUUUCUCCCUUUCGAUCAAGAAUCCAUGUAGAUUUUCUUUGAUUGAGUCCGUCCCUGGGUUGUAGUCUUUUGGGCAUGUGCCCGAUUUGGAAGUAGGUGCAUGCGAGGAUUCAUAUCUUGUUUUGUCUCUAGGAAGGAUGUGCACGUGAGGAUUCGUAUCUUCUUUUGUCUCGUGAUAAUGGUCGUACGUGAGAUCUUUAUAUAAAAAAAGAUGUCUUAGACUAUUUAGACGUGACAUGUUAAGUUAGUUGUAUGGGACAAUAUUUGUAUGUUACGCUGCAACUUUUAAAUCUCAGCCGUCAAUAUCUAAAAUUAACGACCGUGAUAAUUUAAUCUAUGUGGAUCAACGUGAUGGCUUUUUUGACUUCUGUCAUAAGUAUAUAAUAGAUAGCCAUAAGUAUAAUGACAUAACGUGUAAUAACAGUCCAUAAUGCAAUAAAUAUUGAUAUAAAAGCAUGAUGCAAAAUGGAAACUAGCAAGAUGUAAAUGAAAUUCAAUAAUUUGGAAAAGAGACUUAAUAUAAUGGAAAAGAGACCCCGGGGACCAUAUGUUUCACUAGUGGCUUCUCUCAAGAUAGCAUGUAUUAUGGUGGGUGAACAAAUUACUGCCGAACAAUUUUUAGAAAAGCGCAUAGUUAUGAUGAUAUCUAAGGCAAUGAUCAUGAACAUAGACAUCACGUCCGUGUCAAGUAGACCGACUCUUGCCUGCAUCUACUACUACUACUCUACACAUCGACCGCUAUCCAGCAUGCAUCUAGAGUAUUAAGUUCACAAGAACAGAGUAACGCAUUAAGCAAGAUGACAUGAUGUAGAGGAAUUAACUCAAGCAAUAUGAUGAAAACCUCAUCUUUUUAUCCUCGAUGACAACAAUGCAAUACAUGCCUUGCUGCCCCUACUGUCACUGGGAAAGGACACCGCAAGAUUGAAUCCAAAGCUAAGUACUCCUCCCAUGGCAAGAAAGAUCAAUCUAGUAGGCCAAACUAAACCGAUAAUUCGAAGAGACUUGCAAAGAUAUCAAAUCAUGCAUAUAUGAAUUCAGAGAAGAACCAAAUAAUAUUCAUAAAUAAUCUGAUCAUAAAUCCACAGUUCAUCGGAUCUCGGCAAACACACCGCGAAAGAAUAUUACAUCGAAUAGAUCUCCAAGAACAUCGAGAGAACAUUUUAUUGAGAAUCAAAGAGAGAGAAGAAGCCAUCUAGCUAAUAACUAUGGACCGGAAGGUAUAUGGUAAACUACUCACACUUCAUCGGAGAGGUAAUGGUGUUGAUGUAGGAGCCCUACGUGAUCGAAUCCCCCUCCGGCGGAUCGCCGGAAAAGGCCCCAAGAUGGGAUCUCACGGAUACAGAAGGUUGCGGCGGUGGAAAAGUGGUUUCAUGGCUCCCCCUGAUGUUUUUAGGGUAUAAGAGUAUAUAUAGGUGAAAAAACUAGGUCGAUGGAGCUACGAGGGGCCCACGAGGGUGGGCGGCGCGCCUACCCCCUAGGCACGCCCUCCUGCCUUGUUGCCUCCUCACUACGUUUCCGACUUCAUCUCCAAGUCUUCUGGUUUGCUUUCGGUCCAAGAAAGAUCAUCGCGAAGGUUUCAUUCCGUUUGGACUCCAUUUGGUAUUCCUUUUCUGCAAAACUCUAAGAUAGGCAAAAAAACAGAAACUAGCACCGGGCCUUCGGUUAAUAGGUUAGUCCCAAAAAUAAUACUCCCUCCAUUCCUAAAUAUAGGGUGUAUAGUUUUUGGCACGGAAAUUAAAGAACGCACAUGAAGGGAAAAUUUCACAAGUUUUGGGCGAGGUUACACCUAACUAAUUGACAUGAGAAAUAGAGGAGCUUGCCUAAUAUAAGAAAAUGUAAUCAAAUCCCUAAGAACAUUAUCUAGACGAGUGGUGCAAUGCAAUACACCUUAUAUUUCGGAUUUUUUCUCAAAAACCUAUACACCUUACAUCAAGGAACGGAGGGAGUAUAAAAGAGCAUAUUAAAGCCCAUUAAACAUCUAAAGAAGAUAAUAUAAUAGCAUGGAACAAACAAAAAUUAUAGAUACGUUGGAGACGUAUCAAGCAUCCCCAAGCUUAAUUCCUGCUUGUCCUCGAGUAGGUAAAUGAUAAAAACAGAAUUUUUGAUGUGGAAUGCUACCUAACAUAUUAAUCAAUGUAAUCUCUCUUUAUUGUGGCAUGUGUUCAGAUCCGAAAGAUUCAAGACAAAAGUUUAAUAUUGACAUAAAAACAAUAAUUCUUCAAGCAUACUAACAAAGCAAUCAUGUCUUCUCAAAAUGACAUGGCCAAAGAAAGUUAUCCCUACAAAAUCAUAUAGUCUGGUUAUGCUCUAUCUUCAUCACACAAAGUAUUUAAUCAUGCACAACCCCGAUGACAAGCCAAGCAAUUGUUUCAUACUUUUGAUGUGCUCAAACUUUUUCAAUCUUCACGCAAUACAUGAGCGUGAGCCAUGAACAUAGCACUAUAGGUGGAAUAGAAUGGUGGUUGUGGAGAAGACAAAAAGGAGAAGAUAGUCUCACAUCAACUAGGUGUAUCAACGGGCUAUGGAGAUGCCCAUCAAUAGAUGUCAAUGUGAGUGAGUAGGGAUUGCCAUGCAAUGGAUGCACUAGAGCUAUAAGUGUAUGAAAGCUCAAAAAUAAACUAAGUGGGUGUGCAUCAACUUGCUUGCUCACGAAGACCUAGGGCACUUUUGAGGAAGCCCAUCAUUGGAAUAUACAAGCCAAGUUCUAUAAUGAAAAUUUUCCACUAGUAUAUGAAAGUGACAACAUAGGAGACUCUCUAUCAUGAAGAUCAUGGUGUUACUUUGAAGCACAAGUGUGGAAAAAGGAUAGUAGCAUUGCCCCUUCUCUCUUUUUCUCUCUUUUUUUUAUUUGGGCCUUUUUAUGGCCUCUUUUUUUCGUCCGGAGUCUCAUCCCGACUUGUGGGGGAAUCAUAGUCUCCAUCAUCCUUUCCUCACUGGGACAAUGCACUAAUAAUGAAGAUCAUCACACUUUUAUUUACUUACAACUCAAGAAUUACAACUCGAUACUUAGAAUAAAAUAUGACUCUAUGUGAAUGCCUCCGGUGGUGUACCGGGAUGUGCAAUGAUUCAAGAGUGACAUGUAUGAAAAAUUAUGAACGGUGCCUUUGCCACAAAUACGAUGUCAACUACAUGAUCAUGCAAAGCAAUAUGACAAUGAUGGAGCGUGUCAUAAUAAACGGAACGGUGGAAAGUUGCAUGGUAAUAUUAUCUCGGAAUGGCUAUGGAAAUGCCAUAAUAGGUAGGUAUGGUGGCUGUUUUGAGAAAGGUAUAUGGUGGGUGUAUGGUACCGGCAAAGGUUGUGCGGUACUAGAGAGGCUAGCAAUGGUGGAAGGGUGAGAGUGUGUAUAAUCCAUGGACUCAACAUUAGUCAUAAAGAACUCACAUACUUAUUGCAAAAAUCUAUUAGUUAUCGAAACAAAGUACUACGUGCAUGCUCCUAGGGGGAUAGAUUGGUAGGAAAAGUCCAUCGCUCGUCCCCGACCGCCACUCAUAAGGAAGACAAUCAAUAAAUAAAUCAUGCUCCAACUUCAUCACAUAACGGUUCACCAUACGUGCAUGCUACGGGAAUCACAAACUUUAACACGAGUAUCUCUCAAAUUCACAACUACUCUACUAGCAUGACUCUAAUAUUACCAUCUUCAUAUCUCAAAACAAUCAUAAAGAAUCAAACUUCUCAUAGUAUUCAACGCACUUUAUAUGAAAGUUUUUAUUAUACCCAUGUUGGAUGCCCAUCAUAUUAGGACUAAUUUUAUAACCAAAGAAAAUUACCAUGUUGUUCUAAAAGACUCUCAAAAUAAUAUAAGUGAAGCAUGAGAGAUUAAAAAUUUCUAUAAAAUAAAACCGCAGACGAUAUAAGUGAAGCACUAGAGCAAUAUUGUCUAGCUAAAAAGGUAUAAGUGAAGCACAUAGAGUAUUCUAAUAAAUCACGAAUCAUGUGUGACUCUCCCAAAAGGUGUGUACAGCAAGAAUGAAUGUGGUAAACUAAAAAGCAAAGACUCAAAUCAUACAAGACGCUCCAAGCAAAACACAUAUCAUGUGGUGAAUAAAAAUAUAGCCUCAAGUAAAGUUACCGAUAGACGAAGACGAAAGAGGGGAUGCCUUCCGGGGCAUCCCCAAGCUUAGGAUUUUGGUUGUCCUUGAAUUUUACCUUGGGGUGCCUUGGGCAUCCCCAAUCUUAGGCUCUUGCCACUCCUUAUUCCAAAAUCCAUCAAAUCUUUACCCAAAACUUGAAAACUUCACAACACAAAACUUCAACAGAAAAUCUCAUGAGCUCCGUUAGUAUAAGAAAAUAAACCACCACUUUAAAGUACUGUAAUGAACUCAUUAUUUAUUUAUAUUGGUGUUAAACCUACUGUAUUACAACUUCUCUAUGGUUCAUACCCCCCGAUACUACUCAUAGAUUCAUCAAAAUAAGCAAACAACACAUGAAAAACAGAAUCUUCCAAAAACAGAAUAGUCUGUGGUAAUCUGUAACUUUCGAAUAUUAUGUAACUACAAAAAUUCUGAUAUAAAUUGUUGGGCAUGAGUAACUUGUCUAUUAAUCUUCUUCAAAAUGAAAUUAACCUAAAAUCACUCUUCUGUAAAAAAUGACAACUAUUCUCGUGAGCGCAAAAGUUUCUGUUUUUUACAGCAAGAUCGCAAAGACUUCACCCAAGUCUUCCCAAAGGUUCUACUUGGCACAAACACUCAUAAAACAUAAAACCACAUCUAAACAGAAGCUAGAUGAAUUAUUUAUUACUAAAUAGGAGCAAAAAUUAAAGAACAAAAAUAUAAUUGGGUUGCCUCCCAACAAGUGCUAUCGUUUAACGCCCCUAGCUAGGCAUAAAAACAAGAAUAGAUCUAGGUAUUGCCAUCUUUGGUAUGCGAUCAAUAAGUGGAUCUCAUAAUAGAUUCAUAAGGCAAUUUAAUUUUCUUCCUAGGAAAGUGUUCAAUGCCCUUCCUUAACGGAAAUUGGAAUCUAAUGUUUCCUUCUUUCAUAUCAAUAAUUGCACCGAUCGUUCUAAGGAAAGGUCUACCAAGAAUAAUAGGACAUGUAGGAUUGCAAUCUAUAUCAAGAACAAUGAAAUCUACGGGCACAUAAUUCCUAUUUGCAACAAUAAGAAUAUCAUUAAUCCUUCCCAUAGGUUUCUUAAUGGUGGAAUCCGCAAGAUGCAAAUAUAAAGAACAAUCAUCAUAUUCAUGGAAACCUAGCACAUCACACAAAGUUUUUGGAAUCAUGGAAACACUAGCACCCAAAUCACACAAAGCAUAGCAUUUAUAAUCUUUAAUCUUAAUCCUAAUAGUAGGUUCCCACUCAUCAUAAAGUUUUCUAGGGAUAGAAACUUCUAGUUCAAGCUUUUCUUCAAAAGAUUGCAUCAAAGCAUCAAUGAUUUGUUUAGUAAAAGCUUUAUUUUGAUUAUAAGACUGAGGAGAAUUUAAUACGGAUUGAAACAAGAAAAUACAAUCAAUCAAAGAGCAAUUAUCAUAAUUAAAUUCCUUGAAAUCCAAAAUAGUGGGUUCAUUACUACUUAAAGUUUUGACCUCUUCAGUCCCACUUUUAUCAAUUUUUGCAUCUAGAUCUAAAAACUCCAAAUCAUUGGGAUGCCUUUUAACUAAAGUUGACUCAUCUCCAGUCCCAUCUUUAUCAUGAUUCAUAUUGUAAAACAAAGAUUUAAUAGGAGUAACAUCAACUUUUAGAUCUUCAUCAUUGUUAUCAUGAAAACUAGAAGAACACACUUUUACAAACCAAUCUUUUUUAGCACGCAUCUUAGCGGUUCUUUCUUUGCACUCAUCAAUGGAAAUUCUCAUGGCUUUGAGAGACUCAUUUAUAUCAUGCUUAUGGGUAAUAGAUAUAAGUUUCAACGAAUCAACAUCAAGAGAAAUUCUAUCCACGUUCCUAACCAACUCAUCAAUCUUAAGCAAUUUUUCUUCAAUCAAAGCAUUGAAAUUCUUUUGCGAACUCAUAAAUUCUUUAACACUAUUCUCAAAAUCAGAGGGCAUCUUAUUAAAAUUUACAUAAGAUUUGUUGUAGGAACUACCAUAAUUAUUAGAGGAAUUACUAGGAAACGACCUAGGAUUAAAAUUUGCUCUAUACGCUUUGUUACCAAAAUUGUUCCUACCAACAAAAUUCACAUCCAUAGAUUCAUUAUUAUUCUCAAUCAAAGUGGACAAAGGGAUAUCAUUAGGAUCAGAAGAAACACUUUUAUUAGCAAACAAUUUCAUAAGUUCAUCCAUCUUUCCACUCAAAACAUUAAUUUCUUCAAUCGGAUGAACUUUUUUACUAGUGGAUCUUUCGGUGUGCCAUUGAGAACAAUAAACCAUAAAGAGCUUAGUAGCUUCUCCUAAAGUGAUUUCCAUAAAAGUGCCUCCCACGGCCAAAUUUAAAAGAUUUCUAGAAGCAAAAUUCAAUCUGGCAUAAAUUUUUUGUAUAAUCAUCCACAAAAUCAAACAAUGUGUAGAGAAAUUAUGUAUCAUUAAUUUCAUCCUCUCCCAAGCUUGUGCAACAUGCUCAUGAUCAAGUUGCUUAAAAUUCAUAAUAUCGUUCCUAAGGGAGAUGAUCUUAGUGGGAGGAAAAUACUUAGAGAUAAAAGCAUCUUUGCACUUAUUCCAUGAAUCAAUACUAUUUUUAGGCAAAGAUGAGAACCAAGUUUUAGCAUGAUCCCUAAGCGAAAACGGAAAUAGCUUCAAUUUAAAAAUAUCAAUAUCCACAUCUUUCUUCUUUUGCAAAGCACACAAAUCAACAAAGUUGUUUAGAUGGGAUGCGACAUCUUCACUAGGAAGGCCAGAAAAUUGAUCUUUCAUAACAGGAUUCAACAAAGCGACAUUAAUUUCACAAGAUUCAGCAUUGGUAGUAGGAGCAAUCAGAGUGCUAAUAAAAUCAUUGUUGUUGGUAUUGGAAAAGUCACACACUUUAGUAUUAUCUUGAGCCAUCGUGACAAGCAAUCAAUCCAACACACAAGCACACAAGAAGCAAGCAAAAAUAGACGAAUGGAAGAGGGGCGAAGAAAAGGCAAAGGUUUUCGAAAAUCGUUUUAGAAGUGGGGGAGAGGAAAACAAGAGGGGAAUGGCGAAUAAUGUAAUGCAAGGGAGAAGAGUUUAUGAUGGGUACUUGGUAUGGCUUGACUUGACGAAGAUCUCCCCAGCAACGGCGCCAGAAAUCCUUCUUGCUACCUCUUGAGCUUGUGUUGGUUCCCUUAAAGAGGAAAGGGUGAUGUAGCAAAGUAGCAUAAGUAUUUCCCUCAGUUUUGAGAACCAAGGUAUCAAUCCAAUAGGAGAUGACGCACAAGUCAUCGAAUACCUACACAAACAAUCAAAAACUUGCAACCAAUGCGAUAAAGGGGUUGUCAAUCCCUUCACGGUCACUCGCAAAAGUGAAAUCUGAAAUCUGAUAUAGAUAGAUAAAGGGUAAAGUAAAUAUUUUUGGUACUUUUGGUUUAUAGAUUGGAAACUAGCAAGAUGUAAAUGAGAUUCAAUAAUAUGGAAAGAGACUUAAUAUAAUGGAAAAGAGACUCGAGGGCCAUAGGUUUCACUAGUGGCUUCUCUCGAGAUAGCAUGUAUUAUGGUGGGCGAACAAAUUACCGCCGAACAAUUGAUAGAAAAUCGCAUAGUUAUGAUGAUAUCUAAGGCAAUGAUCAUGAACAUAGGCAUCACGUCCGUGUCAAGUAGACCGACUCGUGCCUGCAUUACUACUAUUAAUCCACACAUCGACCACUAUCCAGCAUGCAUCUAGAGUAUUAAGUUCAUAAGAACGGAGUAACGCAUUAAGCAAGAUGACAUGAUGUAGAGGAAUUAACUCAAGCAAUAUGAUGAAAACCCCAUCUUUUUAUCCUCGAUGGCAACAAUACAAUUCGUGCCUUGCUGCCCUACUGUCACUGGGAAAGGACACCGCAAGAUUGAACCCAAAGCUAAGCAAUUCUCCCAUGGCAAGAAAGAUCAAUCUAGUAGGCUAAACUAAACCGAUAAUUCGAAGAGACUUGCAAAGAUAUCAAAUCAUGCAUAUAAGAAUUUAGAGAAGAACCAAAUAAUAUUCAUAGAUAGUCUUGAUCAUAAAUACACAAUUCAUCAGAUCUCGGCAAACACACCGCAAAAUAAUAUUACAUCAAAUAGAUCUCCAAGGACAUCGAGGAGAACUUUGGAUUGAGAAUCAAAGAGAGAGAAGAAGCCAUCUAGCUAAUAACUAUGGACCUGAAGGUCUGUGGUAAACUACUCACGCUUCAUCAGAGAGGUAAUGGUGUUGAUGUAGAAGCCCUCCAUGACCGAAUCCCCCUCCGGCAGAUCGCCGGAAAGGCCCCAAGAUGGGAUCUCAUGGGUACAGAAGGUUGGGGUGGUGGAAAACUGGUUUUGUGGUUCCCCCUGAUGGUUUGAUGGUAUACGAGUAUAUAUAGGCGAAAGAACUAGGUCGGUGGAGCUACGAGGGGCCUACGAGGGUGGGGGCGCGCCUAUCCCCCUGGGCGCGCCCUCCUGACUUGUGGCCUCCUUGUUACGUCUCCGACUUCAUCUCCAAGUCUUCUAGUUUGCUUUCGAUCCAAGAAAGAUCAUCGUGAAGGUUUCAUUCCGUUUGGACUCUGUUUGGUAUUCCUUUUCCGCAAAACUCUAAAAUAGGCAAAAACAGAAACUGGCACUCGGCCUUCGGUUAAUAGGUUUGUCCCAAAAUUAAUAUAAAAGAGCAUAUUAAAGCCCAUUAAACAUCCAAAACGGAUAAUAUAAUAGCAUGGAACAAUAAAAAAUUAUAGAUACUUUGGAGACAUACUAGCAAUCUCUUAAGGAAAGGCACAUUCGCAAUGACCAUAACGUGGAAGAGCUGGCAUGAUCUCUUCCCAAUUGAUGUCUUGUUGCGGGGCCAGCAAGACACAUAAAUCCAUCGGAGAUUCAUCGAGGUGAUGUGGAGGCUAAUGAACCCGUGGAUCUGCCAAAGAAAAAGGUACUCAAGCAUAGUACAACUGCGGAGCAGGUGCUCCAUAGCCUUCUUUGAUAUGCCAACGUCGAAGAGGUCGAGCUGCUUGAGUUGAGGGAGAAGAAGAGCGGGCGCGGCAUUAAUCUGGGGAAAAUAGCAGGAGUUGAAGCUGGUGCGACGCAGCGUUGGCGUGAGGCGGAGCGCGGACGGCGGCAGAGAGCGACAUUGUCUAGCUUCAAACUUGAGCUCCUCGAGCUGAUCUAGGGCGGGGGAUAAGAACCACUCGUCGAACUUGGCUUGGACCUUGCAGUUGGUACUGAACAUGCGGAUGUCAAGGCGUCUGGCUGGCCCGGGGUGCGAUAAAAGGAUCUUGGAUACUGCGGCCAUGCGUUUGCAAUCCCCGUCAUGGAGGCAGCUGUCGACGGUGAGGUUGAGGGGGAUGCGGUAGCAGAGGGGGCGCCACCACCGGGAGAGCAUGGUGGUCCGCAUGACAGAUUUGGUGGGGAGGAGGCCGAUGAUGACAAGCAGCAUGUUGUCGGGGAGGCUGCUGAUGAAGUCCAGGCUCAUCGGAUGCGGUUUUGGCUCGAGCCGCCUCCGCUUGUUGGUUGCCUCGCCGUCCAUCUCGGCCGGAGGCGACGCUAGUGUACACGUGUGCUCAUGUGUAUUUUGUGUUGGGUGUGCGCGAGUGCGCUCUUGUGUGCAUGCCGCCGUGCACUAGUGAAGUGUGUGUGAGUGCGUCCUUCAAGCGGAAGAAGUGUGCCCUCAAUUUACUAGCAUGCGGAGUGGUACCGCGAGUGGUUUCAACUUUGCUUACUUCACUGCGUGUCAGAUGGGCCUCUGGUUUACUUAUUUUCACCCACUGCCACAUGGGCCAGCACACGAAGAUAGAGAACAUGAGCUGAGAAGGCAGCAUGUGGACUAGUUGACUGGUCAACUAAACAAUAUACGGAGCUAUACGCUAACACAAUGACCGUAUAAUCCCUCGGUAUAGAGAGUUCGGGUGAGAGGGAGGCCCGUGAGAGAUAGUAGAGAGAGAGAAAGAGCCACUCCCUCCGUUCGAUAAUGUAGUGCCUAUAUUAAGUCAAACGUUUGAAACUUUGACCAAGUUUAUAAACAAAUUACUUAUAUCUACAAUACCAAAGAUAAAUGAUAGUAUGAAGUAAGUACAUUUUGUGAUGAAUCUAAUGAUCAUUCCAGAUGUAAAUGUUUUUCUCCACAUAUACCUAGUCAAGCUUUUCUGAGGUUUGACUUUUCAAUAUAUACAUAUGUUUUGUGGACGUGAGAGAGUACCUAACUAGAGAGAGAGAGAGUGUGUGAAAUAGAAAGAGUGAGUGAAGCAAGUGUGUGUGCAUGUGUGAAAGAGACAUGGAAAACACAUGAUAAAGUAGAGAAAAAGCAUGGGUGUCUUAUGCAAACAUAUCACACAUGCAUCUUCGACAGCGGAAGCGAGGUGAGGAGAUAGUGUGUGGUUGUUUGCAACUGAGAGAGAAAGACCCCUAGCACGUGGCCAAGAGAGGUCUGUCAAACAAGGGAGAGAGGUCGAGAGAGACGUAUGGAGAAAAUGCAGACAUGGGGAGGAGAGAGUGUAUGUUUGUGACAGAGAGAUCCCCUGGAGCUCGUGAUGGCACUACAUGGGUGGGAGAUCGAGUGACAAGGUGUGUGCGUGAUAGAAGAUACCUCAAGAUAUAUUGAUAUAAAUGUAUGGAUGGAAGAAGACAAUAUGUGUGUUCCUGAUGGCUAGUGAGAGAUAGUCAUACUUAGGGGGGGUGCCUAUGAUGGAGUGAGUUAUUAUCGUACUUAGGGGGGGGUGUGUCACAUACAGAGAGAACAAGGGUACAAAGUGUUAGAUGGGUCUAUGUAGCACGAGUGAGAUAUGUGUAUGUGUGAACCAAGGAUAUAUAAAGUUUGAGAGAGAUAGAGGAGCCCUGGUACGGCUGAGUGAUUGAUAACCCACAAGUAUAGGGGAUCGCAAUAGUUUUCGAGGGUAGAGUAUUCAACCCAAAUUUAUAGAUUCGACACAAGGGGAGACAAAGAAUAUCUGAAGGUAUUAGUAGCUGAGUUGUCAAUUCAACCAUACCUGGAGAUUAAUUAUCUGCAGCAAAGUGAUUAGUAGCACAGUAAUAUGAUGGUUUUGAUGAUAGUAGCAGCAGCAAUAGUAACGGUAACAGUGAUUUUGUAGCAGUAAUGAUAGCAGUAGCAACAGUAGUAACUUAGCAAGAACAAUAUAAGGUAAAUUCGUGGGCAUUGGAUCGGUGACUCGUUGGAUGAUAUUCAUCAUGAGAAAAUUAUGACCUAGGGCGAGGGCGAUACGGCACUAGCUCCAGUUCAUAGAUAUAAUGUAGGCAUGUAUUCCGUAAAUAGUCAUACAUGCUUAUGGAAAGAACUUGCAUGACAUCUUUUGUCCUACCCUCCCAUGGGAGUGGGGUCCUAUUGGAAACUAAGGGAUAUUAAGGCCACCUUUUAAUAGAGAACAGGAACAAAGCAUUAACACACGAUGGAUACCAAACUCCUCAAACUACGGUCAUCACCGAGAGUGGUCCCGACUAUUGUCACUUCGGGGUUGUCGGAUCAUAAUGCGUGGUAGGUGACUACAACUUGCAAGAUCUCAUCUAGAACAUGGAUAUAAUGGUGAUAACAUAAACGGUUCAGAUCUGAAAUCAUGGCACCCGGGCCCAAAGUGACAAGCAUUAAGCAUGGCAAAGUCAUAGCAAUAUCAAUCUCAGAACAUAGUGGAUACUAGGGAACAUGCCCUAACAAAACUAACUCAAUUACAUGAUGAAUUUCAUCCAACUCCUCAUCGACCAGCGAGCCUACGAAGGAAUUACUCACUCCUGGUGGGGAGCAUCAUGGAAUUGGCGAUGGAGAUGUGCUGGUGAUGACGAAGAUCAAAGAUCCCCCUCCCUGGAGCCCCAAACGGACUCCAGAUCUGGCCUCCUGAUGAAGAACAGGAGACGGCGGCGGCUCUAUCUCGUGAAACGCGAUAAUUCUUUCUCCCUAAUUUUUUCUGGAAAUAUGUCAUUUUAUAGCGCCAGUUUCAGGGUCAUCGGGGCCACCAGGUGGGGACAACCCACGGGGCGUGCCUGAGGGGCAGGCGCGUCCUGGUGGGUUGUGCCCACCCAGGUGCCCCCCUCAGGUGGCGCUUGGCUCUAGAAUUUCUCUUUAUUGAUAUAAAAAAAUCCUCACAAAGUUUCGCUCCAUUCCGAGAACUUUUAUUUCUGCACAAAAACAACACCAUGGUAGUUCUGCUGAAAACAACGUUAGUCCGGGGUUAGUUUCAUUCAAAUCAUACAAAUUAGAGUCCAAAACAAGAGGAAAAGUGUUAGGAAAAGUAGAUACGAUGAAGACGUAUCAACUUCCCUAAGCUUAAACCUUUGCUUGUCCUGAAGCAAUUCAGUUGAUAAACUGAAAGUGAAAAAUAAAAACUUUUACGAACUCUUUUGCUCUUGUUUCAUAAAUAAGCUUAAACAACACCCAGGUUUUCAGCAAAGAUUAUAACUAACCAUGUUGACAAUAACUCUUAAAAAUUAUAUUAACUCAUAUCAAUGACAUAAUCAACUAGAGAGCAAUAAUAAGAUAUCUCAAACAGCAACACGUUGUCAAAACAAUCAUGAUACAAUAUGACAAUAGUGGUAUCUCGCUAGCCCCUUCUGAGACCGCAAAACAUAAAUGCAGAGCACCUCUAAAGUUCAAGUAGCAACUAAACAUUGUAAUUCAUGGUUGAAAAGAUCCAAUCAUGAUGCACCCAACAUUAGCUACACACAAUGCAUCAGCAUGACAUCAGUGCUCUCAGGUUCUAGCGCUUAUUUGAGAAGGUGAUGACACAACAUAAAAGUAAAUAGAUAGUCCCUUCGCAGAGGGAAGCAGUGAUUUGCAGAGGUGCCAGAGCUCAAGUUUUUAAAAUAGAGGUAAAUGAAAUUUUGAGAUAUGCACCCUUCUCAUUUACUUCACGACCAUCAAUUAUCAAUAUCUCCCAUGCUAAGAACGCUAGUGGCGGUUCCCAAGCGGAAAGGUAAAGGUUAUGACUCCAUUGGGAGUUUUUGUUUGAUUAUUUGAGAGAUCAAUUCUUUUUGCAAUUUGGGACUGGGCAUCCCUAUUACCACCCUUUUCUCGUGCGAUGGCGAGUGAGUAAACACUCAACCUGAGAAUAACCCACUAAGCAUGGAAGAUACCGACUACCUCCUGUCGUUCCAUGAAUGAUCCAGGCACACAAAAAGGAUAUUUAUCUGAUUUUUUUAGAGAUGGCACAUGCAAAUUUACUUAGGAUGACAGGGUAAUACCACAUAUAGGUAGGUAUGGUGGACUCAUCUGGAAUAACUUGGGUUUCAGGUUUUUGAUGUACAAGUAGAGUUCCCACUUAGUACAGGCGAAGGCUAGCAAAUAGGUUGAGAAGCGGCCAGCUAGAGAGCAACAACGGUCAUGAACAUGCAUUAUGCAUAAGUAACAUUGGAUACUAGCAUGAGUAGGAUAUGAACACCAUGAACAUAAAUAUCAUAGAGGCUAUGUUGGUUUUGAUUCAACUACAUGCAUGGGCAUGUGCCAAGUCAAGACACUCGAACAUUCAAAGGAGGAUACCAUAUCAUCAUACUACAUCACAAUCAUUUUAAUGCAGUAUUGAUAUCCAAGAUAAGUCAUUAUUCACUCCUAGCUACUUAUGCAUGGCAUGAGAAACUAUAAUCUCUAAUUGUCAUUGCAAACAUGUUUGAUCAUAAUAGGCUGAAUCAUGGAUACUAGAUUAAACAUAGUUACAAAAACAGAACAAGUCGAGUUCAUACCCGUUUCUCUCCGCCAUGACCAGUUCAUCUAAUAUCGUCAUUAUUGUCUUUCACUUGCACAACCGAACAAUUUGAAAAUAAUAAUAGUGCAAGAGUGUCGUGGACUAAGCUAGAAUCUGCAAACAUUUUAUUCAAAAGGAGAAGACAAGGUAAUAUGGGCUUUUUGUUAGAUCAACAAUAAUGCAACUGAAAGCCGCACAACAUUUUCAUCGUGGUCUUCUCCUUGAUAUGACUCAAUGAAAAAAAAGAAAUUCAGAGAAACACACUGAAAUAUUUUUGGAGUUUUUGUUUUUUAUACACAAGCAAAUGAAAAGAGAAAAGCAAAAAUGAGAAAAACUAUUUACACGGGAAAGCUCCCAACAAGUAAAAGAAGAACAAGGAAAUCUUUUUGGGAUUUCUUUUUAGUGCUACAACAAUUUAAACUAGAAAGUAAAAUAAAAAAUAAGCAAGAAACAUAUUUGUAGAUUUUUCUCAAAGUUUUUCAAACACACAAGAAGAAAGCGAGAAAAUAAAUUAAACACAGGUGAUACAAUGAAAAAGUGUGGACACCGAAAACUGGAAUGAAAUGUGUGAACAUGAAUGUAAUGUCGGUGGGAAUACAUACUCCCCCAAGCUUAGGCUUUGGCCUGGUAAUCAGUCAGUAGCCUAUGUAAUGGUCGGAGUGGUAGCUCACGGAGGCUCUUGGUGCAGAUGCCUUAGCCCGCCGUGCAGCCACAACCGCUGUGUUAUGAGCUCGGGCCUCGCUCUCAAGAACAUAGUAUCUUCCCCUGUUAUGAACAUCAAAGAGAGCAGGUGCAGGCAAAUAUGUGUCUACCCACAUAUUCCUUGUUAGACGCUAAAUUAUAAGUGAAAUUAUGGGGAUCAACCCUCAGAAUCUUAUGAUGUUUCAUAGCAUCAAAGUCUAGGUAUUGCGUGGGUAGAAUAGGAUAAUAGGGCAAAGGUGAAACACCCAACCCUCUUGCUAAGCGUGUGGCAUAAAUUCCACCAUAAAAAUAUCCACUGCCAGCAUUGUGCUCUAACCUACGUGCAACAAUCGCUCCAAGAUUAUAACUGAUACAUCUCCAACGUAUCUAUAAUUUUUUAUUCUUCCAUGCUAUUUUAUUAUCAAUCUUGGAUGUUUUAUAAUCAUUAUAUAGUCAUUUUAUAUCAUUUUUUGGUACUAACCUAUUGACAUAGUGCCAAGUGCCAGUUGUUGUUUUCUGCAUGUUUUUUACAUCACAGGAAAUCAAUAUCAUAAGGAGUCCAAAUGCCACUCCAAUUUAUGAUGAUUUUUUAUGGGUCAGAAGGAACACAAUGGGCCCUGGUUGCACCUAGGGGGAGUCCCGAGGAGGGGAUAACCCACCAGGGCGCGCCAGGAGGCCCAGGCACGCCCAGGUGGGUUGUGCCCACCUCAGGUGCCCCCUGGACCGACUCUUUGCUCUAUAAAUACCCCAAUAUUCAAGAAAACCAAGAGGAGUCGAUGAAAUUUUCAUCCAGCCGCCGCAGAGUCCAGAACCACGAAAUCCAAUCAAGACACCAUCACGGAGGGGUUCACCACUUCCAUUGGUGCCUCUUCGGUGAUGCGUGAGUAAUUCUUUGUAGACCUUCCGGUCCGUAGUUAGUAGCUAGAUGGCUUCCUCUCUCUCUCUCUUGAUUAUCAAUACAAUGGUCUCUUGGAGAUCGAUAUGAUGUAAGUCUUUUUGCGGUGUGUUUGUUGGGAUAUGAUGAACUUAGAGUUUAUGAUCACUUAUAUAUUUUUAUAUCCAUGAAAGUUAUUUGAGUUCUUUGAUCUCUUAUAUGCAUGAUCUCUUAUAGCCUCGUAUUUCUUCUCCGAUAUUUGGGUUUUGUUUGGCCAACUUGAUCUAUUUAUCUUACAAUGGGAAGAGGUGCCCGGUAGUGGGUUCGAUCUUACGGUGCUUGUGAAGGAAAUAUGCCCUAGAGGCAAUAAUAAAGUUAUUAUUUAUUUCCUCAUAUCAUGAUAAAUGUUUAUUAUUCAUGCUAGAAUUGUAUUAACUGGAAACAAUGAUACAUGUGUGAAUACAUAGACAAACAUAUAGUCACUAGUAUGCCUCUACUUGACUAGCUCGUUUAUCAAAGAUGGUUAUGUUUCCUAGCCAUGGACAAAAGAGUUGUCAUUUGAUUAACGGGAUCACAUCAUUAGGAGAAUGAUGUGAUUGACAUGACCCAUUCCGUUAGCCUAGCACUUGAUCGUUUAGUAUGUUGCUAUUGCUUUCUUCAUAACUUAUACAUGUUCCUAUAACUAUGAGAUUAUGCAGCUCCCGUUUACCGGAGGAACACUUUGUGUGCUACCAAACGUCACAACGUAACUGGGUGAUUAUAAAGGUGCUCUACAGGUGUCUCCAAAGGUACAUGUUGAGUUGGCAUAAUUCGAGAUUAGGUUUUGUCACUCCGAUUGUCGAAGAGGUAUCUCUGGGCCCUCUGGGUAAUACACAUCACAUAAGCCUUGCAAGCAUUGUAACUAAUGAGCUAGUUAUGAAAUUAUGUAUUACGGAAUGAGUAAAGAGAUUUGCCAGUAACGAGAUUGAACUAGGUAUUGGCUACCAAUGAUCGAAUCUCGGGCAAGUAACAUACCGAUGACAAAGGGAACAACGUAUGUUGUUAUGCGGAUUGACCGAUAAAGAUCUUCGUAGAAUAUGUAGGAACCAAUAUGGGCAUCCAGGUUCCGCUAUUGGUUAUUGACCGAGAAUAGUUCUAGGUCAUGUCUACAUAGUUCUCGAACCCGUAGGGUCUGCACGCUUAACGUUACGAUGACAGUUUUAUUAUGAGUUUAUAAGUUUUGAUGUACCGAAGUUUGUUCAGAGUCCGGGAUGUGAUCACGGACAUGACGAGGAGUCUCGAAAUGGUCGAGACAUAAAGAUUGAUAUAUUGGACGGAUAUAUUUGGAUACCAGAAAGGUUCCGGAUGAGAUUGGGAAUAUACCAGAGCUCCGAGAGGUUACCGGAACCCCCCGGUAAGUAUAUGGGCCUUAUUGGGCCUUAGUGGAAAGGAGGUAGAAGGGGCAAAGGAGGGGCCCCCCCAAGCCCAAUACGAAUUGGGAGGGGGGCCGGCCCCCCCUUUCCUUCUUCCCUCCCCUCUCUUCCUUCCCUCUCCUACUCCUAAUAGGAAAGAGGGGGCCAAACCUACUUGGAGUAGGAUUGCCCCCCCCUAGGGCGCGCCUCUCCCCUUGGUCGGCCCCCUCCUCCUCUCCCCCUUUAUAUACGGGGGAAGGGGGCACCCCUAGAACACACAAGUUGAUCUACAGAUCGUUCCUUAGCCGUGUGCGGUGCCCCCCUCCACCAUAUUCCACCUCGAUCAUAUCGUCGCGGAGUUUAGGCGAAGCCCUGCGCCGGAAGAACAUCAUCAUCGUCACCACGCCGUCGUGCUGACGGAACUCAUCCCCGACGCUUUGCUGGAUUGGAGCCCGGGGAACGUCAUCGAGCUGAACGUGUGCUGAACACGGAGGUGCUGUACGUUCGGUACUUGGAUCGGUCGGAUCGUGAAGACAUAUGACUACAUCAACCGCGUUGUCAUAACGCUUCCGCUUACGGUCUACGAGGGUACAUGGAAAACACUCUCCCCUCUCGUUGAUAUACCAUCACCAUGAUCUUGCGUGUGCAUAGGAAUUUUUUUGAAAUUACUACGUUCCCCAACAGUGGCAUCCGAGCCUAGGUUUUAUGCGUUGUUGUUAUAUGCACGAGUAGAACACAAGUGAGUUGUGGGCGAUACAAGUCAUACUGCUUACCAGCAAUGUCAUACUUUGGUUCAGCGGUAUUGUUGGAUGAAGCGGCCCGGACCGACAUUACGUGUACGCUUACGCGAGACUGGUUUUACCGCCGUGCUUUUCACACAGGUGACUAGCGGGUGUCUGUUUCUCCAACUUUAGUUGAACCGAGUGUGGCUACGCCCGGUCCUUGCGAAGGUUAAAACAACACUAACUUGACAAACUAUCGUUGUGGUUUUGAUGCGUAGGUAAGAAAGGUUCUUGCUCAGCCCGUAGCAGCCACGUAAAACUUGCAACAACAAAGUAGAGGAUGUCUAACUUGUUUUUGCAGGGCAUUGAUGUGAUGUGAUAUGGUCAAGACGUGAUGCUAUAUUUUAUUGUAUGAGAUGAUCAUGUUUUGUAACCGAAGUUAUCGGCAACUGGCAGGAGCCAUAUGGUUUUCGCUUUAUUGUAUGAAAUGCAAACGCCCUGUAAUUGCUUUACUUUAUCACUAACCGGUAGCGAUAGUUGUAGAAGCAAUAGAUGGCGUAAAUGACAACGAUGCUACGAUGGAGAUCAAGAUGUCGCGCCGGUGACGAUGGUGAUCACGAUGGUGCUUCAGAGAUGGAGAUCACAAGCACAAGAUGAUGAUGGCCAUAUCAUAUCACUUAUAUUGAUUGCAUGUGAUGUUUAUCCUUUAUGCAUCUUAUCUUGCUUUGAUUGACGGUAGCAUUUUAAGAUGAUCUCUCACUAAUUAUCAAGAAGUGUUCUCCCUGAGUAUGCACCAUUGCGAAAGUUCUUCGUGCUGAGACACCACGUGAUGAUCGGGUGUGAUAGGCUCUACGUUAAAAUACAACGGGUGCAAAAUAGUUGCACACGCGGAAUAUCCAGGUUAAACUUGACGAGCCUAGCAUAUACAGAUAUGGCCUCGGAACACGGAGACCGAAAGGUCGAGCGUGAAUCAUAUAGUAGAUAUGAUCAACAUAGUGAUGUUCACCAUUGAAAACUACUCCAUCUCACGUGAUGAUCGGACAUGGUUUAGUUGAUUUGGAUCACGUAAUCACUUAGAUGACUAGAGAGAUGUCUGUCUAAGUGGGAGUUCGUAAGUAAUAUGAUUAAUUGAACUUAAAUUUAUCAUGAACUUAGUACCUGAUAGUAUUUUGCUUGUCUAUGUUUGUUGUAGAUAGAUGGCUCGUGCUGUUGUUCCGUUGAAUUUUAAUGCGUUCCUUGAGAAAGCAAAGUUGAAAGAUGAUGGUAGCAAUUACACGGACUGGGUCCGUAACCUGAGGAUUAUCCUCAUUGUUGCACAGAAGAAUUACGUCCUGGAAGCACAGCUGGGUGCCAGGCCUGCUGCUGAUGCAACUGACGAUGUUAAGAACGUCUGGCAGAGCAAAGCUGAUGACUACUCGAUAGUUCAAUGUGCCAUGCUUUACGGCUUAGAACCGGGUCUUCAACGACAUUUUGAACGUCAUGGAGCAUAUGAGAUGUUCCAGGAGUUGAAGUUAAUAUUUCAAGCAAAUGCCCGGAUUGAGAGAUAUGAAGUCUCCAAUAAGUUCUAUAGCUGCAAGAUGGAGGAGAAUAGUUCUGUCAGUGAACACAUACUCAAAAUGUCUAGGUAUAAUAAUCACUUGAUUCAACUGGGAGUUAAUCUUCCUGAUGAUAGUGUCAUUGACAAAAUUCUUCAAUCACUGCCACCAAGCUACAAGAGCUUCGUGAUGAACUAUAAUAUGCAAGGGAUGGACAAGACUAUUCCCGAGCUCUUCACAAUGCUAAAAGCCGCGGAGGUAGAAAUAAAGAAGGAGCAUCAAGUGUUGAUGGUUAACAAGACCACCAGUUUCAAGAAAAAGGGCAAAGGGAAGAAGAAGGGGAACUUCAAGAAGAACAGCAAACAAGUUGCUGCUCAAGAGAAGAAACCCAAGUCUGGACCUAAGCCUGAGACUAAGUGCUUCUACUGCAAGCAGACUAGACACUGGAAGCGGAACUGCCCCAAGUAUUUGGCGGAUAAGAAGGAUGGCAAAGUGAACAAAGGUAUAUAUGAUAUACAUGUUAUUGAUGUGUACCUUAAUAAUGCUCGCAGUAGUACCUGGGUAUUUGAUACUGGUUCUGUUGCUAAUAUUUGCAACUCGAAACAGGGACUACGGAUUAAGCGAAGAUUAGCUAAGGACGAGGUGACGAUGCGCGUGGGAAAUGGUUCCAAAGUCGAUGUGAUCGCAGUCGGGACGCUACCUCUACAUCUACCAUCGGGAUUAGUUUUAGACCUAAAUAAUUGUUAUUUGGUGCCAGCGUUGAGCAUGAACAUUAUAUCUGGAUCUUGUUUGAUGCGAAACGGUUAUUCAUUUAAAUCAGAGAAUAAUGGUUGUUCUAUUUAUAUGAGUAAUAUCUUUUAUGGUCAUGCACCCUUGAAGAGUGGUCUAUUUUUAUUGAAUCUCGAUAGUAGUGAUACACAUAUUCAUAGUGUUGAAACCAAAAGAUGCAGAGUUGAUAAUGAUAGUGCAACUUAUUUGUGGCACUGCCGUUUAGGUCAUAUCAGUAUAAAGCGCAUGAAGAAACUCCAUACUGAUGGGCUUUUGGAAUCAAUUGAUUAUGAAUCACUUGGUACUUGCGAACAGUGCCUCAUGGGCAAGAUGACUAAAACGCCGUUCUCCGGAACUAUGGAGCGAGCAACUGAUUUGGUGGAAAUCAUACAUACUGAUGUUUGUGGUCCAAUGAAUGUUGAAGCUCGCGGCGGGUAUCGUUAUUUUCUCACCUUCAUAGAUGAUUUGAGCAGAUAUGGGUAUAUCUACUUAAUGAAACACAAGUCUGAGACAUUUGAAAAGUUCAAAGAAUUUCAGAGUGAAGUGGAAAAUCAUCGUAACAAGAAAAUAAAGUUUCUACGAUCUGAUCGUGGAGGAGAAUAUUUGAGUUACGAGUUUGGUUUACAUUUAAAACAAUGCGGAAUAGUUUCGCAACUCACGCCACCCAGAACACCACAACGUAAUGGUGUGUCCGAACGUCGUAAUCAUACUUUACUAGAUCUGGUGCGAUCUAUGAUGUCUCUUACUGAUUUACCGCUAUCCUUCUGGGGUUAUGCUUUAGAGAUGGCCGCAUUCACAUUGAAUAGGGCACCAUCAAAAUCCGUUGAGACGAUGCCUUAUGAACUGUGGUUUGGCAAGAAACCAAAGUUGUCGUUUCUUAAAGUUUGGGGCUGCGAUGCUUAUGUGAAGAAACUUCAACCAGAUAAGCUCGAACCUAAAUCGGAGUAAUGUGUCUUCAUAGGAUACCCAAAAGAAACUAUUGGGUACUCCUUCUAUCACAGAUCUGAGGGCAAGAUUUUCGUUGCUAAAAUCGGAUCCUUUCUAGAGAAGGAGUUUCUCUCGAAAGAAGUGAGUGGGAGGAAAGUAGAACUUGAUGAGGUAACUGUACCUACUCCCUUAUUGGAAGGUAGCUCAUCACAAGAACCGGUUCCUGUGACAACUACACCAAUUGGUGAGAAAACUAAUGCUAUUGAUCAUGAAACUUCAGAUCAAGUUUCUACUGAACCUCGUAGGUCUACCAGAGUAAGAUCCGCACCAGAGUGGUACGGUAAUCCUAUUCUGGAAGUCAUGUUACUUGACCAUGAUGAACCUACGAACUAUGAGGAAGCGAUGAUGAGCCCAGAUUCCGCAAAAUGGCUAGAGGCCAUGAAAUCUGUGAUGGGAUCCAUGUAUGAGAACAAAGUAUGGACUUUGGUUGACUUGCCCGAUGAUCGGCAAGCCAUUGAGAAUAAAUGGAUCUUUAAGAAGAAGAUUGACGCUGACGGUAAUGUAACUGUCUAUAAAGCUCGACUUGUUGCGAAAGGUUUUCGACAAGUUCAAGGGGUUGACUACGAUGAGACCUUCUCACCAGUAGCGAUGCUUAAGUCUGUACGAAUCAUGUUAGAAAUUGCCGCAUUUUAUGAUUAUGAAAUAUGGCAAAUGGAUGUCAAAACUGCAUUCCUGAAUGGAUUUCUGGAAGAAGAGUUGUAUAUGAUGCAACCGGAAGGUUUUGUCGAUCCUAAGGGAGCUAACAAAGUGUGCAAGCUCCAGCGAUCAAUCUAUGGUCUGGUGCAAGCCUCUCGGAGUUGGAAUAAACGCUUUGAUAGUGUGAUCAAAGCAUAUGGUUUUAUACAGACUUUUGGAGAAGCCUGUAUUUACAAGAAAGUGAGUGGGAGCUCUGUAGCAUUUCUAAUAUUAUAUGUGGACGACAUAUUAUUGAUUGGAAAUGAUAUAGAAUUUCUAGAUAGCAUAAAAGGAUACUUGAAUAAAAGUUUUUCAAUGAAAGACCUCGGUGAAGCUGCUUACAUAUUGGGCAUCAAGAUCUAUAGAGAUAGAUCAAGACGCUUGAUUGGACUUUCACAAUGCACGUACCUUGAUAAAAUGUUGAAAAGGUUCAAUAUGGAUCAGGCAAAGAAAGGGAUCUUGCCUGUAUUACAAGGUAUAAAAUUGAGUAAGACUCAAUGCCCGACCACUGGAAAAGAUAGAGAGAAAAUGAAGGGAGUUCCCUAUGCUUCAGCCAUAGGCUCUAUCAUGUAUGCAAUGCUGUGUACCAGACCUGAUGUGUGCCUUGCUAUUAGUUUGGCAGGGAGGUACCAAAGUAAUCCAUGAGUGGAUCACUGGACAGCGGUCAAGAACAUCCUGAAAUACUUGAAAAGGACUAAGGAUAUGUUUCUCGUUUAUGGAGGUGACAAAGAGCUAGUCGUAAAUGGUUACAUCGAUGCAAGCUUUGACACUGAUCCAGACGAUUCUAAAUCGCAAACCGAAUACGUAUUUUUAUUAAACGGUGGAGCUGUAAGUUGGUGCAGUUCUAAACAAAGCGUCGUGGCGGGAUCUACAUAUGAAGCGGAGUACAUAGCUGCUUCAGAAGCAGCAAAUGAAGGAGUCUGGAUGAAGGAGUUCAUUACCGAUCUAGGUGUUAUACCUAGUGCAUUGGGACCAAUGAAGAUCUUCUGUGACAAUACUGGUGCAAUUGCCUUGGCAAAGGAAUCCAGAUUUCACAAGAGGACCAAGCACAUCAAGAGACGCUUCAAUUCCAUCCGGGACCAAGUCCAAGUGGGAGACAUAGAGAUUUGCAAGAUACAUACGGAUCUGAAUAUUGCAGACCCGUUGACUAAGCCUCUCUCACGAGCAACACAUGAUCAGCACCAAGACUCCAUGGGUGUUAGAAUCAUUACUAUGUAAUCUAGAUUAUUGACUCUAGUGCAAGUGGGAGACUGAAGGAAAUAUGCCCUAGAGGCAAUAAUAAAGUUAUUAUUUAUUUCCUCAUAUCAUGAUAAAUGUUUAUUAUUCAUGCUAGAAUUGUAUUAACCGGAAACAAUGAUACAUGUGUGAAUAUAUAGACAAACAUAUAGUCACUAGUAUGCCUCUACUUGACUAGCUCGUUUAUCAAAGAUGGUUAUGUUUCCUAGCCAUGGACAAAAGAGUUGUCAUUUGAUUAACGGGAUCACAUCAUUAGGAGAAUGAUGUGAUUGACAUGACCCAUUCCGUUAGCCUAGCACUUGAUUGUUUAGUAUGUUGCUAUUGCUUUCUUCAUAACUUAUACAUGUUCCUGUAACUAUGAGAUUAUGCAACUCCCGUUUACCGGAGGAACACUUUGUGUGCUACCAAACGUCACAACGUAACUGGGUGAUUAUAAAGGUGCUCUACAGGUGUCUCCAAAGGUACAUGUUGAGUUGGCAUAAUUCGAGAUUAGGUUUUGUCACUCCGAUUGUCGGAGAGGUAUCUCUGGGCCCUCUCGGUAAUACACAUCACUUAAGCCUUGCAAGCAUUGUAACUAAUGAGCUAGUUACGAAAUGAUGUACUAUGGAACGAGUAAAGAGACUUGCCGGUAACGAGAUUGAACUAGGUAUUGGAUACCGACGAUCGAAUCUCGGGCAAGUAACAUACCGAUGACAAAGGGAACAACAUAUGUUGUUAUGCGGUUUGACCAAUAAAGAUCUUCGUAGAAUAUGUAGGAACCAAUAUGGACAUCCAGGUUCCGCUAUUGGUUAUUGAUCGAGAAUAGUUCUAGGUCAUGUCUACAUAGUUCUCGAACCCGUAGGGUCCGCACGCUUAACGUUAUGAUGACAGUUUUAUUAUGAGUUUAUAAGUUUUGAUGUACCGAAGUUUGUUCGGAGUCCCGAAUGUGAUCACAGACAUGACGAGGAGUCUCGAAAUAGUCGAGACAUAAAGAUUGAUAUAUUGGACAGAUAUAUUUGGAUACCGGAAAGGUUCCGGAUGAGAUUGGGAAUAUACCGGAGCUCCGGGAGGUUACCGGAACCCCCCGGUAAGUAUAUGGGCCUUAUUGGGCCUUAGUGGAAAGGAGGGAGAAGGGGCAAAGGAGGGGGCGCGGCCCCCCAAGCCCAAUCCGAAUUGGGAGGGGGGGCGGCCCCCCCUUUCCUUCUUCCCUCCCCUCUCUUCCUUCCCUCUCCUACUCCUAAUAGGAAGGGGGGGGGGGGCAAACCUACUUGGAGUAGGAUUGCCCCCCCUAGGGCGCGCCUCUCCCCUUGGCCGACUCCCUCCUCCUGUCCCCCUUUAUAUACGGGGGAAGGGGGCACCCCUAGAACACACAAGUUUAUCUACGGAUCGUUCCUUAGCCGUGUGCGGUGCCCCCCUCCACCAUAUUCCACCUCGAUCAUAUCGUCGCGGAGUUUAGGCGAAGCCCUGCGCCGGAAUAACAUCAUCAUCGUCACCACGCCGUCGUACUGACAAAACUCAUCCCCGACGCUUUGCUGGAUUGGAGCCCGGGGAACGUAAUCGAGCUGAACGUGUGCUGAACACGGAGGUGCCGUACGUUCGGUACUUGGAUCGGUCGGAUCAUGAAGACGUACGACUACAUGAACCGCGUUGUCAUAACCCUUCCGCUUACGGUCUACGAGGGUACAUGGACAACACUCUCCCCUCUCGUUGCUAUACCAUCACCAUGAUCUUGCGUGUGCGUAGGAUUUUUUUUGAAAUUAUUACGUUCCCCAACUGCUUGAUCCCAAUGACAGAAAGGGAGCUGACAUGUAUGUAUCAUUGCUACUAAGGAUAAAAAGACGGGAUCCAUCUCUGCCACAAUAGAUAAACGGAUCUUGUCUACAUCAUGUCAUCGCAUUACUCCGUUUUUCCAUGAACUUAAUACACUAGAUGGAUGCUGGAUAGCGGUCGAUGUGUGGAGUAAUAGUAGUUGAUGCAGGCAGGAGUCGGUCUACUAAUCUUGGACGUGAUGCUUACGUAAUGAUCAUUGCCUGGAUAUUGUCAUGAUUAUUUGAAGUUCUAUCAAUUUCCCAACAGUAAUUUGUUCACCCACCGUUUGCUAUUUUUCUCGAGAGAGGCCACUAGUGAAACCUAUGGCCCCUGGAUCUUCUUUCUCAUAUAUUUGCCUUGUGAUCUACUUUUUGCUUAUGUUUAUUUUUAGAUCUAUUAAACCAAAAAAUACAAAAAUACCUUGUCGCAAUUUAUUUGUUCCGCGAUCUAUUUGUCCCAUCUAUAAAUUUACCUCACAUCCUUUGCCUAUCUUGAGGCAACGUACCCCAAAAGGGAUUGACAACCCCUUUAACAUGUUGGGUUGUGAGGUGUUGUUCUUUGUGUGUAGGGGCUGUUUACGUUGUGUUGCUUGGUUCUCCUACUGGUUCGAUAACCUUGGUUUCAUAUCUGAGGGAAAUACCUACCACUGUUGUGCUGCAUCAUCCCUUCCUCUUUGGGGAAAUACCGACGUAGCUUCAAGCGACAUCAAAAGGAAUUUCUGGCGUCGUUGCCAAGGAGGAUCUUCAACAUAACCAGGUUCCUAAUAACAAAUCUCAUGUCCUUGCAAUUUACAUUAUUUGCCUCUCGUUUUCCUCUCCCCCACUUCACAAAAAAAAUGUCGUUUUAUUCGCCUCUCUUUUUCCAUUUGUCGUUUUCUUGUCGGCUCUGUUUUUGAGUGCAAUCUUGUUGUGUGGUCAUCAUGACUCAAGAGAACACCAAACUAUGUGACUUCUCAAAUACCAACAACAAUGAUUUUAUUGGCACUCCGCUUGCUCCUCCCACCACUAGUGCGGAGACUUGUGAUAUUAAUAUUGUUUUGCUGAAUCUUGUUAUGAAAGACCAAUUUUCCGGUACUCCUAGUGAGGAUGCCGCGUCCCAUCUUAAUACCUUCGUGGAAUUAUGUGAUAUGCAAAAUAAAAAAGAUGUGGACAAUGAUGUGGUCAAGAUGAAAUUAUUUCCGUUUUCCUUGUGUGAUUCCGCAAAAGUUUGGUUCCCUCGCAAUAGUAUUGAUUCUUGGAAUAAGUGCUAAGAUGCUUUUAUCACUAAGUAUUUUCCUCCCGCAAAAAUUAUUUCCCUUAGAACCCAGAUCAUGAAUUUCAAGCAACUUGAACAUGAGCAUGUUGCACAAUCUUGGGAAAGGAUGAAAAUGAUGCUAAGGAAUUUCCCAACUCAUGGGUUAAAUCUUUGGAUGAUCAUACAAAAAUUUUAUGCGGGGUUGAAUUUUGUUUCUUGUAAUCUUAGAUUCCGUCACGGGUGGUACUUUUAUGGAAAUUACCUUUGGUGAAGCCACCAAAUCUAUAAUACCUAAAUAGUUCAUCCCCACUAUCUUAUUUCUAUUGACAUGCAGCCUAUCCACAUCAUUAAAUAGGCCCACAUAUUAAACCAGUCCUCACUGUCUCCUCAUGCGUCCACGUCAUCCGCUAAUACUUCCAUCGCUAGCACGUUUUCUCACUGUGACCGCAGGAUUAUUUUUGCACCUGGGCUUCCUGGCCCAAUAGUUGGUACCUUCUUGCAUCUGUUAGUGCUAGCCCAUCUAACUAAUGCAUGCUACAAAUUAUUUUCACGUGGUGUUAGCCAAGGUAACACAUUAGGCCACUCAGACUUCAUCUUCCCCGCUGCGAGUCCAUCGCCACCGCUUUAUAUUCCACUCGCCAACGCCAUGAUGGGUACUAUCCAUUCAUUGCCAUGAAUUGGCAUCCACAAAUGCAAAUGAAAUGGCAGGAUUAAUCACCCGUUAUUACCUCGCCCUCCAUUACCAUGCAAAUGCGAGCAGAAACCACCAUCAUCUUUAGAAAGACGUCGUCGACCAUGCAUAGGCUGCUCACGUCCUUCUCUUCGAACCGGCAUCAAUUUUUCUAAUGCAUGCAGCCCCUUCAGGAUACAUGGUGUAGGUGGACGCUCCCUUCCCCCCUCCAUUUUUCUUAUGCCCGAGCUCAUGCUUUUAUGAUCAAUAUAUAGCCACGAUUCCUCUAUGAACUCAUUUUGUCUUUAAUUUCUUCAUCAGAGUGAAUUUCAUAUUUUAUUCCUACUAUUUGCCCUGAUGUUUUGGUUUUCUUUGUUAUUGCAUGAUUUCAUCCAAAAAUUGUGAGUGUUGUGGAAUCGUGAGCAUCUGACAUUUGAUAAGGCAUGAGAUCCUGUUAUUGGUUUCCGGGAAGAGGAUGCGUUCAUAAAUUUUGGCAUGCGGUGCUGGACUUGCCCACAUGGCUGUAGUACAAUUAGAAACAACCAAAUAGUUGUGCUUGCUUCAUUACUUGGUUCAAUACAGCGCUGGCCUGCACAGCACAUAGUCUGAUUGACAUGGCUUUGAUUUGUUAUCCCAUCAUUGUUAUUGCAGAGAUGUAGACAUGGAACAUCACUAAUGGCAAAAAAUAAUAUUCCCAGGAUUGAUAGGACCAAGAAUUCAGUAGAGUUCUAAUUUUUAUGAUGUACACAUGGUAUUGUUGUGUCAAAAAAUAGCAUGACUGAUUAAUUCCUCGGCACAUUAGGCAUCAUAGUAUGAUUCAGUAUGAUGUGACGUUUAGAUUUCACCAAGAAGAGGCUACAAAGGAGAAUGGUCAGUUAACUUUAUUUCUUUUGAUGAAGGAAUAGAGCGAUUUCACUAGAGAUUCAAUCGACAAUAGUUAAUUUGCUUCGGGAUACAUGUUGUGUGUGGCCUUAAAUAUUUUAUUCCAAGUUUUAUGGGGCUACUGCAGUGUUCAUGUAUCUAAGAGUUUUCUCUAUUAUUCGUGUGAGCACACUUGGCAUCCUAUGUUUGAAUACAAACUCUCAUAUUUCUGUUCAGUUUGUUUCUCCCAUUAAGAAAAAAUAGCAUAUGCAUGGACUUGGCUAUCUUACAAUGAUUUUCUGCACCUUUUUGUAGACACCCAGAGGGGAGAUCAGUGCUACAUUUGAGUUGUCUAAUAAGAGCAACGGGUGCAAGCAUGUCUUGAUUUGCCAUCAUGUUGCGACUUUCAGAGUAGUAACUGAUUUACAACAAUGCUAAUGUCAUGAUUCCAUGCUUUGAACAGGAGAAGGUGACAGAUGUACAACACAGGCUCAGUUGUACAAUAACUUUGGCCAUCUCUAACUUUGCAUCGACAUGCAGUAACAAUAAAAAUAAUUAAUGUUAUACUACAGAUCAGCAUAACAAACCCUAGCAACAAUAAGGUUAUGUCACUUAUACAUUAGUUGGACAGUAUCACCUUGGGUGUGCUUUAGUCCUCAAGUUAGCAUCUGUACUUGCAGUUUUUCAUUGUCUUGCCUUGAUUUACUUCAUGUUGGGCAUCUUCUGGUAAAACAAGUAAUUUAUUUUAUAAUGUGUACAUACUUUCUAAACAUGAUAUCAGGUGAUAUGAUUAUACAAGUUUGAGUGUGACCAUACUUUUUUUGAGUUGUAUGUCAGCCACUAAUUUUAACACCCAAUACCAUACUAUUAUUCAACUUCGUAGUUUCUCUUAUUCUCUUUAUCAUCACGUAUGUGCUAUAAUUCCCACAGCAACGCACGGGGCAUCAUCUAGUUGCUUGAUAAUAUCAUGGCAAAAUAUUCACAAUGGCAUACCGAAAGGGCUCCUACUAGUAAAAAAGUUAAUUCGGUUGAAGAAAUUUCUUCUUUGAGUGAAAAAUUUAAUGCUCUUAUGAAAUUGGUUGCUAGUAAAAGUGCUCCUGUUGAUUUUAAUGAUAUGCCUUUGUCUACUUUGAUUGAGCAAAAUAGUGAUGCCAUAGAUGUGAAUUUUAUUUCUCGCAAUAAUUUCAAUAAUAAUGCUUAUAGAGGUAAUUUUAAUCCUAGGCAUUUUCCUAGUAAUUCCUCUAAUAAUUAUGUUAAUUCAUAUGGAAAUCAAUCUUACAAUAAUAAUAGGAACACCUCUGAUCUUGAGAAUAAUAUUAAAGAGUUUAUCAACACGCAAAAAGUUUUCAACACUUCCAUAGAAGAAAAAUUGAAUAAGAUUGAUGAUUUGUCUAGAAGUGUUGAUAGAAUUGCUCAUGAUGUGUAAAAUCUCAAGAUGAAAAUUUUUGUGCCUAUAGUGGAUGAAUCAAUUAAAGCUCUUUAUGUUUCUAUGUAUGAAAGUAAUAAAAGAGCUGCUAUGCUUAGAGCUAAAAGAGAAUUUUUAGAAAAAGCGCUUUCUAGUGAUUUCUUUCGCAAAAGUGAUGAAGAUCUUAAAAUGAUUGGUGUUUCUUCUAUUGAUUCCUUGUUUAGUAAAAAUAAGAUUGAUGGAAAAGGGACUGGAGAAAAGUCAACUUUAGGUAUAAGGCGUCCCAAUAUUUCGGAGGGUGAAAAUCUUGUUGAGAAAAUUGAUAAAAGUGGGUUUGAAGAGGUCAAAACUUUAACUAGUGAUGUGCUCACUCUUUUGGAUUACAAAGACUUUAACUAUGAUAGUUGCUAUUUGAUUUAUUUGUUGCAAUCCAUGAUAAAUUCACCCCAUGCUUAUGAACAAAAUAAAGCUUUUACUAAACAUAUUGUUGAUGCCAUGAUGAAACCUUUUGAAGAAAAAUUGGAAUUGCAAGUUUUGAUUCCUAGAAAAUUGCAUGAUGAAUGGGAACCUACUAUCAAAGUCAAUAUUUAAAUGUAUGAUUGUUUUGCUUUGUGCGACUUGGGUGCUAGUGUUUCUACAAUUCCGAAAUCUUUAUGUGAUGUGCUUGGUCUUACCGAUAUUUAAGAAUGCUCUUUAAAUUUGCAUUUAGUGGAUUCUACUAUUAAAAAUACUAUGGCAAGAAUUAAUGAUGUUAUUAUUCUUGCAAAUAGAAAUUAUGUGCCCAUAGAUUUUAUUGUUCUUGAUAUUGAUUGCAAUCCGUCUUGUCCAAUUAUUCUUGGUAGACCGUUUUUACGCACUAUCGGUGUAGUGAUUGAUAUGAAAGAAGGCAAUAUUAAGUUCCAAUUUCCUUUGAGGAAGGGUAUGGAACACUUUCCUAGAACAAGAAUUAAGCCACCAUAUGAAUCAAUCAUGAGGGUAUCUUAUGGAUCUAGCACCAAAUAUGACAAAACUUAGAUUCUUGCUUUACGCCUAGCUAAGGGCGUAAAACUAUAGCGCUUGUUGGGAGGCAACCCAAUGAAUAAAAUUUAUUUUUGAUUUUUUCUUUAUUUUAUUGAGUGUUAGAACAAUUAUGCUAUUGUUAUGAUUGUGUUUUUUGUGUUUUAAUUAGUGUUUGUGCCAAGUAAAGCCUUUAGGAUCUUCUGGGGUGAUAGUUGUUUGAUCUUGCUGAAAAAGACAGAAACUUUGUGCUCGCGAAAAUAAUUAUCAUAAAUCACAGAAAAGAUAUUUUGCCCUGAUUCUUUUUGCAUAAGAUUAAUAUAAAAUUUAUUAUGGUCUUCCUAAUUUAGUAGAACUUUUGGAGUUACACAAGUAUUCGAAAGUUCCAUAUUACUACAGAUUGUUCUGUUUUGACAGAUUCUGUUUUCUUUUUGUGUGUGCUUAUUUUGAUGGCUCUAUGGUUUUCUUUGAUGAGUUUUUGCCAUAGAAAAGUUGGAAUACAAUAGAUAUAAUACAGAAAAAAAUAAAAAUUGGUUUGACACAGCACUUAUAGUAGUGGUUUGCUUUCUUUUACUAAUGGAUCUCACAAGGGUUUUGUUGAGUUUUGUGUGAUUGAAGUUUUCAAGUUCUGGGUUAUCUUACGAUGGAUGAAAGAAGGAUAGAAGAGCCUAAGCUUGGGGAUACCCCGGAAUCCCAAGCUAUUAUACAAGAAUGAGCAACCAGCUAAGCUUGGGGAUGCCCCCGAGUGGCAUCCCCUCUUUCUUCUAACGACCAUCGGUAUUUUACUCGAGACUAUAUUUUUAUUCGUCACAUGAUAUGUGUUUUGCUUGGAGCAUCUUGUAUGAUAUGUGUCUUUGCUUGUUUUAUUUUUUGCUUUAAUUCAUCAAUCCUUGCUGUACAUACCUAUUUGAGAGAGCCAAAAUUAUUCCAUGACUUGUUAGAAUUGCUCUCUAUGCUUCACUUAAAUUUUUAUGAGCAAUGGACUUGCUCUAGUGCUUCACUUAUAUCUUUUUUACCACGAUGUGCUUAGUAUUUUUGAACAAAUGCUCUCUUGCUUCACUUAUAUCUAUUUGAGAGUUAGUAAAAAUUUUAAGAAAUUCUCUCUUGCUUCACUUAAAUUAUUUUGAGAGAAAGAAAAUAUGUUAUGCUCAUGAUCAUCACUUAUAUUUGUUUGAGCUUAUGAAAAGAAACACAUGAAAAUUAGUCCCAAAUUGAUAGAUAUCCAAGAAGAUUAAAGAAAAAAGAUAUGUCAUGAAGAUCAUUGGACAAAAUAAACUUGAUUCUUAGUAGUACUUUUGAGAUAUGAUGAUGUGAUAUGUGAGUCAUGUUGGUGAGUAAUUGUGCUCUAGUAAGAAUAUUGGUGUUAAGGUUUGUGAUUCCCUAUGCAUGCAUGAAAGUCAAUAAUCAUGCAAUGAAAAUUAUGUCCUACUUGUGGUGCAUUAUUCGGUGUUAAUUAUACUUAAUGCUUGCUUAUGAGAUUAUUCGUUUCUUGGUUGGUCGCUUCUCAAUCUUUUUGCUAGCCUUCAUUUUGCACCAAGUAUGACAUCUACUUGUGCAUCCAAAAUCCUUUAAACCAGUUUUGCCACAUGAGUCCACUAUAUCUACCUAUAUGUGGUAUUUUUUAAGUUCUAAGCAAAUUUGCAUGUGCCAUCUCUAAUUUUCAAAAUGAACUUAUCUUUUGUGUGUUUGUUUCGCUUAUGGAACGGUAAUGGGUAGCUAAUAAUUUCCAUGCUAGAUGUGUUAUUCUCACGAUGAGUGUUUAUUCACUUGUCAUUGCACGAGAGUAAGGCAAAGGCUUUAGGGAUGCCCAGUCCCGAAAUGCAAAAAUGAAUUUACUUUAUGUUAUCAAAUAAUAAAUUCCUUGGAAAGUGUUGGUAUGGAGGGCACCCGUGGAUAUAUCUGGCCAUGGGUCGGGCCGGGCCUAAAAAAGCCCACAGCAAAAAACUAAGGCCCAUGCCCUCCCAGGCCCUACCAUCGGGCCUACUUUUAAAGUUCAAGCCUUACCCAUCUGGUAAAAAGCCCUGAAAAGCCCUUAGGGCUUAGGGCUGUGGGCCGGGCCUCUUCCUUAAAAUGCCAAUAUGCCAAGCCCAAGCCUGUCCAGGCCCUGCUGGUGGGAUCAAAACUUAGGCCCAAGCCUGGCCCACGGGCAAGCCCAUCGGGCCUAGGCCUUGGAUUUUAGGGUUGGGCCUGGGUGGGCCGACAGGGCCGGGCUUGAGAUGGCCAAGACUACCCGUGGAUACGGCUAGCCAUGGAAAGUGAAAGUUAUGGUGGAAAAAGAAGUAAACUUUAUUUUCUAUUUGGGAUCCGCCUAUGAUAUAUCUAGCAUGGAAAGUGUUGGGAUGCUCCAAGUCGUUUUUGUUGGUGGGAUGGAUACACCUCCCAAAAUGUUUUUAUUUCUAUUUUUUUUUGCUUUGAGCUCUGGCACCUCUACAAAUCACUACUUCCCUCUGCAAAGGGCCUUUCUUUUACUCUAUGCAAUUUUGAUUUUUGAAAUUGGGUCUCCAUUCUCUCUUAUAAAAGCACCAACUAGGGGACAAUAUGAUCGUACUUAAGUAUUGGGUGUAGCUAAUAUUUGAGUGUGUUUCAUGAAUGGAUCAAUGUUUGAGCAUGACGGGCUAGGGAUAACUUGUUUUAGCAUUGAUAUUUUGAAAGACAUGGUUGUUUGUUGAUAUGCUUGAGUAUCUAAAUUAUUAUGUCAAAACUAGACUAUUGCUUUGGAUCACAUAAAAGUCCAAAUGUCCAUGCUAUGAAGAGAAGAAUAUGAUAUGACAUGAUAAACAACACUCCACAUCAAAAAUUCUGUUUUAUCACUUACCUACUCGAGGACGAGCAGGAGUUAAUCUUGGGGGUGCUGAUAUGUCUCUAACUUAUUUAUAAUUUUUUAUUAUUCCAUGUUGUUUGAUUAUCAAACUUGGAUGUUUUGUAAUCAUUAUAUAGUCAUUUUAUAUCAUUUUUUGGUACUAACCUAUUGACAUAGUGCCAAGUGCCAGUUGUUAUUUUUUGCUUGUUUUUUACAUCACAAGAAAUCAAUAUCAGAAGGAGUCACAAUGCCACACCAAUUUAUGAUGUUUUUUUAUGGGCCAGAAGGAACACAACGGGCCCUGGUUGCACCUGGGGGAGUCCCGGGGAGGGGAGAACCCACCAGGGCGCGCUAGGAGGCCCAGGCGCACCCAGGUGGGUUGUGCCCACCUUGGGUGCCCCCUAGACCAAAUCUUUGCUCUAUAAAUACCCCAAUAUUCCAGAAACACUAGUCGACGAAACUUUUGUCUAGCCGCUGCAGAGUCCAAAACCACGAGAUCCAAUCUAGACACCAUCACGGAGGGGUUCACCACUUCCAUUGGUGCCUCUCCGAUGAUGUGUGAGUAGUUCUUUAUAGACCUUCGGGUCCAUAGUUAGUAGCUAGAUGGAUUCCUCUCUCUCUCUCUCUCUCUCUCUUGAUUAUCAAUAAAAUGGUCUCUUGGAGAUCCAUAUGAUGUAAGUCUUUUUGCGGUGUGUUUGUUGGGAUCUGAUGAACUUCGAGUUUAUGAUCACUUAUAUCCUUUUAUAUCCAUGAAAGUUAUUCGAGUUCUUUGAUCUCUUAUAUGCAUGAUCUCUUAUAGCCUCGUAUUUCUUCUCUGAUAUUUGGAUUUUGUUUGGCUAACUUGGUCUAUUUAUCUUACAAUGGGAAGAGGUGCCCGGUAGUGGGUUCGAUCUUACGGUGCUUGAUCCCAGUGACAGAAAGGGAACUGACACGUAUGUAUCAUUGCUACUAAGGAUAAAAAUACGGGAUCCAUAUCUUCCACAAUAGAUAAAUGGAUCUUGUCUACAUCAUGUCAUCGUUCUUAUUGCAUUACUCCGUUUUUCCAUGAACUUAAUACACUAGAUGCAUGCUGGAUAGCGGUCGAUGUGUGGAGUAAUAGUAGUAGAUGCAGGCAGGAGUCAGUAUACUAAUCUUGGACGUGAUGCCUAUGUAAUGAUCAUUGCAUGUAUAUCGUCAUGAUUAUUUGAAGUUUUAUCAAUUGCCCAACAGUAAUUUGUUCACCCACCGUUUGCUAUUUUUCUCUAGAGAAGCCACUAGUGAAACCUACGACCCCCGAGUCUUCUUUCUGUUAUAUUUGCCUUGAGAUCUACUUUUUCCUUGCGUUUAUUUUUAGAUCUAUUAAACCAAAAAAUACAAAAAUACCUUGCUGCAAUUUAUUUGUUCCGCAAUCUAUUUAUCCCAUCUACAGAUUUACCUCACGUCCUUUGCCUAUCUUGAGGCGCCGUACCCCGAAAGGGAUUGAAAACCACUUUAACAUGUCGGGUUGCGAGGUGUUGUUCUUUGUGUGCAGGGGAUGUUUACAUUGUGUUGCUUGGUUCUCCUACUGGUUUGAUAACCUUGGUUUCAUAUCUGAGGGAAAUACCUACCACCGUUGUGCUGCAUCAUCCCUUCCUCUUUGGGGAAAUACCGAUGUAGCUUCAAGCGACAUCAAUAACUUCUAUCACCGUUGAGAGUGGUGUGUAUGAGGCUCAGGUCAGGAGCAGAAAGUGUACUACAAUCCUGUUUGCCUACAAUACAUUUUCCAUUAAAUAAUGCAAAGUACUAAAUUGCAGGAAAAUGUAUGCUCUUUACUCUACCUUGCAUCACUCCCCUAGUUUCAUCAUAGCAUAGACUAGUCUAGAAUAUUUCAAACUCAGACCUCGGUGGUUCAUCAAGCGAACCCCAGAAUGGGAUUUUGCAUAGGUGAGCAAACCUUUCUAGAGAUAUGGUAAAUGGAUUUUUAUACAGUUUAAAUGACAUCCUAGACUCACAGGGAAGGAAUUUAAAUCCUUUGACAAAUGAUUCAUUGAGGAUGAGGUGUUGGUCACACUUAUCUGAAAUGUAGAGACCAAGAUCGGCACUGUGAACAUAUUGCUCAAAUUCCUCCUUAAUGCCCACACUCAUCAUAUAAUCGUUGCACAUCCAUAAGCAUGUUUUGGUGGUGGCACUUCGAAUAGAACUCUCACUUGGUUCAACAUAAGACCGACAAGCGGAGCUGCUGCUAGAAGAUGCCUCCGAGGAUCUCCUCCUCGAAGAACUCCUUCCAAAUAAAUUCAUAAUGUUCGCAUACAAUUUUUUGAAAACUUUUUGUCGCAAAAAGUCAUUAACAAAAAUUCAUAAGAAUGGUAGCAACUACUCAUAGGGAAGCAUAGAGGCCAUAGCAAUCAUUCAAACUACUUAGAACUCUAAGAAUUCAACAUGCAAGCUCAUCUACAGCAGCACCAAGAGUAGCUAAUUAUUCCAAAUAUGAACCACUAAAACAAAAAAUAAUUGGACACAUGGAGGAGUCACAUACCAAGCAACAAAUUCCUGAAACAGUUUCAGAAAUUGAGCUUCGAACAAGAGCUCGAGAUCAGCGGUUUCGGGAGCAAGAACACGAGAGAGAGUGCAAUGGUGAUUUUUUUUCUGGGUGAAUGUGAUGAUGUGAGAAGAAGAAGUAAGUGAGGGGGGCCACGUGGGGACCACAACCCACCAGGGCACGUGUGGGAGUCCUGGCGCGCCCAGGUGGGUUGUGCCCACCUCGUGCACCUCCCUCUGAUAUUAUUUGCACCAGAAAUUCUUAAAUAUUCAGAAAAAAUCGUAUUAUAUUUUCAGGGCAUUCUAAGAACUUUUAUUUUUGGGUCAUUUUUUAUUGCAUGGAAAACUCAAAAAACAGACAAAGCAUGGCAUUUUAUUUUAUUUAACUAAGAAAAAUAGAAAACAAAAGGUAGGGACAAAAGGUAGUGCUUACUAAAUUCAUCAACUUCAUACCUCUCAAAAAUGAUCCAUUAAUAAGGUUGAUCAAGUCUUAUUAACAACCACUUUCGAUUAAUACGAAACCGAAGAACUUUCAUAAAUUACUAAGUUACCUCAAUGGGGAUACGAAUGCCCCCAACAAUAAGCAUUUCAUAUUUCUUUUUAACAGUAGGUAGAGGUAGUUGAAAACUUCCAAUAGUGAUUGUCGGAGAUUUUUCAAUGACAUUAAUACCAUUCACUUGGAAUUGUUUCUUCGGAAAGUGCACAGUAUGCUCAUUACCAUUGAUAUGAAAAGUAACCUUGCUUUUAUUGCAAUCAAUAACAGCCCCUGCAGUAUUCUAGAAGGGUCUACCAAGGAUAAUCGACAUGUUGUCUUCCUCGGGCAUCUCAAGUAUAACAAAGUCAUUCAAAACAGUAACAUUAGCAACAACAAUGGGCACAUCCUCACAAAUACCGAUAGGUAUGACAGUUGAUUUGCCAGCCAUUUGCAAAGAUAUUUUAGUAGGUGUGAGUUUAUUCAAAUCAAGUCUUUUAUAUAAAGAGAAAGGCAUAACGCUAACACCAACCCCCAAAUCACAUAAAGCAGUUUUCACAUAGUUUCUUUUGAUGGAGCAAGGUAUAGUUGGUAUUCCCAUAUCUCCAAGUUUUUAGGUACUCCAUCUUUAAAAGUGUAAUUAGCAAGCAUAGUGGAGAUUUCAGCUUCCAGUAUUUUUCUCUUAUUGGUGAUGAUGCCUUUCAUGUACUUUACAUAAGGAGGCAUUUUUAAGAUAUCAGUCAAGCGAGUACACAAAAAGAGUGGCCUAAUCAUUUCAGCAAAGCGUUCAAAUUCUUCAUCAUUUUUAUUUUAGUUGACUUAGGUGGAAAGGGCAUAGGCUUUUGAACCCAUGGUUCUCUUUCCUUUCCAUGUUUUCUAGCAACAAAGUCUCUUUUAUCAUAUCUUUUAUUCUUUGGUUGUGGGUUAUAAAGAUCAACAGUUGGUUCUAUCUCGACAUCAUUAUCUGGUUCUUUGUUAUUUGUUUGAGUGUCUUCAUGAACCUCACCAUUGUCUUUUUCAUUAUCAGAAGUUGGGUGUUCAUUACCAGAUUGAGUUUCAGCACCAGAGAUAAAAACUUCAUUAUCAUUAUCAGGAGGUUUCUCUACUUUAGGUUCACUAGAGGCAGGCAAAGUCCUAUUGUUUUUCUUCUUCUUUUUCUUUUUAGAAGGACUCGGUGCAUCAGUGUUAAUUCUUUGAGAGUCUUGUUCAAUUCUCUUUGGGUGACCCUCAGGAUAGAGUGGUUCCUGAGUCAUUUUACCUCCUCUAGUUGCUACUCUAAUAGAAAAGUCACUUAUAUUAUUGUUCAUUUCAUCAAGUAACUCCAUUUGAGAUUUAGCAACUUGUUCUAAUUGAGUUUGAACCAUAGAGGCAUGCUUUCCUACACCUCUAACAUAAUUUGAAAUUCUAAAUAACAAGUCACUUAAGCAAGCAAUCAUAUCAGAGUUGUAUUUCAAUUGUUUCAUCACAUUUGCAUUGAAGUGAUCUUGCUUUCUAAUGUAAUUAUCAAACUCAUAAAGGCAUUGACUAGGAUGUUUAGUACGAGGAUCAUCACUAUCAUUGAAUUUCAUUAAAUAUUUUACCUCUACCACCUUAGGUGGUGGUGGUGCUUCAAGCCCAUGUAUUUCUUCAAUAGGUGGUUAAUUUUUAACAUCCUCUUCUUUAAUAUCUUUUUCCUUCAUAGAUUUAUUUGCCUCUUGCAUAUCUUCAGGACUGAGAUAUAAGAUACCCAUGUUCUUCGGAGUGGGUUUAAUAGGUGUUUAAGGAGGAGUCCAAUCAUCAUAAUUUUUCAAUAUGUUAUUCAAUAAUUCUUCAGUUUGCCCAAUAGUUCGUUCCCUGAAAACACAACCAGCACAACUAUCUAGGAAAUCCCUAGAAGCCUCAGUUAGUCCAUUGUAGAAGAUAUCAAGUAUUUCAUUCUUCUUAAGAGGAUGAUCAGGCAAAGCAUUAAGCAAUUGGAGAAGCCUCCCCCAAGCUUGUGGGAGACUCUCUUCUUUAAUUUGCGCAAAGUUAAAUAUUUCCUACAAGGCAGCUUGUUUCUUAUGAGCAGGGAAAUAUUUUUCAGAGAAGUAAUAAAUCAUAUCCUAGGGACUACGCACACAACCAGGAGCAAGAGUAUUGUACCAAGCUUUAGUGUCACCCAUUAAUGAGAACAGAAAUAACUUGAGAAUAUAAUAGUAGCGAAUCUUCUCAUCAUGAGCAAAAAGGGUGGCUAUAUCAUUCAACUUAGUAAGAUGUGCCACAACAGUUUCAGUUUCACAACCAUGGAAAGGAUCAGAUUCGACCAAUGUAAUUAACUCUGGGUUGAGAGAGAAUUCAUAAUCCUUAUCAUCAAUAAAAAAAUAGGUGAAGUAGUAAACUCAGGAUCACAUUUCAUUUUUUAGCAUUCGAAGAUAUUUCUUUAUACUUGCAUAAUAAAUUUUCUAGAUCAUCUCUAUCCUUACAAGCAAGAAUAUCUCUAGUUGCCUCCUCACUCAUAGUAUAACCUUCCGGUACCUUUGGCAAUUCAUAUAUAGGAGGAGUAGUUCUAAUAGGUGUUUCAAGAUUUUCAGUUUCAAGUUCAUCAUCAGAUUCAACAAUAUCAUGUUGUCCUACUCUAGCAAUCUGUUCAUCAAGAAAUUCACCUAGUGGCACAUCAUCAUCAAGCAAGGUACUAGCAUCAUCAUGAGUAGCAUUCAUAUCAGAAGUAGCAUCAUCAGUAACUUGCGACAUAUCAGAAUUAAUAGCAUGUGGUGGUGUUGCAAGUUUACUUAUAACAAAAGGUGAAUCUAAAGCAGAGCUGGAUGGAAGUUCCUUACCUCCCCUCGUCUUUGAGGGAAAAAUCUUAUUCUUAGCAUCCUUCGGAUUCUUCAUAGUGAUAAUAUGAUAAUAAUCCCAAGUGACUCAACAAAUAUAGCUAUGAUCCCUGGCAAUGGCGCUAGAAAAUGGUCUUGAUAAUCCAUAAGUAUAGGGGAUUGCAACAGUUUUCGAGGGUAGAGUAUUCAACCCAAUUUAUAGAUUCCACACAAGGGGAGCCAAAGAAUAUCUGAAGGUAUUAGCAGCUGAGUUGUCAAUUCAACCACACCUGGAGAUUAAUUAUCUGUAGCAAAGUGAUUAGUAGCACAGUAAUAUGAUGGUUUUGACGAUAGUAGCAGCAGCAAUAGUAACAGUAAUAGUGAUAGUAGUGAUUUUGUAGUAGUAACGAUAGCAGUAGUAACUUUGCAAGAACAAUAUAAGGUAAAUUCAUAGGCAUUGGAUCAGUGACUCGUUGGAUGAUAUUCAUCAUGAGACAGUUAUAACCUAGGGCGAUACGGCACUAGCUCCAGUUCAUAAAUAUAAUGUAGGCAUGCAUUUCGUAAAUAGUCAUGUGUGCUUAUGGAAAGAACUUGCAUGACAUCUUUUGUCCUACCCUCCCAUGGCAGCGGGGUCCUAUUGGAAACUAAGGGAUAUUAAGACAUCCUUUUAAUAUAGAACCGGAACAAAGCAUUAACGCAUGGUGAAUGCAUGAACUCCUCAAACUACGAUCAUCACCGGGAGUGGUCCCAACUAUUGUCACUCCAGGACUACCAGAUCAUAACGCAUAGUAGGUGACUAUAACUUGCAAGAUUGGAUCUAGAAUAUGGAUAUAAUGGUGAUAACAUAAACAGUUCAGAUCUGAAAUCAUGGCACCCAGGCCCAAAGUGACAAGCAUUAAGCAUGACAAAGUCAUAGCAACAUCAAUCUCAGAACAUAGUGGAUACUAGGGAUCGGGCCCUAACAAAACUAACUCAAUUACAUGAUGAAUCUCAUCCAACUCAUCACUGACCAGCGAGCCUACGAAGGAAUUACUCACUCGCGGUGGGGAGCAUCAUGGAAUUGGUAAUGGAGAUGUGUUGGUGAUGACAAAGAUCGAAGACCCCCCUCUCCGGAGCCCCAAACGUACUCCAGAUCUGGCCUCCCGAUGAAGAACAAGAGACAACAGCGGCUCCAUCUGGUGAAAUGCGAUAAUUCUUUCUCCCUGAUUUUUUCUAAAAAUAUGUGAUUUUAUAGCGUCGGUUUUAGGGUCAUCGGGGCCACCAGGUGGGGACAACCCACCGGGGCGCGCCCGUAGGGGGGGGGACGCAGGCGCACCCUAGUGGGUUGUGUCCACCCAGGUGCCCCCCUCAGGUGGCUCUUGGCUCUAGCAAUUCUCUUUAUUGAUAUAAAAAAUCCUCGCAAAGUUUCGUUCCAUUCCGAGAACUUUUAUUUUUGCACAAAAACAACACCAUGGUAGUUCUGCUGAAAACAGCGUCAGUCCGGGGUUAGUUUCAUUCAAAUCAUGCAAAUUAGAGUCCAAAACACGAGGAAAAGUGUUAGGAAAAGUAUAUACGACGGAGACGUAUCAGUGGUGCGUCUGAUAGCUGAGAGGGGGAAAGAGAUACUCCAUCCGCUCGAUAAUGUAGUGCAUAUAAAUUUUUUAGAAGUCAAACUUUGGAAACUUUGACCACAUUUACACAAAUUUUAUUUAUAUAUACAAUAAUAAAGAUACAUCAUACGCAACUACAUCUCAUGAUGAAUCUAAUGAUAUAUGUUUGUCGUUCUAGAUGUAAAUGUUUUUCUCCAUGUACAUGGUCAAACUUUGUGAUGUUUGACUUUUCAAUAAAUCUAUAUGCUAUGGACCAAAAAGAGUGCCUAAGUCGAGAGAGAUCAAGUGCGUGUGAAGGAGAAUGAGGGAGUGUGCAAAAAGAGUGUGUGUGUGUGUGUGUGUGUGUGAAAGAGAAAGGGACAACAAACGAUAAAUUAGAGAGAGAGUGUGUGUUCGUUUCUUAUGCAAACAUAUCACGCAUGCAUCUUCGAGAUAGAAAAGCGAGGUGAGGAGAUACAUGAAGAUAGCUAGUGCGUGAUUGUUUGCAACGGAGAGAGACACCCUUAUAGCACAUAUCCAAUAGAGGUCUAGCCAACAAGGGACAAAGGUCGAUACAGACGCAUAGAGAAGAUGGGUGCAUGGGGAGGGAGAGAGGGUGUGUUUGUGAUAGAGAGACCCCCUCAAGAUCAUGAGGGGACUAUAUGGGUGGGAGAUCGAGGGACGAAGUGCGUGUGCGAUAGACAGAUGCCCCGAGAGAAAUUGAGAGAAUACCACGCACAUGUUUGGGAUGGAGACUAAGAAUUAGCUAGUCAUAUACAUAUAGGGGGGACUGCAUGUGCCUACAAUUGAGUGAGAGACCAUCAUACUUGGCUAGGCAUGAGAUUGUGUGUGUGUGCAUGUGAGAUGGAGAGAUAAUGAGGGAGAGAGAGAGAGAGAGUUUUAGAUGGGUCUAUUGAGUGCGAGUGAGAUACGCAUGUGUAUGUGUGACCCAGGGAGAUGGAGAGUUUGAGAGAGAGAGAGAGAGAGAGAGAGGGAAGAGCUCCGAGAUGGCAGAGUGGUGCGUGAGAGAGUUACAUGCAAUGAGUCAGGGAAUUUGUGUGCGUACGAUGAGUGCACCCAAGAUAUUCAGCUUGGACUAGAGAAUCAUAUAUAGUGUGCCAGAGAGACCUAUACAUGGAGUGUGCAUGCGAACUAGAAAGACCCCCUCCCCCCCCACCCACCCACACACAGAGAGAAAUAGAUAGAGGGAGAGGGAGAGAGAGAGANNNNNNNNNNNNNNNNNNNNNNNNNNNNNNNNNNNNNNNNNNNNNNNNNNNNNNNNNNNNNNNNNNNNNNNNNNNNNNNNNNNNNNNNNNNNNNNNNNNNNNNNNNNNNNNNNNNNNNNNNNNNNNNNNNNNNNNNNNNNNNNNNNNNNNNNNNNNNNNNNNNNNNNNNNNNNNNNNNNNNNNNNNNNNNNNNNNNNNNNNNNNNNNNNNNNNNNNNNNNNNNNNNNNNNNNNNNNNNNNNNNNNNNNNNNNNNNNNNNNNNNNNNNNNNNNNNNNNNNNNNNNNNNNNNNNNNNNNNNNNNNNNAGGUUUGUGUUUGGAUGCGUGCAAUAGAAUUGAAGAUUGUCGGCGAGAGAGAGAACAUGAGUCUGGGAGAGGGGGAGGUCACGUUUAUGCAUGAAAGACUGAUAUAAACCAUGUUCCGGUAUAAAUUUGCAUUGAAAUAUUUGAAUUGGAGAACAUGUUGUCUGCAAUCCACACAUGAACGGAGAUAUGCGUAUCAAACAAGUUCAUUAAUUUGACUUCCAACAUGUUCGUGGAGUACUAUGAUACUGUACAACAUGCUACUCGAUUGAGGUGUUCAAUUUUGGAUUUAGUUCACUAUUUUGACCUGGUGAAUGAGCUAUUUCAUUGAAUCGAGAUAUUUCAUUUGGGGUCUGAUUCCCGUUUUGAGUGGGUCAACUAUUUGUCAUAUAGUAAAUCGUUAGCGAUGAUCAUGUAAAAACACAUUAGUCCCAAGCAUCAUCUCACCAUCUAAAAAAGAAGUGGCAAGCUAAUAUUUCAAACUUUUAUUUGAAUCUACUUGGUAAGGUAGACGUGGAUGCUCGUUCUUCCAAAAUUUGAACGAACCGCUAAACACCCUCUGCUCAGUGGAAUUCGCUCGAGCAAAUAAAUGGGAGACGCGAAAUUACCAGCCUAUGUGUGACACACAUCAAUUGGCACGUUGUACAUCGAGGGUAGGUUCGUAACUUCAUCCAAGCGCGCCUUCUCCUCGGCCGAAAUGACAAGUGCCGAAUAAUUCAUAAACCAUGGGCAGCAAACACCCUCUCAUCGCCCGAAAUCGCUCGCGCCGACUAUUUCAAAACACGCCCUCCUCGCCCGAAAUCGCUCGCGCCCACUAUUUCAAAACAUGCCCUCCUCGCCCGAAAUCGCUCGCGCCCACUAUUUGGGAGAAGAAAAGUUACUCUACUAUCCCCGACCCUCAGUACACAGACCCAAGCCCAGAAUCCUAAAGGCAGUGGUAGAACUGUAACCCCCCCCACACACACACACACACUUCAGACAAAUGCGUCCGUAAGACAUGGUUCCCCCUCCCAAUUCCCCAUUCAUACCUCGCGGACGCAGAGGCACCUUCUCCCCGGAAGCUCCCUUCUCCCCAGCCGCGAAACCUCAGUCCCUCUGCCGGCGUUCUGGAUAUGGGGGUAUCCAGACUUGCCUGCCUGCGGCCCACCACGUGGCUCCAUCAACGGCCUGGUACGGCCUGGCUUCAGCAUCAACAACUCAGGACCCUCGCGAGGGGCCAAGCCUCACGAGGAGGACGACACCAAGACCCCUAAGGGGAUCGGCCUCUUCAGGCUAGCGCCCGAGGGGCGGAGAGUUCUAUGCAAGGUGCACCUCACGAGGCUCAGGUGACGUGAGCCAUGACGACCAAGGCCAGGCGGGCGCCAAUCGGGUGCCAGCGGGCGCAGAGCGCCAGUUUCUUCUUUGGUGCAAGGGAGGCGAGCCACAGGCGCGGAGUCCCGAGGAAUCAGUGAAAGGUUUCCAUUCUGGUGCAAUGAGACCAAGACCACUAGGACGGCAGGACGGAGGUCAUCACCAAGCCCAGCGCAACAUCACGACUAGGGGCUUUUCGCAGCCGAAGACCACUUUAGUCAGGAUAAGUUGUACUACUUGUCCCCUUUCAAAUCCGGUUGUUGUGGGAUCCCUUCCGCCAACAUUUUGGAAGAGGACCAAGGCCACUAUAAAUAGGACUUAGCCACCAUCAUAGAUCGGGGAGAACGGGAUCUGAUUCUGAGAGGAUUCACCCACACCCACCCACCUCACCAGCUCUCUUGAGCUCAAGAACACCUCACCUCCUGAGGCCAGUUCAUCCUCUGUACUAGUUCAUCCUCAGCCCCUUGCGGCAAUCCACCAAAACGCUAGAGUAGGGUAUUACACCGCAAGGUGGCCCGAACCAGGAUAAACUGUUGUGUCUCUUUGUCUCUUCGAGCUAGUCGCGCUAGGCUUAGGAGGAUCAUGAGUAGGAAGGCUGGGUAGGUUGAGAUCUCCGCACGCACCCUAGAGUUUGAACCUUUCAAGGGUUUGCGGAACCUGUAAUCCGACACCCUCCUCCAUGGCGCCCCCACCGCACCAAAAUUCACCGCCGCCCUCCUCCCCAAUGCUGGAGACGUUGUCCAUUUGUCCUUGUGCACUGGGCCAUGUGCCUCUUACUCCGUGCUGCCGAAGCUGCCUCGACGAGGGUCGCGUGAACCAUACCAGAGCCGAUUCACCCCUGCUAUUGUGCACGACACCGGGGAGGCUCCAACUUUGGAUGCGUCCAGGGCCCCGGCGCUGCUUCCCCGUAGCCGUCAACCGUCGCGACAUCUCUGCUUUCCUGCCGCCAGUAGCCACCACAACCGCGCCGACCUCACCGACUCGGCAGCUGGAGCUGCCUACUCCAUCGAGCCGCAAGAUAGGUCAUACACUCAUCUCAAAUCACUUUAUUUAGGCGUCAGUUGUCUGAAUUUUUAUUCUGGGCCAAUCGAUUCCCAAUGAUAAGCAGCACCCCUUGAGGCGGCGGAGCUCCUAGGCUGUCGGUUGGCUGUUGUCUAACGUAAGGAUGCAGGGGCGCAAGUUCACCAUGGAAGCAGCACUUAUGUGGCUCUCUUAGAGUUGCGUGGCUUGAAGGUACUGUCGCCGUCGGAUUUGGAUGACGGCGAGUCUUUGUCGAUUAGCCGGGGACGGCGCAACCACAACAGUCCAGUGGGGCGAGGAGUAGGGUUUUGGUCGGAGCUCUCGCGGCCAAGGACGAUGGAGGCAGGCUGCUCUGUCGGUGGUCACUGUCGGCAUUCUAGGAACGGGGGUCCCCAGACUUGCGUGCCUGCGGCCUGUGGCGUGGCUCAAGCAGUGGUCCAGUGCGGCCCACCUUCAUCAGCUCAAGCUCAAGACCCUCGCGAGGGGCCAAUCCUCGCGGGGCGGACGACAUGAAGCUUCCUCAGGAGCAGCCUCGUCAGGAUAGCUCGCGAGGAGGCGGAGAGAUCAAGGCAGGGGUACCUCGCGAGGUGCCCGUGAUGCAAGCCAUGACGAUCGAGGCCAGGCAGGCGCCAGGCGGGCACCGGCCUGCGCAGUGUCCUUGUUUCCUCUUUGGUGCAAAGGGAGCAAGCACAUGCCAAGGCAUCAGGCAAAGGCUACCAUUUCGGUGCAACAAGACCAAGACCAGCAGAGCGGCAGGAUGGAGGUCACCAUGGAGCCCAAGCCGGCGUCAUCGUCAGAGUCUUUGGCAGUCGAAAACCAACUUUAGUCAGGAUAAGUGUACUAGAUGUUCCCCUUCAAAAUGGCCAAUUUUUGGUGCCCUUCCCGCUCAAUAUUUGGGAAGAGGACCAGGUCCUCUCUCUAUAUAUAUAGGACUAGCCACCAUAGUAUAGAGGCAUCUGGAAUCGACCCCUCCAAAGGGACAACACCACCACAAGAACAUCCCUCGCGAGGCUGUUCUUCCCUUGUACUGUUCAUCAUCAGCCCCUAAGGCAAUCCACCACACCACAAACUAGAGUAGGGUAUUACACCACAACGGUGGCCCGAACUAGUAUAAACCUUGCGUCCCUUGUGUUGUUCAUUGUGUAGCCUAGAUUCCUUGCGAGGCUUCGAGACGUGAGCCGGUAGGGGAGAGAUCUUCACGCGCACCCCAGAGUUCAAACCUCAAGGGUCUGCCGGAAUCCGAAAUUCGACAUUUGGCGGGCCAGGUAGGGGUGCGCCGGAAUCGUGUCUUCCACCGUCUUACGUUUCGUCGUCCGUCGCGUCCAUGUCUGACGCUCACUGAGCCCGCGCCGAGCGUCGAGCUGCUCUCGCGGCCCAUGUCGCCCAGACGGCCCCCGUCGGCGGGCCUCCCCGUUGUUCCCCGUCGCCUGCCGCCCACGCCGCCACCGGCCCGGCGGGGAACAAGCAGCAGGCGUCGUCGCUGCAUCCCUCGGUGCGGCGGGAAGGCUGCACCGCUACCCCGUCGCUGACUCCAGCAGGCUCGUCGUCGCACGCUCAUCGCGCUCCCGCGGGUGCGCACGCCGCAUUGCUCCUAGCACGUGAGCUCCUGCACUACCGCCUCGUCGACGACCUCUACGAUGAGUGGCUCGCUCGCAUCACCGAGCUCGUCAGUGCCGCAGGGGGCUCCCCCACGCCGUCCCUCUCGCUGCAUCGCCCUCCGUCCUGUGCGGGCAACGCGGCUCCGGAGGCGCCUCUGCCGCCUCCUCCUCAAGAAGGCGUCUUGGCCCCAAGGCGCGCGGCCCCUGGACGAGACCCGCCGUGUCCAGCGCCCGCGCAACAAGAAAAGAGUUGCCAAGAGAUCCCUCGCCCUCAAGAAGGCGCUCGCGUGCUCCCUGCGCUAGCACGUCAUGACCGCACUCCUGCUCCAGCGCGCCAAGACCCCACGCUGCUCCUGGCGGCAGCACGCGGAGACCUCCAAGAUCAAGCCCUUCGUCACCAAAGGCCCCCUGUGGCCACUGCAGGCUGUCGCGCCUUCACCGCCGAGCUAUGCAGCGUGGUCUGGCCGGGCAAGUUCAAGCCAGAUCUGCCUCCUCGCUACGACGGCACUGCCGACCCCGCGGAGUUCCUCCAGCUCUACGAGCUGGGCAUCAAGGCAGCCAACGGGGACGAAAAAGUCAUGGCGAACUAGUUUCCCAUGGCGCUCAAGGAUGGCGCCCGCACCUGGCUCCUAAACCUGCCUCCCAGCACGAUCUUCUCUUGAGACGAGAUGCACACUCGCUUCAUCGCCAACUUCCAAGGCACUCGCGACUGGCCCCCGGCCAUGAGUGGCCUGCGCCGCAUCAAGCAACAGCCAGGAGAGACCCUGCAAAAGUACAUCUAGCACUUCAACAACACCCGCCUCAAGAUCCCCAGGGUGACUGAGGAAGCCAUCAUCUCAACCUUCUCCGAUGUCGUUCGUGACAUCAAGAUGAAGGAAGAGCUAGCAAUCCAUGAGGAUCUGUGCACAUCUCUGGAGCUGUUCAACUUGGCGACCAAGUGCGGCAGGGCUGAGGAAGGGCGCCUCUCCCUCCUCGAGCUUCCAGCUGCUAAUCCGGAAGAGAAGAAGCCCAAGGUCAAGGACGUGAAGCGCAAAGGAGCAGUUGUGCUCGCAACUGAGCCAGAUACCAAGCAAGGCAGGGAUCAGCUGGAGUCAUCCAAGGGCAGCCGUUACUGCGUGUACCACGACCUCCACACCCACAACACCAACGAAUGCCAAGAGCUUAGAGCUGUGCGAGAUGAGCGUAUUGGCCGACACCCCGAGCGCAACGAUUAGGUCUAUGGCCGAGGAGGAGGAAGAGGUGGAGGACGAUGGGAAGACCGUGGCGCUCGCCAAGGGUGGCGUGACUGACCCCGCGAGGACCGCUGGCAGGACCAGCCUCGUGAGGGGGGUUGGAGGGAUCAGCCUCGCGAGGAUCGCCCGCAAGGCAAUGCAUGCCUCUCUCCUCUGCCGCCACCACCAAGGAGGAAUGAAGACCAGCAUCAGGAUGAGGGGCUAGGGGCUUCCAGGAGCCUCACGCAAUCGCUUGCAUCCUGGGCGAAGCUCAAGCCCCGGCCUCUCAACGCAUCUUCAAGUAGUUUGCUCGCGAGGUGAAUGCAGUCCUCCCAAAGCCCGAGGCCUCGUGCCCUCUCAGGUGGUCCACGUGUGCCAUCACGUUCAGUUCAGCGGAUCAACUCAAGUGCGCAGCAACGACUGGUGCUCCCAAUGCUCUGUUCCCCAGUCAUCAGCAACGUGCACGUCACUAGGACCCUCAUCGAUGGUGGAGCAGGGCUCAACGUUCUGUUUGUCGAGACAUUCAACAAUAUCCAAGUGUCGUAUGAUCAGCUUCAGCCAACCAAGCCUUUCUCAGGAGUCACUGAUGGUUCUACCACCCCGAUAGGGCAGGUCCGCCUCCCUGUCACCUUCGAACAGCACAAAAACUACCGCACAGAGCUCAUUGACUUUGAUGUCUCCCACAUUCGCCUGUCAUACAAUGCCAUCCUCGGGUACCCAGCCCUGGCCAAGUUCAUGGAAGUGACUCACCAUGGCUACAAUGUCCUCAAGAUGCCAGGAAGCGGUGGAGUCAUCGCAGUCCUUUGUGAGGAGAAGGAUGCAGUGUGUUCUCUCGAGCGUGCCUUCCAGGCCAUGGCAAUCGAAAGGCAUCACCUGGCCCGAACCAUCAGGAGGCAGGCACCUCCAGGGGCAUUGCGUCAAGAUCCGCGCCCAUCCAAGGGGCGCCUCCCACUGUCGCAUAGGAAGGCGCUCCCAACGCCCUCCUCGGGCAAGGCUCGGGGGAUCUCUCCUGGAGGGCCACCGACUUUUCCAAGGUCACGAGGGAGGUGCUCGGGCACCACUUGGAGGCGUGCUUCAAAGCACAUUUUCCUUAGGAAGGAGUGAGGCAAGGAGGGCCAAACCCUCAGGAGUUCAUCGCAACAAACACUCAGGAGCUGCAGGAGUCAAGAGUCAUGCGCGGCAGCCGCCACUUACCCGCCGUAGCCCCCCCAUCCAGGCGAGGAUGGUGGGCUGCACGUCUGCAUCAACAUGCCAGGGCUCAACCGAGCCGCGUCUAAGGAGCGCCUUGCUAUGUCUUGAGCUAGCGUUGGUUUUCCCCGAAGAGGAGAGGGUGAAGCAGCAAAGUGUAGCGUAAGUAUUUCCCUCAGUUUUUGAGAACCAAGGUAUCAAUCCAGUAGGAGUCUCCUCAAAAGUCCCACGCACCUACACAAACAAACUAAGAACUCGCAACCAACGCAAUAAAGGGGUUGUUAAUCCCUUCACGGUCACUUACGAAAGUGAGAUCUGAUAGAGAUAGUAUGAUAAGAUAAAUAUAAUUUUGGUAUUUUGUGAUAUAGAUGCAGAAAAGUAAAGAUGCAAAUAAAAGUAGAUUGAAAGCAAAAAUGAUAAGAGAUAGACCCGGGGGCCAUAGGUUUCACUAGUGGCUUCUCUCGAGAGCAUAAGUAUUACGGUGGGUGAACAAAUUACUGUCGAGCAAUUGAUAGAAAAGCGAAUAAUUAUGACGUUAUCUAGGCAUGAUCAUGUAUAUAGGCAUCACGUCCAUAACAAGUAAACCAACUCCUGCCUGCAUCUACUACUAUUACUCCACACACCGACCGCUAUCCAGCAUGCAUCUAGUGUAUUAAGUUCAUAAGAACAGAGCAACACAUUAAGCAAGAUGACAUGAUGUAGAGGGAUAAACUCAUGCAAUAUGAUAUAAACCCCAUCUUGUUAUCCUCGAUGGCAACAAUACAAUACGUGUCUUGUAACCCUUUCUGUCACUGGGUAAGAUCACCGCAAGAUUGAACCCAAAGCUAAACACUUCUCCCAUGGCAAGAAAGAUCAAUCUAGUAAGCCAAACCAAACUGACAAUUCGAAGAGACUUGUAAAGAUAACUUAAUCAUACAUAAAAGAAUUCAGAGAAGAUUCCAAUAUUAUUCAUAGAUAAACUUGAUCAUAAACCCACAAUUCAUCGGAUCUCGACAAACACACCGCAAAAAGAGAUUACAUCGAAUAGAUCUCCACGAGAGAGGGGGAGAACAUUGUAUUGAGAUCCAAAAAGAGAGAAGAAGCCAUCUAGCUAAUAACUAUGGACACAUAGGUCUGUGGUAAACUACUCACAACUCAUCGGAGAGGCUAUGGUGUUGAUGUAGAAGCCCUCCGUGGUCGAUUCCCCCUCUGGCAGAGUGCUGGCGAAGGCUCCAAGAUGGGAUCUCGCGGAUACAGAAGGUUACGGCGGUGGAAAUUGUGUUUCGUGGUGCUCCUGGAUGUUUUCGGGGUCCGUGGACAUAUAUAGGGAGGAAGAAGUACGUCGGUGGACGCCCGAGGGGCCCACGAGACAGGGGGCACACCCCUAGGGGGGCAGCCUCCUAUCUCGUGGGGCCCUCGGAGCUUUCUUGACUUGCACUCCAGGCUCUCUGGAUCAGAUUUGUUCCAAAAAAUAACGCUCCCGAAGGUUUCAUUCUGUUUGGACUCCGUUUGAUAUUCCUUUCCUUCGAAAUACUGAAAUAGGAAAAAAACAGCAAUAUGGGUUGGGCCUCCGGUUAGUAGGUUAGUCCCAAAAAUGAUAAAAAUGUGUAAAAUAAAGCCCAUAAACAUCCAAAAGGGGUAAUAUAAUAGCAUGGAACAAUCAAAAAUUAUAGAUACGUUGGAGACGUAUCACGCCUCUGGCCCUCGCGUGUGGGACGUUGCGAGGGUCCACCCCACAGCUAUGUUCGCAUACCUCUCGGCCUGCCGAACGCGGCUGCUGCUCAUCAGCACCUGCUAAGGAGCAUUCUGGAGGCUCAGGAGGUCAGGCAUUGCGCGGUCCUGGCAGAGAUGGAGAUGGUCCUCGAGGAGCCGCCUGCGCCCCCGGAACCUCCCGAGGCUUUGGGUCCUGGAGGCUUGUGAGGAUCAGCUUCCUCGCCGCGCGUCGUCCGCUACUUCAACAUUCCUUCAUCUCCACGGUAUCAGGUGACAUCUUUCAAGCUCCAUUUUCAGCUGGGAGCGCCCCCAGGGCUGCAUCAUUCCCAGGUCGCGUGGGUCUGUCCCUGCGGCACGUAUCUCUUUUGUUCAUGCCUUUAGGUUACCUUGUUGGGGGCGCCCCUCGGGCUGCAUUAUCCCCAAGGCGCUCGGGCCUGACCCAGUGGCAUAUAUCCCUCUCGCAUUCGUCUGAGCUAGUUUACUAUUCCAUGCUUAACCUGCUUGACUUAAUCGCUCGAUCAAUUGACGCCAACAAGUGGAGCUGCUCCCCCUAGCACGGCUCUUGAGCAUGGGUCUGUCCCUGCAACACCGACAAAUCUGAUUGACAGAGCUCUGGCCGCGGCAGCCCCGCAAGGCGCCACCUCACCUGGCCCUCAGAGCCCUCAUCACUCCCCCAGAGCAACCAGUGGCUUGCCGACAAUUGUGAUGGCAAUUCUCGUUUUCCUCGUGAUGAGUUUACAGGGUCUCUCUAAGGGACAGCAUCGGGUGAGGCAUCCGCGGUCUCUCUUCCUCUCUCACCCGCACGAACCGCUUAUGCGUUAAAGGGGGGCACCUGAGCAUCGUGACUCAUGGGCUCUUACUGGCUCUCCAGACCUCACCUCCUGGCCUUGACCACGGCAUCGCGACCUGGCAUACCAGCGAUGGCUGAGCUCGCUCGAGGGCCGGGACCCAAGGACGUAGAGCAUGAAGGGGAGUGCGGGGGAGAAGGAGGAAGCUCACGAGGACCUCACCGGGCACCCCCCUAGCUACGGACGCGCGGGCUUGGCGCCGCGCCGAGAAAUGGCCCAAACUCCUGAGAUAAGUUGCCCUCUACGGAAUUGCUAGCUAACGCAACACCGACUAUGCACCUAAUGCGGCCCUGUAACGGCGACGUUGCGCUCCUUUCUCACUGAGCGACAGCAGCUUGAGCGCCAAGGGGGACCUCCUGAGCAUCACGCCUUGGGGGCUCUUAAUGGACCUCGGGCCGCUCACCUCCUGGCCUUGACCACGGCAUCACGACCUGGCAUACCAGCGACGACUAAAGCCUGCCUGGGGACCAGGACCUGUCAGCGCAGAGCACCAGGCCCUUGUGAGGUUAGAAAAUAGGAACCGAGCAGGGACAGGACAAGCAUCUCACACUGCAUCACGAUAAGGAUCAUAUUAACAAAAGGAAUUAUAGACGCUUUACAUACCCCCACGGGGUACUUCCUUGAUUCCCCGCAGGAAACAAAAGAUGCAAAUCCUAAAGAGCCCUAACUACAGGAGCCGCAGCAGCAGACGCCAUCAUCAACAGUGGGCCUCGGGGGGUCGGCGCCAACCCCAUCCAGAUCAGCCGCGCCGACCGCCGGGCGCACCGGCUCUGCUCCGGGUGCAACGUGAGCUCGGUGGCUCAUAGCUGUAGUCGCUCGUCUUCGGAGUCAGAAUAAGAUCGGCGGAGUCGCUGGACCCUCUGUCACGCCUGCUGCUACCAGAGGAGCUGCCGGAAAGGCGGGCGGCAGGCCUGGUCCUCGCCGCUCCAGGGCUCCGGCCGCUGUCUCUGGGGCAGCACUCCAGCCGGCAUCCUUCCUUGUCGAAGACCUUGAAGAGUAUCAGGGAGGCGCCGUCGUAUUCCAGAUGAAUUACGAAGGCUCCCCCCGGUCGGCAGACCCUGGCGAUCUCGCCCCAGCCUCGAGUCAUGAAGACCUUGCCAGGAGCGACAACCUCGACCGCCGCUUUGGUCGUGGGGGUGCGGCAGUUGGCAUGCUGCAGCCAAAGCUCCCGAGGCCCCCUCGGCGGUAUCUCGAAGGCGAAGGAGGCAGCAAGGCGGAUCCAAGAGCACAGAGGCAUGGCGGUGUGACGCACGAGCUCGCGGGAGGAGUUCGCAGCAUGGACUCCAGGGGGGACGACGCACGUCGCUGUGAUCCGUCAGCGACGCCGGCGACGCGGGUGGCACCGCUCAGCGCCCUCUUCCCUAGGGCCCUCGUCCUGGGCGUACAAGGAUAAUGGAUAUCCGGGAGGAGGCCGCUCGUACCAAGGCCUCGACGCCUCCUGCCGAGCACCCUCAUCUCGGUGGCAGGGGACCGGCCGCUUCUUCAGCGGGAGUGGGACGGGCCCCUCUCGGGGGGCCUUCCCUUUCUCUUCGGCCGAGAAGCAGCGGAUCGGCGCCAUUGUCGUCGAAUUGGAGGAGGAGCGAAUAAGAAGAGGCGGAGCAAGGAGAGACAGACUAGAAGGGCUCGCGUUAUUCCGUACUUAUAAGCUGGAGGAGGCCAACCGUCGGCUGUCGUGGUUCUAAGCCUGACAGUAGAGUGGGGGGUAGGUAUGGAGAGGCAAGGUUCUAGCUACGGAGAGGUUGUAAGCACAAAGGAUGUACGAGUUCAGGCCCUUCUCGGAAGAAGUAACAGCCCUACGUCUCGGAGCCCGGAGGCGGUCGAGUGGAUUAUGAAUGUAUGGAUUACAAGGUGCCGAACCCCUCUGCCUGUGGAGGAGGGUGGCUUAUAUAGAGUGCGCCAGGACCCCAGCCAGCCCACGUAGGAGAGGGUUUAAGGUGAGUUAAGUCUGGGGUGUUACUGGUAACGCCCCACAUAAAGUGCCUUUACUAUCAUAAAGUCUACUUAAUUACAGGCCGUUGCGGUGCAGAGUGCCUCUUGACCUCCUGAUGGUCGAGUGAGUCUUUGUGGUCGAGUCCUUCGGGCCAGUCGAGUGAAUCCUCGUUGGUCGACUGGAAGGCGACCUUUUCUAGGGAUGUCCUAGGGUAAGUUACUUGGAACAGGUCCAUGACCCUACCCUAGGUACACAACCACAUCAUUAGCCCCCGAAUGGAUUGAGGCUUCGAGUGAAGAAGGCGUUGAUGUCGUUUUCGAUUAACCUUUGCGCUCUAGUUGUGCGCUGUUCUGGAUCAAAAAUCUCUUCGUUGACAGGGAGCAAUUUGUCUUCGGUCGACUCGAUCCAUUCUAUUUUUGCGUCGAGUGAGCUUCGACGAUCUCCGAGCGACGGAUCGCCGGAAACACCGCGUCUGACAGACUGAUUUGUUGCUCGCGGAUUCCGCGGGGUGCGAAAUUUGGGGGUGCGCGCGAAGCGGGGCAGACCGUGGCGUUUGGAUGGGACGGGGCAUAGACGCCUCGAUCUCCGCGCCGCCUUUUUCGCCACGUAUCCAGUCCUCAUAACUGCUCCCAGAUAUGAUUAGAUCGACCGGGCCCACAUGUCAGCCACUCGGAAGAGACCUUAUAAAUGCGCCCGGCGGGGAUUUCUGUGCUGCGCCUCAGCAUUCUCCCUCUCUCCCUCUGCCUCCUUCCUCUCUGCUCAGUGCGCUCGCUCUCACCUCCGCACCACUUUCCUUCGCGCAUUUCGUCGGCGACCAUGGCCAAGGAGAAGACGGCGGCGCUGGAGCGUGCCAAGAAGGCGUCGGCAUCGGAGAAGGCGAAGGGGAGAUCCACCACCCGCAGGGGGUCCUCGUCCAGAUCCCGCCUGCCGAAAGGUUGGGUCCAAGGAGACUGGAUCCAGUCGACCAUCACGGAGAAGGACCUCCUCGACAUGGCCAACGAGGGCUUGAUCCCUCACGGAGCUGCGAGGUUGCCGGGGAAGGAGUGGCAGCCACAACCAGAAGAGGGUGAGUGCGUGCUCCUGGCCACUCAUGUUGACCGAGGGUUUUCUUUGCCACCCAGCAUUUUCUUCCGUGGCUUCUUGAAUUUCUUUGGAGCGCAGCUCCACCACUUUACCCCAAACUCCAUUGCCUAUCUUGCUGCAUUCGUGUCCAUGUGUGAGGGUUUCUUGGGCUGCCGACCGCACUGGGGUUUGUUCAAACGCAUCUUCACGUGUCGCUCUCAGACCGUGAAGAAGGCUAGCCCAGGUGACGAGAAGACCCGAGUCGUCCAAAUGUGUGGGGGCCUGGGGAUUCAGGUGAGGAACAAUAGCACCUUCCCGCCCAUGUCCUUUCCCGAGUCCGUCAGGGGCUGGCAGUCGACUUGGUUCUACUGCCAGGUCCAAUCGACGCCAGGGCAGUCGAGUGGACUUCCUCCAUUUUCCAUGGGCCGAGUGGGCAAGCCCUCCCCUCUGAAGCUGAUUCCGGAGGAGAAAGCCGACGUGAAGAUGUUGAUGGAGCGCGUGGUGCAGCUGGUUCGGGACGGUGUGACAGGCAUGGACCUCCUGGAGGUUUUCCUCAAGCGCCGCAUCCAGCCUCUCCAGUUCAGGAGCCACUGCAUGUGGUUGUACUGCGGACCCGAAGACGAGACUAGAGUCCAUCCAGAAGAAGUCGACGAUGUCACUCUGGAAAGAUGGAUGGUAGCCGUUACCGGAAACAGGGACAACCCGCGCGGAGCCAGAAGGAUUCCUCCACUCGACCGCAACAGCAACCCAAACAAGGUACGCUUGCUCUGCCCUCCACUGAGUCCUUGUCGUAUUCAUUUCUGCUAACCCUGUCGACUGGUCGACUGAUCUUUGUUUGUGCAUCUGCUAGGCCCUUACUGAACUGUACUCGAUGCCCAAUGGGGCACAAGCCUCGGCUGAGGAAGGCGAGGCGAGCGGGGGCGAGGCGAGCGGGGGCGAGGCGAGCGGGGGCGAGAGCCAGGAAGAGGAGGAGUGGGACUCGGAUGCUGCAGGGGGUGAUGACGACGAUGAUGAUGAUGAAGAUGAUGAAGAUGACAUCGAGGACGAGGAAGAAGAGGAAGAGGAGGUCAUUCCACCGCGCUCAGAAAGGCGGUCGAAGCUUGUCCACGACCCUUCGACCGAACGUGGCAAGGGGGUUGCGACCGCCACCCAGUCGACCAAGCGCCCCCGGACCACCUCUCCAGCGCCGACUGAAAAGGCGCCGAAGCAGCCCAGGGCGGCCUCAUCGAAGCCGACCAAGCUCCUGCCGAAGAUGAAGGUGUCCAUCCCCACCAUUUCAGGGUAAUUGUGUUGCUCAUAUUUCCUUAUCCUUAUGCGAACUUUAUCUCUGGUCGACACCGAGGUUAGUCGACUGAUCCUUUGGAGUUGCAGUGCUGCUACCUCUGAGACUUCGGCCCGGGCCGAAGACCACGAGAUGGAGGAUGCGGCAACUUCGAACCCAGGUACUGUAUUCUUAAUACCGUUGUUAGUCGACUGAUUUGCGACCUCUGAUCCUGAUUCUUCUUCGCAGUUCCGCCCCAUACUGUUAUCGAUCUUCCUGACGACGACGAGGAUGAAGAACCACUGGCACGCAGGAAGAGUCGGAAAACGCCCGCCAGUAAGGUGCCUCAGGACGUGACGGCGCCUGAGACUCUGACUGUGGAGGAAGAGAACACCACUCGACACACAGUGUCCUUCGCGAAUCCACUGUCGAGUGCUCAGCAGCCUUCCCUCUUCACGACUCACCACGUCCCAGAGGACCAAGCUGGUGCAGCGAAGGAGGCAAUACGCCAGGCGGGGCUCAUGAUGGAGCAGCUGAAGACCAUCCGGGAUGCGAGCCAGGCAGCUUAUGACGCCAGCUCUGCCCUCCAAAGCAAUGUCCAGGUCAGUCGACUGCUGUUUGUUCUGUUGGAUAUGCUACCAAAAACUUUUCUUUUCCGGGAUUUAUAUUAGUCACCCACUGGGUGUGUCGAAUAAACUCCGUGUUAGCGGGGGCACGCUUAGUGCACCCGCUGGGUGUAGUCCCCAAGGCUAAGGUCGACUGCUGGCAGUCGGCCUUAGGCUUUAUGAUGUCAAUCUUUCUGUCAGUCGACUGGUCGACUGGAUUUCGCAAACCGGUGGGGGCACGCUGAGUGCACCCACUGGGUGUAGUCCCCGAGACUGUGGUCGACUGCUUGCAGUUGAUCACAGUCUUNNNNNNNNNNNNNNNNNNNNNNNNNNNNNNNNNNNNNNNNNNNNNNNNNNNNNNNNNNNNNNNNNNNNNNNNNNNNNNNNNNNNNNNNNNNNNNNNNNNNNNNNNNNNNNNNNNNNNNNNNNNNNNNNNNNNNNNNNNNNNNNNNNNNNNNNNNNNNNNNNNNNNNNNNNNNNNNNNNNNNNNNNNNNNNNNNNNNNNNNNNNNNNNNNNNNNNNNNNNNNNNNNNNNNNNNNNNNNNNNNNNNNNNNNNNNNNNNNNNNNNNNNNNNNNNNNNNNNNNNNNNNNNNNNNNNNNNNNNNNNNNNNNNNNNNNNNNNNNNNNNNNNNNNNNNNNNNNNNNNNNNNNNNNNNNNNNNNNNNNNNNNNNNNNNNNNNNNNNNNNNNNNNNNNNNNNNNNNNNNNNNNNNNNNNNNNNNNNNNNNNNNNNNNNNNNNNNNNNNNNNNNNNNNNNNNNNNNNNNNNNNNNNNNNNNNNNNNNNNNNNNNNNNNNNNNNNNNNNNNNNNNNNNNNNNNNNNNNNNNNNNNNNNNNNNNNNNNNNNNNNNNNNNNNNNNNNNNNNNNNNNNNNNNNNNNNNNNNNNNNNNNNNNNNNNNNNNNNNNNNNNNNNNNNNNNNNNNNNNNNNNNNNNNNNNNNNNNNNNNNNNNNNNNNNNNNNNNNNNNNNNNNNNNNNNNNNNNNNNNNNNNNNNNNNNNNNNNNNNNNNNNNNNNNNNNNNNNNNNNNNNNNNNNNNNNNNNNNNNNNNNNNNNNNNNNNNNNNNNNNNNNNNNNNNNNNNNNNNNNNNNNNNNNNNNNNNNNNNNNNNNNNNNNNNNNNNNNNNNNNNNNNNNNNNNNNNNNNNNNNNNNNNNNNNNNNNNNNNNNNNNNNNNNNNNNNNNNNNNNNNNNNNNNNNNNNNNNNNNNNNNNNNNNNNNNNNNNNNNNNNNNNNNNNNNNNNNNNNNNNNNNNNNNNNNNNNNNNNNNNNNNNNNNNNNNNNNNNNNNNNNNNNNNNNNNNNNNNNNNNNNNNNNNNNNNNNNNNNNNNNNNNNNNNNNNNNNNNNNNNNNNNNNNNNNNNNNNNNNNNNNNNNNNNNNNNNNNNNNNNNNNNNNNNNNNNNNNNNNNNNNNNNNNNNNNNNNNNNNNNNNNNNNNNNNNNNNNNNNNNNNNNNNNNNNNNNNNNNNNNNNNNNNNNNNNNNNNNNNNNNNNNNNNNNNNNNNNNNNNNNNNNNNNNNNNNNNNNNNNNNNNNNNNNNNNNNNNNNNNNNNNNNNNNNNNNNNCUUUUCCUCUUGCUUGUUUCAACAUCUGAUCUUGCUGUGUCUUGCAGGUAAGGUAAGGGAGGCCCAGCAGAAGAAAGACCUUGAGCUAGCUGAGAAGAUCAAGCUUGCCGACGAGAAGUUAGCUUCAGUCACCAAGCUUGAACAAGACAACACCAACCUGAAAACUGCUCUUGGGAUUGCCAACAAGGAGGUCAGUCGACUGAGAACUGACAAAGCUGCCCUGACCGACCAAGUCAGCAAAUUGACUGAGAAGAAAACUGAACUGGAAACCUUCCUGAGUGGCCUUGCCAAGAAGCUGUUUCUUAUGCUUGAAGGUAAAUCUUCAUGUUUGGCAAAUAUUUCCAAUUGCGGCCUUUUCCAUUCGACUAUCUCUUUGACUUAAUGAUCAUCCUUGCAGAAUUUUGUCAAAACUUUGAAGAUGAAACCAGCCGACUGGAGCCAAACCUUGACCCCGUCAAUUCUCCGGUGAACGACGAAGUUGCCAUGGAUGUCUUCCGACUGGAGUCACGUGUUGCAGCUGUCGUGGACUAUCUCGCAAGGCUGAAGGCCGCCACAUCUCGCAUCGACUCGACGCUCUGGCCUGAGGAGACACUUCAGAAUGACCUUGAGUCGCUGAUGGCCCGCUUGAACACGAUCCCUGGUCGAGUGCAAGAGUGGAAGAAGUCCUCGGCUCGAUGUGGUGCAGAUGUCGCUCUGUGUCUGGCCCGAGUCCACUGCAAAGAUGCACGAGAGGAGAAGCUGGCGGCCCUUCGGGUGGCCAAUACCAAGAAGCACGACUUCAGGUCCUUUAUGGAGACUUUCCUUGCAGCUGCCACUCGGAUCGCUGACGGAAUUGACCUUGAUGAAUUCGUUGCACCUUCCAGCCCUCCGCAGGAGGGGUAAAAAACUUCUUCUGGCUCGACUCUUUAAAUUUGCCUCGGUAUGCCGAGUGGAAUUGUAACCGACAAACUUUAACAGGCUUGACGCCUGAGCACUUUCGGUUCCUUUAAAUAUCGAUUCAAGCUUGAAUUUGGCGCUUGGAUAUGAUUGCCUGUGCUUAGGCGAGCGCUUGGACUGCAGCUAAGCCUCCGAGUGAGAGGGUCGCUCUUCACUCGGUAGGAUUUUUGUAACUUAGGCGAGCACGAGGCUGCAGCUAAGCCUCCGAGUGGAAGGCUAGCUUACCACUCGGUAGGAUUUUUAUAACUUAGGCAAGCACGAGGUCGCAGCUAAGCCUCUGAGUGGAAGGCUGGCUUACCACUCGGUAGGAAUUCGAUAAACUUAGGCGAGCACGAAGCUGCAGCUAAGCCUCCGAGUGGAAGGCUGGCUUACCACUCGGUAGGAUUUUGAUAAACUUAGGCGAGUGCUUGGACUGCAGCUAAGCCCCCGAGUGUGAGGAUCGCUCNNNNNNNNNNAACUUAGGCGAGUGCUUGGACUGCAGCUAAGCCCCCGAGUGAGAGGAUCGCUCGUCACUCGGUAGGAUUUUUAUAACUUAGGCGAGCACGAAGCUGCAGCUAAGCCUCCGAGUGGAAGGCUGGCUUACCACUCGGUAGGAUUUUGAUAAACUUAGGCGAGUGCUUGGACUGCAGCUAAGCCCCCGAGUGAGAGGAUCGCUCGUCACUCGGUAGGAUUUUUAUAACUUAGGCGAGCACGAAGCUGCAGCUAAGCCUCCGAGUGGAAGGCUGGCUUACCACUCGGUAGGAUUUUGAUAAACUUAGGCGAGUGCUUGGACUGCAGCUAAGCCUCCGAGUGGAAGGCUGGCUUACCACUCGGUAGGAUUUUGAUAAACUUAGGCGAAACGGAUUCGCAGCUAAGCCUCCGAGUGAGAGUCUGGCUCACCACUCGGUAGGAUUUUUACAAACUUAGGCGAAACGGAUUCGCGGCUAAGCCACCCACUGAGGGGGAGUUUUUAUAUGGACAAAGAUAAAAAGUGAUGACACUAUUAUUCCUAAACCCAUGAACUACAGAAGUACUUAAGUGUAAAAUGGGCGGAGUAGCUCCGCGUUCCAAGCUCGGGGCUCGUCGAUAUUAUGCUUGACGUUGUAAAGACGGUACGCCCCGUUGUGGAGAACCUUAGUGACGAUGAAGGGGCCUUCCCAAGAAGGAGCAAGCUUGUGUGGUUUGUGCUGAUCCACUCGGAGAACCAGAUCCCCUUCCUGGAAGGCUCGACCUCUCACAUUUCGGGCGUGAAAACGGCGCAGAUCUUGUUGGUAGAUGGUCGAGCGGAUCAGAGCCAUCUCCCUUUCUUCCUCCAAAAGGUCGACUGCGUCCUGUCGCGCUUGUUCAGCUUCUGCUUCGUUAUAGAUUUCGACUCGAGGAGCAUUAUGCAGAAGGUCACUCGGCAAGACUGCUUCAGCUCCAUAGACCAAGAAGAAUGGAGUUCUUCCAGUCGACCGAUUGGGCGUGGUCCGCAGUCCCCAGAGUACAGAUGGAAGUUCGUCGACCCAAGCUCCAGCCGCGUGUUUGAGAUCACGCAUCAGUCGCGGCUUCAGUCCCUUGAGAAUCAGUCCAUUAGCUCGCUCUGCUUGUCCAUUCGACUGCGGAUGGGCGACUGAUGCGUAGUCGACCCGUGUGCCCUGGGAGUUGCAGAAGGUUCUGAAUUCCUCUGAGUCAAAGUUUGACCCAUUAUCCGUAAUGAUGCUGUGCGGGACUCCAUAUCUGAAUAUUAGUUCCCUGAUGAAGCUAACAGCAGUACCGGUGUCGAGGCUCUUGAUUGGCUUAGCCUCGAUCCACUUGGUGAACUUGUCGACUGCCACCAGUACAUGUGUGAAGCCACUUCGUCCUGUUCUCAAAGGGCCGACCAUGUCCAGCCCCCAAACUGCAAAAGGCCAGACGAGUGGGAUGGUCUUCAAAGCUGACGCAGGCUUGUGCGACAUAUUCGAGUAGAACUGACAUCCCUCGCACUUAUCCACUAUCUCCCUUGCCAUCUCAUUCGCCUUGGGCCAGUAAAAUCCGGCUCGGUAUGCCUUGGCCACGAUGGUCCGAGAGGACGCAUGGUGACCGCAGGUCCCUGGGUGAAUAUCAUUGAGGAUGAGUCGACCUUCUUCUGGCGUUAUGCACUUCUGGCCGACUCCAGUCGCACUUUCUCUGUAUAAUUGUCCUUUGAUUACGGUAAAGGCUUUAGAUCGACGGACGAUCUGUCGAGCCUCUUCCUCAUUCUCCGGAAGCUCUUUCCUCAAGAUAUAUGCGACGUACGGAAUCGUCCAGUCGGGAACGACCACCAAAACCUCCAUGACCAAGUCGACCACUGCUGGGACUUCCACUUCAGUCGGAUCUGUGGCGCUCUUAGGCUGCGGAGUUUCUUCUGUGAAAGGGUCUUCUUUGACUGACGGAGUAUGUAUAUGCUCCAAGAACACGCCACUCGGAAUGGCUUCUCUCUUGGAACCUAUCUUCGCUAGAUCAUCAGCUGCUUGAUUCUUCAGUCGGGGUAUAUGAUGGAGCUCCAACCCCUCGAACUUUUUCUCCAGCUUCCUCACUGCAUUGCAGUAUCCAGUCAUGGCUGGGCUUCUCACGUCCCACUCUUUCAUCACCUGGUUGACCACUAAAUCCGAGUCGCCAUAGACCAUUAGGCGACGGACGCCGAGUGAAAUGGCCAUGCGCAACCCAUACAGGAGGGCCUCAUAUUCUGCCUCAUUGUUGGAGGAAUCAAAGUGAAUCUGGAGCACAUAUCUGAGCUUAUCUCCUCUGGGGGAAACCAGGACAACCCCAGCACCGGAACCAUUCAACAUCUUAGAACCAUCGAAAAACAUGGUCCAAUGCUCCGAGUGAACUUCAGUCGGCUGCUGUUGUUCAAUCCACUCGGCGAGGAAAUCUGCUAUCGCCUGGGACUUAAUGGCUUUCUUUGCCUCAAACUUGAUAUCAAGGGGAAGAAGUUCAAUCGCCCAUUUGGCCACUCGACCAGUUGCAUCUCUGUUGUGCAAAAUCUCUGAUAGUGGAGCGUCGCUGACGACUGUGAUUGAAUGGUCAGAGAAAUAAUGAGCAACCUUCUUUGUGGUCAUGUAUAUUCCAUACACAAGCUUCUGAUAAUGAGGAUAUCUCUGCUUGGAUGGAGUCAAGACUUCAGACAAAUAAUACACUGGGCGCUGAACUUUGAGAGCUUUUCCUUCUUCUUCCCGCUCGACCGUUAGCACAGUACUGACGACUUGUCCUGUGGCUGCGAUGUAGAGCAACAGAGGCUCUUUGCUGAUUGGAGCAGCAAGCACCGGCUGGGUGGAGAGCAGAGCUUUUAGCUCGGCAAACGCUGCAUCAGCUUCUGGAGUCCACUCGAACUUGUCAGCCUUUUUCAUCAGUCGGUAAAGAGGCAGUGCCUUUUCACCGAGUCAUGAGAUGAAUCGACUUAAUGCGGCCAAGCAUCCAGUAAGCUUCUGGACAUCGUGCACUCGCACAGGGCGUUUCAUUCGGAGAAUAGUGCCGAUCUUUUCUGGGUUGGCGUCGAUUCCCCGUUCGGAAACGAGAAAACCGAGUAACUUGCCACCAGGAACUCCAAAUGUGCACUUUGAUGGAUUGAGCUUGAUAUCAUACCUUCUGAGGUUGGCAAAUGUUUCAGCAAGGUCAGCGAGCAGGUCGGAACCUUUUCGCGACUUGACAACAAUAUCAUCCAUAUAAGCUUCCACAUUCCGACUGAUUUGAGUGAGGAGACACUUCUGGAUCAUUCGCAUAAAUGUGGCUCCGGCAUUCUUGAGACCGAAUGGCAUGGUGAUAUAGCAGAAGCACCCGAAUGGAGUGAUGAAAGCUGUUUUUACUUCAUCGGGCCCAUACAGACGGAUCUGGUGGUACCCGGAGUAAGCAUCUAAAAAAGACAACCUCUCGCAUCCCGCGGUCGAGUCAACAAUUUGAUCUAUGCGAGGGAGAGGAAAGUGAUCUUUCGGGCAGGCCCGGUUGAUGUGCUUGAAAUCAAUGCACAUUCGGAGCGAUUUGUCCUUCUUAGGAACCAUGAUGACAUUAGCGAGCCACUCGGAGUGGAAUAUCUCUCGGAUAAAUCCUGCCGCCAACAGUCGAGCCACUUCUUCACCGAUGGCCUUUCUCUUCUGGACGGCGGACCGCCGAAGAUGUUCUUUGACUGGUUUUGCAGACUUGUCGACUCUUAGGCGAUGCUCAGCCAGUCCCCUGGGAACACCUGGCAUGUCAGCGGGCUUCCAUGCAAAAAUGUCCCAGUUCUCACGGAGGAACUGGAUGAGCGCUUCUUCCUAUUUUGGGUCGAGUGUUGUGGAGAUGCGGGUCGGAGCUGCUUCAGGGUCGGUCGGGUGGAUGUGAACAGGCUUUGUCUCACCGGACGACUGGAAUGCAGAUUCUGUGGCGGGCUUCUUGGAUCGCAGCAAGUCACUCGGAUCUGCGCUUUGCUUGUAUUCUUCAAACUCGACCGCUGUCACUUGGGAAUCGGCAAUUUUGGAGCCCUUCUGAAAGCACUCUUCUGCCUUUUUCCUAUCACCGGUGACAGUGAUCACACCUUUGGGACCGGGCAUCUUCAAUUUGAGGUACACGUAACAUGGUCGAGCCAUGAACCGUGCAUAGGCUGGCCUCCCCAAAAUGGCAUGAUAUGCACUUUGAAAAUCCACGACCUCAAACGUCAAUUUUUCUUUGCGAAAAUGCUUUGAAUCGCCAAACACUACGUCCAAAGCUAUCUGGCCGAGUGACUCGGCCUUCUUCCCUGGUAUGACUCCAUGAAAGCUCAUGUUACUAGUGCUCAGUCGGGACAUCGGAAUGCCCAUACCUUUCAAUGUGUCUGCAUAUAAUAAGUUCAGCCCACUUCCACCAUCCAUCAGCACCUUUGUCAGUCGAGUGCCUUCGACAACUGGAUCGACCACCAAAGCUUGCCUCCCAGGGGUGGCAAUAUGAGUCGGGUGAUCAGAUUGGUCGAAUGUGAUGGGUGUUUGAGACCACUUCAGAUAACUUGCCUUUGCUGGGGCAACCAUGUUAACCUCUCGGUUAAUCACUUUCAGUCGACUUCUGCUUUCCACAUCUGCGAAGAUCAUCAGAGUGGAGUUGAUAUGCGGGUAUCCUCCCUCACUGUCCUCUUUGUCUUCGGCUUUGUCUGACUCCUUCUCCUUGUCCUUAGACUGUUUUCCCUGAAACUACUGGAUCAGGAGUCGACAUUGGCGAGUGGUGUGCUUCGGGUAAAUGAUAUUCCCCUCUUCGUCUUUCUUCGUGUGGAUGUGGCACGGCAUAUCCAUCACGUCGUUCCCUUCUUUAUCCUUCACCUUCUUGGGGUUCCAGGAUCCUUUUGGUUUCCCCUUAGACUUUCCUUGAGUCACGGCCAGAGCCUCCCCAGGAGCUGCCGGUUCGGCCUUCCGCUUCUGUUUCCGACUGGUGUUCCCUUUUUCCGAUUGACUCGGCUUGUGCUUGCCGCUUCGGAGUCGGUCUUCUUCUUCGCCGUUGGCGUACUUGGUAGCAAUCUCCAUCAUCCGACUCAAGGUCAUGUCACCGGUUCGACCAAAUUUCAAACUCAGUUCUCUGUUCUUGACACCAUCUUUAAAGGCGCAUACUGCCUGAUGGUCAGAGACAUUUUCCACAGUGUGGUGCAAAGUGAUCCACCUCUGAAUAUACUCUCUGAGAGUCUCAUUGGUUUUCUGCACGCAGACUUGCAACUCUGUCAAUCCCGCUGGUCGCUUGCAAGUCCCUUCGAACGUUCUGACAAACACUCGGGACAGAUCUUCCCAAGUGUAAAUGCUGCUAGGAGGUAAUUGAGUCAACCAUGCCCUGGCAGAACCUUCCAACAUGAGGGGCAAAUGCUUCAUGGCCACCUCGUCGUUCCCACCACCGAUCUGAACUGCCACUCGGUAGUCUUCAAGUCAAGUUUCAGGCUUGGACUCACCAGUGAACUUGCUGACUCCUGUUGCCAGCCUGAAAUUGGGGGGGAUAACUGCGGCUCUGAUAGCUCUGCUGAAACAUUCAGGACCAGAAACAUGUACUCGACUGCUCGUGGGCGCAUCUCUGUCGAGUGCACCUCGAUGGGCUCUGUUCCGGUCGACCAACCCUUGCACGAUAAUGGAUCGCGCGUCGAAGCCUGGCUCUCUAUGGUCAACUGGAACCCUACGCCCUGUACUGUACUGACGCCUAUCAUCUGGCCGCCGAGGAGCGUAAGACCCACCCCUCGGAGGGGAAUAGGGCACUCGACGCCUAUCAUCUCGGUCGAGUCUGUCGCCAUAUUGAUCUCGCCGAUUCUCACGCCCUUCGCGCCGCGGAGGCGAUCUGGGGCUGUGAGCCGACUGAACCGUAUUCACAGUGACAGAUCGACUGUGAAUUCUGUUGCGCGACUGAGACACGGCCGAAUUCUGAUCUCCUGCUGCCCGGAGCAGAUCCCUGAUCUGCAGCAAACCUCUGCCAGCCUCUGACUGCGAAGGCUGAAUGGACUCUGCUAUACGGGUCGCAGCUGCUAAAUUCUGAAUUGGGGUUCGAUAUACCUGAGUCGGCGGGAAGAGUUGACGUCGACUGGAGUCGGGAACUCGUUGCCGCGCGCGCUCGUCGAGUGCUCGCUGAAGGUUCUCCAGUCGAGUGCGCUCGGCCAAGUUGGCCAGACGCGCCUCCUCCAAGGCACGAGCCUCGGGGGUUUCUCCCGCGAUGGGAAUACGCAGGGGAUCCUCGUUCCUGCGGCGAAGCUCUUCUCUUUGCAGAGAGUCGAGUGGCUCGGGCUGGUACUCUUCGUAGCCUCGAGCAGGGUCUCCGCCGUCGCCUGCUCCACCUCCGCGGGCGAAGCCAGGAGGGCUGUGGGGCCCGUCGACCAUCAAGAUUUCCGCCGCUGGAUCACUGCUUCCGCACUCGGAUGCAGUCUCUCCGGAGCCAGUCGACUGAUCGAACAAGCCGUAGAGAGAUUCGUUGGGCUCGAUUGCCGCAACUUGUGUAGUGGUCGACUGGCGAGCCAUCGCGUGACUCACCCAUCGCUGAAGCCUCGACCGGCCCGAGCGCUUGCGCUGGCGGGAGACCGGGAGGGUGGAAGACGGAGGAGCCGACCGGUACUGGGUCGAUGGCUGCCGCAGCAGAACACCGUGGACACAUGCGCGGAAAUGCGUCGCACCGCGGACGGGGAGCGCAUCCACGUCGAGUGGAGCCUCCUGAAGCCAUGCGGAGUCGUCGGCGACGAAGGUGAGUGCGCCGAGACGGAUCUCUUGGCCCUCGACCAAAACUCCAGCAGACACCAUGAUGAAAAUACUCGGAAGAAUCGCAACUUCUCCGAAAAAUCGCUAAAACACCUGCCCCACGGUGGGCGCCAACUGUCGUGGUUCUAAGCCUGACAGUAGAGUGGGGGGUAGGUAUGGAGAGGCAAGGUUCUAGCUACGGAGAGGUUGUAAGCACAAAGGAUGUACGAGUUCAGGCCCUUCUCGGAAGAAGUAACAGCCCUACGUCUCGGAGCCCGGAGGCGGUCGAGUGGAUUAUGAAUGUAUGGAUUACAAGGUGCCGAACCCCUCUGCCUGUGGAGGAGGGUGGCUUAUAUAGAGUGCGCCAGGACCCCAGCCAGCCCACGUAGGAGAGGGUUUAAGGUGAGUUAAGUCUGGGGCGUUACUGGUAACGCCCCACAUAAAGUGCCUUUACUAUCAUAAAGUCUACUUAAUUACAGGCCGUUGCGGUGCAGAGUGCCUCUUGACCUCCUGAUGGUCGAGUGAGUCUUUGUGGUCGAGUCCUUCGGGCCAGUCGAGUGAAUCCUCGUUGGUCGACUGGAAGGCGACCUUUUCUAGGGAUGUCCUAGGGUAAGUUACUUGGAACAGGUCCAUGACCCUACCCUAGGUACACAACCCCAUCAUCGGCCUCCACGAUCACAGGUAAUCAUGACCCGUUUUGCAUGUAGGGACUAGUCACGUCGGACGGUUGCCGAUGCGUCAUGGGGAAGCGGAUACGCCCAUGUCCAAUCAACCGCCACACGGCGUCCAAGGCUGCAGGCUGUUGGGGCCUGCGGCGCUUCGCACUUGCCCCUUCGCUUCUCUGCUAAGCCAAGUCCGGGCGCGCCUUGGGCCCGGGGGCUACUAUCGGUGUUCUGGGAACGGGGGUCCCCAGACUUGCCUGCCUGCAGCCUGCGGCGUGGCUCAAGCAGUGGCCCAGUGCGGCCCACCUUCAUCAGCUCAAGCUCAAGACCCUCACGAGGGGCCAAGCCUCGCGGGGCGGACGACAGGAAGCUUCCUCAGGAGCAGCCUCAUCGGGCUGGCUCGCGAGGAGGCAGAGAGAUCAAGGCAGGGGUACCUCGCGAGGUACCGUGACGCAAGCCAUGACGAUCGAGGCCAGGCGGGCACCAGGCAGACGCCGGCCUAUGCAGUGUCCUUGUUUCCCCUUUGGUGCAAAGGGAGCAAGCACAUGCCAAGGCAUUAGGCAAAGGCUACCGUUUCGGUGCAACAAGACCAAGACCAGCAGAGCGGCAGGAUGGAGGUCACCGUGGAGCCCAAGGCGGCGUCAUCGUUAGAGUCUUUGGUAGUCGAAGACCAACUUUAGUCAGGAUAAGUGUACUAGAUGUUCCCCUUCAAAAUGGCCAAUUGUUGGCGCCCUUCCCGCUCAAUAUUUGGGAAGAGGACCAGAGCCUCUCUCUAUAUAUAUAGUACUAUCCACCAUAGUAUAGAGGCAUCUGGAAUCGACCCCUCCAAAGGGACAACACCACCACAAGAACAUCCCUCGCGAGGUUGGUCUUCCCUUGUACUGUUCAUCAUCAGCCCCUGAGGCAAUCCACCACACCACAAACUAGAGUAGGGUAUUACACCACAACAGUGGCCCGAACUAGUAUAAACCUUGUGUCCCUUGUGUUGUUCAUCGUGUAGCCUAGAUUCCUUGCGAGGCUUCGAGAUGUGAGCCGGUAGGGGAGAGAUCUUCGUGUGCACCCCAGAGUUUGAACCUCAAGGGUCUGUCGGAACCCGAAAUCUGACAUUCGCUGGCUCUUCGAGGAAGAUCCUGAACAGUGUCAGCUGGGAGGCAUAAGACGGCCAUCAAGCCAUCCGGCGUAGAUCCGACAGUACCAAAAUAAAAUAAAAUCGUGUGACCCCAAUUUAGUUUUCAGUCAACAGACGUGUGACCACUCUCGUACCUUACUGUUGAUCUCUUAGUGUAUUUCUUCAUAUCAAAGAUAUGUUUCAUUCUUAAAAUUAUGCAUUUUUUGCAUCUUCAGCCACACCGUCUUCCUUCUCACCGCAGCUACUCCAACAAGGGAAGCAUACACCAGAAGGGAGCUAUAGUCUCCACUCAACAGUUCCCUGCAUUGAAUGCGUGUGCCCGACAUGGACAACCACAACAAUUGCAGGGCCAUCGACAAGUCAGCACAUGAUGCUCACUCCUAUGGAUGGCGGCCAGAUAGGUUGUACCCUCAUCUUACUUGUGUGCAACAUUUAUGGCUUUGCUAUUCAUCUAAGCAUGGAAAAUAGAUUAUCACAUUUCACUGUAUAUUCAUGCUGAUCUCUUAUGGGUCUUGUUCAGGAGUUAACGUUGUUCCAUAGUUCAGAUAAGAUACUUGUUCUUUAGGUAGCGUUGUUCCAUAGUUAUCAUCCAUUAGCCAAUGCUAUCCCACAGGCUGGUGAUUAUAGUAUUAUACCACUUCUAGUAUUACCUAUGUUGUUCUUUAAUACUUUUGUGUGCCAUCUAGUUAAUCUCGAGUACAAACGAUACAUAUUCUGUAGCUUUCAUCUGUGUUCUCCCUUUAGUUUUUGAGACAUGUUGUUGUAGUUAACCCCAGUCCUACUAUUUAUGUCAUCUCCUACACGCACUCAUUACAUAAAUCUAAGUACUAGUUGUCUUCCAUGCAUGUCAGAUAUAAUUGCACACACUGAUAUAUCCACAAGAACCUCACGGAGCAAUGUAACGGCCAACAAACUUGACGUCAAUGAUACCCAAUAUGAUGGAAUAUGUAAAGGCAGUUCUUUAGAAGACUUGCAGAAAGAUGAUGAAUCCUAUUCAACCCACAAGGUUCUUGCUCUAACUUGGCCCGUGAUAUGGGUACAACAUGCACAUAAUGUCUUGGAGUGCAUCUACUAUGUUGCAAUGCUAUGUGCUUAGCCUGCUGAUCAUGCAUGUAAAUAUGUCAUGCCUUCUUGUUUUUCAGUACCUAUCCCAUUCAUGAUAAUAUGUUUUCAAAUUCAAGUAUUGUCGUUCUACUCUAUCACAAUGCCAUUUGCUUAGUCUGGACAUCAUGCUUCUGAAUAUCUUAUGCAUUGUUAUUCAUCAGUAUGUACUUCAUAUGUCUACCAUACCAUGUUUUUUUUACAUUGAAGUGAUGUUCCAGUGGUCUGUUGCAAUGCCAUCUUAGUUUCCAAAUCAUACACACAUAUGUUGCCUUAGUGUUUUUCUGUAUGUAUUCCUCUAUCAUACAAUUUUACAUUCAACUAGUGUUUUUUUACUCUGUUGUCCUGUCGUAUCCCUAGCUCUUACAUCAUACUCCCUUCGUCCGGAUUACAUGUCGUAGAAAUGGAUAAAAAUGGAUGUAUCUAGAACUGAAAUACCCUAGACCCAUCCAUUUAUUUUUGGAUGGAGGGAAUACAUGUCAAUAUGUCAUGCCUUUCUAUUCUUCAGUACCUAUUCCAUCUCUCUGUUGUAGCAUGUUUUAUAAUUGAAGCACCAUUCUUCUAUAUAAGACAUGCAAGGGGAAGACGACUAUGUUAGAAUCUGAAGGGUUACAAACAAGGUCUUUACAAAAGAUCCAAGCGCCAGGAGAUAGUAAACCAACUCCAGUGUUUAUAGAUACUGCUCCAGCACAGAGAAACCCAACUCCUACUGAUAAUAAGCAGAUUGCAGUGGCCAAAGAACUAGUCCGCUCCAGUCCAGCAAAAAUAUGUCAACUCCAUUCUAAGAAGCGUGUGUGUAUCCUCGCGUCAUGAAAUUUUAUAGCAUUUUGAUCAUAUUUUCUACAUGUUUCUUACUCAUCUCUCUUUUAGAAAAUAAGCUUAAAGGAUAGAAGACUUUAUAUACUGGGAUCAUAUUCGAGGAAAGUAUCUUGCGGUAAUUCUUUGUGCUCCAAUACUGAUGUAAGUACAUGUUGUAUAUCACUAUAUUUUUACAUCAGCAUGCAUUUUGUUAAUCGGCGUGAAUCCAACCUUUAUCUGAUCUAAAUUUAGUUGUAGCAAAAUGUAUAAUUAAAGGCAACACUGUUGAUUUUUGUAAGGAAAACUGCCUAGUAAUUUUGCAUACUGAGUUGCAUGAGUGUACUAUCUCAUAUCAUGCACAUUACUAAAUUGUAGUGUUGUUCUGGUUGCCCAUUCAUUCAUUGUGUCAAUGUUUCUUUCGUAUUACCUUACCUAGCUGAUGAUAGCGGUGCCAUAUUGUGUUAAUUUGGUGUAGGCUGGUGUGGUCUGGUUGCCCAAACGUUCAUUGUGUCAAUGUUGCUUUCCUAUUAUCUGACCUGGCCAAUGAUAGCAAUGUUAGUGUGUUAAUUUGGUGCAGGCUGCUGAAGAUAAGAAGACAAACUCUGAAAACAACAAGGAAACCCCAUUGUUUCUUUUCAAUAAAUUUAGGCCAGGUAAUAUGGCAAUAACUCUUGAUUAAUUUAUUCGGUUCCCCUCCUAAUUUAUGUUAUGAUGCAGUGGUCGAGACACUCUCCACUAUCAAUAAUACAAGCCUGCCAAACUUGUCAUCUGAAUCUGUUCAGUUUCCUCUACCUCGAAUGCAACGGAAAAAAUGUAUAUUUGUGAACCAAUUACUGGUUGAAGAAAUGAUGAAAAUCAUGGAGGAAUCAUAGGUGCACAUUCUUGUGCAACAACAACUGAUCAAUGUUUUCAGAGACAAUGUAGCAAAGAAGGAAGAACUUGCUCACAUGCUUAUGGGCGUCAUCCAUGCUAAGGUUGCAGAUUGUAAGGUUGUAGAUCAUUAGGUUCUGUUCAUUUAUUUGCACUGGCAUCAAUCUUUGAUUGCCCAGUGGAUGUAAUUUCCUGUAAUAUAAGCUGGAUGUGCAACGUUUUUCCAUGUAUGGCGUAUGUUUGCUUAGCGCGCUUGCAUUCCAGCUAACUGGUCGCUAGGAAGCUAAAAAAGCAGUGAAAUUAUUAGUUAGCACGAACAGUCAUGGGCCCUAUAUGAAGGAAGAAGCCCACUGCCCUUAAUGGGCUUCCCUAAUGGGCUCGCAGGGGCCAAAAUUCUCAUAGGGCCUUUGAUUGAUCGGUUUUGCUCCUGUCCAUAAUUGCUCGUCGUAAUGGGCUCAAAUUAUCUAAUUGGGCCCACAAGCAUGUUCGAACUUUAGUGGGCCCAUUAAGUUAAUGGGCUGUAACCAGGCCGAAAGCUCUAUUGGGUCGCUGUAAUUGUAACGAGCUGACAGUUAAUGCUCGGCCCUAUUACCUCCCGGGUCGUUAACAGGUCGACAUUGAAGCGGGCAACAGGUGGGCCCAUUUGAUUUCACGGGCCGUUAACAUGCUGAUACUAAGGUCGGGCUACAUAUGGCCCAACUAUACUGUGGGCCUUUAGCAGGCCAAAAGAGACAACGAGCUCGUACUGGACCAUGAAGAGCAUGGGCCGCUAAGAGGCCAAAAGUCAGAUCGUACUGUAUAUGGCCCAACUGUGUUGUGGGCCUUUAGCAGGCCGAAAGAGAAACCGGGCUGGUAUUGGACCAUGAAGAGUAUGGGCCAUUAAAAGGCCAAAACUCAGGUCCGACUGCAAAUGGCCCAACUCAUUUAUGGGCCGUUAACAGGCUGAAAGACACACCAGGCCGGAAAUUGGCCCAACAACUAAAUGGGUCACUAAAAGGCCGAAAGACAUACAUCCUGAAAAUUGGCCCAUCCCUUGAAUGGGUCGUUAACAUGCUGAAACCACAUCGGGCCUAUAUUGAGCCCAAAUAUAUAGCGAGCUAUUAACGGGCUCGAACUGACGAUGGGUGAUACAUCCAUUUUGCAUCAUGCUUUUAUGACAAUAUUUAUUGCAUUAUGGGCUGCUAUUUCACGUUAUGUCACAAUACUUAUGGCUAUUCUCUCUUAUUUUACAAGGUUUAUAUGAAGAGGGAGAAUGCCGGCAGCUGGAAUUCUGGGCUGGAAAAGGAGCAAAUAUUGGAGGCCUAUUCUACACAACCCAAAAGUCCUGAAACUCCACGGAAUACCUUGAAAUAAAUAAAGAAAAAUCGUCACCAAAGAUGAAGGCCAGGGGGCCCAUACCCUGCUCACUAGGGUGGGGGCGCGCCCUCCCUGGGCGCGCCCCCCUAACUCGUGGCCCCCCUGGUGGCUCUCCAACGCCCAUCUUCUCCUAUAUGAAGUCUUUCGAUGAGAAAAAAAUAAGAAGCAACCUUUCGGGACGAGACUCCGCCGCCACGAGGCAGAACCUUGGCGGAACCAAUCUAGGGCUCCUGCAGAGCUGUUCUGCCGGGGACACUUCCCUCCAGGAGGGGGAAAUCAUCACCAUCGUCAUCACCAACGCUCCUCUCAUCGGGAGAGGGCAAUCUCCAUCAACAAUCUUCACCAGCACCAUCUCAUCUCCAAACCCUAGUUCAUCUCUUGUAUCCAAUUCUUGUCUCCAAGUCCGGGAUUGGUGCUAGUAGGUUGCUAGUAGUGUUGAUUACUCCUUGUAGUUGAUGCUAGUUGGUUUAUUUGGUGGAAGAUCAUAUGUUCAGAUCCUUUACACAUAUUAUUACCCCUCUGAUUAUGAAUAUGAAUAUGCUUUGUGAGUAAUUACGUUUGUUCCUGAGGACAAGGGAGAAGUCUUGCUAUUAGUAGUCAUGUGAAUUUGGUAUUCGUUCUAUAUUUUGAUAAGAUGUAUGUUGUCUAGCCUCUAGUGGUGUUAUGUGAAUGUCGACUACAUAACACUUCACCAUUAUUUGGGCCUAGAGGAAGGCAUUGGGAAGUAAUAAGUAGAUGAUGGGUUGCUAGAGUGACAGAAGCUUAAACCCUAGUUUAUGCGUUGCUUCGUAAGGGGCUGAUUUGGAUCCAUAUGUUUCAUGCUAUGGUUAGGUUUACCUUAAUACUUUUGUUGUAGUUGCGGAUGCUUGCAAUAGAGGUUAAUCAUAAGUGGGAUGCUUGUCCAAGUAAGGGCAGUAACCAAGCACCGGUCCACCCACAUAUCAAAUUAUCAAAGUAUCGAACGCGAAUCAUAUGAGCGUGAUGAAAACUAGCUUGACGAUAUUCCCAUGUGUCCUCGGGAGCACUUUUCCUAUUAUAAGAGUUUGUCCAGGCUUGUCCUUUGCUACAAAAACAAUUGGGCCACCUUGCUGCACUUUAUUUACUUUUGUUACUUGUUGCUCGUUACAAUUUAUCUUAUCACAAAACUAUCUGUUACCACUUAUUUCAGUACUUGCAGAGAAUACCUUGCUGAAAACCGCUUAUCAUUUCCUUCUGCUCCUCGUUGGGUUCGACACUCUUACUUAUCGAAAGGACUACGAUAGAUCCCCUAUACUUGUGGGUCAUCAAGACUCUUUUUUGGCGCCGUUGCCGGGGAGUGAAGCGCCUUUGGUAGGUGGAAUUUGGUAUGGAAAAAUUUAUUUAGUGUGCUGAAAUUUUCUGUCACUUGUUACUAUGGAAAGUAAUUGUCUGAGGGGCUUGUUUGGGGUAUCUUCACCCCGUCCAGUCGAGCAAAGAGUUGCUCCUCAACCUACUCAACCUACUGAACCUAUUGAAAAUGAAACCCCUUUUGAGAUUCCUUCGGGUUUGAUGGAAAAACUGCCAGCUAACACUUUUACAGGAGAUGGAACAAAGCAUCCUGAUGAAGAUCUACGCUAUGUGGAUGAUGUUUGUGGACUAUUUAAGCUUGCAGGUAUACCCGAUGAUGUUGUUAAAAAGAAGGCUUUCCCUUUAUCUUUAAAGGGAGACGCAUUGACAUGGUAUAGGCUAUGUGGUGAUACGACAUCCUGGAACUAUAAAAGAUUGAAGUUGGAAUUUCAUCAAAAGUAUUACCCUAUGCAUCUUGUUCAUCGUGAUCGCAAUUAUAUAUAUAAUUUUUGGCCUCGCGAAGGAGAAAGCAUCGCUCAAGCUUGGGGGAGGCUUAAAUCAAUGUUAUAUUCAUGCCCCAAUCAUGAGCUCGCAAGAGAAGUGAUUAUGCAAAGUUUUUAUGCUCGGCUUUCUCAUAACAAUCGCACCAUGCUCUAUACUUCUUGUGCUGGCUCUUUUAUGAUGAAGACUAUUGAAUUCAGAUGGAAUUUAUUGGAUAGAAUUAAAUGCAACUCUGAAGAUUGGGACCUCGACGAAGGUAAGGAGUCAGGUAUGACACCUAAGUUUGAUUGUGUUAAAUCUUUUAUGGAUACCGAUAUUUUCCGUAAGUUUAGCACUAAAUAUGGACUUGACUCUGAGAUAGUAGCUUCUUUCUGUGAAUCUUUUGCUACUUAUGUUGAUCUCCCCAAGGAGAAGUGGUUCAAAUAUCAUCCUCCCAUAGAAGUAAAAGUAGUUGCACCUAUUAAAGUUGAAGAAAAGAUUGUCACUUAUAAUGAUCCUAUUGUUCCCACUUCUUAUGUUGAGAAACCACCUUUCCCCGUUAGAAUGAAGGAUCAUGCUAAAGCUUCAACUGUUGUUCGUAAAAGCAAUAUUAGAACUUAUACACCUCCUGAGCAAGUCAAAGUAGAACCUAAUAUUGCUAUUGUUAAAGAUCUCUUGUCUGACAAUAUUGAUGGGCAUGUUAUUCAAUUCUGUGGUGAAACUGCCAGAAUUGCUAAACCUUGUGAUAAAGAUAAACAUAGACCUGUGGUAGGCGUGCAUGUUAUUUCUGUUAAAAUAGGAGAUCAUUGUUAUCAUGGCUUGUGUGAUAUGGGUGCUAGUGCUAGUGUUAUACCCAUUGACUUAUACAAAGAAAUUAUGCAUGAUAUUGCACCGGCUGAGUUAGAAGGUAUUGAUGUUACAAUUAAACUUGCCAAUAGAGAUACUAUUUCUCCAGUGGGAAUUGUUAGAGAUGUUGAAGUCUUGUGUGGAAAAACCAAAUAUCCCGCUGAUUUUCUUGUUCUUGGUUCUCCACAAGAUAGCUUUUGUCCCAUUGUAUUUGGUAGACCCUUCUUGAAUAUUGUUAAUGCUAAGAUAGAUUGCAAAAAGAAUGUUGUUACUAUUGGCUUGGAUGAUAUGGUUCAUUAGUUUAAUUUCUCUAAAUUCAGUAAACAACAUCGUGAGGAAGAAUCGCCUAGUAAGGAUGAAAUUAUUGGUCUUGCCUCUAUUGCUGUACCUCCUAGUGAUCCUUUAGAACAGUAUUUGCUAGACCAUGAAAAUGAUAUGUUCAUGAAUGAAAGAAGGGAAAUAGAUGAAGUAUUCUUUAAACAGGAACCUAUUCUGCAACACAAUUUGCCUGUUGAAAUCCUAGGGGAUCCUCCUCCACCCAAGGGUGAUCCCGUGUUUGAGCUUAAACCGUUGCCUGAUAAUCUUAAAUAUGCUUAUCUUGAUGAAAAGAAAAUAUAUCCUGUCAUUAUUAGUGCUAACCUUUCAGAGCAUGAAGAAGAAAGAUUAUUGAAAACUCUGAAGAAGCACCGUGCCGCUAUUGGAUAUACUCUGGAUGAUCUUAAGGGUAUCAGUCCCACUCUAUGCCAACAUAAAAUAAAUUUGGAAGCAGAUGCCAAACCAGUUUGUGAUCCUCAAUGACGUUUGAAUCCUAAAAUGAAAGAAGUGGUAAGAAAAGAAAUAUUCAAGCUUCUGGAGGCAUGUAUAAUUUAUCCCGUUGCUGAUAAUCAGUGGGUAAGUCCUGCCCAUUGUGUCCCUAAGAAGGGAGGUAUUACUGUUGUCCCUAAUGAUAAAGAUGAAUUGAUUCCGCAAAGAAUUAUCACAAGCUAUAGGAUGGUAAUUGAUUUCCGCAAAAUAAAUAAAGCUAGUAAGAAAGAUCAUUACCCCUUACCUUUUAUUGAUCAAAUGCUAGAAAGAUUAUGCAAACAUACACAUUAUUGCUUCCUAGAUGGUUAUUCUAGUUUCUCUCAAAUACCUGUGUCAGCUAAGGAUCAAUCAAAGACUACUUUUACAUGCCCUUUUGGUACUUUUGCUUAUAGACGUAUGCCUUUUGGUUUAUGUAAUGCACCUUCUACCUUUCAAAGAUGCAUGAUGGCUAUAUUCUUUGACUUUUGUGAAAAAAAUUGUGAGGUUUUCAUGGACGAUUUUUCCGUCUAUGGUUCCUCUUUUGAUGAUUGCUUAAGCAAUCUUGAUCGAGUUUUGUAGACAUGUGAAGAAACUAAUCUUGUCUUGAAUUGGGAAAAGUGCCACUUUAUGGUUAAUGAACGUAUUGUCUUGGGGCACAAAGUUUUUGAAAGAGGUAUUGAAGUUGAUAAGGCCAAGGUUGAUGCUAUUGAAAAGAUGCCAUGUCCCAAGGACAUCAAAGGUAUAAGAAGUUUCCUUGGUCAUGCCGGAUUUUGUAGGAGGUUCAUUAAGGACUUCUCAAAAAUUUCUCGGCCUCUGACUAAUUUAUUACAAAAAGAUGUACCAUUUGUCUUUGAUGAUGAUUGUGUAGAAGCAUUUGAAAUACUUAAGAAAGCAUUAGUCUCUGCACCUGUUGUUCAGCCACCUGAUUGGAAUUUACCCCUUAAAAUUAUGUGUGAUGCUAGUGAUUAUGCUGUAGGUGCUGUUCUAUGGCAAAGAGUUGAUAAAAAAUUAAAUGUUAUCCAUUAUGCUAGUAAGACUCUAGACAAUGCUCAAAGAAACUAUGCUACUACCGAAAAGGAACUUUUAGCAGUUGUAUUUGCUUGUGAUAAAUUCAAACCCUAUAUGUUGAUUCUAAAGUAACUAUUCACACUGAUCAUGCUGCUAUUAAAUAUCUUAUGGAAAAGAAGGAUGCAAAACCUAGACUCAUUAGAUGGUUUCUUCUGCUGCAAGAAUUUGAUUUACAUAUCGUUGAUAGAAAAGGAGCUGAGAACCCCGUUGCAGAUAACUUAUCUAGGUUAGAGAAUGUUCUUGAUGACCCACUACCUAUUGAUGAUAGCUUCCCUGAUGAGCAAUUAAAUGUCAUAAGCACUUCUCGUAGCACUCCAUGGUAUGCUGAUUAUGCUAAUUAUAUUGUUGCUAAAUUUAUACCACCUAGCUUCACAUACCAACAAAAGAAAAAGUUUUUCUAUGACUUGCGACAUUACUUUUGGGAUGACCCACAUCUUUAUAAAGAAGGAGUAGAUGGUGUCAUUAGACGUUGUGUACCUGAGCAUGAAUAGGAACAGAUCCUACACAAGUGUCACUCCAAAGCUUAUGGAGGACACCAUGCUGGAGAUAGAACUGCACAUAAGGUAUUGCAAUCUGGUUUUUAUUGGCCCACUCUCUUUAAGGAUGCCCGUAAGUUUGUUUUGUCUUGCGAUGAAUGUCAAAGAAUUGUUAAUAUUAGUAGACGUCAAGAAAUUCCUAUGAAUUAUUCACUUAUUAUUGAACCAUUUGAUGUUUGGGGCUUUGAUUAUAUGGGACCUUUUCCUGCCUCUAAUGGUUAUACUCAUAUUUUAGUUGCUGUUGAUUACGUUACUAAGUGGGUAGAAGUUAUUCCAACUAGUAGUGAUGAUCAUAACACUUCUAUUAAAAUGCUUAAGGAAGUUAUUUUUCCGAGGUUUGGAGUCCCUAGAUAUUUAAUGACUGAUGGUGGUUCACACUUUAUUCAUGGUGCUUUCCGUAAGAUGCUUGCCAAAUAUGACAUUAAUCAUAGGAUUGCAUCUCCUUAUCACCCACAGUCCAGUGGUCAAGUAGAGUUGAGCAAUAGAGAGCUCAAAUUAAUUUUGCAAAAGAAUGUUAAUAGGUCUAGAAAGAAUUGGUCCAAGAAACUUGAUGAUGCAUUAUUGGCCUAUAGAACUACAUAUAAAAAUCCUAUGGGUAUGUCUCCGUAUAAAAUGGUUUAUGGAAAAGCUUGUCACUUACCCCUCGAACUAGAACACAAGGCAUACUGGGCUAUUAAAGAGCUCAACUAUGAUUUCAAACUUGCCGGUGAGAAGAGGUUAUUUGAUAUCAGCUCACUUGAUGAAUGGAGAACCCAAGCUUAUGAAAAUGCCAAGUUGUUUAAAGAAAAGGUUAAAAGAUGGCAUGACAAAAGGAUACAAAAGCGUGAGUUUAAUGUAGGUGAUUAUGUAUUGCUAUACAACUCUUGUUUAAGAUUUUUUGCAGGAAAACUUCUCUCCAAAUGGGAAGGUCCCUACGUUAUCAAGGAGGUUUAUCAUUCCGGUGCCAUAAAAAUCAACAACUUCGAAGGCACAAAUCCAAAGGUGGUAAACGGUCAAAGGAUCAAACACUAUAUCUCAGGUAAUCCUAUAAAUGUUGAAACCAAUAUUAUCGAAACCGUAACCCCGGAGGAAUACAUAAGGGACACUUUCCAGCCCGCUUCAGACUCUGAAAAGGAAUAGGUAUGUGGUACGGUAAGUAAACCGACUCCAAAACAAUUUUUAAGGCAAUAUUUCUCCAUUUUGGAAUAUUUAGAAAAAUAGAAAAAUAAGUAGCAGUCCGGGGAGGACACGAGGCCUCCACGAGGGUGGAGGGCGCGCCCUACCCCCCAGGGCGCGCCCCCUACCUCAUGAGCACCUCGUGUGCCCUCUGGACUCUGUUUCCUUGCACGAUACGUAUUUUGGUCGGUAAAAAUUCAUUAUAUAUACUCCCGAAGAUUUUGACUCCCGUAUCACGCAAAUAUCCUUUGUUUUCGUUUCGAGCUGUUGCUGCUGUAGAUUAAAGCAAGAUGUCAUCUCAAGAUUCGGAGGGAGAAAGCUAUGUGGCUGAUUACCUUGCAGACCCUGAGGUCUACGGGGACUUGGACCAUAGUGGCUGGACCACGGAAGAGGAAGAAGACUAUGAGCCUAAGGAGAAGGAGGAAACAAGCUCAGACGAAGAUGAAGUUCUGCUACCUCAACCGGGGGAUGUGCAUGUGGAGUUUAAAAAGUCAAGUCUACCUGAUAGAGCGAAGAAGCCAAAGAUCGAGUUUAUCCCUUUUUGUCUCUUGCAGGAAAAUAAGCAAGAACUAUGCAAAAGAGUAUUAAGUCUUGAGCGGGAGAUCGAAGACCUAAAAGAGCAAAACAUUAUGCUCAAGCGUAAAUUGAGGAAGAAGUCAACCUCAUCAUCAACAACACCACCUCCAUCACCUCCGAGGAAAUAAUCACAUGGGUAUGGGCACCCCCCUUGGCAACUGCCAAGCUUGGGGGAGGUGCCCUGGUAUCAUAUCACCAUCACAACUCCUAUCUUUACCGUAUUUCUUAGUUCGAUCCUAUUAGUAGUAUCUUGAUUUAGUAGAAUAAAGUCAUGGCAUGAUCUAGUUUUGAGUUUUGCUUUAUGAUCCUUCUUUGUAAUCGAGUCCGUGAGCUAUAUAAUAAAGAUUAGUGUUGAGUCAAGGGCUUGAUUGUUUUACCAUGAUCUUGGGUGGUUAGAAGAAAAAGAAUAAAAAGAAUCAAAGAGUUCAUAUUGAUCUUAGUGAAAGUGAUGACUUCACAUAGAGAGAGUAUGAUGAUUAAAAGUUGUUGGGAGUUGGAAAAUAUAGCUUUGGUCAUCGUUGCAAUUAAUAGGAAGUAAUAAGGAAAGAGAGGUUUCACAUAUAGAUAUAUUAUCAUUGACAUCUUUUAUGAUUGGGAGCACUCAUUAAAAUAUGACAUGCUAAAGAGUUGAGGUUGGACAAGGAAGACAACAUAAUGAGUUAUGUUUCCUUGCAUCCAAGAUAAAGUAUGUUGUCAUGGAUCCUCUACCGUGUUGAGCUUGCCUUUCCUCCUCAUGCUAGCCAAAUUCUUAGCACCAAGUAUAAAUACUACUUGUGCUUCCAAAUACCCUUAAACCAGUUUUGGCAUUAGAGUCCACCAUAUCUACCUAUGGAUUGAGUAAGAUCCUUCAAGUAAGUUGUCAUCGGUGCAAGCAAUAAAAAUUGCUCUCUAAAUAUGCAUGACUUAUUAGUGCAAAGAAAUAAGCUUUGUACGAACUUGUUGUGGACGCAAUAAAAGCGACGGACUGCAUAAUAAAGGUUCACAUACAAGGGGCAAUAUAAAGUGACAUUCUUUUGCAUUAAGAUUUUGUGCAUCAACCCUAAAUGCGCAUGACAACCUCUGCUUCCCUAUGCGAAGGGCCUAUCUUUUAUUAUUAUCCUCUACCUUAUACAAGAGUCACGGUGAUCCUCACCUUUCCUUUUUCAUUUUAUCCUUUGACAAGCUCAGCAUGUUGGAAAGAGUAUGAUAUACAUAUCUAAUUGGAUGUGGGGGAGCAUGAAUUAUUAUUGUUGACAUUACCCUUGAGGUAAAAGGUUGUGGGGCAAAACUAUAAGCCCCUAUCUUUCUCUGUGUCCGAUUAAAACUCUGUAACCACAAGUAUCGCGUGAGUGCUAGCAAUUAUGAAGGACUAAAUGAUAGUUGAGUAUGUGGACUUGCUUUUGAGCUCUGACAUAGACUCUUUCCGAUGUUAUGAUAAAUUGCAAUUGCUUCAAUGACUGAGAUUAUAAUUGUUAGUGCCUAAUAAGGUUUCUGAUUCAUGCUUUGGCUUUGUGAAAAGAUCAUCACUUGAACAUGAGUAAUCAUAUGACAAAAUCUAUAUAAGUUGCUGUUAUGAAAUAAUCAUGAUGCCUUCAUGUCCGUAUUUUAUUGUUAUCGACGCCUCUACCUCUAAACAUGAGGACAUAUUUAUUGUUAUCGGCUUUCCGCUUGAGGACAAGCGAGGUCUAAGCUUGGGGGAGUUGAUACGUCCAUUUUAGAUCAUGCUUUUAUGACAAUAUUUAUUGCAUUAUGUGCUGCUAUGUCACGUUAUGUCACAAUACUUAUGGCUAUUCUCUCUUAUUUUACAAGGUUUACAUGAAGAGGGAGAAUGCCGGCAGUUCGAAUUCUGGGCUGGAAAAGGAGCAAAUAUUGGAGGCCUAUUCUACACAACUCCAAAAGUCCUGAAACUCCACGGAAUACCUUGAAAUAAAUAAAGAAAAAUCAUCACCAAAGAUGAAGGCCAGGGGGCCCACACCCUGCUCACUAGGGUGGGGGCGCGCCCCCCUGGGCGCGCCCCCCUAACUCGUGCCCCCCCUGGUGGCUCUCCGACGCCCAUCUUCUCCUAUAUGAAGUCUUUCGAUGAGAAAAAAAAGAAGCAACCUUUCGGGACGAGACUCCGCCGCCACGAGGCGGAACCUUGGCGGAACCAAUCUAGGGCUCCUGCAGAGCUGUUCUGCCGGGACACUUCCCUCCGGGAGGGGGAAAUCAUCACCAUCAUCAUCACCAACGCUCCUCUCAUCGGGAGAGGGCAAUCUCCAUCAACAAUCUUCACCAGCACCAUCUCAUCUCCAAACCCUAGUUCAUCUCUUGUAUCCAAUUCUUGUCUCCAAGUCCGGGAUUGGUGCUAGUAGGUUGCUAGUAGUGUUGAUUACUCCUUGUAGUUGAUGCUAGUUGGUUUAUUUGGUGGAAGAUCACAUGUUCAGAUCCUUUACGCAUAUUAUUACCCCUAUGAUUAUGAACAUGAAUAUGCUUUGUGAGUAAUUACGUUUGUUCCUGAGGACAAGGGAGAAGUCUUGCUAUUAGUAGUCAUGUGAAUUUGGUAUUUGUUCGAUAUUUUGAUAAGAUGUAUGUUGUCUAGCCUCUAGUGGUGUUAUGUGAACGUCGACUACAUAACACUUCACCAUUAUUUGGGCCUAGAGGAAGGCAUUGGGAAGUAAUAAGUAGAUGAUGGGUUGCUAGAGUGACAGAAGCUUAAACCCUAGUUUAUGCGUUGCUUCGUAAGGGGCUGAUUUGGAUCCAUAUGCUUCAUGCUAUGGUUAGGUUUGCCUUAAUACUUUUGUUGUAGUUGUGGAUGCUUGCAAUAGAGGUUAAUCAUAAGUGGGAUGCUUGUCCAAGUAAGGGCAGUACCCAAGCACCGGUCCACCCACAUAUCAAAUUAUCAAAGUAUCGAACGCGAAUCAUAUGAGCGUGAUGAAAACUAGCUUGACGAUAUUCCCAUGUGUCCUCGGGAGCGCUUUUCCUAUUAUAAGAGUUUGUCCAGGCUUGUCCUUUGCUACAAAAAGGAUUGGGCCACCUUGCUGCACUUUAUUUACUUUUGUUACUUGUUGCUUGUUACAAUUUAUCUUAUCACAAAACUAUCUGUUACCACUUAUUUCAGUACUUGCAGAGAAUACCUUGCUGAAAACCGCUUAUCAUUUCCUUCUGCUCCUCGUUGGGUUCGACACUCUUACUUAUCGAAAGGACUACGAUAGAUCCCCUAUACUUGUGGGUCAUCAAUGGGCUGCAAUGCUGUCAAAUCGUUGACGGGCCGUUGACAGGCCGAAUUGGCACAUCUCGUAUGGGCCAUGGGCUUAAAUGGACCUGACACAAGUAGGCCUUAUAUGGGCCAGCCUGCUAAUUUUGACUAGACCGGUCUUUUUUACCUGAAUGGGCCACUGUUGGGCCUUGCCACGUGCUGACGUAACAUAGGCGCCUCCCGUACUAUGAGUGGAUGACAUUUGUCCCAACACUGAGCCGACACGUGGAUCCUCCGGCGAAUGAGAAUUUUAUACGUGGAAUUUCCCCAUUGGUCGGGGUUGUUAACGGGUUAUCGGAUCCAAACCGGCACCCGAUAGCUUAACGGCGACCCGUUACGGUGGAUGCCACGUGUCGGUCACCCUUGACGAAAACACUUCCAUGACGUGUCAUUUAUCGUCAUGGAAGUGGACACUUCCGUGAUGAUAAUUUUGGUAUUGUCAUGGAACACUUCUACGAUAGCACAUGUAUGACUAUCUUGAUUCUGUCAUAAAAUCGUCAUGGAUGUACAUGCAUGACAGAAAACGUGACCUACUGUGACAAACACGUAUCAUCACGGAAGUGUAUUUUUUUAUAGUGGAUGCAUGGGUCAUCUAAUCUCCGAGGUAUGGCCCGCUCCCUGUGAAAUGGUACACAAACACACCCCACCACCACCGAGUUAAGAGGGUCACCUCCAUUGUCCAACGAUGAUGGUCAGAGAGGAGAUGCCGGUGCCACGAGAGGAGUGGAGGGAAGUGGAGGUCAGUGGUGAUGGUCCGCAUGAGGCGAAGGGGAGGAAAGAGACGCGAUAAAAGCCAUCCAAAAGGGAAUAUACUUGUUUGGUUUUAAGGGCGUGCACAACAUGGCGCCUCCGUGCCAGGUCUGGAUGAGGCAAACAUCAGCUGGAGAGGAGAGCAUCUUGUAGUGGAAAUUUAUAGUGGCAGGCUGGCAACUAGUUGCUAUUGAUUUGGAUUCAUGAUGGCGAAGUAGGAGCACCUAUAGUAGGUAGAAUUAUGUAUAGGUUUAGUUAGCAGUAAAGUCGGUCCGGUCCAUUCAUUUUUCUUAGCAAAGCAGCCCAUUUAUUUAAUGUCUGAAAACUCCGAAAUUUCACACAAAACCGCAAGAUCAUCCUCGCACAAAAAAGACCAUCAUAUUAAUUUAUUUGCCAACAUAUUUCACUCCUCUAAGUCUUUGUAUCAACAUUCAAGUAUCUAAUCAUUGUCUUGCUUUGUGAGAUAAUUCUCUUUCUCAAAAAUACCCUCAUCUUCCUCAUUGUAUAUCAUAUUGACCAUUUGAAGUAAAAUUGUGGAAACUCUCUUUGGUAACCGAUUGUGUGUGACGAUUGACUAUAAACCGUAUGAGCCCUUUUACUUUCCCCACCAUGCUUCAAGGGGGCAAUCUUUUUACGACAAAAGGUGUUCUGUUUUUAUGUCAUAUGCUCUUUUGUAUCCUUUUAGGUUAGUUAUAAUAAUUGUUAAAAACAUGCAUCGAAAACUGUAGAAAGGCAAACAUACUUUAGGAGUACCCCAUGUAAACCUGGAUGGAGCUUGUCGUCUUGAUUUCUUUUUGAAAAACUCUGCUCAUGGACUUUUUUUUGAACAACUACAAAACCAUAUGGAUAUUACUAAACUCCUACUCAUAUUUAACCUUGAUGGAGUAUCAAACCCAUAGCACCCUCUACCGCCUUUUUCCAACGAUGAUAAUGAGACUCCAAUAUCCCACCCUCGGUGGUGACGAGCUUCUCAAGUUUUCUGAUUCAUUAUGGUCGUGUACACCUACAAACCAAAGCGGUGGCUAAGCGGAUACACCUACAAACCAAAGCGGCGGCGGCUGCAGUAGCACCUCUGGACGUUUGGGCCCUCAGUUCUUUGGCUUCGGAUCCGGUGACCGUACUUCGUCUCCGAGAUGUUUGGCAGUGAUGACUUCCUGUCCGCGUGAUUCUUUAAGGUUCGCCGCAAUUUGGCAGCGGGGUUGCCGGAGCGGCUGCGGUGGCGCGCCAUCGGCCCAUCCUGGAGGUUUGAGAAGUGUGAGAUUCCAGGGACCUGAUUGUAAUUUCUUUCUUUUUCAGGGGUGUCUUGUACCGCUGGUCUCUGGUUAAUAGAUCUGAGGGUCUUUUCGCAAAAAAAGAUACACCUACAAACCAAAGCAGGUGGUUAAGCCGAUGCAACGAGAAUAUUCAAUUCAAUUCCACUACCAAUGCAACCAUCACCGCCGAACACGCCUCCCUCAUUUCCUUGCUCAUCCCGGACUCCCCUCCCAACCACACCCCCUACCCAUGCGCGCGGUGACUUCACUUUUCUUCGCGCCACUCAUGUGUCUUUCAGGCAAAUGUUUUCUCAUUUUAAUUGUUAGCAUACUUUGUACUGUUUGCAAAAUUUACAGUUCAAAAUCGUGCAAUGAAGACUGAAAAGGGGUCGAACGAGGAAGGAUUAAGUCUGAAGUAUUCAUAAACCUGCUCGGAGUACAACAAAAAACUCAAAGAGCCCUCGGUAACCCCGCCGGAACCCCAAACCCUUCUGCCCCCGCCCCCGCCCCCUACAUUCCGAUGGCGACGGCGGUGUCGGCGCCCGUCUCUACGGCGACGGUGCGGGUCUCCAAUAUCCCGCCCUCCGCCGUCGCUAAGGAGCUCCUAGCAUUCUUCAAUUCCGCCGUCGCCGCCGCCGGCGAAGCCUACGCCUGCGAGAUCGCCGCCGCCCGACGCGGCUGGUUAAGUCGAGGCGAUGGGAGCGUUCAGUUCGAUUCCACCGCCACCGCAACCCUCGCCGUCGAACUCGCCUCCUCCGGUCGCCUACCCCGCUUCCUCGGCUCCCUCCUCUCCGUCUCCCCUGCCCCAGGGGACCUUCUCCCCCGCGCGCCGGACCUUUCUCUCCGCGUGGUCGACGCCCGCCUCCUUGUAGGCAACCGCGUCGCCGAGCGCGAAUUGGAGGCGGCUGACUCUUGGGACGGCGUCCGCGUGGAGGUCAUCCCAGCGAAGCGGCGGAUAGACCUGUACCUGAAUCACGAUUCCCAGAGGUACAAGCUGGAGGUUUUCUUCGAGGACAUCAGGAACUGCUACCGGUGCAGCUUCGAUGGGGCCGACGCCAUCUUGCUUCAGGUGAGCUGCUCAGGGUGUUUAUUUUUUGAACGUUGAAGACUGUAGGAGUGGCUCCUACAGUCAUAUAUUAAUCAAAAAAGUAUUUACAUAGUGUAAAGGGUGUAGUCGGGCUUUUGCCCCAAUCACAGGGACCCCAUUGAGCAGUACCGAGGAUUUCCCAGAACCAAAGAUGCAUUUGAUCAAUCCUAACCAUUUCUCGUCAAAGCGCAUGUGUCUCAUGACCUCAAUCAUAGCCGGGUGUUCUAUAGUGUCCAAGGCCUUGGAAAAGUCCAGUUUCAGAAUAAACGCCCGUGAUCCAGAGGCUUGACAUUGGUAUAUAUACUCGAACGCCCAAGCCAAGCAGUCCUGUAUUGUUCUCCCUUUCAAAAAUCCGUAUUGGUUCCUGUGAAUGACUUUUAGAAUCCAUUUCUGUAACCGAUCAGCAAGCAGUUUGGUUAUUAGCUUCGGACAACAGUUUAGCAGUGUGAUGGGGCAAAAUCAUUUGCUGUCUGGGGUGAGUGGAUCUUCAGAAUGAGAAUGAUGAACCUGGUGUUUAUGCUUUCCAGAUUGAGUUCUCCUGCGUGGAAAUAAUUUCUGAUUUGGAGGCGAAGAUACCCCCAAUCUUUCUUUAAACGCAUUGAGCAGUAUCCCUUUGUUGCCUGCAUGGUUCUCAGCCUCAGUGCCAUCGGGUAAUUUCAGCAUGGCGAUGAAGUUAUUUCGGUAUCGCUCCGUGGCCAUCCGGUGGAAAGUUUUCGUAUUUUCCUCUGCGAAACGAAUAACCCUGACAGUGCAUCUUUUUCUCCAGUGUUGGUUCUGAAAGUUCAGACGCUGCAGUAGGUGAGCUUUUAGAAUUCGCCUGAAGUUCGAUUCCGGGGUUGUGAGUGUUCUCAGGUUUUUCAAUUCAUCCAGCUCGUUAACAGCCCAUUCAGUGUUUUGGAUCAGCACUUUGAGACGUGAGAGGCCUUCACUCCACUUCUUAAGGGUGUACCUUAGUCUUCUCAUUUUCUGGCAAAUCCUGGCUGCACUAUUAUGCAAAUAACUUGGUUUGGACCAAGAAGUAUUCACCACAUCAAAGAAGCAUCUUUGCUGCACCCAGUAAGAUUCUAACCUGAAAAUUUUGCUCGCGGGGAUCGAUGAUUCUAUACUGACCAAACAAGGCGUGUGGUCGGAGAUUGGUUUGGCCAUGGCAGUAACCUUGGUAUUAGGAUAUACUGAAGUCCAAUUGUUAGACGUGAAGAACCAGUCGAGUUGGUCACCAUGUUGCUGUGAUACUUCUGUUUUUCCUUUGUACAUUAUAUAUUAGUCAGACAUUGCAGUUAUAGGGCGAGGUACAAAUUUGAAGACGGAAGCUCUAGAUGUACUUCCUCCCUCAAUACUUGCGUGAGCUGAAAAAUUGGCAAGUUCUCGAGUCAGUAAACUAGAGUGAACCAUCAGAGUGGUCUGGUGUGCAAUUAUGCGUUAGAGCCCAUAAAGUAAGAUGGAUAGUGGUGCUACUUUUAUUUCCACUCCUAUAAAUAUCUCAGUUGGUGGUUACUAAUUGGAGCGAAAUGAAUAUGAAGCUUAUCUGAUGAAUACACAUCACCUUUACUUUUCUAAAUUUACUGAUUGUCAUACUUCUUAGACUAUAAGUUGGUGAGGCGCAACACUCUUUUAAUUCUUUCUAUAAUUCUGAAGUUGGUAAAAUAUAUAUUAUCUUGACUAAUGUUAAUUUAAUAUUUGUUUCAGCUCAUGUAUGCACCAAGGAUAUGCACAACAAUUUCUGGGCCUGCAGUUUAUUCAAGGUUCUCAGAUGACCGCUUUCAUGCAUGCAAGGAGGAUGCAAAAUUUACCUGGGUCAGAGCACUAGAUUUUACACCCAACCACUCUUUUGGGAAGUGUUCAACUCUUGCCCUCGUACUUGAUGAAGGUGCACCGAUGUCAUUUAUUCUCAACAGCUUACCUUUGUCAGGAGAAUUAGGGAAAUUGGUCAUUUCUUCAAUGGAAUUUUUUGGCCCGUCGUCCAAAGUCGUUCCCCUUGUUGACUGCCCAAGUGGUUGUUCAGUGUCAUAUGAAGUUCUUUUUCGUCUCAAUUCUCUCGUUCACAUGGGGAAGAUAGUUGCCAAGGAUGUUAAUGCUGAUCUGUUUAAAGCACUUGAAGAAAUACCACUUCAUAUUUCAAGGAGGAUUUUUGAGAAAAUGAGCAAGUUAGACUUCACAUGCUAUAAACCUUUGCAAUUCAUCCAGCAGGAGGCUCAUAGCAGGAAGAGGAGCCAUGAUGCUUUGCUUUCCAGUAAGACUGAAGGUGAAGGAAAGUUAAUUAUGUGUUACAGAAUUCACAUCACUCCAUCCAAAAUAUACUGCUUGGGACCUGAGGAAGAAGUUCCAAAUUAUGUGGUUAAGCAUCACAAACAGCAUGCUUCUGACUUUGCUAGAGUUACUUUUGUCGAUGAAGACUGGAGUAAGCUUUUUCCAGAUGCUAUCUCUGCUAGAAUUGGACGAGGGUUAUUUUCUCAACCCUUGAAAACUGGCCUAUAUUAUCGUAUUUUAUCCAUCCUGAAAGAAGGAUUUUCCAUUGGUCCAAAGAAGUAUGAAUUCCUGGCCUUCUCAGCAAGUCAACUUCGUGGAAGUUCUGUCUGGAUGUUUGCUUCUAAUGAUUCCCUGAAGGCCGAGGAUAUAAGAAGGUGGAUGGGCAACUUUGAAGAUAUUCGUUCAGUAUCUAAGUGUGCGGCUAGAAUGGGCCAGCUGUUCAGCUCCUCCAGACAAACACUUGAAAUCCUACCACGGGAUGUAGAAGAGAUUCCAGAUAUUGAAGUCACAACUGAUGGCAGUAAAUACAUAUUUUCUGAUGGUAUCGGGAAGAUCUCUGAGAGACUUGCUAAAGAAAUGGCUUGCCGAAUUGGAUUAGACUAUACUAACCCUCCUUCAGCUUUUCAAAUAAGGUAUGGUGGCUACAAAGGAGUUGUUGCUGUCGACCCUGAUUCCUUUCGCAAUCUUUCUCUGCGACCUAGUAUGAAGAAAUUCGAAUCAAAGAGCAGAAUGUUUAACAUUACAAGUAGCAGCAAAUCCCAACCAUGCUAUAUGAAUCGUGAAAUUAUCUCUCUCCUUUCAACUUUGGGGAUAAGAGAUGAGAUAUUUGAGUUGAUGCAACACGAUGAUAUGCGUGAAUUAGAUGAAAUGCUGACCAACAGAGAAGCUGCUCUCUCUGUUCUGGGGAAAAUUGGUAGUGCAGAAACGAAGACAGCAUCGAAAAUUUUACUGCAAGGUUAUGAACCGAGUUUAGAGCCUUACCUGUUGAUGAUUCUUAAGGCCCAUCAGGAUAAUAGGCUGACUGACAUAAGAACUAGAUGUAAGAUUCAUGUUCCGAAAGGCCGUGUUCUUCUUGGUUGUUUGGAUGAAACAGGUGAAUUAGAAUAUGGUCAAGUGUACAUCAGAAUUACAAAGAACAGCAAAGAGCAGAAGGAUAAUCGUCAGCCAUAUUUUGCUGAAGAUAAUGGAAAAGAGAAAACAGCAGUUGUUGUUGGAAAAGUUGCAGUAUCGAAAAAUCCUUGUCUCCAUCCUGGUGACAUCAGAGUACUUGAAGCUGUCUAUGACCAUGGUUUGUACGCUAAGAACCUGGUUGAUUGUGUUGUCGUCCCCCAAAGAGGAGAAAGGUAAUGUCGUAUGUUAUACUGAAACUGAAAGACGAUCAUCUAGAGUUUAUAUUGCUCUGGCAAUGCCUUCAGAGGAGCUCAAAUCUCUAUUGAAGUGUUUGUCAGCGUGUUUGUUUCCAUGUUAGAUUGAUAUCUCUUCAUGUUACGUACUUGCAUCUCUACCUAUUGAUGGAUGUUGACAAUGCUUGCUUUCUCCUUCAUUAAUCUUUGAUGUUUAAUAGGCCUCGUCCAUAUAGACUUUAAUCUUUGAUGUUAAUCAGGCCUCAUCCAAAUGAAUGCUCCGGGGGCGAUUUGGACGGUGACCUCUAUUUUAUCACUUGGGAUGAGAAACUGAUUCCAGAGAAGGUUGAUUCACCCAUGGACUACACUGCAGCAAGGCCACGCAUAAUGGAUCAUGUUGUUACACUUGAGGUAUAUUCCUCACUGUUUAUUCAUUUUAAUUUCUCUUACUAGGUUGUUGCUGCUAAUUUUUACCGAAGAUUGUUUUAUUUGACUAAUAUCAAUUUUUAUACUUGCAACUGCAAAUAUAAUCAAAAUCUCAGUUUUUUACAAUCUGUAGCAUUUCAAUAAUACUAGAAGAAAAUGUGUGCUUCGCCGCACCAUUUUCCAUUUUUAUGCCAUGCUUCCUGUUAUAAAUCAUCAAAGAAGGAAUUCUUUAAACAAAACUUCUGAUGCAAACAAAUCACAGGCUAAUAUCAUUCAUUUUGAACAACUUCUUCUUAUUGCUUGCCUAUUUGUUCAUGGGCUCCCUGAGAACCUGACAAGAUAUAUUAGCUAGGUUUUGAAGUUGACAAAAUGGGAAGGAAAAACUGCAGUAUAGGAUAAAGAUGAUCUUGAAUAAGAUAGCCAGUAAAGAAACCAAAACAUGUAAACAAGUUUGCGACCUGAACCAGUUGAGCUUCAGUGAGAUGAGUGAAACCAAUGGCAUUGGCAACCUCCCAAUAAAUUCUGUCAGGCAGAUCAUCAUUCACAGUAUUAGUAGGAAGUUAUCCAAAGUUACCUUUAGUAUAUGAGCGUAUAAUAAUAUAAAAAUUCAUAAGUGUCACAAGACCAUCAAAUAAACUUACAUCUUCAAGCAAGCUCGAUUCCUCGAGAGCAUAAUCACGCAAUUCAUGAAAUAUUAUUCUUCCAAAACCAAAAGGACAGUGGCUAUGUCUUGCACAGUGCACAUACUUUCAGACACGCUAUGGAAGCAUAUAGAUAAAAGAAGGGUCGUUCCAAAAAGUAGAGAUUUUAUUAUCGCCAAUCAUAUAAACUUUCCGAGAUGUCUCUUCCCCAUGUCAGAGAAGGCACAUCCACAAAUGAAGAUAUAUUUUUCAUAUCAACCUGCAAAAACAAAUUAAUAUGCAUCUCACAGUAGACUGCUUGCGUAUGCGCAACUCACCAUUGUAAUGGAAGGUGUUAUUACAAAUUUAAAGUAUAAACACCCAACCAAACUGCCGCCCUGCGGAGCACCGUGACCUAGAAGUCCUCACACCGGCAUGUCAGCUUCCUGUCACACAAUGGCAGCAACGAAGUGUAUCCUGCACCCCAUGGCCACCGCCUUGCAGGGACCGUUUUCCUGCCUGUGCUUCCCCCCUUAUCAGUGUAACUGACACAUAAUUGCAAAAAUUAUAGCAAGAAACAAGAUAAGGAGCUUAUCUUUGAAGUUUGAUUGAUUAAUUGGAGAGCACUGCAUUACAGGUUGUUGAAGCACACAAAAAGAAUAAGGUGUCUGUCACCUAGUCAGAAAACAUAAUAUCCAUAACAGGUGAAGUAAGUAGAGUUCUGAUGGAGGGAAAGAGAGACUGACCCCUAUAGUACUUAUGUGAUUAGUAGAUAAUCAUACUAAACCAAUAUCACAUCUUUCAAGUUUUCUAGUGCUUUACAUCGAAAGGUAUGUUAUACUCCCUCCGUUCCAAAAUAAUUGUCUUUCUAGCCAUCUCAAAUGGACUACAACAUACGGAUGUAUGUAGACAUGUUUUAGAGUGCAGAUUCACUCAUUUUGCUCCGUAUGUAGUCACUUGUUGAAAUCUCUAGAAAGACAAUUAUUUCGGAACGGAGGGAGUAUAUGCUACUAUAACCACCAAAGAUUCAUCAGAGUAGAAAGAACCUCCAGGAAGGAAUGUCAGAGACAAACACACAACCAAAGAGAUCUAACUGGAAGAGAUAAGUACCAUGUGCGGCACUUUGACUGAGGUGUGGAGAUCUCUCACAGUCACAUCUUGGAAAAUAGCUGCCUGCAUUUGUUUUGUUCAAAAUAAUAAAUGAAAUGAACAACUUGGUUGAUUUGUUUCAAUCAAAUUAGUUAAGGGUCUCUAUGGUUAUUUCUAAUCAAUAGUAAAUGCGUAUGUGCAAUGCACGUAAAUAUUAGGCAGUAUAUCAAUUCCAUAAAGAUAAUAGGUAAGAUAACAUUUUCUUGUUAGUUGUGUGAUUAGUGCUGGCGGUGAUAUUUGGUAUGUUAUUUAUUGCAUGUUAAACAUGUUGAGCGCUCACCAUUGGAGCAAUCUGGGUCAUUGGAUUGACCUUAUUUGAUGGCUGAGGUUAAUUGGAUCUGCCCCUUAGGGUCUUUUUAUAUUGGUAUAGAUAUAGAUAAAGCUCCUCACAUCCCCUUGUUAAAAAGAUUAAAAUAUAUGAAAACAUCAGUAUGUAAUCAUCACAAGGACUGUAAACCGACAGAAGAGAAUACAAAUAUGACCACAUUUAUUCAGACCUACAAAAGUGAACUGACAUGCAGUAUCCACCAGAAGUAUGUCUCAUCUACCCAUAUUACAGCAAUUUUGAUAAAGUAAUUCUUAGCAAUUGACAAUUAUGUUUGCGAAACAAUAAAAACAGGGAAUGAAUUAUGAAUACGACAUCAACACUGUUAUAUAAGGCUUUGAUUGGUAGGGUGCACUCGUUGAGAGCAAUAAAUAGAGGAGAUGAUGUUUACCAGCAAGUUGCAAUGCAUUUCAGCCAAUUUUUUUGAUGUGAAACCUAUACUCCCAACUCCAGUGCUUUUCUUUCCAAACCUGUAACAAUUAGCAUGAUAGCUUCAAUACUAAGCAAGUUUCUUAUUAUUCAUCUAUUUGCAUACUGAUAAGAGAUAAGAAGGCUUCACAUCUUUUACUUUCUCUCUUUCUUUCCAUGUUUGUCUCUUUCUUGUCCCGGUGGUCUACUUUUUGACUGCUCUAUAACUCUGUUAGGUCCGACGAAAAGUUAUUUUGUUAAACCACAACAUGACCACAUGACAAAUCCAGGACGUUAUCAAUAAGCAAUAACGCCAGACUGAGCCAUACACUUUCCAAAUCUGUUGAAAAGUGCAGCCUAUCUUCCAAUUCUUUGUAGCCUGACAAGCAUUCUAAGUGGUCACUGCUGAAAAUUUUGUGAUAAUAUUAGCCUAUUUUGAAAUUGCGUAACUGAACACAUCAAGAACCUGAUGGUGUGAAUGUACUCAAAAUGGAACACUCGCAUUCUAUACUGCACUGAUGUCAAGUUUAAUUAAGUUUACAGCUCAUUUACUAAUUUAGUUAGAGUGGCGAAAUAAGGCAAGUGACCUGAAAAUUCCAACACUAAGUCUGGCCGACAACUCCUUUCCAGCCUUUCUGUUUUCUCUAUCCCUGCGUACUAAGUGCCUCAGGCCGAUUUUGCCGCACCAUGUGAGCCCGAGCUAGUGUCCAUCUUCCACUGAUGACCCCCAAUAAAUCUAACGACCAAAGGCCCAUCGGCCGCUACAUGAAGACAUGCCAACAACCCUCGAUGGAUUGUUUGGAACCUAUAUGUAACUCCAUUAAGAGCUAUAGCAAACCAUCAGAUAAAGGAUAGGAACUUCACCUUCAGGGAUGAACACCUGAUGUCGAUGCGAAUGAGGUAACCACACUACCAGGCUGUUCCUGUUGUUGUCAAUGUGGUGGCUGGCCGGUUGGAGCAACACCGCCCCUGAAAGCCCCCACACGCAAUCAAUCCAGCGAAGCCACAAAGCUGCCCACUGCCUUUUCUCCUCCNNNNNNNNNNNNNNNNNNNNNNNNNNNNNNNNNNNNNNNNNNNNNNNNNNNNNNNNNNNNNNNNNNNNNNNNNNNNNNNNNNNNNNNNNNNNNNNNNNNNNNNNNNNNNNNNNNNNNNNNNNNNNNNNNNNNNNNNNNNNNNNNNNNNNNNNNNNNNNNNNNNNNNNNNNNNNNNNNNNNNNNNNNNNNNNNNNNNNNNNNNNNNNNNNNNNNNNNNNNNNNNNNNNNNNNNNNNNNNNNNNNNNNNNNNNNNNNNNNNNNNNNNNNNNNNNNNNNNNNNNNNNNNNNNNNNNNNNNNNNNNNNNNNNNNNNNNNNNNNNNNNNNNNNNNNNNNNNNNNNNNNNNNNNNNNNNNNNNNNNNNNNNNNNNNNNNNNNNNNNNNNNNNNNNNNNNNNNNNNNNNNNNCAGGGCACAUAGUCAAAGGUGGUUUAGAUUGUGUCAACACCAGCUGACCAGUGGGAGCAUAAAUGAUAAAAAAGCCAGAUCGCUGAGGGCGUUAUAUUUCCUGGGAGCUUAGUAACUUUAGAGAUUUAUUAUCUUGAGGCACCUCACAUCUUUCUAAAACAUUACUUUGGCAAAACUGGGUACAUGCCUACAUGGUAAGUGCACAACAGCCAGAGAGAACUGGCUACAAGCGUCGAACUCAGCCAGGAUGGAAUAACAGCCAACACAAAAUUUUGAAUGCUUUGAACCAAAUAUAUGCUCGUCAUGCACAGUUCUUUUCUUUUUUUUGAAUUUUUCGCCAUGCACAGUUAAUAACGUUCUUUUCAAAUGUGGGUACCUGUUUCAGAAAGAAAGACAUUUUUGCCAUCCUCUAAUGAAAACAGUUUUGCAUGAUUCAGUUUUAAGUGGUCUUGGUUUUAAAAUGCUCUUCAAUGUAUAUAUCUAACCUUGAUAGGUUCACAACUAUUUACCAAUUAGCUCCAAUAAGCAGUUCAAAGUUGUCUUUUCAACAAGCACAUGUAUUUUCCUUGCCUGACAUGUUUAUACCUGUACUCUUACAAAAACAUCUGAUGAACUGCAGGAAAUUCAGAAGUACUUUGUGGAUUACAUGAUAAAUGACUCGCUCGGUGCAAUCUCAACUGCUCACUUGGUCCACGCGGAUCGUCAUCCAAUGAAAGCCCGGAGCCCUGAGUGCCUCCAGCUAGCUGCUUUGCAUUCGAUGGCGGUCGACUUCGCCAAGUCAGGAGCUCCAGCUGAAAUGCCCCGGUCACUGAGACCAAAGGAGUACCCUGACUUCAUGGAACGGUGGGACAAACCAACGUACAUCUCCAACGGAGCUCUCGGCAAGCUCUACCGAGCGGCUGCGAGCCGUAUGCAGAGCGCUCCUGCCCCCUCGUCCUCGGCUCAACCGAGGCCCGCUUUCGAUCCUGACCUGGAGGUCCCUGGCUUCGAGGAAUUCCUGGCAUCCGCGGAGGAGUGCUAUGACCUGUACGCGGAGAAGCUGAGCACCCUGAUGAGCUACUAUGGUGCGGAGCACGAGGACGAGAUCCUGACGGGCAACAUCCGGAACAGGCUCCUGUACCUGAAGAAGGACAACAAGAGGUACUUCGAGAUGAAGGACCGCAUCAUCGACUCGGUGGAUGGCCUGCACAAGGAGGUGCAGGGUUGGUUCAGGAGCCGCCCAAAGGCCGAGGCGUCGAGGAGGGCGUCGGCGUGGUACCGCGUGACUUAUCACCCGGACCACCGCUGGCCGGGAAAGAAGCAGUUCUGGAGCUUCCCGUGGAUCGUCUGCGACGAGCUGCUGAAGAUCAAGGAGUCGAGUAAGCGGCGCAGGCAGCAGGUGGACGGCGCGGCGGCCUGAGUCGUCCGGCCAAAGUAAUUAAGCGGGAGUUGGCAAGAAGAUGUAAUAAGUGGUAUUCACAGGCAAGCUUGUCUGAUGAUUGCGCGGCUGCUAUGUGUUUGUAUGUAUGUAAUGUAAAACUCUGGGGCAUGACUGCAGUGCAGACCAUUCUGAGCUCAGCUGAGCUGAGCGGCAGAGCUGUGCCUACGUCGCUCGUAUGGACGGAGAGAUUUGCUGGAUGUGUGUGACUGGAAAUGAACCGUGCUUGGUCGGGCUUUGCGGGAGGUUAAUCAUGCUCCAUCACUAUCUCAACAUAGCUUCAGCUUUGUGUGCAAUUCUGUGCUGUUGGGUGCCUAUACCUUUGGUGAUGUUUA